AACUGAUAAUUUGUAUCGUUUCCAGGAUGGCAAAGGAGUUUUUUGUUUCCGUUAUGAAGCAUCUGUCUCAUUAACUGUGAAGGGAACAGAGUAUGAAGUGAAAAAAAUCCUUCAUAUUUACACAACCAUUGAUCUGUCCUGCAACAAAUUUCAAGGAGAAAUUCCAGACGUUAUUGGAGAGCUUAGAUGGCUUGCAUUGCUCAACUUAUCUCAUAAUAGUCUAACAGGACCUAUCCCAUCAUUGCUGAGGAAUAUGAAAGAACUCCAAUCUUUAGAUUUGUCUUCAAAUCAACUGACAGGGGCUAUUCCACCUCAGUUAACUGCAUUGACAUAUCUAGAGGUCUUGAACCUCUCGGGAAACCAUCUUAGUGGAGAGAUUCCUCAGAAAGGACAGUUCAGCACAUUCAACAAUGAUUCUUAUCUUGGAAACUCCGCGUUAUGUGGAUCACCUUUGACGAAGAAAUGUGCAAACACAGCAUCACCUCCACAAGAAGUCGGAAAUGGUGAUGAAGAUGAUGCUGGUGAUGAAUUGACAUGGGAAGCAAUCGUGAUGGGAUAUGGAUGUGGACUGAUAUGUGGAUUGUCAUCUGCAUACAUUGUUCUCAAACUAGGAAAGCCUUGGUGGUUUGUGAGAUAUGUCGAAGUACUGCAACUGAAGUUGAUGAAAAGAUAUGCUUGAAGAAUGGUACUGGCCGAUCAAGACGAACUUGAAAGUUGUUGUCCUUGUGCAUUUCUGAACCAGUUGUGUACUAUUCUCUUUGUGGCUGCAUAAGUAUUUGGUAUUGUGUAAUAUUCUGUUUGGUCUUGAAUCAUAAUGAUUCUUCUUGCUCCAGGGUUAUUAAUAUAAACCUUGGUAUUGUGUGCUAGCUGUAAUAUUCUGUUUGAUCAAUGUUUAUACCAGUAAUUUUAUGCUCCGCAGUGCAUCAUGCAGCUCUCAUAUUAUCUCUAUGAUUAACCUGAAUUCAGUUUCAUUUUGUUUCCGAAUCUCAACUACUUCAACUUGAGCUACAAUAGCUUCACUGGUCUAAUACCCCCAGAUAUUGAAAAUUUAACAGAGCUGCAAUACCUUGAUUUUAGCUCUAAUAAACUCACUGGUGCAAUUCCGGACCAGGUAAGCCAUCUUCAAACAUUGCGAACCUUAAACCUGUUGGAUAAUCACUUGGAAGCUCCAAACUGGUCCGCUUUUUCCCCUCUGCCUUCUCUGACAAACCUCUGUCUCAAUAAUAAUAAUCUUUCGUCGAAAUUCCCAGACUUCAUAUCAAAUUACAUCUUUUAUACGAUAUAUUAUGAAAACACUAUAUUUUGUAAUGUUCAUCUUAUCCUACCAGCAAAAUUACAUCGCUAACAAAAUUAUAUCAAUUUUAUUUUAUAAACUCAAAUAAUUUAAUUUAUGAAACAACUCUAUGAGAUUCUUAUCAUGAGUUAGAAUUCAAAUAAAUAAAGAGUUCAUAUUGAUAAGUGGAAUUGAUGUGCAAGUAAGGGGUAUAAAAAAAUCUCAAAAUAACUCCAAAAAGCACAUGACAUGUUUGAUUUAAUAGAACUGGUACAUAAACAGGGGGACCAUUAUAUUUAUAAGCAAGUGACCAACAAUAGUUUACUACUGAUAUUUUGUGAUAUUUUUUGUGAUAUUUUUUGAGACCUUUAACAUUAUUCUGUGAAGUGGUAUACUACUGUUACUAGUUCUGAAACUUCAAACAAAGUAGGCGCAACAUUGUAAGAGUGAUUAAUAAAGUUGAGAAACAGUGUGUACAUUGAGCAGUAUGACAAUCAGGUUCAGCAUAUAAUACAAUCAGAUUCACAAUCAGGUUCACGAGAAACAUGCUGCAUUCCAAAAAGCCUUAUUAUCUUCUUCACUAAAUAACAAGGCAAAUACAGCAUAUAAAUACAAGUGUGCAGUGUGGUAUUAGAUUCAUAACCCAGUUGAGGAGAAACAUGGCACACUUUGUAAGGCCUUCUCACCUUCUUCUCUUUGUUUUCUUUCUCUCAUCACUUGAAUCCAUUCUUGCAACAAGACAAGAGGGGGAAGCUCUUGUGAAGUGGAAGAAUAGCCUAGCCCCUUCUUCUUUUCUCCACUCUUGGUCACUCACCAAUCUCGAAAAUCUUUGNNNNNNNNNNNNNNNNNNNNNNNNNNNNNNNNNNNNNNNNNNNNNNNNNNNNNNNNNNNNNNNNNNNNNNNNNNNNNNNNNNNNNNNNNNNNNNNNNNNNNNNNNNNNNNNNNNNNNNNNNNNNNNNNNNNNNNNNNNNNNNNNNNNNNNNNNNNNNNNNNNNNNNNNNNNNNNNNNNNNNNNNNNNNNNNNNNNNNNNNNNNNNNNNNNNNNNNNNNNNNNNNNNNNNNNNNNNNNNNNNNNNNNNNNNNNNNNNNNNNNNNNNNNNNNNNNNNNNNNNNNNNNNNNNNNNNNNNNNNNNNNNNNNNNNNNNNNNNNNNNNNNNNNNNNNNNNNNNNNNNNNNNNNNNNNNNNNNNNNNNNNNNNNNNNNNNNNNNNNNNNNNNNNNNNNNNNNNNNNNNNNNNNNNNNNNNNNNNNNNNNNNNNNNNNNNNNNNNNNNNNNNNNNNNNNNNNNNNNNNNNNNNNNNNNNNNNNNNNNNNNNNNNNNNNNNNNNNNNNNNNNNNNNNNNNNNNNNNNNNNNNNNNNNNNNNNNNNNNNNNNNNNNNNNNNNNNNNNNNNNNNNNNNNNNNNNNNNNNNNNNNNNNNNNNNNNNNNNNNNNNNNNNNNNNNNNNNNNNNNNNNNNNNNNNNNNNNNNNNNNNNNNNNNNNNNNNNNNNNNNNNNNNNNNNNNNNNNNNNNNNNNNNNNNNNNNNNNNNNNNNNNNNNNNNNNNNNNNNNNNNNNNNNNNNNNNNNNNNNNNNNNNNNNNNNNNNNNNNNNNNNNNNNNNNNNNNNNNNNNNNNNNNNNNNNNNNNNNNNNNNNNNNNNNNNNNNNNNNNNNNNNNNNNNNNNNNNNNNNNNNNNNNNNNNNNNNNNNNNNNNNNNNNNNNNNNNNNNNNNNNNNNNNNNNAUUAAAACGUCUUUUUCUUUGGAGUAAUAAGUUUUCAGGUUCUGUUUCCAAUGAUAUAGGUUUGCUUUCUGAGCUUGAAUUUCUCAAUCUUUACGAUAAUUUUUUUGAGGGGCCGCUUCCAUGCAUCAAAUAUAUUCAAGCUCUCCAAAUUAAGGGUUCUUUACCUUAACGGUAAUAAACUUCUAGGUUCUCUUUCCAAUGAUAUAGGUUUGCUUUCUGAGCUUGAAAGCCUCGAUCUUAACUCCAAUUUUUUUGAGGGGCCGCUUCCGCCAAAUGUAUUCAAGCUCUCCAAACUAAAGAUUCUUUCCCUUUAUGAGAAUAACUUUUCAGGUUUUAUUUCUAAGGAUAUAGGUUUGCUUUCUGGACUUGAAACCCUCUAUCUUGACUCUAAUUUUUUUGAGGGUCCGCUUCCCCCACAUAUAUUUAGGCUGUCCAAAUUAAGAGAUCUGGACCUCUCAUACAGUAGAAAUUUAUUUGAAGGAAGUAUUCCUAUUGGACUGGGACUCUUGACUAACCUCAGGUACUUAGAUCUAUAUUCCAAUAAUCUCAGUGGCUAUAUUCCAUCUGACAUUGGAAACCUGAAGCUACUAGAAGGUCUUAUUCUCGGUUCUAAUAAAUUGACUGGACCAGUUUCAAAGAUCAUUUCUAAUCUCACAAAUCUUAUAUAUCUUGAUGUAAGUGAUAAUAGUCUUAGUGGAAAUAUUCAGAGUGACUUGUGGAAAUAUAACGAUCAUCCAACUUUGGAAUACAUCAAUUUAAGUGGGAACCAUUUUACGGGUAUAGUUUUUCUCUAUAGAUCUUUUCCUUUUCUCAUAUGUAACUAAGCUGGUAAUCUGAUUAUUGCAGUUUUACCAAAGUUUCAACAAUCUUGACAGGUGAGCUUCCAACAACAAUUUGCAAUGUCACUUCCCUUUCGGUUCUUGAUUUGUCAAAUAAUGCGUUAAGUGGUGCACUUCCAAACUGUUUCGGGAAUCUUGCUGAUGGAUUGCUUUACAUUAAUCUUGCUCAUAAUCAGUUUCGAGGAACAAUACCAACUACUUUCUCCAGGAGUUGUCAGCUGACAUAUCUGAACAUGGAUGAUAAUGAGUUUGAAGGAUUGAUGCCCCCAUCUUUGGCGAACUGUAAGCACUUGAAAAUUUUUGAUAUUGGCAAUAAUAAAAUAGGUGGUACAUUUCCGUCAUGGCUUUAUGUACUUGGAGAGCUAGAAGUCCUUGUCUUGAAAUCAAAUAAACUCUAUGGUACAAUAAGUGGAAGGAGCAGUGAAGAUCCCUUCCCCAAGUUGCGGAUUGUGGAUCUGUCCAACAAUCAAUUCACAGGCCAUUUGCCAAUUCAAUACUUUAAGAAUAUGAAAUCAACUGAUAAUUUGUAUCGUUAUCAGAAUGACACAAGAGUUUUUUCUUUCCAUUAUGAAGCAGCAGUCUCAUUAACUGUGAAGGGAACAGAGUAUGAAGUGAAAAAAAUCCUUCAUAUUUACACAACCAUUGAUCUGUCCUGCAACAAAUUUCAAGGAGAAAUUCCAGACGUUAUUGGAGAGCUUAGAUGGCUUGCAUUGCUCAACUUAUCUCAUAAUAGUCUAACAGGACCUAUCCCAUCAUUGCUGAGGAAUAUGAAAGAACUCCAAUCUUUAGAUUUGUCUUCAAAUCAACUGACAGGGGCUAUUCCACCUCAGUUAACUGCAUUGACAUAUCUAGAGGUCUUGAACCUCUCGGGAAACCAUCUUAGUGGAGAGAUUCCUCAGAAAGGACAGUUCAGCACAUUCAACAAUGAUUCUUAUCUUGGAAACUCCGCGUUAUGUGGAUCACCUUUGACGAAGAAAUGUGCAAACACAGCAUCACCUCCACAAGAAGUCGGAAAUGGUGAUGAAGAUGAUGCUGGUGAUGAAUUGACAUGGGAAGCAAUCGUGAUGGGAUAUGGAUGUGGACUGAUAUGUGGAUUGUCAUCUGCAUACAUUGUUCUCAAACUAGGAAAGCCUUGGUGGUUUGUGAGAUAUGUCGAAGUACUGCAACUGAAGUUGAUGAAAAGAUAUGCUUGAAGAAUGGUACUGGCCGAUCAAGACGAACUUGAAAGUUGUUGUCCUUGUGCAUUUCUGAACCAGUUGUGUACUAUUCUCUUUGUGGCUGCAUAAGUAUUUGGUAUUGUGUAAUAUUCUGUUUGGUCUUGAAUCAUAAUGAUUCUUCUUGCUCCAGGGUUAUUAAUAUAAACCUUGGUAUUGUGUGCUAGCUGUAAUAUUCUGUUUGAUCAAUGUUUAUACCAGUAAUUUUAUGCUCCACAGUGCAUCAUGCAGCUCUCAUAUUAUCUCUAUGAUUAACCUGAAUUCAGUUUCAUUUUGUUUCCGAAUCUCAACUACUUCAACUUGAGCUACAAUAGCUUCACUGGUCUAAUACCCCCAGAUAUUGAAAAUUUAACAGAGCUGCAAUACCUUGAUUUUAGCUCUAAUAAACUCACUGGUGCAAUUCCGGACCAGGUAAGCCAUCUUCAAACAUUGCGAACCUUAAACCUGUUGGAUAAUCACUUGGAAGCUCCAAACUGGUCCGCUUUUUCCCCUAUGCCUUCUCUGACAAACCUCUGUCUCAAUAAUAAUAAUCUUUCGUCGAAAUUCCCAGACUUCAUAUCAAAUUGUCGAAACCUGACUUACCUUGAUCUUUCAUUAAACUUGUUAACAGGUGAUUUGGUUCUUGGUAAUACGGAAUCGCUCUAUCACAGAAGUAAUUCUUUUGAGGGGUCAUUUCCACCAAAUAUAUUAAAACUUUCAAAAUUAAGAGUUCUUUCCCUAUCNCUUUCCCUAUCAUAUAAUAGAUUUUCAGGUUCUAUUCCGCAUGAUAUAGGAAUGCUUCGUGUUUUGGAAUCCCUUUUUUUUAGUAGCAGUUCUUUUGAUGGCCUGCUUUCACCAAAUUUAUUUAAGCUUCCAAAAUUAAAAGUUCUUUCCAUGUCAUUUAAUAACUUUUCGGGUUAUAUUCCAAAUGAAAUAGGAUUGCUUCAUGAUUUAGAGUCCCUUUAUUUUAAUGGAAAUUCUUUUGAGGCCGUUUCCACCAAAUAUAUUCAACCUUUCCAAAUUAAAAGUUCUUUACCUCUCAAAUAAUAACUUUUCAGGUUCUAUUCCUAAUGAUAUAAGUGUGCUUCGUGAUCUUGAGAUACUUGAUUUGUCCUCUAAUUCUUUUGAAGGGAUUAUUCCAUUGGAGCUGGGGUUCUUGAAUAAGCUGAGCUAUUUAUAUCUUGAUUCCAAUCAAUUGACUGGACCGCUUUUGAAGAACAUGUAUAAUCUCAGUAAUCUUAUUGAGAUCAACUUUAGUGGAAACCGCUUAACAGGUUUGCUAUUCAUUCUUGUUUUCUUCUUUAUGUAACUUCUUUAUGUAACUUCUUCAAUGCUGAUGAAAUGAUCACGAACCACAAUUUCACCAAAGCUCCUUUAAUUUCAACAGGUGAGUUUUCGACAGCAAUUUACAGAGAGAGAAUUACGAUGUUAUUAGGGAAAUCUAAAGAGAAGGUGCAGAGACCUCGGCAUAAUGAUCCUCCAACCUCUCAUUAACAAUGUCCAGGUUUCUUUAAAAGUAUUAAAUGUUAUUAACAUAGUACUUAAUGGUGUUAUAAAGAGAGUCGUGAUGUAACACUAUAUUUUGUUUACGAGAUAUUUUAAGUGUAAGAAGGUCCAUGCUGAGUUGUGAACAAUUAUUCUCACGUAUAUUAUCAAUGGUGAACAUCUUUAUUAGUAAGAUUGUGCUUUUUAGUUGGAUUGUGGUCCUUCUGUUGCUCCUUGGUAAGAUUUUUCGUCCUAGGUGGGAUUGUUAGGCACAAUGCCAGUCUAAUCAAGUUUGCGAAGGAAGUGUUAAAUACUAGAAUUAUUAAACCUGUAUAUAAAUUUAGAUGUCUGCACAGCGUUGUUACAUUGUCGAGUAGACAACUAAUUUUAAUCUGGUGGCAGGAAAUAGGGAAUCAAGAAGAAGAUGCAGCCAACAAUGAGAAGCUAGAGAAGCAAUUGAACUACUCGAACAAGAGCAAAAGCGGAUAGAAGCAGAACCAGAUGUUAAACUAGAGGCAAAAAAGAGAGCCUCCAACAGGCUUAUUUUAAGGUAAAUUACAAGAAAAGAAAGUCUGCCAUCAAUGUUAGACAAAAAGAUAUGCCGAUGCUCACAGAUAAUAAUAGUAGCAGGCGUACUUACUCUCUCUACAUAUAAUACUGUAACAAAGGUUUUCAAUGAGCCAAUUUAUUCCAACUAAGCAGGCACUAAGCAGCCACGUCAGAUCCACCUUAGCAAUCACUUUGCAUUUGUGAUGAUGAUCACAAUUAAAUCUUUAUCCCAAUGAUUUUUCUAUUAAUCUUUUGUGGAAUUCUAUGUCUGCAGAGAGAGCAAUACGUGUUGGUCAUGGUUUCUAUAAGUGAAGGUGAGACAACAAUGGUGUUCUCUUUGCCUCAAUUACACCCCUAAUUGCUGGCUAUUUGAGCUGCUGAAAGUUUAAUAAUGGCAAUCGUUUGUAGCUCGAAGAGAAUGAUGUAAGAAUUUAAUCUCAAUAGGAAGCUGUAGAACACAACAAUAUUGCAUAUAGAAGCCAUCCAGCUGCACACCCUGAUCACGGAGUUUUUGAGUCUUUAGAAUGCAAAAAUACAAUGCACAUGGGUAUGCCUACAAGUGGAGAUAUUUAGAAAACUGCUUCUUGUGCACAGUUAGUUAAAUAUUUACUAAUAAUAUAUCUUCAAUAACAACAUUACAGCUACAGUUCAGCAAUGAAUGAUCAUCAAAUGGCUUCUGCAGCACCGACACAGAAUGCCAGUGGACUAGUGGAGUAAUUCCAGGGGAUGCUCUGAUCAUAAAUUCUCGCUGGUGAAUUGAAGAAUUGAGCUUGAGCUAAGAAGGUGAUCUGCAUAUAAUCUUUAACCAUUUUCUGAUGGUACAAAUGUUGCUAUUUAAAAAAAUAAAGAUCAAAUAAACAAAUAUUACUUUACUAAUAUUUUACAUAGCUGCUGCUGUCGAAAACUGGAAACUUGUUGUGUAUUAUAAAAAUAGCAAGGAACUGAACUAAAUAAGCGAGGCAGGUAACUAUUGGAACAAACUGGCAUAUACCUUCUCUUUUCUUAUACUUCUUGCUUGGGGGCAAUAAGUCGUCUCUACCAUAAUAAAGUAAAAAGUAGUCAAAUUACAACUCCCUUGGGUUUCCGUUUGAAUUAGGACAUGUGUGGUGCACCAUACUCUCUUGUCAAAUAUUUUGAAGUUUUGCAUAUUGCAGUUUCACUUUUCAAAGAAACCUCUCUGUCAUUGCUAUAUUAGUAUGCGACUGUUAUUUGGAUUAGUUAUGAUCUGUAUCUAAAAUUAAUGGCACAGAUCUUGAUUUCUAGAACACCAGGUAAUAUUCUCAGAAACAGUGAUAUUCUGUUACAAAGUGAUUGUUGUCGACCAUCUUUACACAUUUUUCUUAUUAUUAAAAAAUAAAUUUUAUAAAAUAGAUUUUUAAAAUAUAGAUACUAUUGAUAUGGUCUUUAUAAUAGAUAUUAGAUAUUAAAAUUUUUAUUUAUAAAAAUUUAUGGAUGAGUUAUUGUAAUAACUGAUUGUCGAGAUCCUAGGUUCCUGGCUAAAUAGGAGUCCAUAUAUUUUGUUAUAAUAUAAUCAAAUAUCAAAACAUUCCUAGGAGGUCUAUAAGUUUAUAACGGUCCGAUAAAGGAAACAUGAAUAAAAUUGAUCAAAAUAUUUUGACCAUUUCAGGUGAUAAUGAUCAUAUAAUUUUCAUAUGACAGAACAAUAAGCCGUAGAGUUUGCUUAGGGGAUUAUGUAGGUUGCAGCAAGAUUUUCAAAAUAAAGCUGAUUUAUCAUUCAUAUAUUUUUUUGGUCCUCUUGGUUUAUGAGUGCUCUUUGUAUCUCUUGCUCUUAGCAUGCAUCCCCUCCCUUUAGUAAAUCAGCUUUGUGCUCAAUUACCUAAUUAUAGAUGAUGUUUCCUAAAUGGAAUAUUUCAAUUAAAUAUAUUAAUUGCUAAGCAACAGCCAAUAUGUUGUGUUGGUUAUUAAAUUAUUGUAGGCAUUUAUUCUUACAGAUGGUUUGGAGAUAAUUUCGAGCAAUCUAUGAGUUUGAAUAAUAUGUCUUAACAGUAUAUAGGGCCAUGAGGAGCUUGGCGCUGCCAGCUUGCGCUUGCGGGAAGAUGAAGAUUUUACGAGAUUUAAAAAUAUUGCAACUAUAGAGCUAGGAAGAUAAGAGAUUGGAAGUUGGUAAUUCUCCCCUUUCCCAUCAGAAUUCAAUGACUCUUUGAAACUGUACUUUCGUGAAUUUUGUCUUAAUUUCAUCAGGCGACCAGAACAACUUCAGAGACAUAUGGUGAGUUGUUGUCGAGUAUUUUGAAGAGUAUCGUUCGCAGGGAAGGAUUGAUAUCAAUACCAAUUUCAAGUCUUUUAUCUCUUAUGAUUCAGAAGUGUGGAGAAGAAUUUGGUGGGAUUUUCUAUCAACUAAUUAAUGUAAUAAGUAAAUAAAUAUAAUAAAUAUGAGAGAAAACAACCCAAGAAUUAGAGUUCUUCAAUCGCUAUCAUGAAUGUCUAAUUUGUGUCUCUUGUUUGCUAAAAACAAUCCUUCUAAUAUUAAUAAACUCCUCUCCCAAGGUAGAUUAUAAUGCUUACAAUUAUCCAUUAAAAGCCACUCCCAUGGUCAAUCAAAGAACACUUGUAAACUAUUAAGAACCAAGGAUUUUAAGUCUCACAAUUCUCAUAUCAAUCUCCCGAUCUAAUACUCAAAUUGUGUCCAUCAUAUCAUGUACUAGAAUUAUAACUCCUCUCCCGAUUCGUUAUAACUCCUAGAGAUUCAAUCACAAGUUAGCUACUCCUGUAAUUGUAUAAAGAGCUCAAUGACAGAUUAACAAAUCAAGAGAAAACACAAUCCAACUAAACAAACAUAUUAAGCCAAAGAAUACUACCUAACUCUUGGAUCAAAGGAUUAGCUACUCAUGAUAAGAUGAAACAAAUAUAUAUUUAUACCACAAACCAUGAGCGUAAGAAUUUAAAUACGAAGAAUACAACUUGACGAAAGAGCUUGAAGUCCGGAUGAAUCCCUUCACUCCUUCUUCCAAUAUCUCUCACAAGUGCUUCUCUCCCUUUUCUCUCUAAAAAAGCUAUCUCUAUAUUAUUCUAUAUGAUACAAAGUUAGUUGUCUCUAAUCUCUAUCAAAACCCUAAUAUAUAUAAGAGUUUUCUUAAUUUACAAGAAAAUAAAAUAAUAUCCUAAAACUAGUUGGAUUCUGAUGCUGAAAUUCGUAGGCUUCUGUUCAGGCCUGAUUCUGGGCUGAUCCAGUUGGAUUUUGACAUCUGGACCACCUUAAACUUGUAGAAAAUUCCUAUAUCUUCGCGUGGGCUGUUGAAUCGCCCAAUUCUGACAUCCAGAACUCAAGUUACGGCCCAAACAAGAUUUGCUUCGCUGGCUAUAUAUAAAGUCCGAAUUUCCAUCUAAUUAAGCCCAAAUAAGCUUGAUUUAAUCCAACUUUAGGAAUAUUUAUUUUCCUGCCACUAAACACUUAAAAUCAAUUAGUAAUAACCCGAUUAUUUACAAAAUACUAAAAUUAUGGGAAUAAAAUCAUAUAAAAACAUAUAUAAAUAUAUGCUCUAUCAUGAGUUUUGUGUCCUGCUUCUCAUUUCACAUACAUUGCCUUUUAAGAAGGGUGUUCUUAUAUAAUUUUGGAAGUGCUAUUGCUAAUUUGUUUCAGGUAAUAGCUGCACCGCAUAUAUAAAAUAUACAAAAAAUGUUUUUCCCGGCCUUCUUAAAAGUUUGAAUAAUAUUCCCCCUGUCUUGUGAUUGCAAACAAUAAUUGUUUUUGUAUCCAAGUACUUAAGCUUUUCCAUUAACUUUUUGGAUUUUGAACCAUGAUUGCCAAUGAGCAUUGAUAAUAUAGCCUAGGCCUCGGUCAUUUGAAUUUUUUGGAUAUUGUCUAAAGGCUUUCAAUGUAGUGAUUCUGUGACAACGUUGGACAAUAAUGUGUACAAGCUGGAUUCAGCAGAUUUCUAACAUGUGUUGAUUAUUACUAAUUAUGGAUUUACUGGUAUAGCAAGAAAUUACAGGCCCGAGGUCUUAAAGUUUGGGUGUCAUCACUUUUCUGGUCUACUUGCAAUCUUUUCUUCUUACUACCUCUUCUAGCAGUGUGUAGUUCCACUUUGCUAUUAAAUGAGCAAGUUAAUGACUGUUUAGGGGAUUGAGAUCUGACAAGUCUUGCUACUUUUGAUGGGUUUGAUAGGUUUGAUGAGUGCUUAAGUGAUAUUAAUCACCAAACUUAUGUAUAUGCAUUUUGAUGUGUUGAUUAUUUAGCAUAGUUGCUGCAUAACAAAUAUUAGUUAAAGGAUGAGAUCUUCUAAAAGAAGUCAGAAAUGUAAAAGCCAAUGUCAAAGUGGAUUUGAUCAAAAAGAGAUUCGCAUGCUGAUUAUUACUUUUUUGUGCAGAAAAAAUGUGAUCUCAAACAUCCCCUGGCAAUGAGAUAUAUCGCAGGGCACAUUGUCAAUGUUUUAGAUAUGUUUACAUGUUUAGCUGAUCUGCAAAUUCCUUUACGUCUUGGUUUCUGUCUCAUGUGAUUAUAUUCUCAGCGUUUGGAACUUGGAAUUGCAUAGCUUACCGCCAACACAAUUAUACAACUUCUUUUACUCAGUGAAUGAUGCUACACUUGAGACUUUCAUUAUGAUAUUUAUCUUGAGACACAUGUUCCCCAGUUUUAUAACUGGUAUAUUUGGCCUUGCUUUGUAUUUUUAAAUAUUACUGUUCAAUGGACUUAUACUAAACCCUUGCUUAUAAACAAGUACUCUUCAUCUGUUUGUUUGUUUAACUAUAUGACAUUUUACAUGUUUUUAUAGGUAGAUGGGAAAAAGAAUAAGGUUUAUGGGCAGAAUCUUUGUUAUCUGGAAAAAUUGUUUCUUGAUUACAAAACACUAUAUUAUAACGUCGAUUCACAAUAACUUAAUUGAUCAGCGCUCGGAGUCUCCUUUCUAAUCAAGGCUGUGGAGUGUGGAGGCCUAGGGCCUGAGCAUAUAAGGAUAUUCACAAUAAUUUUUUUUUUUUAUGAAUUUAUUUUCAUAGAUAUUUGUGUGUAGUUCCUUAAAUUGGGAAUACGGCUCGAGAGGAUAAGGGAUUGUUUGGUUGUUUAGUGUGAUUGGUAUUUUACUAGAUCAGAGAGUUUAUUACCACAAGCAUCCUAUGCAUUAACACUUGUCAGCAGCUGAAUUCCUGACAUAACACAUGAAUUCAGAAGACAUGACACAUGAAUUCAGUAUUUGGAAUUUGAUUGAAAUUCUGAAUGAUUUAUUGUUUACCAGAGGUUAUAACCACUACUUGUAUAUGGUAUCGGGUGUGUCCAUCUCCGGAAGAUCUAAUUGGCGUUAUAUGUUAAAUUUUCAAUAAAUAUCUCCGGAAGAUCUAAUUGGCGUUAUAUGUUAAAUUUUCAAUAAAUAUCUCCGGAAGAUCUAAUUGGCGUUAUAUGUUAAAUUUUCAAUAAAUAUCUGGAUGUGUAUUUUUGAUUAUCGAAAGAGUUCCCAUAUUAUUAUGUCGUUUUAUUUUCCUUCACUUUUGGCAGCCCCAAGUGAAAGUGAUGACUAUUGGUACUUGAGUUUUUUUGGCUGAAAUCACUAAUAUAAUUGUUACACUACAACAAAACUGGCAUCAGACAACACUAGUCACACAACGGACGCUGGAAAAAGUGUUGGCCGAAACAAAGACACAACACUUUAUUUUCGUCCUCGAAAAACUAUUGUCUAACACCUACGACCUACAACGGUUAAAAAACUGUUGUCUAAUAAAUUUAAUCAGACAACGGUCUCUUAACUGUGGUAUUGUGUAAUGAUGCACGUUAGACAACUGUUUUUAGAGCCGAUGUGUGAAGAAACUUCAGACAAUAUUCCGAGAAACCGUUGUUGUAAUGAGACAAGUGUUUUAUUUGUUGUGUUGUUUACGAAAAGAUCAGACAAGGGUUCCAUAGAGUGUUGUGUGACUGGGAAGCUAACAUACAAGUGUUUUUGUUAGCAUCGUAUCAUGGCCUUAUAGACAAGCCUUUAGCUAGUAAAACGUUGUCUGACUGAAUGACUUAUAAGAAAAUAAAUGUACAUAAAAGAGUGCAAACAUUCAAAAGUCCUAACCAAAGUUACAAAUAUAUAUUCAUUUUCUUAGUAGUCAUAGGCUUUUCUAGCAUUAGAUCAAGUAUUGAUCAAGGAAAUGCGAAUUUUUAACUCAUAAAAAUGAAAGUUUAUUAUACAACGGUUUUCUUCCCAUAAAUCGUUGUGUCAUUUUCAAUGAUACAACUUAGAUGCUUAUAAAAACCGUUGUGUGUUAGACACUACGGGACAAAAAAUACCUUUUUAUAAUAAGACAAAAUUUACAAUUAACAAGUAAUGUUAAAAAAACAUACAAAAUGAAUAUAAAAAAUUUAGAUUUUUUUUAUACAUGACUAAUAUUGUUAGUUCUCGACAUCCGUACGGUUAGAUCAUCGAAAAAAAUAUUUAAAAAUUAAUAUUAUGCUCAUCUUAUACAUAACAAAGAUUNNNNNNNNNNNNNNNNNNNNNNNNNNNNNNNNNNNNNNNNNNNNNNNNNNNNNNNNNNNNNNNNNNNNNNNNNNNNNNNNNNNNNNNNNNNNNNNNNNNNNNNNNNNNNNNNNNNNNNNNNNNNNNNNNNNNNNNNNNNNNNNNNNNNNNNNNNNNNNNNNNNNNNNNNNNNNNNNNNNNNNNNNNNNNNNNNNNNNNNNNNNNNNNNNNNNNNNNNNNNNNNNNNNNNNNNNNNNNNNNNNNNNNNNNNNNNNNNNNNNNNNNNNNNNNNNNNNNNNNNNNNNNNNNNNNNNNNNNNNNNNNNNNNNNNNNNNNNNNNNNNNNNNNNNNNNNNNNNNNNNNNNNNNNNNNNNNNNNNNNNNNNNNNNNNNNNNNNNNNNNNNNNNNNNNNNNNNNNNNNNNNNNNNNNNNNNNNNNNNNNNNNNNNNNNNNNNNNNNNNNNNNNNNNNNNNNNNNNNNNNNNNNNNNNNNNNNNNNNNNNNNNNNNNNNNNNNNNNNNNNNNNNNNNNNNNNNNNNNNNNNNNNNNNNNNNNNNNNNNNNNNNNNNNNNNNNNNNNNNNNNNNNNNNNNNNNNNNNNNNNNNNNNNNNNNNNNNNNNNNNNNNNNNNNNNNNNNNNNNNNNNNNNNNNNNNNNNNNNNNNNNNNNNNNNNNNNNNNNNNNNNNNNNNNNNNNNNNNNNNNNNNNNNNNNNNNNNNNNNNNNNNNNNNNNNNNNNNNNNNNNNNNNNNNNNNNNNNNNNNNNNNNNNNNNNNNNNNNNNNNNNNNNNNNNNNNNNNNNNNNNNNNNNNNNNNNNNNNNNNNNNNNNNNNNNNNNNNNNNNNNNNNNNNNNNNNNNNNNNNNNNNNNNNNNNNNNNNNNNNNNNNNNNNNNNNNNNNNNNNNNNNNNNNUUUUUUUAUACGUGACUAAUAUUGUUAGUUCUUGACAUCCGUACGGUUAGAUCAUUGAAAUAAAUAUUUAUGAAUUAAUACACAACUAAUUGAAUACAUAACAAAGAUUAUAUCUACUACUUUUUAAAUUGUAAACAUAAAACACAUACUAAUACAUGCGUCCGAAGUACAAAAUUGUCUCGGUUUUACACAUGAACAAUACAUAUUUGCAUAUAUACAUAACAUAAAUAUAUUUUUUUAAUACAAAGAGUGCAAAAACAAGAAUUAAUCAAGGAAAUGCGAAUUUUUAACUCAUAAAAAUUACCUUUUUAUAAUAAGAAAAAUUUUANACGAUUGACUAGUGUUGUUAAAAACCGUUGUCUGAUGCUGUUUUUGUUGUAGUGUUAUAUUAAAUUCUUGUGCUAAAACUUGUAUGGUUUGCCCCGCCCGCGGCUUCAAACAGCCAACAAGGUAAGCUAUUAUACUCAGGGGACCGAAAAAGGUAACAAAUGCAUAAACGAUUAGCUUUUCUUCUUUGCUGCAUAGUUUUUUUUUUUUUGUCAGGUUCUUUGCUGCAUAGUUAAUAACAAAUAACAUGAUCUCAAAAAAAAAAAAGAGGCGCGUACUAUGAAUGUAAAAAUAACAAUUUCAAUACUCUUUUUCACUAUAGAAAAACAAAAUUAUUGUGCUAGAUCUUUGCCCGUGCCUUGCACGGGCUUUAAAGCUAGUUUUUUAUUAAUAUGUGAAACUCCAAUAUAUAUUAUUAUACGAUAUAUUAUGAAAACACUAUGUUUUGUAAUGUUCAUCUUAUCCUACCAGAAAAAUUACAUCGCUAACAAAAUUAUAUCAAUUUUAUUUUAUAAACUCAAAUAAUUUAAUUUAUGAAACAACUCUAUGAGAUUCUUAUCAUGAGUUAGAAUUCAAAUAAAUAAAGAGUUCAUAUUGAUAAGUGGAAUUGAUGUGCAAGUAAGGGGUAUAAAAAAAUCUCAAAAUAACUCCAAAAAGCACAUGACAUGUUUGAUUUGAUAGAACUGGUACAUAAACAGGGGGACCAUUAUAUUUAUAAGCAAGUGACCAACAAUAGUUUACUACUGAUAUUUUGUGAUAUUUUUUGUGAUAUUUUUUGAGACCUUUAACAUUAUUCUGUGAAGUGGUAUACUACUGUUACUAGUUCUGAAACUUCAAACAAAGUAGGCGCAACAUUGUAAGAGUGAUUAAUAAAGUUGAGAAACAGUGUGUACAUUGAGCAGUAUGACAAUCAGGUUCAGCAUAUAAUACAAUCAGAUUCACAAUCAGGUUCACGAGAAACAUGCUGCAUUCCAAAAAGCCUUAUUAUCUUCUUCACUAAAUAACAAGGCAAAUACAGCAUAUAAAUACAAGUUAUAAGUACAAGUGUGGUAUUAGAUUCAUAACCCAGUUGAGGAGAAACAUGGCACACUUUGUAAGGCCUUCUCACCUUCUUCUCUUUGUUUUCUUUCUCUCAUCACUCGAAUCCAUUCUUGCAACAAGACAAGAGGGGGAAGCUCUUGUGAAGUGGAAGAAUAGCCUAGCCCCUUCUUCUUUUCUCCACUCUUGGUCACUCACCAAUCUCGAAAAUCUUUGUAAAUGGACUGGCAUUACUUGUAACUCUGCAGGUUCAGUCUCUGAGAUUAACCUUUGUGAGAAACAACUUGAUGGAAUGCUGUCCGAGUUCGGUUUCACUUCAUUUCCAAAUCUCAAGAAUCUCACCCUGGCAGACAACUUCUUCUCAGGUCCAAUACCACCAGCCAUUGAGAAUUUAACACAGCUUCAAUAUCUUGAUUUAAGCAUGAAUAGUCUUAAUGGUCCCAUUCCGUUCCAGGUUAGCCAUCUUCAGAGCUUGCUCAUCUUGAACCUGUCACAGAAUGCAUUGCAAGCUCCAAAUUGGUCCCAUUUCUCUCCCAUGCCUUUCUUGCGCAUCCUCGACCUUAGUUUUAAUAAUCUUGUGUCGAAAUUCCCAGAAUUUAUAUCCAAUUCUCAUAGCCUGACUCACCUUAACCUUUCAAAUAACAAGUUUACUGGUCAUCUUGUGCAUAAAUUUACCAAUCUACAAAAUCUUGAAACCCUCUACCUUCAGAUCAAUUCUUUUGAGGGGCCGUUUCCACCAGAUAUAGUCCAGCUUUCCAAAUUAAAACGACUCUCCCUGUCAUGUAACAAAUUUUCAGGUUCAAUUCCCAAUGACGUAAGGUUGCUUUUUGGUCUUGAAUCCCUAAAUUUAGGCAACAAUUCCUUUGAAGGACCGCUUCCACCAGAUAUAUUCAAGCUUUCAAAGUUAAAACGACUUGUUCUUUGGAGUAAUAAGUUUUCAGGUUCUGUUUCCAAUGAUAUAGGUUUGCUUUCUGAGCUUGAAACCCUCCAUCUUUACUCUAAUUUUUUUGAGGGGCCACUUCCGCCAAAUUUAUUCAAGCUCUCCAAACUAAAAGAUCUCACCCUGUCAAGUAACAAAUUUUCAGGUUCAAUUCACAAUGAUAUAAGGUUACUUUGUGAUCUUGAAGACCUAUAUUUAGCUAACAAUUCCUUUGAAGGACCGCUUCCACCAGAUAUAUUCAAGCUUUCAAGAUUAAAACGUCUUUUUCUUUAGAGUAAUAAGUUUUCAGGUUCUGUUUCCAAUGAUAUAGGUUUGCUUUCUGAGCUUGAAAGCCUCGAUCUUAACUCCAAUUUUUUUGAGGGGCCGCUUCCGCCAAAUGUAUUCAAGCUCUCCAAACUAAAGAUUCUUUCCCUUUAUGAGAAUAACUUUUCAGGUUUUAUUUCUAAGGAUAUAGGUUUGCUUUCUGGACUUGAAACCCUCUAUCUUGACUCUAAUUUUUUUGAGGGUCCGCUUCCCCCACAUAUAUUUAGGCUGUCCAAAUUAAGAGAUCUGGACCUCUCAUACAGUAGAAAUUUAUUUGAAGGAAGUAUUCCUAUUGGACUGGGACUCUUGACUAACCUCAGGUACUUAGAUCUAUAUUCCAAUAAUCUCAGUGGCUAUAUUCCAUCUGACAUUGGAAACCUGAAGCUACUAGAAGGUCUUAUUCUCGGUUCUAAUAAAUUGACUGGACCAGUUUCAAAGAUCAUUUCUAAUCUCACAAAUCUUAUAUAUCUUGAUGUAAGUGAUAAUAGUCUUAGUGGAAAUAUUCAGAGUGACUUGUGGAAAUAUAACGAUCAUCCAACUUUGGAAUACAUCAAUUUAAGUGGGAACCAUUUUACGGGUAUAGUUUUUCUCUAUAGAUCUUUUCCUUUUCUCAUAUGUAACUAAGCUGGUAAUCUGAUUAUUGCAGUUUUACCAAAGUUUCAACAAUCUUGACAGGUGAGCUUCCAACAACAAUUUGCAAUGUCACUUCCCUUUCGGUUCUUGAUUUGUCAAAUAAUGCGUUAAGUGGUGCACUUCCAAACUGUUUCGGGAAUCUUGCUGAUGGAUUGCUUUACAUUAAUCUUGCUAAUAAUCAGUUUCGAGGAACAAUACCAACUACUUUCUCCAGGAGUUGUCAGCUGACAUAUCUAAACAUGGAUAAUAAUGAGUUUGAAGGAUUGGUGCCCCCAUCUUUGGCGAACUGCAAGCACUUGAAAAUUCUUGAUAUUGGCAAUAAUAAAAUAGGUGGUACAUUCCCGUCAUGGCUUUAUGUACUUGGAGAGCUAGAAGUCCUUGUCUUGCGAUCAAAUAAACUCUAUGGUACAAUAAGUGGAAGGAGCAUAGAAGAUCCCUUCCCCAAGUUGCGGAUUGUGGAUCUGUCCGAUAAUCAAUUCACAGGCCAUUUGCCAAUUCAAUACUUUAAGAAUAUGAAAUCAACUGAUAAUAUGUAUAAUUAUCUGAAUUCCACAGGAGGAAUAUAUUUCACUUAUGAAGCAGCAGUCUCAUUAACUGUGAAGGGAACAGAGUAUGAAGUGACAAAUAACCUUCAUAUUUACACAGCUAUUGAUCUGUCGUGCAACAAAUUUCAGGGUGAAAUUCCAAAAAUUAUUGGAGAGCUUAGAUGGCUUGCAUUGCUCAAUUUAUCGCAUAAUAGUCUGACAGGACAUAUCCCAUCAUUUCUGAGAAAUAUGAAAGAACUCCAAUCUUUAGAUUUGUCCUCAAAUCAACUGACAGGGGCCAUUCCACCUCAGUUAACUGCAUUGACAUUUCUAAAGGUCUUAAAUCUCUCGAAAAACCAUCUCAGUGGAGAGAUUCCUCAGGAAGGACAGUUCAGCACAUUCAACAAUGAUUCUUAUCUAGGAAACUCCGCGUUAUGUGGAUUACGUCUGACAAAGAAAUGUGCAAACACAGCAGGGAUUCCUCAGAAAGGACAGUUCAGCACAUUCAACAAUGAUUCUUAUAUAGGAAACUCCGCGUUAUGUGGAUCACCUUUGACGAAGAGAUGUGCAAACACAGCAUCACCUCCACAACAAGUCGGAAAUGGUGAUGAAGAUGAUGCGGGAGAUGAAUUGAGAUGGGAAGCAAUCGUGAUGGGAUAUGGAUGUGGACUGAUAUGUGGAUUGUCAUCUGCGUACAUUGUUCUCAAACUAGGAAGGCCUUGGUGGGUUGUGAGAUAUGUCGAAGUACUGCAACUGAAGUUGAUGAAAAGAUAUGCUUGAAGAAUGGAACUGGCCGAUCAAAACGAACUCGAAAGCAGUUGUCCUUGUGGACAUUUCUGAACCAGUAGUGUACUAGCUGCAUAAGUAUUUGGUAUUAUGUAAUAAUCCACAUAUUCAAUAUCACACUCUUCCUGUGAGGAAACAAAUAUGGAGAAACAUUUCUAUUUACAAAACUUUUACCAUUAUACACUCUUAUAGUACUGGUUAAUAGUUUGUUGUUCAGCCUAGUCCUAAACUGAAAUUAUCAGUUCUAUGUGAGUAUGCUUUCAAAUAAGAAUUAGGUGAUCUGCCUAGUCCAAAACUACUCUAAUACUAUAUCGCUGGUAGUCUUUCAGUUCAUCCUAUUGUAUACAAUAGUUUCUUCCUUUGACACAAAAAUGUCUGCAGUCAGUGUCACCACCACAGGAAGUCGAAAAUGGUGAUGAAGAUUGAUUUGCGGAUUGUCUUAUGGGUACAUUUUUUUCAAAAAAGGAAGGCCUUGGUGGUUUGUGAGAUACAUCGAAGUGCUGCAACUUAAGUUGAUGUUACCAAGAAUGAAAAAUAUUGUUCGACCAAGAUCAACAACUUGAAAAUGUGUUCUGAAUCUGUAAUAAUAUUAAAAUAUUAAAAUAUUAUUCAUUUAACAAUAUCGUCCAAUCAAUUUAAUUGAUUAUCAUUUAAUCAAUAUAUAUAGAUGGAUAUUAAUUGUCUUCCCUAGCUCCAACCAAUGAUGAAAUAACCUCCCUAUAAAUCUAUUGAGUCAAAAUUGCAAACAACACUUUCAAAACAUAGGUGCCGAAUAGUCCUUAUUUUAAAUUAAUCAGAAUUGAAUAUUUGAUGGCGCUAAAAAAAUCUGUUGAAAUUAGCAGUUUAUAAGGCAUAUAAAUAGAAGUGUGCGUUACUUUAAGGAUUCAUGAUCAAGUUGAGGAGAAAUAUGCACAGUAUAUAAAGCCUCAUCAUCUUUUUCUCUUUGUUUUCUUUCUCUCAUUACUCCCAUCCAUUCUUACAACACUAGCUGAAACAAGACGAGAGGGAGAAGCUCUUGUGAAAUGGAAGAAUAGCCUAGCCCCUUCUUCUUUUCUCGACUCUUGGUCCCUCACCAAUCUCGAUAAUCUUUGUAACUGGACUGGCAUUACUUGUAACUCUGCAGGUUCAGUCUCUAAGAUUAACCUUUUUGAGAAACAACUUGAUGGAAUGUUGUCCGAGUUUGGUUUCACCUCAUUUCCACAUCUCAACAAUCUCACCCUUGCAGACAACUACUUCUCGGGUCCGAUACCACCAGCCAUUGAGAAUUUAACACAGCUUCAAUUUCUUGAUUUGAGCAAUAAUUAUCUAGAUGGUCCCAUUCCUUUCCAGGUUAGCAAUCUUCAGAGGUUGCUCAUCUUAAACCUGUCACAGAAUGCAUUGCAAGCUCCAAAUUGGUCCCAUUUCUCUCCCAUGCCUUUUUUGCGCAUCCUCAACCUCAGUAGCAAUCCUCUAGCGUCGAAAUUCCCAAAUUUCAUAUCCAAUUCUCAUGGCCUGACUCACCUUAGCCUUAAUUAUAACGAGUUUACUGGUGAUUUAGUACGUGAAUCAAUAUUUGCCAAUCUGCAUAAUCUUGAAGUCCUCGGUCUUGUUGACAAUUCUUUUGAGGGGCCAUUUCCCCCGGAUAUAUUCAGGCUCUCCAAAUUAAAACGUCUCUCCCUGUCAGGUAACAAAUUUUCAGGUUCAGUUCCCAAUGACAUAAGGUUGCUUUGUGAUCUUCAAUCUCUAUAUUUAGCUAACAAUUCCUUUGAAGGACCGCUUCCACCAAAUAUAUUCAAGCUUGCAAAAUUAAAAGAUCUUGCUCUUUGGGGUAAUAAGUUUUCAGGUUCUGUUUCCAAUGAUAUAGGUUUGCUUUCUGUGCUUGAAAUUCUCAAUAUUCACUCUAAUUUUUUUGAGGGGCCCCUUCCGCCAAAUAUAUUCAAGCUCUCCAAAAUAAGGUUUCUUUACCUCGGGGGUAAUAACUUUUCUGGUUCCGUUUCCAAUGAGAUAGGUUUGCUUUCUGAGCUUGAAUCCCUAUAUCUUGGUUCUAAUGUUUUUGAGGGGCCGCUUCCACCAAAUAUAUUCAAGCUUUCCAAAUUAAAAUGGCUUGACCUCGCAGACAAUAGAAAUUUAUUUGAAGGAAGUAUUCCUAUUGGACUGGGACUCUUGACUAACCUCAGCUACUUAGAUCUAAGUUCCAGUAAUCUCAGUGGCUAUAUUCCAUCUGUCAUUGCAAACCUGAAGCUACUAGUAUUUCUUGAUCUCAGUUCUAAUCAAUUGACUGGACCACUUUCGAAGAUCGUUUCUAAUCUCACAAAUCUUAUACUUCUUGGUGUGGAUUAUAAUAGUCUUAGUGGAAAUAUUCAGAGUGAUUUGUGGAAGAACUCUAUAUCCUUACGUUACAUUGAUUUUGAAAAUAAUUAUUUUUCUGGAAACAUUCCUGAGGAAUAUAACGAUCAUCCAACUUUGGAAUACAUCAAUUUAAGUGGGAACUAUUUUACAGGUAUAUUUUCUUAAUAUAUCUUUUCCUUUUGUCAUAUAUAUGUAACUAAGCUAGUAAUCUGAUUAUUGCAGUUUUACCAAAGUUUCAACAAUCUUGACAGGUGAGCUUCCAACAACAAUUUGCAAUGUCACCUCCCUUUCGGUUCUUGUUUUGUCAAAUAAUAAAUUAAGUGGUGCACUUCCAAACUGUUUCGGGAAUCUUGCUGAUGGAUUGCUUUACAUUAAUCUUGCUAAUAAUCAGUUUCAAGGAACAAUACCAACUACUUUCUCCAGGAGUUGUCAGUUGACAUAUCUAAACAUGGUUAAUAAUGAGUUUGAAGGAUUGAUGCCCCCAUCUUUAGCGAACUGUAAGCACUUGAAAAUUCUUGAUAUAGGCAAUAAUAAAAUAGGUGGUACAUUUCCGUCAUGGCUUUAUGCACUUGGAGAGCUAGAAGUUCUUGUCUUGCGAUCAAAUAAACUCUAUGGUACAAUAAGUGGAAGGAGCAUAGAAGAUCCCUUCCCCAAGUUGCGGAUUGUGGAUCUGUCCAACAAUCAAUUCACAGGCCAUUUGCCAAUUCAAUACUUUAAGAAUAUGAAAUCAAAUGAUAAUUUGUAUCGUUAUCUGAAUUCCACAGGAGAAAUAUAUAUCUCUUAUGAAGCAGCAGUCUCAUUAACUGUGAAGGGAACAGAGUAUGAAGUAGCAAAGAACCUUCAUAUUUACACAGCCAUUGAUCUGUCGUGCAACAAAUUUCAGGGAGAAAUUCCAAAGGUUACCGGAGAGCUUAGAUGGCUUGCAUUGCUCAAUUUAUCUCAUAAUAGUCUAACAGGACCUAUCCCAUCAUUGCUGGGAAAUAUGAAAGAACUCCAAUCUUUAGAUUUGUCCUCAAAUCAACUGACAGGGGCUAUUCCACCUCAGCUAACUGCAUUGACAUUUCUAGAGGUCUUGAACCUCUCGGGAAACCAUCUUAGUGGAGAGAUUCCUCAGAAAGGACAGUUCAGCACAUUCAACAAUGAUUCUUAUCUAGGAAACUCCGCGUUAUGUGGAUCACCUUUGACGAAGAAAUGUGGAAACACUGUAUCACCUCCACAGGAAGUCGGAAAUGGUGAUGAAGAUGAUGCGGGUGAUGAAUGGACAUGGGAAGCAAUCGUGAUGGGAUAUGGAUGUGGACUGAUAUGUGGAUUGUCAUCUGCGUACAUUGUUCUCAAACUAGGAAAGCCUUGGUGGUUUGUGAGAUAUAUCGAAGUACUGCAACAGAAGUUGAUGAAAAGAUAUGCAUGAAGAAAGGUACUGGUAGAUCAAGAUGAAAAGAUAUGAAGAAGUAUUUGGUAUUAUGUAAUAAUCCGUUUGGUCGGGACUCAAAAUGAUUUCUCUUGCUUCAGGGGUAUUAAUAUUAACCUUGCUAUCUUGUUCAAUGUUAAUGCAAAUUAAAAAGAAUAUAAAAGCAAAAAAUUUGCAUCAAACACCUGUUGUACCAACAUGCAUCCAUUAAUUUGCUUUCAUCUAUUAAGUAACAAUUUAAGAGCGCUUCCACUCUGUUUAAGCAUGGAGAUUACACAAAGAAGGCAAGUCCAUGGAUUAACACGUAGUCCACAUCUAUGCUACGAACAAUUCACAUUGAUCUUAUAUCUGUUCAACAGUCUCCCGAAGAUAGGCCAUAAAUGUCAUCUGUGGCUCUUAUGUUUGUCAGUAAAGGAGAAUCUCUGAUGCCUAUAACCUGGUUUUCUUACAAGAUGCCCAGGUUAUCAUGGCCAUGCAGAAAAAUGCCCAAAAAUGAAUAGCUCAGGUCUCCCCAAGCCUUCCAGGACUCAUUCCAAGUCUUCGGAGGACCACUGCCUCCCCCUUUCAAAGAUGUGAUUGUAGCUCGAAAGUGAUAUAAAUUAUUUUCCCCACAUUAAAAAUAAAAAAUCAGAUUAAAUUAAUCAAUAAUAAAUUAAGGAUGAAAUCCAAAUUAAUCCUAAAUUUUGAUAAUAUAUAAAAAUUAUAAUUAUAAAUUAUAUAACCAAAUCAGAAUUGAAUUAACUUACUUGGCACUAGAAUUGCUAAAGACAGUAUAAUAAUUUAAUUGAUGAAAAGUCAAAGUCUUCUAAUAAAUCCAUAAAGAAUAUGAUAAUAUGAAAAUUAUAAUUGAAAAAUCAAAAUCAAUAGUGUAUUGGAAUAGUGUUCACACACUUAUAUAUCAAAAUUUGUGGUCCAAAAACUAUAGCACAAUAUCCUAAAUACAUCACAUUAAAUAAUAGCACAAAAAUAUUCAAUAAAUAAUUGAUUUCAUUCAUAAAUUUGUUAUUUUAAAAACUAAUAAUUUGGUUGAUGUUAACCUAUAUUUUAUAUAUAAUUUCGUCUUAUUUUAUUUUACUAGAAACAAUAUUUUUAUAAUAUUUAUUACAUUAAAUAUAUUAAAAGAUAUAAUUUUAUUAAAAAAAUUGAAUAAAAUUAAAAGGAUAAGUCUCGGCCUCUCCAAGUCUACAAGACUCAUUUCAAGUCCACCGAGGGCCUCAACCAUUGAGAGAUGUGAAAGUAGCUUGAGAGUGAUAUAAAUUAAUUAAAUUAGUUAAUAAUGAAUCAAGACUAAUCAUGAAUUAUGAUAAUAAUUAAAUAAAUUAUAAAAUUAAAUUAUACAAAUAACACUAAACCUUAGUUACUUUAUUGGUAAAAUAAAUAUAAUAUAAUAAUUAAAUUGAUGAAAAAUCAAAAUCAUCUAAUAAAUUCACAAAAAAUAUAUGAUCAUUAGUAUAUUAUAUUAGUAUCCACACACUUAUAUUUCAAAUCUAUCCUCCAAAAUUAUCAUCUCGAUAAACUAGCCGCAUAAAAUAAAAAUUUAACGAUAUUAGAUAUUUAGCUAUUUUCAUUAUAUAAUUUUUCCACACUAAAUAACAAAAUAUCUUUAUCAAAUUAUUAUUUAUGAAUUAAAUAUUCAAGUUAUAAUUCCAGCAUGCAGCGUAUAAAUAGAAGUGUGCAGUAUGAUAUCAGAUUCAUAACCCAGUUGAGGAGAAACAUGGCACACUCUGUAAAGCCUUCUCACCUUCUUCUCUUUGUUUUCUAUCUCUCUUAACUUGAAUACAUUCUUGCAACAACACAAGAGGGAGAAGCUCUUGUGAAAUGGAAGAAUAGCCUAGCCCCUUCUUCUUUUCUCGACUCUUGGUCACUCACCAAUCUCGAUGAUCUUUGUAACUGGACUGGCAUCACUUGUAACUCUGCAGGUUCAGUCUCUCAGAUCAACCUUUUCGAAAAACAACUUGAUGGAAUGCUGUCCGAGUUUGGUUUCACUUCAUUUCCGAAUCUCAACAAUCUCACCCUCGCAUACAACUUCUUCUCGGGUCCGAUACCACCGGCCAUUGAGAAUUUAACACAGCUUCGGUAUCUUGAUUUAAGCUUUAAUUCUCUCCAUGGUCCCAUUCCGUUCCAGGUUAGCCAUCUUCAGAGCUUGCUCAUCUUAAACCUGUCACAGAAUGCAUUGCAAGCUCCAAAUUGGUCCCAUUUCUCUCCCAUGCCUUUUUUGCGCAUCCUCAACCUCAUUAGCAAUCCUCUUGCGUCGAAAUUCCCAAAUUUUAUAUCCAACUCUCAUAGCCUGACUCACCUUAGCCUUAAUUUUAAUGAGUUUACUGGUGAUUUAGUACGUGAAUCAGUAUUUGCCAAUCUGCAUAAUCUUGAAUUGCUCAGUCUCGUUGAAAAUUCUUUUGAGGGGCCAUUUCCGCCGGAUAUAUUCAGGCUUUCCAAAUUAAAACAUCUUCACCUGUCAAGUAACAAAUUUUCAGGUUCAAUUUCCAAUGACAUAAGGUUGCUUUGUGAUCUUGAAUCCCUAUAUUUAGGCAACAAUUCCUUCGAAGGACCCCUUCCAUCAAAUAUAUUCAAGCUUUCAAAAUUAAAAAAUCUUGUUAUUGGGAGUAAUAAGUUUUCGGGUUCUGUUUCCAACGAUAUAGGUUUGCUUUCUGAGCUUGAAAGCCUCUAUCUUGACUCCAAUUUUUUUGAGGGGCCGCUUCCGUCAAAUAUAUUCAAGCUCUCCAAAUUAAGGAUUCUUUCCCUUUGGCAUAAUAACUUUUCAGGUUCUAUUUCUAAGGAUAUAGGUUUGCUUUCUGGACUUGAAACCCUCUUUCUUGACUCUAAUUUUUUUGAGGGUCCGCUUCCCCCGCAUAUAUUUAGGCUCUCCAAAUUAAGAGAUCUGGGUCUCUCAGACAAUAGAAAUUUAUUUGAAGGGAGUAUUCCUAUUGGACUGGGACUCUUGACUAACCUCAGGUACUUAGAUCUAUAUUCCAAUAAUCUCGGUGGUUAUAUUCCAUCUGACAUUGGAAACCUGAAGCUACUAGAAGUUCUUGAUCUCAGUUCUAAUCAAUUGACUGGACCGCUUUUAAAGAUUGUUUCUAAUCUCACAAAUCUUAUGUUUCUUGAUGUAAGACAAAAUAGUCUUAGUGGAAAUAUUCAGAGUGACUUGUGGAAAUAUAACGAUCAUCCAACUUUGGAAUUCAUCAAUUUAAGUGGGAACCAUUUUACGGGUAUAGUUUUUCUCUAUAAAUCUUUUCUUUUGUCAUAUGUAACUAAGCUAGUAAUCUGAUUAAUUGCAGUUUUACCAAAGUUUCAACAAUCUUGACAGGUGAGCUUCCAACAACAAUUUGCAAUGUCACUUCCCUUUCAAUUCUUGAUUUGUCAAAUAAUGGAUUAAGUGGUGCACUUCCAAACUGUUUCGGGAAUCUUGCAGAUAGAUUGCUUUUCAUUAAUCUUGCUAAUAAUCAGUUUCGAGGAACAAUACCAACUACUUUAUCCAAAAGUUGUCAGCUGACAUGUCUAAACAUGGAUAAUAAUGAGUUUGAAGGAUUGUUACCCCCAUCUUUGGCGAACUGUAAGCACUUGAGAAUUCUUGAUAUUGGCAACAAUAAAAUAGGUGGCACAUUUCCGUCAUUGCUUUAUGUACUUGGAGAGCUAGAAGUCCUUGUCUUGCGAUCAAAUAAACUCUGCGGUACAAUAAGUGCAAGGAGCAUAGAAGAUCCCUUCCCCAAGUUGCGGAUUGUGGAUCUGUCCAACAAUCAGUUCACAGGCCAUUUGCCAAUUCAAUACUUCAAGAAUAUGAAAUCAACUGAUAAUUUGUAUUGGUAUCGUAUUUCCACAGGAGAAUUAUUUUUCCAAUAUGAAGCAGCAGUCUCAUUAACUGUGAAGGGAAGAGAGUAUGAAGUAGCAAAUAACCUUCAUAUUUACACAGCCAUUGAUCUGUCGUGCAACAAAUUUCAGGGAGAAAUUCCAACGGUUACUGGAGAGCUUAGAUGGCUUGCAUUGCUCAAUUUAUCUCAUAAUAGUCUAACAGGACCUAUCCCAUCAUUGCUGAGAAAUAUGAAAGAACUCCAAUCUUUAGAUUUGUCCUCGAAUCAACUGACAGGGGCUAUUCCACCUCAGUUAUCUGCAUUGACAUUUCUAGAGGUCUUGAACCUCUCGAAAAACCAUCUUAGUGGAGAGAUUCCUCAGAAAGGACAGUUCAGCACAUUCAACAAUGAUUCUUAUCUAGGAAACUCCGCGUUAUGUGGAUCACCUUUGACGAAGAAAUGUGCAAACACAGCAUCACCUCCACAAGAAGUCGGAAAUGGUGAUGAAGAUGAUGCUGGAGAUGAAUUGACAUGGGAAGCAAUCGUGAUGGGAUAUGGAUGUGGACUGAUAUGUGGUUUGUGAGAUAUAUCGAAGUACUGCAACAGAAGUUGAUGAAAAGAUAUGCAUGAAGAAUGAUACUGGCCGAUCAAGACGAACUUGAAAGUUUGUUGUCCUUGUGGACAUUUCAGCUGAACCAGUAGUGUACUAUUCUCUUUGUGACUGCAUAAGUAUUUUGUAUUGUGUAAUGUUCUGUUUGGGCUUAAAUCAUAAUGAUUUUUCUUGCUUCAGGGGUAUUAAUAUAAAACCGUUUGGUCGGGACUCAUAAUGAUUUCUCUUGCUUCAGGGGUAUUAAUAUCAUCCUUGCUAUCUUGAACAAUGAUAAUGCAAAUUAAAAAGAAUGAAAAAACAAAAAUAUUGCAUCAAACACCUGUUGUACCAAGAUCCAUUAAUUUGCUUUCAUCUCUUACGCAACAAUUUAACAGCACUUCCACACUGUUUGAAAGAUUAUCAUAAAUUCGAGUUUUCCUCUCCAGCACCAAAUCCAAAUUAAUAUACAAUGCCACACAUUCCAGUCUCAGCUUCAGCUCCCAGGGUAGCAUUCAUUUAGCCAAGCACGACAGUGGCCGCUUACGUGCCUAACAAUAACAGUUGGGGAUUUGAGUGAACUUGCCUUGGUCCUGCCUUCAAAUGUCUGACAAUAACAGUUGGAUAUGUCGACAAAAAAAUUGUUCCUCACAGAGGAGCUAAUAGCAAUUGACUUCGAAUAAAUCCGACAGUUCUUUUCAUCCAGUUAUUAUUUCAGCAAUAUGUCUAGCAAAUAUGUAGUGCACUGGACACCAUACUACCAACACAAGUAGUAAAAGGAGAGACCAUUGUUUCGAAUGCUCGGAAAUUUGAACAGGGUUUUUUCCACCUGCCCCCUGACUUUUUACACAAACAGGUCAAGAAAAACAGAAGCCGGCUUCUGGAAAAAUGAAGCACUACUUUAUGAGUGACCAUUGUUUUGAAUGCUCGGAGAUGUGAAGUGGAUUUUUUCAGCCUGCCCCCAGACUUCUUUUUGUAAAACUAGAUUUCUUUAGCUCCGGUGUCUUAGUAUUGGAGAUUAUGAGUGACUGUAGAAAAGACUUUAAUAUGAGUGUGAGAUAUACCCCGGUGGAAACAGGACCUUGAUCCAAAGGGUCACGGGUUCAAACCUCACCUGAUCGGGUUCCACUCCACGCUCGGUCCACAUCUAUGCUGGAUUCAUAUUAAAAUGAUAAUGGAACACGGGCGUCCAUGGUUGGGGAUAUCAUAUUAAAAAGAUUAGCUGGGCACAGAUGAAUAUUUAUAUGGAUUUUAAAAACAAACUAUGACUUAAUAUAAGAAAAAUCAUUAUUUUUUAUUUUUCCGACUAAACAUUUGUUAGCCUUCUCUGGUGCCCAUCCAAAUCAUUCAGCGGGUUCUACUUUCAGCUCAUCACAAGAACAUCAUUCUGCAGGUACUUUCUUAUAUUGUUUGCCAGCGGUGACCGAGCCAGAAACUUUUUCGAGGAGGGGCCGGAAUAGAAAUAUUAUUUAAAUUUGAAAAUAUUAUAUAUCAUAUUGAAAAUAGUAUUAGUAACAAAAAUCCAUUUAUUUUAGGUUUCUAUGAGAAAACUCAGUCGUUUCAUUAAGAAAAUUUAAUUACUUAAUUACCAAACGGUUGAGGAUGAAGAUUUGAAAGAACGAGUUGCAACGGGGAGACUCAUAGACGCGACAGAAAAAAAUAGAAAAAGAUAUUGUUCAACAACCGAGUCUAUAUUAUUAAAAUUUAUGAUAAAUGAGAUAAUUUUAUUUUAUAAACUAACUAAAUACAUAUAAUAUAGUAUUAUAUGUAAUGCUACGUAAAAUUGGAUACAAGAUUUUGCACAAAAUGAUAUGAUAACUAAAGUGAAAUAUUUUAAUUGGUGCUAUUAAUGUAUAUAUACAUUUAUUACAAUUAAAACUUAACACAUAUUAUUAAUUUUGUGAAUAAAAUAUUUUUCUUAAUAAUAUAUAAGUAAAAAAAAUAAAAAUCUAGGAGGGGCUCAGGCCCCCUCUGGACCCCUCUAGCUCCGUCUGUAUACACCUAUCAUAUUAUUGACAGGUGGCUCUCUCAUAUUGCUCACAGGCGAACUCCUGCAUAUACUUUGUGAACCAAUCAUGACAAAAAUAUCAUCAUCCAAUCAAUUCGAUUAAUUAUUCUUUAAAUCAGUACAAAUAUUGUUAAAUAUAUGGAUGAUUAUCGUGUUUCCGCGAACCAAUCAUGAAAUGAAAUUACCUCUGUAUAAAUCCAUCGGAAAUAAGACAAUUAAUGGGGCCGUUUGGGCAAGCUUAAAAGAAGUGACUUCUUGCUUAAACUAGAGAAGUGGAGCAGAAGUGAGAAGUAAAUAAGUUAUUAAAGUGUUUGGAAAAGAAGCAGAAGCUGUGAGACAAAAGCUAGCAUUCUCAGCUUUUUAAAAGUGACUUCUUUACACAAACGGGUAAAAAAAGCAGAAGCCAGAAGCAGCUUCUGCUUCCGUUAAACAAACAGGCCCAAUAUCUCAAUCGAAUACACCCCGUGAGUUGUCAAACUCCUCGAAACGUAUUAAUCACUUUAGAAAUUUGUUCCACUGGCGCCAUUCAGUUCCAGAGUUGGUGGUAGGGGCCGUGCUUCUUGUGUUUCUUCUUUUCAUUAUUGACAUUGUCAUCUAGGUCCUUGCUUCUGGGCUUUGGAGAAGUAAACAAUGGAUCUAUUAGUCUUCCAUAUCGCUGAUACGCGCUAACGCGCAUUAUAGUGGAUUGAUCUUUAUUAGUGAUUUCUGUGGAGAUGCAUAAUCAUUAUAAGCUCCAAUAUAAAAUAAACCUAAUUUAAAGUUAGUAUGGGCAUUUGUGUUGAUAAUUUACGCAAUGUUAACAGGGAUUGCUCCCAAGUCUUGGACGGAUUCUUUCCAAGUCUUCUGAGGACCUAUUUGCACACUAAUUUGUCGCCAACUAAAAAUUCAACGAUAUUGCUAGCUCCCUCUACUAAUUUUUUGCGGGACGUUUUUUACUUUUAACACAUAUCUUUAGAUAGAAUUAGUAUUGUAAAAAGCGGGAAUCAGACUUAAUCGGUGAAGUCACAGAACAACGAUUAAUCGAUGAUUAAUUGGAUUGAUUGGGUAUCAAUCGGAUGAUUAAUGAAAUAAUCGGAUAUUUAAUCCGUUCGACGAGUUACGGAACAGGGAUUAAUCGUGAUUAAUCACCGACUUUUAGAACAGAGGAUAGGAUAAUAAAAUUAUUAUUUUUGAUUAUUUUUUUUGUGAAUAAAAAUUUUGAUUAUAUAUUUUUAUUAAAAAAGAAUUUAAAAUAAUAUUUUUAACUAACCGGUCCAAACAGCUAAAAGUGUGUGCCCAAGCGUCAUAUAAAAACGGAGGGAGCGAGCAUGUGCUGACUAACGGUUCAACUAACAGUUUACAAGUACUCCAUCUGUCCCAUUUAGUCCUAUUUAAUUAUAUACGUUUUUUUUUAACUGUUUGACACGCACUUCAAUGCUCUUCUAAAAUAUGGUUCUAUAACUUAUUUUUAAAAUUUUCUUUUUCUGAAUAAAAAUAUAACAUUCAAACUUUUAUUCAGAAAAAAAUAUCGUAAAAAUAAGUUAUAGAAUUAUAUUUUAUAAGAGCAUUAAAGUCCAUGUCGCGUCCCCGUCUUCUGAUGUAUAAAUUUGCGCAAUGUUAACGGGGAUUGCUCAUUUGCUCUCAAGUCUUGGACGGACCAAGUCUUCUAGGACCCAUCUGCACACUAAUUUGUCUGCCAACUAAAAAAUCAACGAUAUUGCUGCCUCUGCUAUUUUUUACCAGGACGUUUUUUACUUUUAACACAUGUUUAGAUAGGAUAAUAAAUAUUAUUAUUAUUGAUUAAUUUUUUUGUGAAUAAAAAUUUUGAAUAUAUAUUUUUAUCAAAAAAAGAAAAUUUUAAAAAUAAUAUUUUUAAGGGAAAUUAUUAAUGGUACUAUUGUGCUACUGGCUUUUCUAAAUGGUACUAUUUUGGUGUUUUCGACUUACAUGCAUUAUCACUUCCAUUAACGAUACUACCAUUCCGUCCCUCAAAACGUUAAAACCAUUAGUUGACCGUAUUUAUUUUGUAUUUUCCUUGUAAAAAAAACAAAAGAAUACAACUAAUAUUUGUAUUUUUUGUUUGUGUUCAAAUCGUCGAGAUAUGGAAGAGGUUAUCAGAAUUUUAGAAUUGAUUCGAUGUCCUUCAGAAAGUCAGGGGGAAACGGAAUGAGAUACGAGUUUUGAACAAGAAUCCAGUUUAGUUGUUGUUUAUCUUGAAAAACAGAUUUGGAAGUCAUAUAUUUUCAGCCUUUGGCUUCAUGUAUUUCUGUCUCAUCAUUCCCAGAUACUUGCUGAGGUUUAUAGUCACUGUUUAUUAAAUGUUGUCGUACAUUUUCCUGUAUUAUGCACCCAUGUGGCGCCUGUGUUUUGCAUGUCAUGCACAAUUUGCUCAACUACAUACAGGUCACAGGAUGAGUGCAUGUGCCAAAGGGAUUAGUGCAUUGAUCUGUGUAGUGUGAGGACACUGUGAUACAAGGCACAAUUUCUCAGAUUUCUUCUGUCAACACCACUCCCAUCCAUAGCUCCCACCUUUUCUCUCUCAAUCUCAUGUUUCUCUCUUUCUCUCGCAGCUCCGCCGCCACCACUACAUCAGUCUUCAAGAACUCAAGAAAAAAUAUGGAUAUCAGUUAUAUUUUUUGUGUUUUUUAAAGAAGUAUAUGAAAUAAAUAUAGUCAACUAAUGUUUUUAACGUUUUGAUGGACCGAAUGGUAGUAUCAUUAACGGAUCAUAAACUGAGUGGUACCACUUGUAAGUAAAAACCAGUGUUGUAAAAAGCGGGAAUCGGAUUUAAUCGGUGAAGUCACGGAACAAAGAUUAAUCGGAGAUUAAUCGGACUAAUCGGUGAUUAAUCGGAUAUUUAAUCAGUUCGGCGAGCUACGGAACAGGGAUUAAUCGGUCGUGAUUAAUCACCGACUUUUAGAACAGAGGUAAAAACACGAAAUGGUAUUAUUCAUAAAAGCCAAUACCACGAUGGUACCAUUAAUAAUUUCCCUAUUUUUAAUUACCGAGUCCAAAUAUUUAAACGUGUGUGCCCAAAAUUAAAGCCGCAUAUAAAAAAACGGAGGGAGCAUGUACUAACCGUUUCCAUAACAGUUUACAAGUAUAAGUUAUACUCCCUCUCAAUUUUUUUAUUUUUUUAUAUGACGUUUUGAUCUUGGGCACACAUUAUUAAGUGUUUUGACCGGAUAGUUAAAAAUAUUAUUAUUUAAAUUUUCUUUUCUGAAUAAAAAUAUAUAACCAAAAAUUUUAUUCACAAAAAUUUUUAGUGAUUUUUUCGUGAAUACCUAAGGCCAAUUUUUCAAAUAUUUUGUAAAAAUACCAAUUUUUUGAAAAUAUUUGCAAAGAUAAUGUAUUCAACCACAUGCAACCAUACUUAUAACCAGAUGUAACCAUAAUUGCAACCUCUGCGGGACCAAUUAACUGAAUUUGUAUUUGGUUGCACUAGUUAGUAUUUUCUUAAAGUUAGUAUUUUUGUAAAUAUUUUUAAAAAAAAGUAAAAUCGCAAAAAAAAAAAUCGAAAAAAUGGUUUGAUAAAUUUCUAAAUAUUUAAUCACAGAACAAUAACUUUUACAAUCCGAUCAACUCAUUUAAAAAUGUGUGUCAAAAGUAAAAAUGUCAUAUAUAUAUAUAUCAUAUAAAUGUCAUAUAAAUUUAAAACAAAGGGAUNCAUAUAAAUGUCAUAUAAAUUUAAAACAAAGGGAUAUAUAUUUUUUAAUAAAAUAUACUCCCUCUAUCCCAAAUAAGUGUCAGUGACAUUUUGCAAAAAUAGCUUGGGACAAUAGAUUUUUUUGCCACUCAACUUAAUGUGUUUUUAGAAAUUCGCCACCCAACUAAUUUUUUUUUCCUUUUACUCACUAAUGUUAGGUUUGGAUUUUUUUUAGCCACCAACUUAGGUUCGGAUUUGAUUACUAGUAUUAUGAUAAUUUUAUUUAUCACUAAACUUACUGCGUCUUUAGGAAUUAACCACUGAACUAUAAUUUUUUUAUUUUACUCACUAAUGUUAGGUUCAUUUUUUUUGUCACUGAAGUUAGGUUCGGAUUUGAUUAUUAGCAUUAUAUUAAUUAUGUGUAACAUUAUUAAAAUAUAGUGGUCUAUAAUAUUUUGAUGAUUUGGUAUAUGUCUGUAUCUUUAUAUAUAGUACUUUUUAUGUCUCCAAUGUCGUUUAACUUGAGUGGUAAGAAUUUUACACGCAUUUUAUGGCUUUUAAAAGAUGUAGUUUCAUAAAUAAUUUUAUUUUUUUCUUCCGAAUAAAAAUUCAGCGUUUUACACACAAAAAAAUAACAAAAAAAAGUUAUGAAGCUAUGUUUUAUAAGAGUCUUAAAAUACGUGCUAAGCAGUAGAAAAAACUGUAAACUAAUGAGAGGGACAUGUAGUAAUAAUAAUAAAAUGAUGCAUUAUAGAGGACAAUCAUCGAAAAUUAAGUUAACCUCUCUAUUUAUUUAUCUUGAAAAUUGUAGUAAAAUAAAGUUAUUAAAAUUUAUGAAGAUAAAUUUGAGAGAGAUCUUGGACUGAGCUAGUCAAUUGAAACUUUAAUAGCGAAAGAUGAUGCAUCAUAUCAAUCAAUUACACUUUAUCUUCUUAUCAUCAGGGAGGGUGAAUUGUUUGAAGUCAUUGAUUUCAUAUUCAUGAUUUAUUGAAUUUUAGAAUUCUAAUUACGAUUUUUCCUGGUUUUAAUUUUUCAUCGGCUCAUUUUAUAUUAUUUUUGUUAUAUAUAAGGAUAUAAACAUACGACACAUCAUCAAAAUAUUACAUACUAUCACUAUGUAUAAAUGAUGCGACAAAAAUUAUCAUAAUGCUAGUAAUUAAAUCCGAACCUGAGUAGUGGCUAAAAAAAAAUCCAAACCUAAUAUUAAUGGUAAAAGGAAAAAAAAAAUAGUUAGGUGGCAAGUUUCUAAAAACACUAUAAAUUGAGUGGCAAAAAAAAUCUAUUUUCCAAACAUAGCUUGGGGUAAUAACAAAACCUUAAUCAACGCAAGCACAGCAGACCGCAGGCAUAAGGCUUAUAAAUAGAAGUGCAGUAUUGUGUUGAUGGUCAAGUUGAGUGGAAAUAUGGUACACUUUGUAAAGCCUUGUUAUCCUCUUCUCUUUGUUUUCUUUCUCUCAUUACUUCAAUCCAUUCUAACAACACUACCUGAAUCCAGACGAGAGGGAGAAGCUCUUGUGAAAUGGAAGAAUAGCCUAGCCCCGUCUUCUUUUCUCGACUCUUGGUCACUCACUGAUCUCGAUAAUCUUUGUAACUGGACUGGCAUUACUUGUAACUCUGCAGGUUCAGUCUCGGAGAUUAACCUUUGUGAGAAACAACUUGAUGGAAUGCUGUCCGAGUUUGGUUUCACUUCAUUUCCAGAUCUCAACUAUCUCACCCUCGCAGACAACUUCUUCUCGGGUCCGAUACCAUCAGCCAUUGAGAAUCUAACACAGCUUCAAUAUCUUGAUUUAAGCAUGAAUAGUCUCAAUGGUCCCAUUCCUUUCCAGGUUAGCCAUAUUCAGAGCUUGCUCAUCUUAAACCUGUCACACAAUGCAUUGCAAUCUCCAAAUUGGUCCCAUUGCUCUCCCAUGCCUGUCUUGCGCAUCCUCGACCUUAGUUUUAAUAAUCUUGUGUCGAAAUUCCCAGAAUUUAUAUCCAAUUCUCAUAGCCUGACUCACCUUAACCUUUCAGAUAACAAGUUUACUGGUGAUCUUGUGCGUGAAUUUACCAAUCUACAAAAUCUUGAAACCCUCUACCUUCAAGAUAAUUCUUUUGAGGGGCCGUUUCCGCCUGAUAUAGUCCAGCUUUCCAAAUUAAAACGUCUCGCCCUGUUAGGUAACAAAUUUUCAGGUUCAAUUCCCAAUGACAUAAGGUUGCUUUGUGUUCUUGAAUACCUAUAUUUAGGCAACAAUUCCUUUGAAGGACCACUUCCACCAAAUAUAUUCACGCUUUCAAAAUUAAAAUUACUUGUUCUUUGGGGUAAUAAGUUUUCAGGUUCUAUUUCCAAUGAUAUAGGUUUGCUUUCUGAGCUUGAAACCCUCGUUCUUGACUCUAAUUAUUUUGAGGGGCCACUUCCGCCAAAUAUAUUCAAGCUCUCUAAAUUAAAGGUUUUUUCCCUUGUGUACAAUAACUUUUCAGGUUCUGUUUCCAAUGAUAUAGGUUUGCUUUCUGAGCUUGAAUAUCUCCGUAUUGGCUGCAAUUCUUUCGAGGGACCGUUGCCAACAAAUAUAUUCAAGCUUUCCAAAUUAAGUAAACUUGACCUAUCAAAUAAUAGUAAUUUUUUUGAAGGAAGUAUUCUUAUUGGAUUGGGACUCUUGACUAACCUCAGCUACUUAGAUCUAGAUUCCAAUAAUCUCAGUGGCUAUAUUCCAUCUGAGAUUGGAAACCUGAAGCUACUAGUAUUUCUCGAUCUUAGUUCUAAUCAAUUGACUGGAUCGCUUUCAAAGAUCUUUUCUAAUCUCACAAAUCUUAUAUAUCUUCAUGUAUAUGAUAAUAGUCUUAGUGGAAAUAUUCAGAGUGACUUGUGGAAAAACUCUGUAUCCUUGCGUUUCGUUGAUCUUGCAAAUAAUUAUUUGUCUGGAAACAUCCCUAAGGAAUAUAACGAUCAUCCAACUUUGGAAUACAUUAAUUUAAGUUGGAACCAUUUUACAGGUAUAUUUUCUCUAUAUAUCUUUUCCUUUUCUNCUCAUAUGUAACUAAGCUUGAUUAUUGCAAUUUUACCUAAGUUUCAACAAUCUUGACAGGUGAGCUUCCAACAACAAUUUGCAAUGUCACUUCCCUCUCGGUUCUUGUUUUGUCAAAGAAUGGAUUAAGUGGUCCACUUCCAAAUUGUUUCGGAAAUCUUGCUGAUAGAUUGCUUUCCAUUAAUCUUGCUAAUAAUCAGUUCCGAGGAACAAUACCAACUACUUUCUCCAGCAGUUGUCAGCUGACAUAUCUAAACAUGGAUGAUAAUGAGUUUGAAGGAAUGUUGCCUCAAUCUUUGGCGAAAUGUAAGCACUUGAAAAUUCUUGAUAUUGGCAAUAACAAAAUAGGUGGUAUAUUUCCGUCAUGGCUUUAUGUACUUGGAGAGCUAGAAGUCCUUGUCUUGCGAUCAAAUAAACUCUAUGGUACAAUAAGUGGAAGGAGCAUAGAAGAUCCGUUCCCCAAGUUGCGGAUUGUGGAUCUGUCCAACAAUCAAUUCACCGGCCAGUUGCCAAUUCAAUACUUUAAGAAUAUGAAAUCAACUGAUAAUUUGUAUCGUUAUCGGAAUUCCACAGGACCAUUAUCUUUCUCUUAUGAAGCAGCAGUCUCAUUAACUGUGAAGGGAACAGAGUACGAGGUAGCAAAGAACCUUCAUAUUUACACAGCCAUUGACCUGUCAUGCAACAAAUUUCAGGGAGAAAUUCCAAAGGUUACUGGAGAGCUUAGAUGGCUUGCAUUGCUGAAUUUAUCUCAUAAUAGUCUGACAGGACCUAUCCCAUCCUUGCUGAAAAAUAUGAAAGAACUCCAAUCUUUAGAUUUGUCCUCAAAUCAACUGACAGGGGCUAUUCCACCUCAGUUAACUGCAUUGACAUUUCUGGAGGUCUUCAACCUCUCGGGAAACCAUCUUAGUGGAGAGAUUCCUCAGAAAGGACAGUUCAGCACAUUUAACAAUGAUUCUUAUCUAGGAAACUCCGCGUUAUGUGGAUCACCUUUGACAAAGAAAUGUGCAAACACAGCAUCACCUCCACAAGAAGUCGGAAAUGGUGAUGAAGAUGAUGCUGGUGAUGAAUGGACAUGGGAAGCAAUCGUGAUGGGAUAUGGAUGUGGACUGAUAUGUGGAUUGUCAUCUGCGUACAUUGUUCUCAAACUAGGAAAGCCUUGGUGGUUUGUGAGAUAUAUCGAAGUGCUGCAACUGAAGUUGAUGAAAAGAUAUGCUUGAAAAAUGGUACUGGCCGAUCAAGACGAACUUGAAAGUUGUUGUCCUUGUGGACAUUUCUGAACCAGUAGUGUACUAGCUGCAUAAGUAUUUGGUAUUAUGUAAUAAUCCGUUUGGUCAGGACUCAUAAUGAUUUCUCUUGCUUCAGGGGUAUUAAUAUUAACCUUGCUAGUUAAUUCAAAUUAAAACAAAUAUAAAAUCAAAAAAUUUGCAUCAAACACCUGUUAUACCAACAUCCAUUAAUUUGCUUUCAUCUCUUACGUAACAAUUUAACAGCGAUUCCACACUGUUUUAGGCAUGGAGAUUACACAAAGAAGGCAAGUCCAUGGACUAAUAUACGAACAAUUCAUAUUGGUCUUCCAUCUGUUCAACCGUCUCCCGAAGAUAGGCCAAAAAUGUCAUCUGUGGUUCUUAUCUUUGUCAGUAAAGGAGAAUCUCUGAUGCCUAUACAACCUGGUUUUCUUACCGAAAGGAAUGUAGGUGAAACCAGGGGCAUAAAAUGAAUCGGGACUAAAAUCUGCUAAAAUGAUAAUUAUUUACUCAUCAUUCGAGAUUAGUCGGGCUCGAAUGAAGAUUUAUAUGGAUUUUAAGAACAAACUAUGACUAAAUAUGAAAAAAUCAUUAAUUUUUCCGACUCAAUAUUUUUAGCCUCCCCCGGCCCUGGGUGAAACCAUAAGCUUCUCUGGUGCACAUCCAAAUCAUUCAGCUGGUUCUACAUUCAGCUCACCCACAGGAACAUCAUUCUGCAGGUACUCUCUUAUCUGUACUUUCUUAUAUUGUAUGCCAGAAAAUUUAAUAUCGACAAACUGCACAAUACACCUCGAUCUCAUAUUAUUGACAGGUGAGCUCCUCUCAUAAUGCUCACAGGCGAACUCCUGCAUAUAUACUUUGUGAUGUCAUUGAUGAUCGAUAGGCUUGAAAAAAAAUUAUGACAAAGAUUCAUAAAAUAUCUACUUCCAUCCUAAUUCAGUAUUCAAUAUUAUUCAUUCCGUAUCAUCAUCCAAUCAAUUCUAAUAGUUCUUCUUUAAAUCAGUAUAAAUAUUGUUAAAUAUAUUGAUGAUGGUUGUCUUUCCGCGAACCAAUCAUAAAAUUACCUCUGUAUAAAUCCAUCGGAAAUAAGACAGUUAAUAUCCCAAUCGAAUACACCCCUGUCAGUUGUCAAACUCCUCGAAACGUAUUAAUCACUUUAGAAAAUUUGUUCCACUGGCGCUAGUCAGUCCCAGAGUUGGUGGUGGGUGCUUCUGGGCUUUCGAAAAGCACCCAUUUACUCCAUUGUUUAGAGAAGUAAAACCCCACCUUCCGCUCAUUUGAUUGAUCAGCUGAAUUAGGCAGAGUUUACAUGGUCAUGAUCAUAGUCUCCCAUUUCCCAGAUACGCGCAUUAUAGUGGAUUUAUCUUUAUCAGUAAUUUCUGUGGAGAUGCAUAAUCAUUAUAAACUCCAAUAUAAAAAUUUAAAGUUGGUAUGGGCAUUUGUGUUGAUAAUUUGCGCAAUGUUAACAGGAAUUGCUCCCAAGUCUUGGACGGACUCUUUCAAAGUCUUCUGAGGACCCAUCUGCACACUAAUUUGUCUCCCAACUAAAAAAUCAACAAUAUGUUACUCCCUCCGUUUUUCUUAAACGAGGUUAAAAUUUUUGACACAAGAUGGGUUGACAGUAUAAUAAAAAUUUUUGUGAAUAAAAUUUUUUUUAUUUAGAAAGAUAAUCUUGAAAAUAAUAUUAUUAACUAAGUUAAAUCACUUAAAAGUGUAUGUCCAAAAAUUAAAGCGGCAUAUAAAAAAAAGGGAGGGAGCAUGUACUAACUGUUUCCAUAACAGUUUACAAGUAUAAGUUAUACUCCCUCUCUAUUUUUUUAUAUGACGGUUUGAUUUUGGGCACACAUUUUUAAGUGUUUUGACCAGAUAAUUAAAAGGGGUUUUCUCAUAAAUACCUAAGUCUAAAAUUAUUUUUACGAAAAUAUUAUAUCUUUUUUUAAAUAUUUUGCAAAAAUACCAAACUUUGUAAAUAUUUACAAAAAUACGGUAUGCAACCCGUUGCAACCACAUGCAACCUUACUUGCAACCAUAUUUGCAACCCCUGCGGGGUCAAUUAACUGAAAUUGCAUCUGGUUGCGUUUAGUUGCAGACCGUAUUUUUGCAAAUAUUUUCUAAAAAGUUAGUAUAUUUGCAAUUUUUUUAAAAAUAUAAGAAAAUCGCAAAAAUUAUAACAAAGCUUCAAGAUUUUUAACAGGUGAGCUUCCACUAAAAAUUUGCAAAGUCACUUCCCUUUCGCGUCUCAUUAUGUCAGAUAUUGGUCAAGUGGUGCACUUCCACAGUGUUUGGGGAACCUUUCUUUGCUUGGUUUCAAUAAUCUUGCUAAUAAUCAAUUUCAAGGACCAAUACCAACGACUGUCCAAGACUUGUCUGUGCAUAUCUAAACAUCCAUAACAAUCACUUUGAAGGUUUGUUGCUCCAAUCUUUGGCAAACUGUAAACACUUACAAAUUCUUGAUAUUGGAAACAACAAAAUAGGUGGUACAUUUCCGUCAUGGCUAUUUACUGUUGGAGAGCUAGAUGUCCUAGUUAGGACGGUAUUUCGACUAGAGCAAGCCGAGUUUUGAGCGGAGCCCAAUUCGAGCCAAGUUUAAUCGAGUCGAGCCGAGUCAGUUCGUUUGGCUAAUCGAGCCUAAAACUCUGUCCGAACUCGACUCGUUUAAUUUCACGAGUUGAGUCAAGCCAGCUCAUUUAGCUAAACGAGUUGGUUUUAACGAGUUAAACGAGUGAGCUCGUAUAAUUUUAACUUAAUCGAGCCUGGAUCUCUAUCCGAACUAUUGGCUCGUGUAAUUUCGCGAGUCGAAUCGAGCCGGCUCGUUUUAUUAAACAAACCGAAAUUUUUGCCCAAAUUUUGCUCGUUUAACAAGCCGAUCUGAACCUAGUUAAAUGAGUUCGAGCUAGUCGAGCUCGCAGCUUGCGAGCUCGCCGGACAGCUCUAGUACUAGUCUUGCGAUCAAAUAGGUUUCACGGUAUAGAAAGUGGAAGGAACACAAGGCAUCUGUACUUUCUUGUACUGUAUGCCACUUUGACAGUAAAAUUUAUACUCCCUCCGUCCGAAUGAAUUGUAUACAGUUUACUUUUUGGGACGUCCCAUCAAUUGUAUACAUUCCUAAAGUAGUAAACUUUUAUAAUAUAAAACAUCAUUAAACCAACUACUUUCUUCCCCUAUCUCCAUUCUAUAAUAAUAUAAACACUAUUACACCCACUACUUUCCUCCACUAUCUCAAAUUUAUUAUUAAAUAUAAAUGGGUCCCACCACUAUACUCACUUUUCAUCCAACUUUACUCAUUUCUAAUAAAAUUUCUUGGUCUCCGUGUCCCAGCCAUUUGUAUACAAAUGACUGGGACGGAGGGAGUAUCAACAAACUGCACGAUUAAAUCCUCGUACAAUUGACAGGUGAACUCCUGCAUAUGUUCUGAACUAUUACGUACUAUAUUAUGCAAGCUGUUUGCAACUUUCAUCAAAAUUUUCAAACAUUUCUUAAUAUGUUUUUUCAAAAAAUUCUCGGGCCCUCUUAAGGCCUAUUAUUAUUGCAACUCUCACGUUAUGGACCACUAUGUAUUUUACAAGCACGACGAAUCAUGUGGUCAUUAUGGACUCCCCAAGCCUUCGAGGACUCACUCCAGGUCUUAGGAGGACCACUGCCUAGCUCACCCUUUCGGAGUGAUGUAAAUUAUUUUCUAGACACUAAAAAUAAGUAUUCAGAUUAAUCAUUACAAAAUUAAGGAUAUAAAAUCAGAAUAAAUCCUAAACUUUGAUGAUACAAAAAAAUUAUAAUUGUAAAUUAUACAAUCAAAUUAAAAUCGAAUUAACUUCCCUCACACUUAAAAUUUAUAGCGAUCAAAUCAAAAUCGAAUUAACUUUCCUAUUACUAAAAUAUAAUUACAAUAUUAUUAGAUAAAGAGAAUAUAUAAUAAUCAAGAGAAAAUAGAUUUUUUUUUGCCACUCAACUUAUCGUGUUUUAAGAAACUUACCACCCAACUAAAUUUUUUUUCCUUUUGCUCACUAAUGUUAGGUUUGGAUUUGUUUUUAGCCACCAACUAAGGUUCGGAUUUGAUUACCAGCAUUAUGAUAAUUUUUUUUGUCACUAAACUUAUUGCGUCUUUAGAAACUAACCACUCAACUAAAUUUUUUUUUAUUUUACUCACUAAUGUUAGGUUCAGUUUUUUUUUGUCACUGAAGUUAGGUUCGGAUUUGAUUAUUAGCAUUACAUUAAUUCUGUGUAGCAUUUUUAAAAUAUGGUAGUACUCUGUGAUAUUUAGAUGAUUUGAUAUAUGUCUGUAUUUUUAUAUAUAGUAUAUUUUAUGUCUCCAAGAUCAUUUACCUUGGGUCAUAAGAAUUUUACACGCAUUAUAUGACUUUUAAAAGAUGUAGUGUCAUAAAUAAUUUUAUUUUUUUUUCCGAAUUAAAAUUCAGCAUUUGAAUUUUACACACACAAAAAUCGCAAGAAUAAGUUAUGAAAUUAUGCUUUAUAAGAGUCUUAAAAUACGUGCUAAACGGUAGAAAAAACGGUGAAAUAAUGAGAGGUACAUAGGAGUAAUAAUAACAUAAAAUGAUGCACAAGUUAGUAUAUUGGACUAAUAUUCACGCAUUUAUAUACGAGAAUAUAUGGUCCACAAGUUAGUGCACAAUGUCCAAGAAUCUUUAUCAAAGUAACACGGCAAGCAUGCAGCAUAUAAAUAAGAGUGGGCAGUAUGGUAUUGCAUUCAUAACCCACUUGAGGAGAAAUAUGGCACACUUCCUAAAGCCUUCUCACCUUCUUCUCUUUGUUUUCUCUCUCUCGUUACUUCAAUCCAUUCUACCAACAAGACCAGAGGGAGAAGCUCUUGUGAAAUGGAAGAAUAGCCUAGCCCCUUCUUCUUUUCUCGAUUCUUGGUCACUCACCAAUCUCGAUGAUCUUUGUAACUGGACUGGCAUUACUUGUAACUCUGCAGGUUCAGUCUCUGAGAUUAACCUUUAUGAGAAACAACUUGAUGGAAUGCUGUCCGAGUUUGGCUUCACUUCAUUUCCGAAUCUCAACAAUCUCACCCUCGCAUACAACUUCUUCUCGGGUCCAAUUCCACCAGCCAUUGAGAAUUUAACACAGCUUCAAUAUCUUGAUUUAAGCAUCAAUAGUCUCGAUGGUCCCAUUCCGUUCCAGGUUAGCCAUCUUCAGAGGUUGCUCGUCUUAAACCUGUCACAGAAUGCAUUGCAAGCUCCAAAUUGGUCCAAAUUCUCCCCCAUGCCCUUUUUGUGCAUCCUCAACCUCAGUAGCAAUCCUCUUGCGUCGACAUUCCCAAAUUUCAUAUCCAAUUCUCAUGGCCUGACUCACCUCAGCCUUGAUCAAAACGAGUUUACAGGUGAUUUAGCGCGUGAAUCAAUAUUUGCCAAUCUGCAUAAUCUUGAAGUCCUCAGUCUUGUUGGCAAUUCUUUUGAGGGGGCCAUUUCCGCCAAAUAUAUUCAAGCUUUCCAAAUUAAAACAUCUUAGCCUGUCAGAUAACAAACUUUCAGGUUCAAUUCCCAAUGACAUAAGGUUGCUUUGUGAUCUUGAAUACCUAUAUUUAGGCAACAAUUCCUUUGAAGGACCGCUUCCACCAAAUAUAUUCAAGCUUUCAAAAUUAAAACAUCUUAUUCUUUGGGGUAAUAAGUUUUCAGGUUCUGUUUCCAACGAUAUAGGUUUGCUUUCUGAGCUUGAAAGCCUCUAUCUUGACUCCAAUUUUUUUGAGGGGCCGCUUCCGCCAAAUUUAUUCAAGCUCUCCAAACUAAAGAUUCUUUUCCUUUAUGAGAAUAACUUUUCAGGUUUUAUUUCUAAGGAUAUAGGUUUGCUUUUUGAACUUGAAACCCUCUAUCUUGACUCUAAUUUUUUUGAGGGGCCGCUUCCCCCACAUGUAUUUAGGCUCUCCAAAUUAAGAGAUCUGGGUCUCUCAGACAAUAGAAAUUUAUUUGAAGGAAGUAUUCCUAUUGGACUGGGACUCUUGACUAACCUCAGAUACUUGCGUCUAUCUUCCAAUAAUCUCGGUGGCUAUAUUCCAUCUGACAUUGGAAACCUGAAGCAACUAGAACUUCUUGAUCUCGGUUCUAAUCAAUUGACUGGACCGCUUUCAAAGAUCGUUUCUAAUCUCACAAAUCUUAUAUAUCUUGAUGUGAGUUAUAAUAGUCUUAGUGGAAAUAUUCAGAGUGACUGGUGGAAAAACUCUGUAUCCUUACGUUACAUUGAUUUUGAAAAUAAUUAUUUGUCUGGGAACAUUCCUAAGGAAUAUAACGAUCAUCCAACUUUGGAAUACAUCAAUUUAGGUGGGAACCAUUUUACAGGUAUAUUUUCUCUAUAUAUCUUUUCCUUUUGUCAUAUGUAAAUAAGCUAGUAAUCUGGUUAUUGUAGUUUUACCAAAGUUUCAACAAUCUUGACAGGUGAGCUUCCAACAACAAUUUGCAAUGCCACUUCCCUUUCGGUUCUUGUUUUGUCAAAUAAUGGAUUAAGUGGUGCACUUCCAAAAUGUUUCGGGAAUCUUGCUGAUGGAUUGCUUUACAUUAAUCUUGCUAAUAAUCAGUUUCGAGGAACAAUACCAACUACUUUCUCCAGGAGUUGUCGGUUGACAUAUCUAAACAUGGAUAAUAAUGAGUUUGAAGGAUUGUUGCCCCCAUCUUUGGCGAACUGUAAGCACUUGAAAAUUCUUGAUAUAGGCAAUAAUAAAAUAGGUGGUACAUUUCCGUCAUGGCUUUAUGCACUUGGAGAGCUAGAAGUUCUUGUCUUGCGAUCAAAUAAACUCUAUGGUACGAUAAGUGGAAGGAGCAUAGAAGAUCCCUUCCCAAAGUUGCGGAUUGUGGAUCUGUCCCACAAUCAAUUGACAGGCUAUUUGCCAAUUCAAUACUUUAAGAAUAUGAAAUCAACUGAUGAUUUGUAUAGUUUCCGGAAUUCCACAGGAACCGCAUCUAUCUCUUAUGAAGCAUCGGUCUCAUUAACCGUGAAGGGAACAGAGUAUGAAGUAGCAAAUAACCUUCAUAUUUACACAGCCAUUGAUCUAUCGUGCAACAAAUUUCAGGGACAAAUUCCAAAGGUUACUGGAGAGCUUAAAUGGCUGGCAUUGCUCAACUUAUCUCAUAAUAGUCUAACAGGACCUAUCCCGUCAUUGCUGAGAAAUAUGAAAGAACUCCAGUCUUUAGAUUUGUCUUCAAAUCAACUAACAGGGGCUAUUCCACCUCAGUUAACUGCACUGACAUUUCUAGAGGUCUUGAACUUCUCGGGAAACCAUCUUAGUGGAGAGAUUCCUCAGAAAGGACAGUUCAGCACAUUCAACAAUGAUUCCUAUCUAGGAAACUCUGCGUUAUGUGGAUCACCUUUGACGAAGAAAUGUGUAAACACUGUAUCACCUCCUCAGGAAGUCGAAAAUGGUGAUGAAGAUGAUGCUGGUGAUGAAUUGACAUGGGAAGCAAUCGUGAUGGGAUAUGGAUGUGGACUGAUAUGUGGAUUGUCAUCUGCGUACAUUGUUCUCAAACUAGGAAAGCCUUGGUGGUUUGUGAGAUAUAUCGAAGUACUGCAACUGAAGUUGAUGAAAAGAUAUGCAUGAAGAAAGGUACUGGUAGAUCAAGAUGAACUUGAAAGUUGUUGUCCUGGUAGACAUUUCUGAACCAGUAGUAUACUAGCUGUGUAAGUAUUUGGUAUUAUGUAAUAAUCCGUUUGGUCGGGACUCAAAAUGAUUUCUCUUGCUUCAGGGGUAUUAAUAUUAACCUUGCUAUCUUGAUCAAUGUUAAUGCAAAUUAAAAAGAAUAUAAAAGCAAAAAAUUUGCAUCAAACACCUGUUGUACCACAGGCUUCCGACUCAAUAUUUGUUAGCCUCCCGUGCCCUGUGUGAAACCAUAAGCUUCUCUGGUGAAUAUCCAAAUCAUUCAGCUGGUUCUACUUUCAGCUCACCGCAGGAACAUCAUUCUGCAGGUACUCUCUUAUCUGUACUUUCUUAUAUUGUAUGCCAGAAAAUUUAAUAUCGACAAACUGCACAAUACACCUCGAUCUCAUAUUAUUGACAGGUGAGCUCCUCUCAUAAUGCUCACAGGCGAACUCCUGCAUAUACUUUGUGAUGUCAUUGAUGAUCGAUAGACUUGAAAAAAAAUUAUGACAAAGAUUCAUAAAAUAUCUACUUCCAUCCUAAUUCAGUAUUCAAUAUUAUGCAUUCCGUAUCAUCAUCCAAUCAAUUCUAAUAGUUCUUCUUUAAAUCAGGACAAAUAUUGUUAAAUACAUGGAUGAUGGUUGUCUUUCCGCGAACCAAUCAUGAAAUUACCUCUGUUUAAAUCCGUCGAAAAUAAGAAAAUUAAUAUCCCAAUCGAAUACACCCCGUGAGUUGUCAAACUCCUCGAAACAUAUUAAUCACUUUAGAAAAUUUCAACAAUCUUGACAGGUGAGCUUCCAACAACAAUUUGCAAUGUCACCUCCCUUUCGGUUCUUGUUUUGUCAAAUAAUAAAUUAAGUGGUGCACUUCCAAACUGUUUCGGGAAUCUUGCUGAUGGAUUGCUUUACAUUAAUCUUGCUAAUAAUCAGUUUCAAGGAACAAUACCAACUACUUUCUCCAGGAGUUGUCCGUUGACAUAUCUAAACAUGGAUAAUAAUGAGUUUGAAGGAUUGAUGCCCCCAUCUUUGGCGAACUGUAAGCACUUGAAAAUUCUUGAUAUAGGCAAUAAUAAAAUAGGUGGUACAUUUCCGUCAUGGAUUUAUGCACUUGGAGAGCUAGAAGUUCUUGUCUUGCGAUCAAAUAAACUCUAUGGUACAAUAAGUGGAAGGAGCAUAGAAGAUCCCUUCCCCAAGUUGCGGAUUGUGGAUCUGUCCAACAAUCAAUUCACAGGCCAUUUGCCAAUUCAAUACUUUAAGAAUAUGAAAUCAAAUGAUAAUUUGUAUCGUUAUCUGAAUUCCACAGGAGAAAUAUAUAUCUCUUAUGAAGCAGCAGUCUCAUUAACUGCGAAGGGAACAGAGUAUGAAGUAGCAAAUAACCUUCAUAUUUACACAGCCAUUGAUCUGUCGUGCAACAAAUUUCAGGGAGAAAUUCCAAAGGUUACCGGAGAGCUUAGAUAGCUUGCAUUGCUCAAUUUAUCGCAUAAUAGUCUAACGGGACCUAUCCCAUCAUUGCUGAGAAAUAUGAAAGAACUCCAAUCUUUAGAUUUGUCCUCAAAUCAACUGACAGGGGCCAUUCCACCUCAGUUAACUGCAUUGACAUUUCUAAAGGUCUUAAAUCUCUCGAAAAACCAUCUCAGUGGAGAGAUUCCUCAGGAAGGACAGUUCAGCACAUUCAACAAUGAUUCUUAUCUAGGAAACUCCGCGUUAUGUGGAUUACGUCUGACAAAGAAAUGUGCAAACACAGCAUCACCACCACAAGAAGUCGGAAAUGGUGAUGAAGAUGAUGCUGGUGAUGAAUUGACAUGGGAAGCAAUUGUGAUGGGAUAUGGAUGUGGACUGAUAUGUGGAUUAUCAUCUGCGUACCUUGUUUUCAAACUAGGAAAGCCUUGGUGGUUUGUGAGAUAUAUCGAAGUACUGCAACUGAAGUUGAUGAAAAGAUAUGCAUGAAGAAUGGUACUGGCCGAUCAAGACGAACUUGAAAGUUGGUCCUUGUGGACAUUUCAGCUGAACCAGUAGGUACUAUUCUCUUUGUGACUGCAUAAGUAUUUUGUAUUGUGUAAUGUUCUGUUUGGUCUUAAAUCAUAAUGAUUUUUCUUGCUUCAGGGGUAUUAAUAUAAAACUUGGUAUUGUGUACUAGCUGUAAUAUUCCGUUUAAUCAAUGUUAAUACCUGUAAUUUUAUGCUCCUGACUGCAUCAUGCAGCUCUCAUAUUAUCUUCAUAUGUGUAUUUAUUUGGAUAUUGAAGUUGCAUGGACAUAUGGAUAUGUGUUAACGGGGAUUGCUCCCAAGUCUUGGACGGACUCUUUCCAAGUCUUCCGAGAUCCUAUUGGUUCAAAUUAGUCCAAUUUGAACUGCCAUCAAAUGCAACUCUGUAGAUUCUGUCUCUGAGAUUAACCUUUCAGGACAUCAGCUCAAUGGUACACUUGCUGAAUUCAGUUUCGUUUAAUUUCCGAAUCUACAAAUUAAGCUACAAUAACUUCACUUGUCCAAUACCCCCAGACAUUGGAAAUUUAACAGAGCUGCAACACCUUGAUUUUAGCUCUAAUAAACUCACUGCUGCAAUUCCGGACCAGGUAAGCCAUCUUCAAACAUUGCGGACCUUAAACCUGUAGGAUAAUCAACUUGGAAGCUCCAAACUGGUCCGCUUUUUCCCCUAUGCCUUCUCUGACAAACCUCUGUCUCAAUAAUAAUAAUCUUUCGUCGAAAUUCCAAGACUUCAUAUUAAAUUGUGGUAACCUGACUUACUUUGAUCUUUCAUUAAAUAUGUUAACAGGUAAUUUGGUUCCUUCAUCAAUUUUUAGAAAUUUGUAUAAUCUUGAAUUCCUUUAUCUUUCUAGCAAUUAUUUUGAGGGGCCUUUCCCGCCANNNNNNNNNNNNNNNNNNNNNNNNNNNNNNNNNNNNNNNNNNNNNNNNNNNNNNNNNNNNNNNNNNNNNNNNNNNNNNNNNNNNNNNNNNNNNNNNNNNNNNNNNNNNNNNNNNNNNNNNNNNNNNNNNNNNNNNNNNNNNNNNNNNNNNNNNNNNNNNNNNNNNNNNNUUUCCCUAUCAUAUAAUAGAUUUUCAGGUUCUAUUUCCAUAUGAUAUAGGAAUGCUUCGUGUUUUGGAAUCCCUUUUUUUAGUAGUAGUUCUUUUAAUGGCCCACCUCCACCAAAUUUAUUUAAAUUUUCUAAAUUAAAAGUUUUUUCCCUAUCAUUAAUAACUUUUCGGGUUCUAUUCGAAAUGAAACAGGGAUGCUUCAUGAUUUAGAGUCCCUCUAUCUUAAUGAACAUUCUUUUAAGGGGCCGUUUCCACCAAAUAUAUUCAACCUUUCCAAAUUAAAAGUUCUUAAUUACCUCUCAAAUAAUUCCUUUUCAGGUUCAGUUCCUAGUGAUAUAAGUGUGCUUCGUGAUCUUGAGAUACUUAAUUUGUCCUCUAAUUCUUUUGAAGGAAUUAUCCCAUUGGAGCUUGGGUUCUUGAAUAACGUGAGCUAUUAUUAUAUCUUGAUUCCACUCAAUUGACUGGACCGCUUUUGAAGAACAUUUAUAAUCUCAGUAAUUUUUUGUGUUGGCUUGAAUGGAUCAUUCCAUUCCCUCCAAAACUCAUUCCGUUCAUGUCAACCAAACAGAGCAUCAAUUACUAGUUACUGGGAAAUGCAUUAGCCUAAAUGUUCCUGGUUCAUUGUUACCGGUAUUUCUUAACUGCUGUGAUUGCAAAUUCAGUUGCAGAUUGUUCAUAUAUAUCUAGAGAGACCUGACAUAACUUUAGCCUCUGAUAUACAGCUUCCUUUCACAGUUGUGCCUAUUCACCUAGACGCGUUUUUAACUGCAUAAUGUUGGGUCAACUUCCGACCAUUUAUUUUCUCAUUUGAAAUUAGUGUAUUAAAGUUCGACUUUAAGAAAAUAUAUAGUUUUGUUAAACAAAAAUUCCAAAAGGUUUGGUACGUUUUGAGCUGGGACUUUGAAAUUGUUUGUCGUUAAAGAUGAAGAUUCACUUUUUAAGUUAUAUUAAUCUGUAGUGGUAGACUGGUAGUUUUUCUUUAUUGCUACUUUCCUUGUGCGUUCUUUAUAUUGAUUUAUUAUUUAAUUCGUAAAGUGUUGCGAACUACAUUCCUGCAAAAGUAAAAUCAGUGGAAUUUGUUUGAUAGCAUGAUGAAUAUUUAAAGGGGUUAAUUAUCAAAUUGGUCACUGAAGUGACUUUAAUGUAUCAAGUUGGUCACUGAACUCAAAACGGUAUUAAGAUAGUCACUGAAGUGGACAUAAAUAUCAAACAGGUACCUUGAAAUAUAAGUUCAAGCAGUAAAGAUAUUAUUUAUAAAAUUUUACACAUUAUUUUUAAAUGUUACCACAACCAACUAAAAGGUUAUGACUUCUAGUAUUUAAAUUAAUAUAUUUAUUUUAUCAAGUUUAUUUAUUAUUUAUAUUUUAUUAUAUAGUUAUUUUCUUUGUUUUAAUUAAAAAUAAAUAAUAAAUAAACUUGAUAAUAUCUAAAUAUAUUAUCAUAAAUAUUAGAAUUCAUAACCUUUUACUUGGUCUAGGUAACAUUCAAAAAUAAUGUGUAAAACUUUAUAAAUAAUAUUAUCUUUAUAUUCUUUCCUUUUCUAUGUACCUAUGCUAAUUAUCUGAUUAUUAAAAUUAUAACAAAGCUUCAAGAUUUUUAACAGGUGAGCUUCCACUAAAAAUUUGCAAAGUCACUUCCCUUUCGCGUCUCAUUAUGUCAGAUAUUGGAAACAACAAAUAGGUGGUACAUUUCCGUCAUGGCUAUUUACUGUUGGAGAGCUAGAUGUCCUAGUUAGGGCGGUAAUUCGACUAAAGCAAACCGAGUUUUGAGCGGAGUCAAAUUCGAGCCAAGUUUAAUCGAGUCGAGCCGAGUCGGCUCAUUUAGCUAAUCGAGCCUAAAACUCUGGUCGAACUCGACUCGUUUAAUUUCGCGAGUCAAGUCGACCCAGCUCGUUUAGUUAAAUGAGCUGGUUUUAACGAGUCAAGCGAGUGAGCUCGUAUAAUUUUAACUUAAUCGAGUCUAAAUCUCUACCCGAACUAUUGGCUCGUGUAAUUUCACGAGUAGAAUCGAGCUGGCUCGUUUUAUUAAAGAAGCCGAAAUUUUUGCCCGAAUUUGGCUUGUUUAACAAGCCGAUCUUUCAUCAAAAUUUUCAAACAUUUCUGAAUAUGUAUUUUCAGAGAAUUUCUCCGGCACUCUUAAGGCCUAUAAUUAUUGCAACUCUCACGUUAUGGACCACUAUGUAUUUUACGAGCACGACGAAUCAUGUGGUCAUUAUGGACUCCCCAAGCCUUCGAGGACUCAUUCCAGGUCUUAGGAGGACCACUGCCUAGCUCACCCUCUCGGAGUGAUGUAAAUUAUUUUCCAGACACUAAAAAUAAGUAUUCAGAUUAAUCAUUACAAAAUUAAGGAUAUAAAAUCAGAAUAAAUCCUAAACUUUGAUGAUACAAAAAAAUUAUAAUUGUAAAUUAUACAAUCAAAUUAAAAUCGAAUUAACUUCUCUCACACUUAAAAUUUAUAGCGAUCAAAUCAAAAUCGAAUUAACUUUCCUAUUACUAAAAUUUAAUUACAAUAUUAUUAGAUAAAGAGAAUAUAUAAUAAUCAAGGGAAAAUAGAUUUUUUUUUGCCACUCAACUUAUUGUGUUUUAAGAAAUUUACCACCCAACUAAAUUUUUUUUCCUUUUGCUCACUAAUAUUAGGUUUGGAUUUGUUUUUAGCCACCAACUAAGGUUCGGAUUUGAUUACUAGCAUUAUGAUAAUUUUUUGUCACUAAACUUAUUGCGUCUUUAGAAACUAACCACUCAACUAAUUUUUUUUUUAUUUUACUCACUAAUGUUAGGUUCAGUUUUUUUUUUGUCACUGAAGUUAGGUUCGGAUUUGAUUAUUAGCAUUACAUUAAUUCUGUGUAGCAUUUUUAAAAUAUGGUAGUAGUCUGUGAUAUUUAGAUGAUUUGAUAUAUGUCUGUAUUUAUAUAUAUAGUAUUUUUUAUGUCCCCAAGGUCGUUUACCUUGGGUCAUAAGAAUUUUACACACAUUUUAUGACUUUUAAAAGAUGUAGUUUCAUAAAUAAUUUUAUUUUUUUCUUCCGAAUUAAAAUUCAGCGUUUGAAUUUUACACACAAAAAAAUCGCAAAAAUAAGUUAUGAAACUAUGUUUUAUAAGAGUCUUAAAAUACGUGUUAAACGGUAGAAAAAACUGUAAACUAAUGAAAGGUACAUAGGGAGUAAUAAUAACAUAAAAUGAUGCACAAUCAUCGAAUUAAGUUUUCCUCUCUCUCUAUAUAUUUAUUUUGAAAAUUAUAAUAAGAUAAAGUUAUUAAAAUUUAUGAUAUAAAUUUAAAAGAGAUCUUAGACUGAGUGGCAAAAAUUUAGUUGGAUGGUAAGUUUCUAAAAAUACAAUAAAUUGAGCGGGAACAAAAUCUAUUUUCCCAAUAAUCAAAGUGAUGAAAAAUUAAAGUCAUCUAAUAAGUCCAGAAAAAAUAUGACCAUUAGUAUUUUGGAAUAAUAUUCACGCAUUUAUAUACGAGAAUAUAUGGUCCACAAGUUAGUGCACAAUGUCCAAGAAUCUUUAUCAAAGUAACACGGCAAGCAUGCAGCAUAUAAAUAAGAGUGGGCAGUAUGGUAUUGCAUUCAUAACCCACUUGAGGAGAAAUAUGGCACACUUCCUAAAGCCUUCUCACCUUCUUCUCUUUGUUUUCUCUCUCUCGUUACUUCAAUCCAUUCUACCAACAAGACCAGAGGGAGAAGCUCUUGUGAAAUGGAAGAAUAGCCUAGCCCCUUCUUCUUUUCUCGAUUCUUGGUCACUCACCAAUCUCGAUGAUCUUUGUAACUGGACUGGCAUUACUUGUAACUCUGCAGGUUCAGUCUCUGAGAUUAACCUUUAUGAGAAACAACUUGAUGGAAUGCUGUCCGAGUUUGGCUUCACUUCAUUUCCGAAUCUCAACAAUCUCACCCUCGCAUACAACUUCUUCUCGGGUCCAAUUCCACCAGCCAUUGAGAAUUUAACACAGCUUCAAUAUCUUGAUUUAAGCAUCAAUAGUCUCGAUGGUCCCAUUCCGUUCCAGGUUAGCCAUCUUCAGAGGUUGCUCGUCUUAAACCUGUCACAGAAUGCAUUGCAAGCUCCAAAUUGGUCCAAAUUCUCCCCCAUGCCCUUUUUGUGCAUCCUCAACCUCAGUAGCAAUCCUCUUGCGUCGACAUUCCCAAAUUUCAUAUCCAAUUCUCAUGGCCUGACUCACCUCAGCCUUGAUCAAAACGAGUUUACAGGUGAUUUAGCGCGUGAAUCAAUAUUUGCCAAUCUGCAUAAUCUUGAAGUCCUCAGUCUUGUUGGCAAUUCUUUUGAGGGGGCCAUUUCCGCCAAAUAUAUUCAAGCUUUCCAAAUUAAAACGUCUUACCCUGUCAAGUAACAAAUUUUUAGGAUCAAUUCCCAAUGACAUAAGGUUGCUUUGUGAUCUUGAAUUCCUAUAUUUAGGAAACAAUUCUUUUGAAGGACCGCCUCCACCAAAUAUAUUCAAGCUUUCAAAAUUAAAACAUCUUGUUCUCUGGAGUAAUAAGUUUUCAGGUUCUGUUUCCAAUGAUAUAGGUUUGCUUUCUGCGCUUGAACUUCUGAAUCUUCACUCUAAUUUUUUUGAGGGGCCGCUUCCGCCAAAUGUAUUCAAGCUCUCUAAACUAAGGUUUCUUAACCUCUGGGGUAACAACUUUUCAGGUUCUGUUUCCAAUGAUAUAGGUUUGCUUCCUGAGCUAGAAAUCCUCAAUCUUCACUCUAAUUUUUUUGAGGGGCCGCUUCCGCCAAAUAUAUUCAAGCUCUCUAAACUAAGGUUUCUUAACCUCUGGGGUAACAACUUUUCAGGUUCUGUUUCCAAUGAUAUAGGUUUGCUUCCUGAGCUAGAAAUCCUCAAUCUUCACUCUAAUUUUUUUGAGGGGCCGCUUCCGCCAAAUGUAUUCAAGCUCUCUAAACUAAGGUUUCUUAACCUUUGGGGUAAUAACUUUUCAGGUUCUGUUUCCAAUGAUAUAGGUUUGCUUCCUGAGCUAGAAUUCCUCAAUCUUCACUCUAAUUUUUUUGAGGGGCCGCUUCCGCCAAAUGUAUUCAAGCUCUCUAAACUAAAGUUUCUUCAUCUUCGAGGUAAUAAGUUUUCAGGUUCUGUUUCCAAUGAUAUAGGUUUGCUUCCUGAGCUUGAAAUCCUCAAUCUUCGCUCUAAUUUUUUUGAGGGGCCGCUUCCGCCAAAUGUAUUCAAGCUCUCCAAACUAAGGUUUCUUUCCCUUAAGGAAAAUAAAUUUUCAGGUUCUGUUUCCAAUGAUAUAGGUUUCCUUUCUGAGCUUGAAUACCUAUAUCUUGACUAUAAUUUAUUUGAAGGAAGUAUUCCUAUUGGACUGGGACUCUUGACUAACCUCAGCUACUUAGAUCUAAGUUCCAAUAAUCUCAGUGGCUAUAUUCCAUCUGACAUUGGAAACCUGAAGCUACUAGUAUUUCUUGAUCUCAGUUCUAACCAAUUGACUGGACCGCUUUUAAAGAUCGUUUCUAAUCUCACAAAUCUUAUGAAUCUUGAUGUAAGUGAUAAUAGUCUUAGUGGAAAUAUUCAGAGUGACUUGUGGAAGAACUCUAUAUCCUUACGUUACAUUAAUUUUGCAAAUAAUUAUUUGUCUGGGAACAUUCCUAAGGAAUACAACGAUCAUCCAACUUUGGAAUACAUCAAUUUAAGUGGGAACCAUUUUACAGGUAUAUUUUUCUCUAUAUAUCUUUUCCUUUUCUCAUAUGUAACUAAGCUGGUAAUCUGAUUAUUGCAGUUUUACCAAAGUUUCAACAAUCUUGACAGGUGAGCUUCCAACAACAAUUUGCAAUGUCACUUCCCUUGCGGUUCUUGUUUUGUCAAAUAAUGGAUUAAGUGGAGCACUUCCAAAUUGUUUCGGGAAACUUGCUGAUAGAUUGCUUUCCAUUAAUCUUGCUAAUAAUCAGUUUCGAGGAACAAUACCAACUACUUUCUCCAGGAGUUGUCAGGUGAAAUAUCUAAACAUGGAUAAUAAUGAGUUUGAAAGAUUCUUGCCCCCGUCUUUGGCGAACUGUAAGCACUUGAAAAUUCUUGAUAUUGGCAAUAAUAAAAUAGGUGGUACAUUUCCGUCAUGGCUUUAUGUACUUGGAGAGAUAGAAGUCCUUGUCUUGCGAUCAAAUAAACUCUAUGGUACAAUAAGUGGAAGGAGCGUAAAAGAUCCCUUCCCCAAGUUGCGGAUUGUGGAUCUGUCCAACAAUCAAUUCACUGGUCAUUUGCCAAUUCAAUACUUUAAGAAUAUGAAAUCAACUGAUAAUUUGUAUCGUUAUCAGAAUUCCAAAGGAUAUCUAUCUUUCCAUCAUGAUGCAGCAGUCUCCUUAACUGUGAAGGGAACGGAGUAUGAGGUAGCAAAGAACCUUCAUAUUUACACAGCCAUUGAUCUGUCGUGCAACAAAUUUCAGGGACAAAUUCCAAACGUCACUGGAGAGCUUAGAUGGCUUGCAUUGCUCAAUUUAUCGCAUAAUAGUCUAACAGGACCUAUCCCAUCAUUGCUGAGAAAUAUGAAAGAACUCCAAUCUUUAGAUUUGUCUUCAAAUCAACUGACAGGGGCUAUUCCACCUCAGCUAACUGCAUUGACAUUUCUAGAGGUCUUGAACCUCUCGAAAAACCAUCUUAGUGGAGAGAUUCCUCAGAAAGGACAGUUCAGCACAUUUAACAAUGAUUCUUAUCUAGGAAACUCCGCGUUAUGUGGAUCACCUUUGACGAAGAAAUGUGCAAACACAGCAUCACCUCCACAAGAAGUUGUAAAUGGUGAUGAAGAUGAUGCUGGUGAUGAAAUGACAUGGGAAGCAAUCGUGAUGGGAUAUGGAUGUGGACUGAUAUGUGGAUUGUCAUCUGCGUACAUUGUUCUCAAACUAGGAAAGCCUUGGUGGUUUGUGAGAUAUAUCGAAGUACUGCAACUGAAGUUGAUGAAAAGAUAUGCAUGAAGAAUGGUACUGGCCGAUCAAGACGAACUUGAAAGUUGUUGUCCUUGUGGACAUUUCUGAACCAGUAGUGUACUAGCUACAUAAGUAUUUAGUAUUAUGUAAUAAUCCGUUUGGUCGGGACUCAUAAUGAUUUCUCUUGCUUCAGGGGUAUUAAUAUUAAACUUGCUAUCUUGAUGAAUGUUAAUGUAAAUUAAAAAGAAUAUAAAAUCAAAAAAUUUAAAUCAAACACCUGUUGUACCAAGAUCCAUUAAUUUGCUUUAGUCUCUUACAUAACAAUUUAAUAGCACACUUCCACACUGUUCACACGUGUAAUGUAUAAAAAUUCCAGUCUUCUUCGGAGGCCUACAGCUUCAACAACCUCUCAAAGAUGUAGCAGUUGCUUGACAGUGAUAGAUAUAUAUUAGAUAAACACUAUGCAAUAACCAAAGUGACAGAAAAAUCAAAGUCCGCUAAUAAAUUCAUAAAAAAUAUAAUAAUCAACAACAAGAAUCAUAGUCUUACAAGUUCAUAUAAAAUAUAGGAUCAUUAGUAUUCCACAUGUAUAUUUUCUUCUCUUUCUUUUCGAGUUUUCCUCUCCAGCACCAAAUCCAAAUUAAUAUACAAUGCCACACAUUCCAGUCUCAGCUUCAGCUCCCAGGCUAGCAUUGAUUUAGCCAAGCACGACAGUGGCCGCUCUUGGUCCUGCCUUCAAAUGUCUAACAAUAACAGUUGGAUACGUCGACAAAAAUAUUGUUCCUCAUCAUACUGAGGAGUUAUUGAAUUCGACAGUUUUACACAAAGAAGACAAUUCCAUGGACUAAUCUAUUAGUAACACGUAAGCUAUAAACACGUAGUCCACAUCUAUGCUACGAACAAUUCAUAUUGGUCUUCUAUCUGUGCAACAGUCUCCCGAAGAUAGGCCAAAAAUGUCAUCUGUGGUUCUUAUCUUUGUUAGCAAAGGAGAAUCUCCGAUGCCUAUACAACCUGAUUUUCUUACAGAAAGAAAUGCAAGUGAAACUAGGGUCGGAUACCAUGUUAAAUGAUCAAUUCUCCUAAAACUAGGUUCAGGAUGAUCAUGAUAUAUUCUAACAUCAAGAUUAGCAGGACUAAAAUGAAGAUUUAAAUGGAUUUUAAAAACAAGCUCCUACUGAAUAAAAAGAAUCAUUAAUUUUUCUGACUCAACAUAUGUUAGCCUCCCCUGGCCCUGGGUGAAACCAUAAGCUUCUCUGGUGCACAUCCAAAUCAUUCAGCUGGUUCUACUUUCAGCUCAGCACAGGAACAUCAUUCUGCAGGUACUCUUGUAUCUGUAGUUUCUUAUUAAUUUAUUAACAAAAUUUAGCUAUUAAAUAUUUUGAUAAAAUAUCUAUUUAUUAAAAUAUUUUUUUAUUUAAUUGGUCUGAUAAAAAUAUUAUUGAUAUAUAAAUUUUACCUUUUUUCUGAAACAAAUUAUAAUUUUUGCUUCAAGCUUUUGUAUGAUAAGUUGAGAAAUAUUAGUUUUCUUUAUCACCGUGAGAGUAGAUCCUCGUUCCACAAAAAUUUGUAACUGAAAAAUAAAAUAGAGCCCUAAAACUUUUCGAUAAAUAUGGACUAAACAAUUUUGAUGCUCAAGUCUCAAUAGGAUUUAUAAACGGUCAUGAUGAGUUUGAUUAUCAAUGACACCAAAAAAAUAUUAGAAUUAUAUUUAAGUUAUAAAUUUGUCAAUAAAUUGUGUGAUAAUCAUACUUUCCAAGUCUUCUUCAGAGGCCUCCUGCCUCAACAACCUUUCAAAGAUGUAGUAGUUGUUGCUCGAGAGGGACAAAUAUAUUAGGUAAAGACUAUGCAAUAAUCAACGUGACAGAAAAACCAAAGUCCUCUAAUAAAUUAAUAAAAAAUAUUAUAAUCAAUAUCAAGAAUCAUAUUAUCAUAGUCUUCUAAGUUCAUAUAAAAUAUAGAAUCAUUAGUAUAUAAAUAGAAGAGUGCAGAGUAAAGCCUUUCAUAAUCCAGUUGAGGAGAAAUAUGGCAUACUUUGUAAAGCCUUAUCACCUUCUUCUCUUUGUUUUCUUUCUCUCAUCACUUGAAUCCAUUCUUGCAACAACACGAGAAGGAGAAGCUCUUGUGAAAUGGAAGAAUAGCCUAGCCCCUUCUUCUUUUCUUGAUUCUUGGUCACUCACUCAUCUCGAUAAUCUUUGUAACUGGACUGGCAUUACUUGUAACUCUGCAGGUUCAGUCUCUGACAUUAACCUUUUCAACAAACAACUCACUGGAAAGCUUUUUGAGUUUGGUUUCACUUCAUUUCCAAAUCUCAACAAUCUCACCCUUGCAGAUAACUUCUUCUCUGGUCCAAUACCAUCAGCCAUUGGGAAUUUAACACAACUUCGGUAUCUUGAUUUGAGCAAUAAUUAUCUCAAUGGUUCCAUUCCGUACCAGGUUAGCCAUCUUUCAAGAUUACACAUCUUAAACCUGUCAGAGAAUGAACUGCAAGCUCCAAAUUGGUCCGAUUUCUCCCCCAUGCCUUGUUUGACCAUCCUCGACCUUUAUCAAAAUAAUCUUAUGUCGGAAUUUCCAGAAUUUAUAUCUAACUCGCGUAACCUGACAUACCUUGACCUUUCAUAUAACAAGUUCACAGGCGAUCUUGUGCGCGAAUCAGUAUUAACCAAUCUAGGUGAUCUUGAAACCCUCUAUCUUAAUGAAAAUUCUUUUAGGGGGCCAUUUCCACCAGACAUAUUCAAACUUUCCAAGUUGAGAGUUCUUGCCCUGUUCAAUAAUUUUUUUGAGGGGCCGCUUCCGUCAAAUAUAUUCAAGCUCUCUAAACUAAGAUUCCUUUUACUUUGGAGUAAUAAUUUUUCAGGUACUCUUUCGAAUGAAAUAGGUUUGCUUUCUGAGCUUGAAGACCUAGAUCUUCACUCCAAUUUUUUUGUGGGGCCGCUUCCGCCAAAUAUAUUCAAGCUGUCUAAACUAAGAACCCUUUUCCUCUGGGGUAAUAACUUCUCAGGUUCUAUUUCCAACGACAUAGGUUUGCUUUCUGAGCUUGAACACCUAUAUCUCGACUCCAAUUCUUUUGAGGGACCUUUUCCAACAAAUAUUUUCAAGCUUUCCAAAUUAAUACAACUUGGUCUCGCAAACAAUACAAAUUUAUUUGAAGGAAGUAUUCCUCCAGGACUGGGGCUCUUGACUAACCUAGAGGACUUGUCUCUUGCUUACAAUAAUCUUGGUGGCUAUAUUCCGUCUUCCUUUGGAAACCUAACACUACUAGUAUAUCUUAAUCUCGCUCGUAAUCAAUUGGUUGGAACACUAUCAAAGACCAUUUCUAAUCUCACAAAUCUGUGGUUUCUUGAUGUACAUCAUAAUAGUCUCUCUGGGAAUAUUCAGAGUGACUUCUGGAAAAACUCUACAUCACUGCUUUACAUUAAUUUGGCAGACAAUAAUUUUUCUGGGAACAUUCCUAAGGAAUAUAAUGUUCUUCCAAUCCUGGAUCACAUCAAUUUUAGGGGGAACAACUUUACAGGUAUUUUUAAUUCCAUAUUUUUUCCUUCUGUUGUAUUUAAUUAUGCUAACAACUACUGCCUCUGUUUUCAAAUACAUAUCGUUUGACUUUUUGGCACAAAACUCUAUAAUAAUUCUAACUAUAAGGUCAAUGAACUUAGAAAUAUAUGUCAAAAAGUCAAACGUCAUAUAUUUGAAAUUAGAGGGAGUAUGGCUUAAUGACCUUUUAGCCCUUAAAGUUUGGGUAGAAGUUCCGAUGCGGCGUCGAAGUUUAAAAACGUACCUUUCGACCCUCAAAGUAUCUUUGUCGUACCUUUUAACCCUUAUGGCGUAUACCGGUAUAUAACGGGUGGGCAAAGUUGACAUUUCACACGUGAGGGUUAAAUGGGGCAUUAAACAUUAAGGGUUAAAAGGAACAUUUAAUAUAUUUUAAUGUAUUAUUUAGGGAUUAAAAGGAACGAGAUGUAUACUUUAAGGGUUAAAAGGUACGCCCAAACUUCACCCCGAAUAUGAAUUGUCAAGUUUAUCCCCCGAUUUGUAUCGGUAUUUUUAAAAAGGGCUAAAAAGUACGACAAAGAUACUUUGAGGGUCGAAAUGUACGUUUUUAAACUUUGAGGCCGCAUCGGAACUUCCACCCAUUCUUCGAGGGCUAAAAGGUCAUUAAGCCGAGUAUAUAUUACAGUUUUACCAAAGUUUCAACAAUCAUGACAGGUGAGCUUCCACCAACAAUUUGCGAUGCAACUUCCCUUUCGAUUCUUGAUCUGUCAAAUAAUGGAUUAAGUGGUGCACUUCCACAUUGUUUGGGGAAUCUUGCUGAUAAAUUGAUUUCGAUUAAUCUUGCUAAUAAUCAGUUUCGAGGACCAAUACCAACAAAUUUCUCCAAGAGUUGUCGUCUGACGUAUCUUAACAUCUAUAACAAUCACUUUAAAGGAUUGGUUCCCCAGUCUUUGGCAAACUGUAAGCACUUGCAAAUUCUUGAUUUUGGAAAAAAUGAAAUAGGUGGAACAUUUCCGUCAUGGCUUUUUACUCUUGGAGAGCUAGAAGUCCUGGUCCUGCGAUCAAACAGAUUUUUCGGGAGAAUAACUAGAAGGAGCAUACCACACCCCUUUCCCAAGUUGCGGAUUUUGGAUCUAUCCAACAAUCAGUUCACCGGCUAUCUGCCAAUUUCAUACUUCAAGAAUAUGAAACCAAAUGAUAAUAAUUAUGAUUAUUUCAACAACACAAACGAAGCCUAUUACGUUUAUCAAGUUUCUAUCACAUUAAAUGUGAAAGGAAGCGAGCAUGAAGUGACAAAUAUUCUUUAUAUUUACACGGCCAUUGAUCUGUCGUGCAACAAAUUUGAAGGAAAAGUUCCAGACAUUACCGGAGAGCUUAGAUGGCUUGCAUUGCUAAAUUUAUCUCAUAAUAGUCUUUCGGGGCCUAUUCCAUCACAACUGGGAAAUAUGAAAGAGCUCCAGUCUCUAGAUUUGUCGUCAAAUCAAUUGACAGGUGUUAUUCCGGAUCAACUUACUAGUAUGACAUUUCUUGCUAGUUUGAACCUGUCAGAAAACCAUCUUUCUGGGAAAAUCCCUCGGAAAGGACAGUUCAGCACUUUUGGCGAAGAAUCUUACUUAGGUAACUCGGCCUUGUGUGGAGUUCCUUUGACAAAGAAAUGUAUAGACGAAGUGCCCCCUUCACAAGUUGGAAAUGGCGAUGAUGAAAAUGUUGAUGAAGAUGAUACCGUUGAUGAAUUCAAUUGGAAAGUGAUCCUGAUGGGAUAUGCAUGUGGAUCAAUAGGCGGAUUGUCUGCAGGAUACAUUGUCUUCACAGUUGGAAAGCCUUGGUGGUUUUUGAGGUACAUUGAGACACUGCAGCAGAAGUUGAUGUGAUGCGCAACUAGAAACAACCUUAUCUUAGAAUGAAUCUGAUCAAUGUUAGCAUAUACUGAACUUUUUUUUUUGUAAAUAUGAUUUCAAGUUCUCAUACUAAUACAAGAACCACUUGUUAAAUCUUGACCAUGCUAAGAGGAUGCUGAAUGCUGAUUUAACACUUUGCGAUGCAAAGCAGGGGCGCAUUAGUAUUUUAUAUGUGUUGAUAAUUUGCGCAAUGUUAACAGGGAUAGGUCUUCUUCUCUGCCAGAUCUUCGACAGACUCUUUCAAGGUCUUCUGAGGACCCAUCGGCUCGAAUUAGUCCAUCGUGAAUUAUGAUCUGAGAGCUAUCUGCACACUAUUUCCAGGUCUUCUGUCUCGUUAACUAUGAAAGGAAGAAAUCAUGAAGUGAAUAAAAUUCUUCAUAUUUACACAAUUGAUCUAUCAUGCAACAAAUUUUGAGGAGAAAUUUCAGAGGUUUCCGAAGAGCUUAAAUGGCUUGCAUUGCUCAAUCUAUCUCAUAAUGAUCUUACUAGACAUCUCCCCGUUGCUCGCCAUUAGAAAACAGGGAUUAUUCACUCGUCCGCCGCACCGCGAACUCAUUCUUAGGUGCUCGGAGGUUUUUGAGGAUUCUUGUUGAUUAUUAAUUUUGUGAUUUUGUUGAAUACUCUAUCACUUAAUAAUGUAAUAAUUGUGUUAUUAAAUAAUUAUAUUUUAAAUUGUUAAGGAUAUUGAACUAUUUGUUUGAUUAUUUGGUUUAAAUAUAAAUGUAACUCUUGAAAUACAUUUAUUAUAUAUAUAUUUAACAUGUUAAUAUUUACUGAAUCCCUCGCAUCCGAAUCCCGAUAUUUUUAAAUUUACGGAUUCUCGUAUUCAUGUACCGUGCACUACCAUACCUUCAACCACACUCAUACUUUCUAGCUGCUCGGAAAUAUGAAUCAAUCUUUAGAUUUGUCUUCAAAUCGAUUGACGGAGGCUAUUCCACACCAGUUAGGCAGUUAACUAGAUUGACAUUUCUAGAGGUCUUGAACUUCUCAGAGAAUAAUCUUACCGGGAAAAUACCGCAAAAAGGAAAAAUCAGCACUUUCGAGAAUAUAUGAGUCAGUGUGGUUCACCUGUCUAGACCAAAAAUGUCAUCUGAGAUUCUUAUGUUUUUUAGCUAUAUAUGAGUGGAAGAAAAUUGUCGAGUCGAGGUUAAUCGAAUAAGGCGAGCCGGCUCAUUUUAAUUUAAUUGAGACAAAACUUCUACGGAGUUCGACUCCUUUAAUUAAACGGCUAUGAAAUCUCAUUAAAGUCAGCCUUGUAUAUAAACUCAAGCCAGGUCGAGUUUUAUUGAACAAAUUUCAGCUCAAACCAGUCGCGAGCAGCCCAGCUCAAGUUCGAGGCCUGCUCAUCUGUCUUCGAGUCUUGGACGAGAUUUGAAUCAUCAACUCCUUCCAAAAAGAGUAUUACACUGACAAAAAUGCAGUAACAUGUUUAAUUUAAAAGUAUAUCAUCUGUUCCCGCAGUUUAAUUUUACCCAUAUUUUUGAGAUUCAUAUAAAUUAUAAUUCCAUAAUAUUUUUUCAAUCAUAUUGGUUUUGAAUAAAAAUAUAAAUAUCAAACUUUUAUUUUUAAAAAAAUUAUAAAAUUAUAUUUUAUAAGAGUCUCAAAUACGUGGGAAAGUGGGAGUAUUAAUUUCGCCCACUAAGUCACUGACAGGUUUGUUAAUUUGUUUCCAUUUGAAGGUGUACACUGCAUAUUUUCACCAGGGAUGGCAACAAGUCGAAUCAGUUCAGAUAUAUCAGAUAUCUCAAUCCAAAUCCAAAUUAUUUUUAAAAUCCAAAUCCAAUCGAGUUUCACAUAUCAAAUUCAAAUCCAAAUUCACGGGUUUCAGAUCGGGUUCAGGUUUGUUUGGGUUUAUCCAAAACCCGAAUCCAGAAAUGUAAGUAGUAUUGUAAAAAUAUUAUUUUUUAUUUUUUCACCCUUGAAUUUCAUUAUAUUUAAAACUAAACUACACACAUUCACACUUUAUCUAUCCAUAUUAUAAACACAAUUUAGUAUAUUUAAAAUUGAAAAAAAGUAUAUUAGUAUACUACAUACAUAUAUUUGGAUAUUUGGAAAUUUUUUCGGGUUUUGUGUUUGGAUCGAAUUUAGAUUUCGGGUCCGGUUUUGAUACGGAAUACUUAAUAUCUAAAUCCAAAUUCAAACUGGUUCGGGUCUAAAAAUUAAAUUCAAAUCCAAAUCCAAAAUAUCAUGUUCGUUAAAAUUCAUUCGGGUCGAGGUUGAGUAUCCAUUCGGAUCAGAUUUUUCUCUAACCAAUAAAUUUUGUAAAUGGUCUGCACAAACGCAGUUACCGGCCCAUUUCCGUAUGAAGCCCAUGAACAAUUAUUUGUUCUGUAUAUUUUUCAAUCAAACCAAACCCAAACGCUAACAGCAGAAUUAAUUAAAUUCCUUUCACAUGUGAUUUUGUAAUGGGCCUACAUUACAAAAAUACUGUAGGACUAUCCCACUAUCCCUGACCCUACAUGUUUUCUCAAUAAUUUUGAUAAAUAUAUUAAACAGAUAUUGAACUGUUACAAAAAUAUAACGUCUGUUUUUCAAAUAAGUAACGUACGGUUUCCGAGAGAUAAAGUUUGACUUAUAUUGACAAGAUAACGCUUGAAUUUAAUAUCUUUUUAAAAAAAACUAAUAUAAAAUCUAAAUUAAAUCUUCUUCUUAAAUGAGAAUCCAGAAAAAUCUCAAAAAUUCACAACUACAUCAAUAAAAUAUAAUAUCCAACAUUAAAUAAAAAUCUUUCAAUAUCCAUUUUUUGUGUAAUUUUCAACCAAUCUGCUCUAAUUAUUUCGUCACCUUUUAAAAUUUAAAAUUUUUAAAUACUCAAAACAAUUACCCUAACCGCCAACCACCUUAGAAUUAUAAAAUCUUAAAAUUAAAUGCUAAUAAGAUUAUCAGUGUUACUCACCUAAACCAAAACGGUUACAAAAUCUAACGGCAAUAUUAUAAACUUUUAAAAAUUAAAUUUUUAAUUAAUUUGGCAAGUGGUAUUCAUAUAGAACAAAACAGUUACAAAAUCAAACUGCAAAUUAUAAAAUCUUGAAAUUAUAUUUAAUACUGUAAGAUUUAGCAUGUGGGUCCCACACAAUCAGAAAAUAAUAUGAACACGAAAUCUUGCUCUAUUAAAUACACACACCUGUACAUACAUAUAUAAACACCCACCGCCUCUUCAACUUUCCAACAUCAAAACCCUCGUAAUUCAAUUGGGUUUCUGCUGUUAUUCUCCCCUCUCUCCUCUCUCUCGCCGAGAUUUUUAUAUGCAUACAUGCGUGGGUAUAUGUAUAUGUACACCCCCUUGGCAAAAACACAGACUAAACACUAAAAGAACCCACAGAAUCAUACCCAUGUUAUGGAUAUUAUCUGGGGUUUGUUGAAAUUGUUGUAGAAGGCCUAAAGAUUUGAUUUUGGAGUAGCCCAUUUGGUUCUUGAUUGAAUUUGGUUGUGUUUUGAGUGUGAAAAGGCAAGAUUUUAUGAUUCUUGAUGGAUGAAAGUGCUAUGUUUGGCUUGAAUGGAGAUAAUGANACAAAAUCUUGAAACGCUGUUUCUUGAUGGUAAUUCUUUUGAGGGGACGUUUCCACCGAAUAUAUUCAGGCUUUCUAAAUUAAAACACCUUUCCCUAUCUGCUAAUAAGUUUUCAGGUUCUGUGCCGGAUGACAAGUUGGUGUCGAAAGUGAGAAUGUUGCGGUAGGGGGUGAUUCGGAUGAGCUUGUUGUUGUUGGGGAGACAGGGCAGGUAUAAUGCUGCAUUUGUUGUUUUUGUCGAUAUUAUGUGUUGCUUUUGUGUUUUUUGUUAUGUUUUCAUAUGUUUAGUCCGUUAUUUUUUGGAGAAUUAAGUAGUCUGAUGAAUGUUGAUUAAUCCAAUAUAUAAGCUGGGCGUUUUUGUUUAAUGUGCUUAUUAUGAUUAUAUUAUUUUGUUUGAUAAUUGAAUUGUGUUUAGAUUGUUAAUCCAAAGCCAAGGUCAAAAGACGUAAGGUAACAUUGAUGUUAAUUGAUAAAACUAACCUCAGAAAGUAGAUUGUUUGAGGCAAUAGAGAGUGUGAGCCUCUAUCAUGACAAUUUAAGAAGUUUAUAGUUGAGUCGUUGACUGCAUUACUAUCAAAUGCAUAGGGGUAUGGAAAUGAAAACGGUUAAUAACAUAUGGGCAUUUAACCUAAUAAUUUGACAACUCGACACUCGGACUUGUAUAUGUAAGUUGUAGUAGAUGCAUACGGUGUUUUAGUAGUUUAUUUGUGUACAAAUUAUUUCAUUGGGUAUUAUUUGAAGUGAAUAGUAUAUUGGAUUCAUGCAUGUUCAGACUUUAAUAUCAACAUCUUUCAGAUUUUUCUGGAUAAUGGUUAAUAAAUUCUUUGUUUAAUAAUGACCGCUUCACUUAAUGUCAUUUCUCUUCUUUCUUUUUUUAAUUAUCGGAGUGGAUAUUUAUUUAAUUUUUUCUGAUUUAUGUUGCAACUUCCAAUAUAAUUUGUUUGGGUGCUAUACUUUGAUGGAUUAUAGGUCGCAUGUCGAGACUAUCCUCACCCACGAGAUCUUUGUGCUAAACUUCCCUUUACAUCUACUCCUCAUGAANUGCUAAACCAGGUAAUAAUAUUUUUUCUCAGAAUUAAUUAUUACACCUCUUUUCAGUGCCGAACGUUCUGCGUAUCUUAUUUGACCAUUGUCUGUUGCAGUGUCACUGUUAUGUUUGUGAUGCACCGGCUCCAUGUCUCAAAUGGGGAACUGGCAUAUCUGUCAGUGACCAUUGUCAUGCCACUGGGAAGGUGGAAUUCUGGAAUCAACAAAGCCUAAAUUUUUUGAAAAGGCUUUAAAAAAUUUGGAAUUUUUUAAAAAAAUGAAAAAUGUAAAAAUUAAAAAAAUCUAAAAAUAUCUGGAAAUUCAAAAAAUAUACCUAAAUUUUUGAAAUUAAAAAAUUUUAGAAUUUUUCCAAAUUUUCAGAUUUUUUCAAAGUUUUAAAUUUAUUUUCAAAAUUUUUAGAUUUUUUCGAUGUUUUUUCAUAUUUUUUAAAGUAUUUUAAAAAAAUUCAACUUUAUUAAAAAAUCGAUAUUUAUAUUUUUCUCAAAGUUUUUUUUAUUUUUUUUAAAGGAUUCUGUUAAAGGCAGCUGAUAUUUAACGUCGCAGUGACCUAUUUGCAAACUUUUAUUAGUUCAGUGAGUUGACUGCAACUUAAAUCGAGUUCUGUGAUCCGUUUGCAAACUUUUUAAGUUCAGUGACUUAACUGCAAGUUGGCCAUGAGUUCAAUGAUCUUUUCGCCUAUUAACCCGGACUAAAUCUACUAAAAUGAUAAUUAUGGACUCACAAUGUAUAUUUUUAAUUUAUAUGUUUAGUUAAAAAUUGGUUAAUUUGACUUUCGAAAAUCAAAAUGAACAUGUAAAAGGAGAUCGUGGUAAUAAGCCCCUCAACGUGUGUAAAUGUUAAGUAAAAGGGAUAUGUUUAUUUUUAUUUUAAAAAAGAAUUAAAAAUAUUAUUUUACAAAUUAAAUUAUAAAAUACUCUCUAUAUUCCAAAUUAGUGAGUUCGUUAAUUUUAGGCACACUAAUUUAGAUGAUUUAACUGCAUAGCUAUAUAAUUUAUUUUUAAUAUUUUUAAAAAACAAUUAAAAAUAAUUUCACGAAUAACAGAUGAUCAUUAUCUUUUAAAUCACAUGCUGAAAAUCGGAUGUUGCCCUUAUCAUUAUCACAUUUUUAAGUAGUAAUGUCUCGAAAAUUAAAUAUUAGAUCCAAUAUGAUUUCAAAUAUCACUUUAUAAUAUUCUUUUUUGUCAUAAUAUCACUUAAUAAUGUUAAAUGAGUGACGUUUAUAUUUUUUUUAAAGUGUUACACAAUGAGAAACUCUAAAAAAUAUAACGGUAGAUAAUGUAGUAUCAUAUCAAAACAUUACUUUAUCUAACCAGAACAUAAUAUUCCAAGGACAAUUUAACUUUUUUUAUAAUAUUCAGAACCUUCUUUUUUUUUUUUGAAUAAAAGACAAAUUUCAUUAAUACGAAAUGUCAUACAGAAAAAUCUCCAACAAUACAUCUCGAGGAGACAUAAACACUUUUUGACAAUUUAAAGAACAGGAUAAUUUAGCUACUAGAUGAGCUACUCCAUUCGCUUGUCGUUUAACAAAUGAAACUGAAUAACAUGGCUUCGAAUUUAAAAUAAGCUUGCAGGCAUUCAAGAUGUGACCAACUUCUAAAAGAUUUUCCUGAGAGUCAUGCAAGGCUUUAAUGGCCAGGAGAGAGUCUGAUUCAAUUUCCACCACCUCAUGAUUUAAUGAGCACAACCACGGGAGACCUUCAAAAGAGAAAAGGCCCCCAGUAACCUUUUUUUAGUGUCAAAUGCCCUAGUUGUCAUUAUAAUAAAAAAUGGCCCUCAUUAUCACUCUAUAACACUACUUAAACUCACGUUCUGUUUUUCCAUCAUAAACGGCACACGCAACAGUGUUUCCAGGUUUAAUACUUUUUAAAAAAAGUCUAACGUAACAUGAAGUUACGUUCACUGAUCUGAGUUUUUUUUUCAUAUUACUCACAUCUUGCUUAUUUCCAUAUAGAAAGAAAUUCACUCACUAGUCAACGUUAUAACAAAUUAUAAUAAUAUUUAACCAGUGCACCCCAAAGGGUAGCGGCUGCGGUUUCCUACGUUAAAAAGAAUAUUUAAGCGUUCAUACAUGGGGUUUAGAAAAAUUUGUUUAUAAUUGUAAAUUAAUUUUCUGAACGUUAGGGUUUAGGAUUGAGGGUGUAGGGCCGGUAGGCCCUACUCCCUCGAGCCUAAAACCUAAUUAAUGCGAGGCUGAAGGGCCGAAGGCCCUGAAGCCGAGAAAUCGGCAGAAUAAAUAAAUUUACAAUCGUUAACAUUUAGGGUUUAGAUUUGGGUUGCAGAAUGAUUAAUUCAUACUGUAAAUUAAUUGGCCGAACGUUAGGGUUUAGGAUUGAGGGUGUAGGGCCGGUAGGCCCUACUCCCUCGAGCCUAAACCCUAAUUAAUGCGAGGCUGAAGGGCCGAAGGCGAGAAACCGGCGGAAUAAAAAAAUUUACAAUCGUUAACAUUUAGGGUUUAGGUUUGGGUUGCCAUAAUGAUUAAUUCGUACUGUAAAUUAAUUGGCUAAACGCUAGGUUUUAGGAUUGAGGGUGUAGGGCCGGUAGACCCUCCUCCCUCGAGCCUAAACCCUAAUUAAUGCGAGGCUGAAGGGCCGAAGGCGAGAAACCGGCGGAAUAAAUAAAUUUACAAUCGUUAACAUUUAGGUUUAGGUUUGGGUUGCCAUAAUGAUUAAUUCGUACUGUAAAUUAAUUGGCCAAACGCUAGGUUUUAGGAUUGAGGGUGUAGGGCCGGUAGACCCUACUCCCUCGAGCCUAAACCAUAAUUAAUGCGAGGCUGAAGGACCUUCAAGCCCUAAACGCUCGAGCCUAAACCCUAAUUAACUCGAGGCUCUAGGGCCGUGAGACCCUAAAGCCGAGGAACCGGAAUUAAAAUAUAAAACAAAAUUUUAAAUGGCGUUUAAAGUGGCGACAGAAUUGUAAGUUGGGUGUUAAGCUAGCAAACGACAUUAAGUUACGUUUUAGAUUUUUAGGUUAUUAAAAAAUAAAAAAAAAAAUCAAGAACGUCACAUGAAGGCACGUUUUACUUCUGAUAUCAAGAACGUCACAUGAAGGCACGUUUUACUUCUGAUAAACACACCAGCACGUGACUAAAGUCUCGUUUUCAUAUAUAACAGCAAUUGAAGUGACGUUUUGCUUUUUUUAGUUUAAAAUAAUAACCCCAUAACGUGACCAGGAGUCACGUUUUAGUAUAAAUCCUAAACGCUGCUUCAGAACAUGUUUUGGAGUGACACCCGGGGCCAUUUUACGGGAUUGUGACUUUAAGGUCCAUAUUGUUACUGAUGGUGACUCACAGGGCCAACACCCCCUUCAAAAAUAGCGCUUGCUUCGGCUUCAAGGACAGUAGCCACCAUGGCUUUACAUAUUGUUUUACCCAUCACAAAAACUCCCUCGCUGUCACGCAGAACCAAACCCAACGAGACCGAGGCCUCACCGAAACGCACACCUGCAUCAACAUUUAGUUUGAGAACUCCAUCCGUCAGCUUUUUCCACUUCACUCGAGAAGAAGAUGCGGAACUAGAAGUACUACCAACCUGAACAACACGCUUAGCUUUAGCCUCCUUCCAGUCAGAAAUAAUCUUAGCGCUCCAAUCCAUAGCUAUAGCAGCUGUAACAACCUUGUGAUCCCAAACCUUCUUGUUUCGAAAAAACCAAAUUCCCCAAAGAACUCGAGCAAUAUUAAAAGUUUCAUGAUCAGGACCUGAUUCAAACCUAGCAAGUAACCAAGAGGGGGCAAACUCCACCAGAGACAAAUCAAAGACCAUACCUGAGUAUUGCCAACAUAACAUUGCAAACUGGCAGGUGAAAAAUAUGUGAAUAAGGUCUUCGUCACCAGAGUUACACAUGGGACAGUCAAGAGAAAGAUUUACUCCCUUAGAUUGUAAUCGACUUUUCACAGGCACAUUAUUCCUGCAAAAACGCCAUAAAAACACUUUGAUCUUAAGAGGAACCUCCAACUGCCAGAGUUUCUUCCACCCACUAGAUUGUGUAACAGUGCCAGUGCCAAUAUUUUGGGCAUGUCAAAACUGGUAACCUGUUUUCACAGAAUUUUGGCUGUUAGUAGUCUUUGACCAAGCUAGACGAUCCACGGUCGACCUACAGGGAACAUAAGUUUUUAAAAAUUAUGUAAUUCAUUCAAUUCCGUAUCAGACAAUACAUCUUAUCAUCGGUGAUAAUGAAAAUAGUGUAGAUGUUUGACCUAGUCCCUGUUUGACAACCAAUAUAAUAAGAAAUAAAUUCUUAUUUUUCUAAAAAAUAUAUUUUUGUAUAUAAAUGUUAAAGAGAUAUUUCUUAUUUGUUGUUUGAAAAAAGUAAAGACUUAUUUCAGAAUAAAAAAAAAUUAUUGUACAUUCUCUUUAUUUCUGAAAAUAAGUUUGGUCAAAUCAUCCAUAAUUCACGUAAUUCAAAAGCCCAUUAAUUUUUUUUUUCUUGCUAAUUGAUCAGCACACGCACACGUUUCCAACUUCCCGCAAAGGGUACAGGAGUACCACCGGAGUACCAUCACACCGACGCUUUGUUGGGCCCAAUAAUUGGCUGAAGUUGAACGGGGCUUUCUGCCUCCGCUGGACCCCAGUUGGGAGGACUCUUUCCAAGUCUUUCGGAGCCUCUUUCCCAUUGACUCCAACUUUCCAGGGUGUAUACAAAUUUUUUGAAAGAGGGUGUAUACAAAUUAUUCACGGCCAUCAAAUCAACCAGCGUAGCUGGUGAACAAAUAUUAUUGUUUAUUAUAAUUUUAUUUAAUUUAAAUGUGAUUAUAAGAACAUAAGAGGACGUUUGAAAGUGUGGGUCUUAUUUCAAACAGUAGAUUUAAAAAAAUAUGAUUUCAAUUGUUAUUUAAAAUUCUUAAAUUUAUAUUAUAUUAAAAUGUUCUUAUUCUAAUUAAUGAGUCACUAUUCGUAUUCUCAAGCAUGUUAGUUUGUUAAAAUUUAAAAUUUCAAAUGAAAUUAGGCUAAAAGACCAUAAUAUCAAAGCAAAAUCUCAUUAUCCAAUAUAUUGGUGGGCAAAAAUAUUAAACCUGGCUAUUCAUUAAUAUUGGUUCUUUAUUCAAAUUAUGUCAAAUUUAUAUAAAAUUUCGAAAAUUAUUUAUGAAUAAGAGUCGGCAUUCAUAUAUUUAUUAAGGAUACAAGUGAGAAAAUGUUAUUAAAUUAAUAUUUUUUUAAUAUACGUAAGUUUUUUAAAAUAAAUUUGUAGCGUGGGACGGGAGUAUUAGACUGAUUCUGGCUUGGAGUGAAUCAGCCCAUAAAGUUUACAGGGUAGAUGACCAUUCUUAAAUCUUAAAGAAUCUUACGGUGACAGCUAACUGAACGACUCGGUUUCAGAAGUGCUGAAAAGUUUCGACGUAAACUACAAUUUGCCUAGCAUGUAAUUUCCAUGCAUUUUCUCGUUACUAGUGACAGAUAACUUUUUUGAUAUUUAUAUAUUUUUAAUUAUAAUAAAGAUACUAGUGAUUAUGGUUAGCUUUUGGAGUACUUUCGGAGUACUUGGAAAUUUUCUUUUCGAGAAAGACGAGAGUACCUAUUUCAAUUUUUUACCAAAAAUUAUAAUUGAAAACAACGGACUUUUAUACUUAUCAUAACAAUUUUUAACAUCUUGUUUAGAAAUAACCUGUUGUUGUAUUAUGCAAAAGUAAUAUCACUAGUUUCUAUAUUCGUAUUCUAAUGAUAAUAAAAACAUCUCUAAUUCAUUAAAACUCUUACAUAGAAAAUGAUAAAAAAAAAAAAGAAGAUAUAAAAUAAUUUAUUAAAAAUAUAUCAAAGNGAAGAUAUAAAAUAAUUUAUUAAAAAUAUAUCAAAGUUUUUGCACUCGGUUAUAAUUAUUGUGUAAUUUCUUUUUUCAAUUCCAAGAUAUUGUUAUAAGAAAAUUUUACAUCAUAUAUAUAUUACAAAAAAAAUUAAUGUAUUCUAUAUAUAUAUAUAUAUAUAUAUAUAUAUAUAUAUAUAUAUAUAUAUAUAUAUAUAUAUACAAUAAANNNNNNNNNNNNNNNNNNNNNNNNNNNNNNNNNNNNNNNNNNNNNNNNNNNNNNNNNNNNNNNNNNNNNNNNNNNNNNNNNNNNNNNNNNNNNNNNNNNNNNNNNNNNNNNNNNNNNNNNNNNNNNNNNNNNNNNNNNNNNNNNNNNNNNNNNNNNNNNNNNNNNNNNNNNNNNNNNNNNNNNNNNNNNNNNNNNNNNNNNNNNNNNNNNNNNNNNNNNNNNNNNNNNNNNNNNNNNNNNNNNNNNNNNNNNNNNNNNNNNNNNNNNNNNNNNNNNNNNNNNNNNNNNNNNNNNNNNNNNNNNNNNNNNNNNNNNNNNNNNNNNNNNNNNNNNNNNNNNNNNNNNNNNNNNNNNNNNNNNNNNNNNNNNNNNNNNNNNNNNNNNNNNNNNNNNNNNNNNNNNNNNNNNNNNNNNNNNNNNNNNNNNNNNNNNNNNNNNNNNNNNNNNNNNNNNNNNNNNNNNNNNNNNNNNNNNNNNNNNNNNNNNNNNNNNNNNNNNNNNNNNNNNNNNNNNNNNNNNNNNNNNNNNNNNNNNNNNNNNNNNNNNNNNNNNNNNNNNNNNNNNNNNNNNNNNNNNNNNNNNNNNNNNNNNNNNNNNNNNNNNNNNNNNNNNNNNNNNNNNNNNNNNNNNNNNNNNNNNNNNNNNNNNNNNNNNNNNNNNNNNNNNNNNNNNNNNNNNNNNNNNNNNNNNNNNNNNNNNNNNNNNNNNNNNNNNNNNNNNNNNNNNNNNNNNNNNNNNNNNNNNNNNNNNNNNNNNNNNNNNNNNNNNNNNNNNNNNNNNNNNNNNNNNNNNNNNNNNNNNNNNNNNNNNNNNNNNNNNNNNNNNNNNNNNNNNNNNNNNNNNNNNNNNNNNNNNNNNNNNNNNNNNNNNNNNNNNNNNNNNNNNNNNNNNNNNNNNNNNNNNNNNNNNNNNNNNNNNNNNNNNNNNNNNNNNNNNNNNNNNNNNNNNNNNNNNNNNNNNNNNNNNNNNNNNNNNNNNNNNNNNNNNNNNNNNNNNNNNNNNNNNNNNNNNNNNNNNNNNNNNNNNNNNNNNNNNNNNNNNNNNNNNNNNNNNNNNNNNNNNNNNNNNNNNNNNNNNNNNNNNNNNNNNNNNNNNNNNNNNNNNNNNNNNNNNNNNNNNNNNNNNNNNNNNNNNNNNNNNNNNNNNNNNNNNNNNNNNNNNNNNNNNNNNNNNNNNNNNNNNNNNNNNNNNNNNNNNNNNNNNNNNNNNNNNNNNNNNNNNNNNNNNNNNNNNNNNNNNNNNNNNNNNNNNNNNNNNNNNNNNNNNNNNNNNNNNNNNNNNNNNNNNNNNNNNNNNNNNNNNNNNNNNNNNNNNNNNNNNNNNNNNNNNNNNNNNNNNNNNNNNNNNNNNNNNNNNNNNNNNNNNNNNNNNNNNNNNNNNNNNNNNNNNNNNNNNNNNNNNNNNNNNNNNNNNNNNNNNNNNNNNNNNNNNNNNNNNNNNNNNNNNNNNNNNNNNNNNNNNNNNNNNNNNNNNNNNNNNNNNNNNNNNNNNNNNNNNNNNNNNNNNNNNNNNNNNNNNNNNNNNNNNNNNNNNNNNNNNNNNNNNNNNNNNNNNNNNNNNNNNNNNNNNNNNNNNNNNNNNNNNNNNNNNNNNNNNNNNNNNNNNNNNNNNNNNNNNNNNNNNNNNNNNNNNNNNNNNNNNNNNNNNNNNNNNNNNNNNNNNNNNNNNNNNNNNNNNNNNNNNNNNNNNNNNNNNNNNNNNNNNNNNNNNNNNNNNNNNNNNNNNNNNNNNNNNNNNNNNNNNNNNNNNNNNNNNNNNNNNNNNNNNNNNNNNNNNNNNNNNNNNNNNNNNNNNNNNNNNNNNNNNNNNNNNNNNNNNNNNNNNNNNNNNNNNNNNNNNNNNNNNNNNNNNNNNNNNNNNNNNNNNNNNNNNNNNNNNNNNNNNNNNNNNNNNNNNNNNNNNNNNNNNNNNNNNNNNNNNNNNNNNNNNNNNNNNNNNNNNNNNNNNNNNNNNNNNNNNNNNNNNNNNNNNNNNNNNNNNNNNNNNNNNNNNNNNNNNNNNNNNNNNNNNNNNNNNNNNNNNNNNNNNNNNNNNNNNNNNNNNNNNNNNNNNNNNNNNNNNNNNNNNNNNNNNNNNNNNNNNNNNNNNNNNNNNNNNNNNNNNNNNNNNNNNNNNNNNNNNNNNNNNNNNNNNNNNNNNNNNNNNNNNNNNNNNNNNNNNNNNNNNNNNNNNNNNNNNNNNNNNNNNNNNNNNNNNNNNNNNNNNNNNNNNNNNNNNNNNNNNNNNNNNNNNNNNNNNNNNNNNNNNNNNNNNNNNNNNNNNNNNNNNNNNNNNNNNNNNNNNNNNNNNNNNNNNNNNNNNNNNNNNNNNNNNNNNNNNNNNNNNNNNNNNNNNNNNNNNNNNNNNNNNNNNNNNNNNNNNNNNNNNNNNNNNNNNNNNNNNNNNNNNNNNNNNNNNNNNNNNNNNNNNNNNNNNNNNNNNNNNNNNNNNNNNNNNNNNNNNNNNNNNNNNNNNNNNNNNNNNNNNNNNNNNNNNNNNNNNNNNNNNNNNNNNNNNNNNNNNNNNNNNNNNNNNNNNNNNNNNNNNNNNNNNNNNNNNNNNNNNNNNNNNNNNNNNNNNNNNNNNNNNNNNNNNNNNNNNNNNNNNNNNNNNNNNNNNNNNNNNNNNNNNNNNNNNNNNNNNNNNNNNNNNNNNNNNNNNNNNNNNNNNNNNNNNNNNNNNNNNNNNNNNNNNNNNNNNNNNNNNNNNNNNNNNNNNNNNNNNNNNNNNNNNNNNNNNNNNNNNNNNNNNNNNNNNNNNNNNNNNNNNNNNNNNNNNNNNNNNNNNNNNNAAUCAUCUGACAGGGCCUAUCCCCCAAAAAGGACAGUUCAGCACAUUCAACAAGGAUUCUUACCUAGGUAACUUUGCCUUGUGUGGAUUACCUUUAACUAAUAACUGUACACACACUGUGUCACCACCACAAGAAGGCGGAACUGGUGACAAUGAUGCCUAUGAUGAACCCGAUUGGGAAGUGAUCCUCAUGGGAUAUGGAUGUGGACUAAUAUGCGGAUUGUCCACUGGGUACGUUGUCUUCACAUUCAGAAAGCCUCAGUGGUUUAUGAGAUACACUGAAAGCGUGCAACAGAAGUUGAUGAGAUGAUGCAUGUUGAGUACCGUUCAAUCAUGAAGCACAACUGGAAACAAUGUUAUCUUAGGAAAACAUGUGUUCUGAACCAGUAGUGUUUGCACAAAAUUUGUGGUGCUAUGUAAUACUUAUAUAAUUGUACGUAUGAUUAUUGAUUAGUCGUUGAGAAAAUGCAUUUUAUUUCAGUGUCAAUGAUAAUCUACAUGUUUUGGAUACUUCCAGCUUCUCAUACUAAUAUAGGAACCACUUGAAAAAUUUUGCGAUGCAAAGCAGGGACUCAUGAGUAUUUUCAUAUGUGUAUUAGUUUUGAAGAUAAAAGUUGUAUGGACAAUUGUGUUGAUAAUUUGCGCAAUGAUAACUGGGAUAGGUCAUCUUCUCUCCCAAGUCUUGGAUGGACUCUUUCCAAGUCUUCUGAGAACCCAUCAGCUCAGAUUAGUCCAUACAAUGUCAAGGGUCCUAUGAUAUGGUCUACUAACAGCCCAGUGUCGGUAAUAAAUCCAAUUGCAUAUAACCUAUUCAAAAUCAAUCCCCUAUAAACAAUCAUCUCUAAAAACUAUUCACAUAAAAUAAAAUUUUAAAAAUAUAAAAUAUCUAGUUGUUUUCAAUAUAUAAUUUUCCACAGUAGAUAACAAAAUAUCUUUAUCAAAUUAUAUUAUUUAUGGGUUCAAUAUUUAAGCUAUAAUUCCAAUAACACGGCAAGCAUGCAUGCAGCAUAUAAAUAGAAGUGUGCAGUAUGUAUGGUAUUCAUAACCCAGUUGAGGAGAAACAUGGCACACUUUGUAAAGCCUUCUCACCUUCUUCUCUUUGUUUUCUUUCUCUCAUCACUUGAGUCCAUUCUUGCAACAAGACGAGAGGGAGAGGGAGAAGCUCUUGUGAAAUGGAAGAAUAGCCUAGCCCCUUCUUCUUUUCUCGACUCUUGGUCACUCACCAAUCUCGAUAAUCUUUGUAACUGGACUGGCAUUACUUGUAACUCUGCAGGUUCAGUCACUGAGAUUAACCUUUUCGGAAAAAAACUUGAUGGAAGGCUGUCCGAGUUUGGUUUCACUUCAUUUCCAAAUCUCAACAAUCUCACCCUUGCAGAUAACUUCUUCUUGGGUCCAAUACCACCAGCCAUUGAGAAUUUAACACAGCUUCAGUAUCUUGAUUUAAGCUUUAAUUAUCUCGAUGGUCCCAUUCCGUUCCAGGUUAGCCAUCUUCAAAGGUUGCUUGUCUUAAACGUGUCACAGAAUGCAUUGCAUUCUCCAAAUUGGUCCAAUUUCUCAAACAGAUGAAAUUAUGCAACUGAAAUUGAUGUAGUCUUAAAGAAUUCUCAGGCACUUAAACAUGUUUCAAAGAAUUCUCAGGCACUUAAACAUUUGGACGGGUUCUUUGGAAGCCAAGAUGCCCAGGUUAUCAUGGCCAUGCACAAAAUGCAGUAUAAAAAAAAAAUGAAUACCUUAAGAGAGAUUGCUCUGGGUCUCCCCAAGCCUUCUAGACUCAUUCCAAGUCUUCUGAGGACCACUGCCUCGCGCUUUCAAAGAUGUGAUGGUAGCUCGGGAGUGAUAUAAAUUAUUUUCGGGACACUAAUAAUAAAUAAUCAGAUCAAAUUAAUCAUCAAUAAUAAAUUGAGGAUACGAAAUCAAAAUUAAUCCUAAAUUUUGAUAAUAUAUAAAAAUUACUUUACGUACACUGUUUGCACGCAUUUUGAGCUCGUAUAAAGUAUAGUUUCAUAACUUUUUUUAAAAAAUUUCUUUUUUGAUAAAAGUUUAAACGUCAAACUUUUAUUCAGAGAAAAAAAAUUAAAAAAUAUAUCACGGAACUAUACUUUAAAUUAGUAUGGAAAAACGUGCCAAAAUUAACGUAAAGAAAUGAGGGGAACAAAGAUAGUAUAAUUAUAUUAUAAAUUAAAAUUGAAAUAACUUACGUGGCACUGAAAUUGAUAAAGGCAAUAUGGUUAAAUUGAUGAAAAGUCAAAGUCCUCUAAUAAAUCCAUAAAGAAUAUAAUAAUCAAAACGACGAAAAUUAUAAAUGAAAAAUCAAAAUCAUCCUAAUAAGUACACAAAAAGAAUAUGAUCGUUAGUGUAUUGGAAUAGUGUGCACACACUUAUAUAUCAAAAUUUGUGGUCCAAAAGCUAUGGCACAAUAUUCUAAAUACACCACAUUAAGUAAUAGUUCAAAAAUAUUCAAUAUAUAAUUGUUUUCAUUCAUAAUUUUGUUAUUAUUUUAAAAAAUAAUUUGGUUGCUGUUAACCUAUAUUUCAAUUAUAUAAUUAUAUUAUUUUUUAUUUUAUGUAUCUAGAAACAAUAUUUUUGUAAUAUUUAUUACAUUAAUUAUAUUAAAAGAUAUAAUUUGUUAAAAACUUGAAUAAAAUUAAGAGGAUAACUUUAUGUCUCUCCAAGUUCACAGCACGGGUGAGCAUUGGGUUCGGAUAUCCAUAUACCGAAUGGAUAUAUCAAAUCAAAACUAAUCAUGAAUUAUGAUAAUAAUUAAAUAAAUUAUAAUUAAGCUAUAUGAAUCAACUCCAAAUGACAACAACAGCACCAAACCUUAGUUACUUUAAUAUUGGUAAAUAAAUAUAAUAUAAUAAUCAAAUUGAUGAAAAAUCACAUCAUCUAAUAAAUUCACAAAAAAUAUAUGAUCAUUAGUAUAUUAUAUUAGUAUCCACACACUUAUAUUUCAAAAUCUAUCCUCCAAAAUUAUCAUCUCUGUAAGCUAGCCACAUAAAAUAAAAAAUUUAAAGAUAUUAGAUAUUUAGUUAUUUUCAUUAUAUAAUUUUUCCACACGAAAUAACAAAAUAUCUUUAUCAAAUUAUUAUUUAUGAGUUAAAUAUUCAAGUUAUAAAUCCAGUAUUCAGCGUAUAAAUAGAAGUGUGCAGUAUGAUAUCAGAUUCACAUAACCCAGUUGAUGAGGAGAAACAUGGCAUACUCUGCAAAGCCUUCUCACCUUCUUCUCUUUGUUUUCUUUCUCUCAUCACUUGAAUCCAUUCUUGCAACAACACGAGAGGGAGAAGCUCUUGUGAAAUGGAAGAAUAGCCUAGCCCCUUCUUCUUUUCUCGAUUCUUGGUCCCUCACCAAUCUCGAAAAUCUUUGUAACUGGACUGGCAUUACUUGUAACUCUGCAGGUUCAGUCUCUGAGAUUAACCUCUGUGAGAAACAACUUGAUGGAAUGCUGUCCGACUUCGGUUUCACUUCAUUUCCAAAUCUCAAGAAUCUCACCCUCGCAUACAACUUCUUCUCGGGUCCAAUACCACCAGCCAUUCAGAACUUAACAAGGCUUCAAUGCCUUGAUUUAAGCUUUAAUUAUCUCAAUGGUCCUAUUCCGUUCCAGGUGAGCCAUCUUCAGAGCUUGCUCAUCUUGAACCUGUCACAGAAUGCAUUGCAAACUCCAAAUUGGUCCCAUUUCUCUCCCAUGCCUUUCUUGCGCAUCCUCAACCUCAGUUACAAUCCUCUUGCGUCGAAAUUCCCAGAUUUUAUAUCCAGUUCUCAUAGCCUGACUCACCUUAGCCUUAAUUAUAACGAGUUUACUGGUGAUUUAGUACGUGAAUCAGUAUUUGCCGAUCUGCAUAAUCUUGAAAAGCUCAGUCUUGUUGGCAAUUCUUUCGAGGGGCCAUUUCCGCCGGAUAUAUUCAGGCUUUCCAAAUUAAAACAUCUUAGCAUGUCAGAUAACAAACUUUCAGGUUCAAUUCCCAAUGACAUAAGGUUGCUUUGUGAUCUUGAAUACCUAUAUUUAGCCAACAAUUCCUUUGAAGGACCGCUUCCACCAAAUAUAUUCAAGUUUUCAAAAUUAAAACAUCUUGUUCUUUGGGGUAAUAAGUUUUCUGGUUCUGUUUCCAAUGAUAUAGGUUUGCUUUCUGAGCUUGAAACUCUCGAUCUUAGCUCUAAUUUUUUUGAGGGGCCGCUUCCGCCAAAUGUAUUCAAGCUCUCCAAACUAAAAGUUCUCACCCUGUCAAUUAACAAAUUUUUAGGUUCAAUUCCCAAUGACAUAAGGUUACUUUGUGAUCUUGAAUACCUAUAUUUAGGCAACAAUUCCUUUGAAGGACCGCUUCCACCAGGUAUAUUCAAGCUUUCAAAAUUAAAACAUCUUUUUCUUUGGGGUAAUAAGUUUUCAGGUUCUGUUUUCAAUGAUAUAUGUUUGCUUUCUGAGCUUGAAACCCUCGAUCUUAACUCUAAUUUUUUUGAGGGGCCGCUUCCGCCAAAUGUAUUCAAGCUCUCCAAACUAAAGAUUCUUUCCCUUUAUGUGAACAACUUUUCAGGUUUUAUUUCUAAGGAUAUAGGUUGGCUUUUUGAACUUGAAACCCUCUAUCUUGGCUCUAAUUUUUUUGAGGGGCCGCUUCCCCCACAUGUAUUUAGGCUCUCCAAAUUAAGAGAUUUGGACCUCUCAGACAAUAGAAAUUUAUUUGAAGGAAGUAUUCCUAUUGGACUGGGACUCUUGACUAACCUCAGGUACUUAGAUCUACAUUUCAGUAAUCUCAGUGGCUAUAUUCCAUCUGACAUUGGAAACCUGAAGCUACUAGUACUUCUUGAUCUCAGUUCUAAUAAAUUGACUGGACCGCUUUCAAAGAUCAUUUCUAAUCUCACAAAUCUUAUAUUUCUUGAUGUAAGUGAUAAUAGUCUUAGUGGAAAUAUUCAGAGUGACUUGUGGAAAUAUAACGAUCAUCCAACUUUGGAAUACAUCGAUUUAAGUGGGAACCAUUUUACGGGUAUAGUUUUUCUCUAUAGAUCUUUUCUUUUUCUCAUAUGUAACUAAGCUAGUAAUCUGAUUAUUGCAGUUUCACCAAAGUUUCAACAAUCUUGACAGGUGAGCUUCCAACAACAAUUUGCAAUGUCACUUCCCUUUUGGUUCUUGAUUUGUCAAAUAAUGAAUUAAGUGGUGCACUUCCAAACUGUUUCGGGAAUCUUGCUGAUAGAUUGCUUUUCAUUAAUCUUGCUAAUAAUCAGUUUCGAGGAACAAUACCAACUACUUUCUCCAGGAGUUGUCAGCUGACAUAUCUAAACAUGGAUAAUAAUGAGUUUGAAGGAUUGUUGCGCCCAUCUUUGGCGAACUGUAAGCACUUGAAAAUUCUUGAUAUUGGCAAUAAUAAAAUAGGUGGUACAUUUCCGUCAUGGCUUUAUGCACUUGGAGAGCUAGAAGUCCUUGUCUUGCGAUCAAAUAAACUCUAUGGUACAAUAAGUGGGAGGAGCAUAGAAAAUCCCUUCCCCAAGUUGCGGAUUGUGGAUCUGUCCAACAAUCAAUUCACUGGCCAUUUGCCAAUUCAAUACUUUAAGAAUAUGAAAUCAACUGAUAAUUUGUAUAGUUAUCAGAAUGACACAGGAGUUUUUUCUUUCCAUUAUGAAGCAUCUGUAUCAUUAACUGUGAAGGGAACAGAGUAUGAAGUGAAAAAUAUCCUUCAUAUUUACACAACCAUUGAUCUGUCCUGCAACAAGUUUCAAGGAGAAAUUCCUGACGUUAUUGGAGAGCUUAGAUGGCUUGCAUUGCUGAACUUAUCUCAUAAUAGUCUAACAGGACAUAUCCCAUCAUUGCUGAGAAAUAUGAAAGGACUCCAAUCUUUAGAUUUGUCUUCAAAUCAACUGACAGGGGCUAUUCCACCUCAGUUAACUGCAUUGACAUUUCUAGAGGUCUUGAACCUCUCGGGAAACCAUCUUAGUGGAGAGAUUCCUCAGAAAGGACAGUUCAGCACAUUCAACAAUGAUUCUUAUCUAGGAAACUCCGCGUUAUGUGGAUCACCUUUGACAAAGAAAUGUGUAAACACAGCAUCACCUCCACAGGAAGUCGGAAAUGGUGAUGAAGAUGAUGCUGGCGAUGAAUGGACAUGGGAAGCAAUCGUGAUGGGAUAUGGAUGUGGACUGAUAUGUGGAUUGUCGUCUGCGUACAUUGUUCUCAGACUAGGAAGGCCUUGGUGGUUUGUGAGAUAUAUCGAAGUACUGCAACUGAAGUUGAUGAAAAGAUAUGCAUGAAGAAAGGUACUGGUAGAUCAAGAUGAACUUGAAAGUUAUUUUCGUGGAUGACAUUUGUGAACCAGUACUGUACUAGCUGCUUAAGUAUUUGGUAUUAUGUAAUAAUCCGUUUGGUCGGGACUCAUAAUGAUAUUUCUUGCUUCAGGGGUAUUAAUAUAAACCUUGGUAUUGUGUACUAGCUGUCUGUUUGGUCGUGACUCAUAAUCUUUCAUGUAUUAACAUAAGGUUUUAAUACAUCCCGUACCAGGUUAGCCAUCUUCAGAUAUUACACAUCUUACUGCUGUCGCAUAAUGAAUUGCAAUCUCCAAAUUGGUCCAACUUCUCUUCCAUGCCCUUUUUGCGCAUCCUCGGCCUUGGCAGCAAUAAUCUGGUGUCAAAAUUCCCAGAAUUUAUAUCUGACUCUCAUAGCCUCACUUUCCUUGACCUUUCUUUUAACAAGUUUACAGGUGAUCUUGUGCUUGAAUCAAUUUUUACCGAUCUACAUAAUCUUGAAAACCUCCAUCUUGCUGGAAAUUCCUUUGAGGGGCCGAUUCCACCUAGAGUAUUUAAGCUUUCCAAUUUAAAAGUUCUUGAACUCACGGGUAAUAACUUUUCUCGUUCUAUUUCCAACGAUAUAGGUUUGCUUUCUGAACUUGAGACCCUCUAUCUUGACUUCAAUUUUUUUGAUGGACCAAUUCCCCCAAAUAUAUUCAACCUUUCCCAAUUAAAAAUUCUUGAACUAACAGAAAAUAACUUUUCUGGUCCUGUUUCCAAUGAUAUAAGUUUGCUUUCUGAGCUUGAAAACCUCAAUCUUGCCUUAAAUUCUUCUGAUGGGCCUUUUCCAUCAAAGAUAUUCAACCUAACCAAAUUGAGACAUCUAAAUCUCUAUGGCAAUAAGAAUUUAUUUAAAGGAAGUAUCCCACUGGAUAUCAGAAACCUGAAGCUCCUGGAAUCUAUUAAUCUCGGUUCUAAUCAAUUGGUUGGACCACUUUCAAUGCUCAUUUCUAAUCUCACUAAUCUUAAGAUGGUUGGGCUAAGCGAUAAUAGGUUUUUUGGCAAAAUUCCUAGUGACUUCUUGAAAAACUUGCCAUCCUUACACGUCAUUGAUCUUUCAAAUAAUAAUUUGUCCGGAAAUAUUCCCAGGGAGUAUAACGUGCAUCCAAUUUUAGAAUACAUCAAUUUAAGUGGAAACCAUCUUACAGGUUUACUUCUCCCUCAAUAUAUUUUAUUUUCCUUUUGUAUGUUACAUUGAUUACACUUUUACCGAAGCUCAAACAAUUUUAACAGGUGAGAUCCCAGCAACAAUUUGCAAUGCUACAAACCUUUAUAUUCUGGUUCUGUCAGAUAAUGGAUUAAGUGGUGCCCUUCCGCAUUGUUUGGGAAAUCUUGCAGAUAAAAUGCAUUGCAUUGAUCUCGCUAAUAAUCAGUUCCGAGGACCAAUACCAACAACCUUCUCAGAGAGUUGCCAGUUAAGAUAUCUAAACAUGUAUGACAAUCAGUUAGAAGGACUUUUGCCCCGAUCUUUGUCAAACUGUAAGCACUUGAAAAUUCUUGACAUCGGGAACAACAAAAUGGGCGGUACAUUUCCUUCAUGGCUAUUCACUCUCAGAGAGCUAGAAGUCCUAGUCUUGCAAUCAAAUAAACUGUAUGGUCCAGUAAGUGGAAGGAGCACACAUCACAUCCAUUCCCCAAGUUGCGGAUUCUAGAUCUCUCCAACAACCAAUUCACGGGCUAUUUGCCAAUUCAAUACUCUUUAAGAAUAUGAAACCAGCUGCUGAUAACAUUUGUCUUAGGAUGACACAUGUUCUAAACUAUGACAAUAGUAUGCAAUCUCGUUUAAUACUUUCAUAUUAUGAACUAGUUCUGUUGAAUAAAUAAAUAUUAUUAAUUAAUCAAUCAUGUGCGCUCGAGUUUCCCUGGCCAGAUGCCCAGAUUAUUAGAGCAUCUCCAGCAGAGUCUUAACCGGUUCUCUAAAUAUAUAAUAAAAUAUGUAUCUUUUAAGGGAUUACUACAUUUUAGUGAAUGAGAACUCCAACAACAUUCCCUAUUUACAUUCUCUAUUAUUAUUAUAAUAUUAUAUUCAACUUGUAAUAAGAGAGAGAAAGUUUGGAAAGAGUAAAAGUGAGAAAAAAUAAGUGAAUAUUUUAUUCUUCAGAAUAAUAUAAGGAAAGAAAAUGCCAAAACAAUUAACUAUAAUCUACGCAAUAAUUUUUUAUAUUGAUUAGACGUUAUCUUUAUCAAUAUUUAGUCAGAUAUUCGGAUAUAUAUCAUUCCCUUUGUUUUUAUACCAUCUUUUUUUUGACUUUCGGGCCAAAUCACUACGUGGGUUGACUGGAUAGUAGAAAUUAAUAUUUUUGUCUGUUUUUUAAAAUAAAAAUCUGUAUUUUUAUUUUGAUUUCGAAGAAUAUAAUCCAUAAGGUAAAUAAUUUUUAANNNNNNNNNNNNNNNNNNNNNNNNNNNNNNNNNNNNNNNNNNNNNNNNNNNNNNNNNNNNNNNNNNNNNNNNNNNNNNNNNNNNNNNNNNNNNNNNNNNNNNNNNNNNNNNNNNNNNNNNNNNNNNNNNNNNNNNNNNNNNNNNNNNNNNNNNNNNNNNNNNNNNNNNNNNNNNNNNNNNNNNNNNNNNNNNNNNNNNNNNNNNNNNNNNNNNNNNNNNNNNNNNNNNNNNNNNNNNNNNNNNNNNNNNNNNNNNNNNNNNNNNNNNNNNNNNNNNNNNNNNNNNNNNNNNNNNNNNNNNNNNNNNNNNNNNNNNNNNNNNNNNNNNNNNNNNNNNNNNNNNNNNNNNNNNNNNNNNNNNNNNNNNNNNNNNNNNNNNNNNNNNNNNNNNNNNNNNNNNNNNNNNNNNNNNNNNNNNNNNNNNNNNNNNNNNNNNNNNNNNNNNNNNNNNNNNNNNNNNNNNNNNNNNNNNNNNNNNNNNNNNNNNNNNNNNNNNNNNNNNNNNNNNNNNNNNNNNNNNNNNNNNNNNNNNNNNNNNNNNNNNNNNNNNNNNNNNNNNNNNNNNNNNNNNNNNNNNNNNNNNNNNNNNNNNNNNNNNNNNNNNNNNNNNNNNNNNNNNNNNNNNNNNNNNNNNNNNNNNNNNNNNNNNNNNNNNNNNNNNNNNNNNNNNNNNNNNNNNNNNNNNNNNNNNNNNNNNNNNNNNNNNNNNNNNNNNNNNNNNNNNNNNNNNNNNNNNNNNNNNNNNNNNNNNNNNNNNNNNNNNNNNNNNNNNNNNNNNNNNNNNNNNNNNNNNNNNNNNNNNNNNNNNNNNNNNNNNNNNNNNNNNNNNNNNNNNNNNNNNNNNNNNNNNNNNNNNNNNNNNNNNNNNNNNNNNNNNNNNNNNNNNNNNNNNNNNNNNNNNNNNNNNNNNNNNNNNNNNNNNNNNNNNNNNNNNNNNNNNNNNNNNNNNNNNNNNNNNNNNNNNNNNNNNNNNNNNNNNNNNNNNNNNNNNNNNNNNNNNNNNNNNNNNNNNNNNNNNNNNNNNNNNNNNNNNNNNNNNNNNNNNNNNNNNNNNNNNNNNNNNNNNNNNNNNNNNNNNNNNNNNNNNNNNNNNNNNNNNNNNNNNNNNNNNNNNNNNNNNNNNNNNNNNNNNNNNNNNNNNNNNNNNNNNNNNNNNNNNNNNNNNNNNNNNNNNNNNNNNNNNNNNNNNNNNNNNNNNNNNNNNNNNNNNNNNNNNNNNNNNNNNNNNNNNNNNNNNNNNNNNNNNNNNNNNNNNNNNNNNNNNNNNNNNNNNNNNNNNNNNNNNNNNNNNNNNNNNNNNNNNNNNNNNNNNNNNNNNNNNNNNNNNNNNNNNNNNNNNNNNNNNNNNNNNNNNNNNNNNNNNNNNNNNNNNNNNNNNNNNNNNNNNNNNNNNNNNNNNNNNNNNNNNNNNNNNNNNNNNNNNNNNNNNNNNNNNNNNNNNNNNNNNNNNNNNNNNNNNNNNNNNNNNNNNNNNNNNNNNNNNNNNNNNNNNNNNNNNNNNNNNNNNNNNNNNNNNNNNNNNNNNNNNNNNNNNNNNNNNNNNNNNNNNNNNNNNNNNNNNNNNNNNNNNNNNNNNNNNNNNNNNNNNNNNNNNNNNNNNNNNNNNNNNNNNNNNNNNNNNNNNNNNNNNNNNNNNNNNNNNNNNNNNNNNNNNNNNNNNNNNNNNNNNNNNNNNNNNNNNNNNNNNNNNNNNNNNNNNNNNNNNNNNNNNNNNNNNNNNNNNNNNNNNNNNNNNNNNNNNNNNNNNNNNNNNNNNNNNNNNNNNNNNNNNNNNNNNNNNNNNNNNNNNNNNNNNNNNNNNNNNNNNNNNNNNNNNNNNNNNNNNNNNNNNNNNNNNNNNNNNNNNNNNNNNNNNNNNNNNNNNNNNNNNNNNNNNNNNNNNNNNNNNNNNNNNNNNNNNNNNNNNNNNNNNNNNNNNNNNNNNNNNNNNNNNNNNNNNNNNNNNNNNNNNNNNNNNNNNNNNNNNNNNNNNNNNNNNNNNNNNNNNNNNNNNNNNNNNNNNNNNNNNNNNNNNNNNNNNNNNNNNNNNNNNNNNNNNNNNNNNNNNNNNNNNNNNNNNNNNNNNNNNNNNNNNNNNNNNNNNNNNNNNNNNNNNNNNNNNNNNNNNNNNNNNNNNNNNNNNNNNNNNNNNNNNNNNNNNNNNNNNNNNNNNNNNNNNNNNNNNNNNNNNNNNNNNNNAUAUACACUUCCAUUUCCACUUUCCAGUAUUAAGUUUAGAAUUAAGAUCUUAACAACAUAGCAAUCAUUUAAACCUCGAAGAAAAUUGUGCACAUUAACAAGACCAAAGAGAAAACAGAUAGCAUAAAAUUGUGUAACACGUAUAAUUUAAAUCCACUUCUCAGUAUACUCCACAUUCAAGGUGAUCUAACUGCUACAAUAUUCUAAUUUUCACAGCUACGACACUGAACAAUAUAAGAACCAGUUUACUGUAAGUUUACUGAACAUAUAUAUACGACAUUGAACAAUAUAAAAUAGCUAUCCUUUGUAAGACCAAAAACAAAGGACACUAGCUAGCUAAUUCAAUAUACAAAACCACUCCAAUCAGUUUAUGAUAAGCAACUACAAACAUACAAAUACAUAUAAACAUACAAAUACAUAUAAACAUACUAUCUCAUUUUCCAAAAACCACAACUACAAACUAUCUCAUUUUCCAAAAACACACACUGAAAUACAUAUAUACAUACACAUACAACCACAAGGAUACCCAAACUCAAGUAAUAAAUAAGAAAUUACCUCCUCCAACUCGAAGAGAGCUUGAAUAGACUUGAACAGAGCUUGAACAGACUCCGAGCUCGAACUCCCUACAAACUCGAACUGAAGUACGAGCACCCACUAAACCCACAAACUCCACACUCGAACUGAACUCUGAGAUCUGUUGAAAAAACGAAUUAAAGAAGCAAAUGAGUAUUGUAAUCGAACAAACAUCAGUUUAUUAGGUACAAAUCAACCUUUAUCGCACAAAUUUAAGGAUGAAAUCGGCCGAAUUGGAACCUAGGGUUCGCUCGCUGAGAAAGGGGGAAGAACGGGGAGAGAGAAUGUAUUUUGUACAAAUGAUUUAAUUUAGGUAGUUUUAUUAGUUUUAUGUCUUUUUCCUUUUAAUUUUAUGUUUAAAGACAGGUGUUGAUGUCUUGUUCAGACAACACAUCAACUAAGCAGCGGGGUUUUAAAGGCGGGGUUUUUUUGUUUGUGAAAAAUUUGGCUAAGUGGGGAAUAGAAGCGGGGAAGCGCGGCCAAUUUUUUAAAAACAUGUUUUAGACAUCGGUUCUACACUAAGAUGAUGUCUAGUUUUUUAAUAGACAUCGGUUUUUAAAAUUUCGAUGUAAAAAAGGGUUUUAACAUCGGUGGUUUUUUUAACCGAUGUCUAAUCUGUGAUGUCUGAUCCUGUUUUUCUAGUAGUGAUCACUGCAACAAAAUAUUAGUUACGACGGAACAAUGUCGCUGGACUUUAUUUGUUUACAUUUUUUUAAUAGUAGUUAAUUUUUAAACUUGCGACGGAAAACAUACGACAGUCUACUUCGCGAGAGAAAAUCAUUUUAUUUUAUUUUUUAGCGCCAGAAUUUUAAUACUAAACUACUAUAGGGCCGUUUGGGCUAGCUUAAAAAAAGUGAUUUUUUACUUACAGUAAAGAAGUGGAUUAAAAGUGAGAAGCAAAUAAGUCAAUAAAAUGUUUGGAAAAGAAGUAGAAGCUGUGAGAGAGAAGUUAGCAUUCUCAGCUUCUUAAAAGUGCUUCUGCUUAUUUACAUAAACGGGUAAAAAAAAAAAAGCAAAAGCCAGAAGCAGCUUCUACUUCUCGAAACAAACAGGGCCAAUAUAUAUGAAGGAAACUGAUCUCUAUUGUUUUCAGCUUGCUCAUCCAUGGUAAGUAAUCCGUCGAAAAAGUUAGUUUGUUGUCGUGGUGUCUUAUCAUGAGAGAAAAUGGUAAUAUCGCAAAAUAUUUGCAACUGAAAGAUAAAUUAUAGUUCUAGAAACCAUUUAGGUAACGAUGCGCGGAGUUAUUUUCACUCACUUAGAAUUAAUGAUAAAUAUUUGCAACUGAAAGAUACAUUAUAGUUCUAGAAAAGGAUCCACGGAAUUAUUUUCACUCACUUAGAAUUAAUCCUAAGUUAUUGUGAGUUUUUGAAUAUGGAUUAUCUCAAAUUUUAUUAAAACACAUAUCGAUUCAUAUAGACAAAUUUGCCUACCUAAUAUUAUAAUAUUUAUGGCGAAGUUGUAUGAACAAUUGUGUAGAUAAUUAUACUUUACAAAGCAUACUUCUGCUAGCUGAAUUUUGAUUAAAAAAUCGAAAGGGAUAGGUCUGGGUCUCUCCAAGUCUUUGAGGACUCAUUCCAAGUCUUCUGAUGAGGACAAAAUAUAUCGCUGGUAGUCUUUCAGUCCUUCCUAGAGUAUUUUAUGCUCUGCACUGCAUUUGUGUUGAUAAUUUGCGCAAUGUUGAUGAGGAUUGCUCCAAGUCUUGGCGGACUCUUUCCAAAUCUUCCGAGGACCUAUCGGUUCAAUUUAGCCCAUUAAAAAUUUUAUUAUCUCAAAGCUAUCUGCAAAAUAAUAUAUAAGGUAAAAAUGAAUAUAUACCAUUGUUUUGUGAUUAAGUUGUAUAGGCAAUAUGCAUUGCAAAAUCAGCAACAGGAUAUAUGAAUACUAAUUAAUUACCUGAUAUCAGUAUGAACAAAUACUUUCUAUGUAGUUGUAAUAUUAGUCUUCUUUAAAAGUUAUCAUGAGGGAAGGUAUAUAUUGUGAUGCGGGAGAAAUAUUGUCACUGAAAAUAAUUAUAAUUCUAAAAUUUCCAUUAUACACUUUUUUUAGUGUUUGUACGUGGUAAGUACUUCAGACGACAUUUCUCGCGUAUGCCUCCGAUUAAGAAUUUGAUGUUCAGCCUAGUCCUAAACUAAAAUUAUUAUAAAUGUGUACUUCAAAAUUAUAUAUAUUGCUGGUAGUCUUUCAGUUCUUCCUGGUGUAUGCAAUUGUUUCAUUCAAUACCAAUUAUUUUAUACUAUGCACUCUGAUAUCAUGUUGAGAACAAUCCAUCAAAAACUUUAAACCUUAAUUAAGGUGUUAGAGGAAAAUACCAAUUAGAUCUUAUGCUAUAUUUCAAUACUUCCAACACUCUGCGAUGCAAAGCAGGGACUCUUGAGUAUUUUCAUAUGUGUAUUAGUUUUGAAGAUAAAAGUUGUAUAGAGAAUUGUGUUGAUAAUUUGCGCAAUUGCGCAAUGAUAACUGGGAUAGGUCAUCUUCUCUCCCAAGUCUUGGAUGGAAUCUUUCCAAGUCUUCUGAGAACCCAUCAGCUCAGAUUAGUCCAUACAAUGUCAAGGGUCCUAUGAUAUGGUCUACUAACAGCCCAGUGUCGGUAAUAAAUCCAAUUGCAUAUAACCUAUUCAAAAUCAAUCCCCUAUAAACAAUCAUCUCUAAAAACUAUUCACAUAAAAUAAAAUUUUAAAAAUAUAAAAUAUCUAGUUGUUUUCAAUAUAUAAUUUUCCACAGUAGAUAACANNNNNNNNNNNNNNNNNNNNNNNNNNNNNNNNNNNNNNNNNNNNNNNNNNNNNNNNNNNNNNNNNNNNNNNNNNNNNNNNNNNNNNNNNNNNNNNNNNNNNNNNNNNNNNNNNNNNNNNNNNNNNNNNNNNNNNNNNNNNNNNNNNNNNNNNNNNNNNNNNNNNNNNNNNNNNNNNNNNNNNNNNNNNNNNNNNNNNNNNNNNNNNNNNNNNNNNNNNNNNNNNNNNNNNNNNNNNNNNNNNNNNNNNNNNNNNNNNNNNNNNNNNNNNNNNNNNNNNNNNNNNNNNNNNNNNNNNNNNNNNNNNNNNNNNNNNNNNNNNNNNNNNNNNNNNNNNNNNNNNNNNNNNNNNNNNNNNNNNNNNNNNNNNNNNNNNNNNNNNNNNNNNNNNNNNNNNNNNNNNNNNNNNNNNNNNNNNNNNNNNNNNNNNNNNNNNNNNNNNNNNNNNNNNNNNNNNNNNNNNNNNNNNNNNNNNNNNNNNNNNNNNNNNNNNNNNNNNNNNNNNNNNNNNNNNNNNNNNNNNNNNNNNNNNNNNNNNNNNNNNNNNNNNNNNNNNNNNNNNNNNNNNNNNNNNNNNNNNNNNNNNNNNNNNNNNNNNNNNNNNNNNNNNNNNNNNNNNNNNNNNNNNNNNNNNNNNNNNNNNNNNNNNNNNNNNNNNNNNNNNNNNNNNNNNNNNNNNNNNNNNNNNNNNNNNNNNNNNNNNNNNNNNNNNNNNNNNNNNNNNNNNNNNNNNNNNNNNNNNNNNNNNNNNNNNNNNNNNNNNNNNNNNNNNNNNNNNNNNNNNNNNNNNNNNNNNNNNNNNNNNNNNNNNNNNNNNNNNNNNNNNNNNNNNNNNNNNNNNNNNNNNNNNNNNNNNNNNNNNNNNNNNNNNNNNNNNNNNNNNNNNNNNNNNNNNNNNNNNNNNNNNNNNNNNNNNNNNNNNNNNNNNNNNNNNNNNNNNNNNNNNNNNNNNNNNNNNNNNNNNNNNUGUAUUAGUUUUGUAAGAUAAAAGUUGUAUGGACAAUUGUGUUGUAUAAUUUGCGCAAUGAUAACUGGGAUAGGUCAUCUUCUCUCCCAAGUCUUGGAUGGAAUCUUUCCAAGUCUUCUGAGAACCCAUCAGCUCAGAUUAGUCCAUACAAUGUCAAGGGUCCUAUGAUAUGGUCUACUAACAGCCCAGUGUCGGUAAUAAAUCCAAUUGCAUAUAACCUAUUCAAAAUCAAUCCCCUAUAAACAAUCAUCUCUAAAAACUAUUCACAUAAAAUAAAAUUUUAAAAAUAUAAAAUAUCUAGUUGUUUUCAAUAUAUAAUUUUCCACAGUAGAUAACAAAAUAUCUUUAUCAAAUUGUUAUUUAUGGGUUCAAUAUUUAAGCUAUAAUUCCAAUAACACGGCAAGCAUGCAGCGUAUAAAUAGAAGUGUGCAGUAUGUUAUCAGAUUCAUAACCCAGUUGAUCAGGAGAAACAUGGCAUACUCUGCAAAGCCUUCUCACCUUCUUCUCUUUGUUUUCUUUCUCUCAUCACUUGAAUCCAUUCUUGCAACAACACGAGAAGGAGAAGCUCUUGUGAAAUGGAAGAAUAGCCUAGCCCCUUCUUCUUUUCUCGAUUCUUGGUCCCUCACCAAUCUCGAAAAUCUUUGUAACUGGACUGGCAUUACUUGUAACUCUGCAGGUUCAGUCUCUGAGAUUAAUCUCUGUGAGAAACAACUUAAUGGAAUGCUGUCCGAGUUUGGUUUCACUUCAUUUCCAAAUCUCAACUAUCUCACACUCGCAGACAACUUCUUCUCCGGUCCAAUACCACCAGCCAUUGAGAAUUUAACACAGCUUCAAUAUCUUGAUUUGAGAAAUAAUUAUCUAGAUGGUCCCAUUCCGUUCCAGGUUAGCCAUCUUCAGAGCUUGCUCAUAUUAAACCUGUCACAGAAUGCAUUGCAAGCUACAAAUUGGUCCAAUUUCUCUCCCAUGCCUUUUUUGCGCAUCCUCAACCUCAGUAGCAAUCAUCUUGUAUCGAAAUUCCCAGAAUUUAUAUCCAAUUCUCAUAGCUUGGCUAUCCUUGACCUUUCACAUAACAACUUUACAGGUGAUCUUGUGCGUGAAUUUACCAAUCUACAAAAUCUUGAAACCCUCUGGCUUUAUUGUAAUUCUUUUGAGGGGCCAUUUCCGCCGGAUAUAUUCAGGCUCUCCAAAUUAAAACGUCUCUCCCUGUCAAGUAACAAAUUUUCAGGUUCAGUUCCCAAUGACAUAAGGUUGCUUUGUGAUCUUGAAUCCUUAAACUUAAGCAACAAUUCUUUUGAAGGACCGCUUCCACCAAAUUUAUUCAAGCUUUCGAAAUUAAAGAGUCUUUUUCUUUGGAGUAAUAAGUUUUCAGGUUCUAUUUCCAAUGAUAUAGGUUUGCUUUCUGAGCUUGAAUUUCUCAAUCUUUACGAUAAUUUUUUUGAGGGGCCGCUUCCAUGCAUCAAAUAUAUUCAAGCUCUCCAAAUUAAGGGUUCUUUACCUUAACGGUAAUAAACUUCUAGGUUCUCUUUCCAAUGAUAUAGGUUUGCUUUCUGAGCUUGAAACCCUCAAUCUUCGCUCUAAUUUUUUUGAGGCUCCGUUUCCGUCAAAUAUAUUCAAGCUUUCCAAAUUAACAAUUCUUGACCUCGCAUACAAUAGAAAUUUAUUUGAAGGAAGUUUUCCUAUUGGACUGGGACUCUUGACUAACCUCAGCUACUUAGAUCUAACUUCCACUAAUCUCAGUGGCUCAUCUGCCAUUGGAAACCUCAAGCUACUACUAUAUCUUGGUCUCAGUUAUAAUCAAUUGACUGGACCGCUUUCAAACAUUGUUUCUAAUCUAACAAAUCUUAUAUUUCUUGGUGUGGAUCAUAAUAGUCUUAGUGGAAAUAUUCCGAGUGACUGGUGGAAAGCCUCUGUAUCCUUACUUUACAUUGAUCUUGGAUAUAAUUAUUUGUCUGGGAACAUUCCUAAGGAAUAUAAAGAUCAUCCAACUUUGGAAUACAUCGAUUUAAGUGGGAACCAUUUUACAGGUAUUUUUUUCUCUAUAUAUCUUUUCCUUUUGUCACAUGUAACUAAGCUAGUAAUCUGAUUAUUGCAGUUUUACCUAAGUUUUAACAAUCUUGACAGGUGAGCUUCCAACAACAAUUUGCAAUGCUACCUCCCUUUCGGUUCUUGCUUUGUCAAAUAAUGGAUUAAGUGGUGCACUUCCAAACUGUAUUGCGAAUCUUGCUGAUGGAUUGCUUUACAUUAAUCUUGCUAAUAAUCAGUUUCGAGGAGCAAUACCAACUACUUCAUCCAAAAGUUGUCAGCUGACCUAUCUCAACAUGGAUAAUAAUGAGUUUGAAGGAUUGCUGCCCCCAUCUUUGGCGAACUGUAAGCACUUGAAGAUUCUUGAUAUUGGCAAUAAUAAAAUAGGUGGUACAUUUCCUUCAUGGCUUUAUGCACUUGGAGAGCUAGAAGUCCUUGUCUUGCGAUCAAAUAAACUCUAUGGUCCAAUAAGUGGGAGGAGCAUAGAAAAUCCCUUCCCCAAGUUGCGGAUUUUGGAUCUGUCCAACAAUCAAUUCUCAGGCCAUUUGCCAAUUCAAUACUUCAAGAAUAUGAAAUCAACUGAUAAAUUGUAUCGCUAUCAGAAUGCCACAACAUUAACGGGUUUCCAAUAUGAUGCAUCAGUCCCAUUAACUGUGAAGGGAACAGAGUAUGAAGUGAAAAAUAUCCUUCAUAUUUACACAGCCAUUGAUCUGUCCUGCAACAAGUUUCAAGGAGAAAUUCCUGACGUUAUUGGAGAGCUUAGAUGGCUUGCAUUGCUGAACUUAUCUCAUAAUAGUCUAACAGGACCUAUCCCAUCAUUGCUGAGAAAUAUGAAAGAACUCCAAUCUUUAGAUUUGUCGUCAAAUCAACUGACAGGGGCUAUUCCACCUCAGUUAACUGCACUGACAUUUCUAGAGGUCUUCAACCUCUCGGGAAACCAUCUUAGUGGAGAGAUUCCUCAGAAAGGACAGUUCAGCACAUUUAACAAUGAUUCUUAUCUAGGAAACUCCGCGUUAUGUGGAUCACCAUUGACGAAGAAAUGUGCAAACACAGCAUCACCUCCACAAGAAGUCGGAAAUGUUGAUGAAGAUGAUGCGGGUGAUGAAUUGACAUGGGAAGCAAUCUUGAUGGGAUAUGGAUGUGGACUGAUAUGUGGAUUGUCAUCUGCUUACAUUGUUCUCAAACUAGGAAAGCCUUGGUGGUUUGUGAGAUAUAUCGAAGUGCUGCAACUGAAGUUGAUGAAAAGAUAUGCAUGAAGAAUGGUACUGGCCGAUCAAGACGAACUUGAAAGUUGUUGGACAUUUCUGAACCAGUAGUGUACUAUUCUCUUUGUGGCUGCAUAAGUUUUUGGUAUUGUGUAAUAUUCUGUUUGGUCUUGAAUUUCAGGGGUAUUAAUAUAAACCUUGGUAUUGUGUAAUAUUCUGUUUGAUCAAUGUUUAUAUCAAUAAUUUUAUGCUCCUCACUGCAUCAUGCAGCUCUCAUAUUAUCUUCAUAUGUGUAUUAUUUGGAUAUCAAAGUUGCAGGGACAUAUGGAUAUGUGUUAACAGGGACUGCUCGGUCUUGGACGGACUCUUUCCAAGUCCUCUGGGGUCCUAUCGGUUCAAAUUAGUCUAUUAUCUGCAUACUAAUUUGUCCAACUCGGGCUUGAAUAGUAAAGAUAAAGAGUGCGAGUUGAGUUUCUCAAAGUAUGAGUACAAUAUCGUUUUUGAAUGAUAGUUAGGGGUGCGAUAUGCAAUUACCUCAAAAAUAUAUGAUCAUUAGUAUAUUAUAUUAGUAUCCACACACUUAUAUCUCAAAAUCUAUCCUCCAAAAUUAUCAUCUCUAUAGGCUAGCCACAUAAAAUAAAAAUUUAAAGAUAUUAGAUUUUUAGUUAUUUUCAUUAUAUAAUUUUUCCACGCAAAAUAACAAAAUAUCUUUAUCAACUUAUUAUUUAUGAGUUAAAUAUUCAAGUUAUAUAAUUCGGACAUGCUGGGUAUAAAUUGAAGUGUAACGCCUAAUUUCCGGGGUCUGGGAGUAGUUGGCGGGGUAUGAGAGAGCAGGCUAUUUAGAAGUCUUGGUCAUGAAAACUUCCAAGCUAAACUUCGACAACGGAAUCUUCUGAGGCUACUAUUCUAAAGCACGCAUAAUCAUUGUAUCCAUUUUCCGACAAAAAGUCUAUUUAAGCAAAUGAAAUACAAACAACUGAGUGGAAUGCUGACCGAAAGUCUUUUUGACUAAGCUUAUGAUUUAUUAGUACAUGAUUAAUAUGAUAAGCUAAGCUGAGAGCAUAAGAUAUCGUGUGUAUAAUUUUGUGUUUAUUAAUGACUUAUAAAUUAUUAAAAAUAUAAUAAGAAAAAUAAAAAUGAUUUAUAACUAAUUUAUGUUUUAUGAGUAAUUUUUAUUAGAAAAAAGUUUUAAAAAAUUAUUUCACUGGAAAAAAAACCUCCAACUAACUUUUGGCUCUAAGUCAGUUUUUGAUUUAUUUAUGACUUUAUGUCGGAUUCUGAUUUUUACACAAAAAUCUGGUUUUAAACCUCUGAGUUUGGUUUCACUUCAUAUACAAACCUCAACAAUUUCACCAUCAAACACAAUGACUUCUCCAAUCUCCGGUCCAGUACCACCAGCCAUUGAGAAUUUGGCACAACUUCAAUUCCAUACCAGGUUAGUCGUCUUCGGAGAUUACACGUCUUAGACCUGUCAAAUACAAAUUUCAAUCUCCAAACUGGUCCGAUUUAUCUUCUAUGCUUUUUGUUGAGUCCGGCUCAUCUAAAGCCUUAAGAUGUUAGAGGAAGCACCCAAUGAAUCUUAUAUAUGCUAUAUUUUAACAAUUCUGAGCACACUCAACCUUGGUAUUAAUAAUAUUGUGUCGAAAAUUCCAGAAUUUAUAUCUAAUUCUCAUAGCCUAACUUUCCUUGACCUUUCCAUAUAACAAAUUUACAGUUAAUCCUGUGCUUGAAUCAGUAUUUGCAACCAAAAUUAUGCAAUUAUAGUGCAGGUAGUCUUCCAGUUUACGCUCUACACUCCAGGAUAAGCUCGCAUAUAAUUGACAGCUAUAAUCCUUCCAACACUUUGUGAUGCAAAGCAGAGGGAUAGGUUGGCUUAAAAAUAUAUAAGGUCACUUAUGCAUCGCUCUUCACACACUUAGACCCUGUUUGUGUGGGCUUUAAGUCCCGGCUCAAGCUAUUUCGACUUAAUCACUUCCGAGACCAAUACCAACAAGUUAAGAUAUCUAAAUAUGUAUGACAAUCAGUUAGAAGGACUAUUGCCGGGCAACAACCUUCUCAAAGAGUUGCCAGUUAAGAUAUCUAAACAUGUAUGACAAUCAGUUAGAACUUUAGAAGGACUAUUGCCCCCAUCUUUGUCAAACUGUAAGCACUUAAAAAUUCUUGACAUCGGGAACAAUAAAAUGGGUGGUACAUUCCCUUCAUGGCUAUUUAAUCUCGGAGAGCUAGAAGUCCUAGUCUUGCGAUCAAAUAGACUGUACGGUCCUGUAAGUGGAAGGAGCACAUCACAUCCAUUCCCCAAGUUGCGGAUUCUAGAUCUCUCCAACAAACAAUUCGCGGGCUAUUUGCCAAUUCUAAACUUUAAGAAUAUGAAACCAGCUGCUGAUGAUAACGCGUAUAGUUAUAAAAAUAAGUCACAAGGACUAAUUAAUUACAUCUAUGAAGCAUCUAUCUCCUUAAAUGUGAAAGGAACAGAGUAUGAAGUGAAGAACAUUCUUCAUAUUUACACAGCCAUUGAUCUAUCGUGCAACAAAUUUCACGGAGAAGUUCCAAAGAGAGCUUAAAUGGCUUGCAUUGCUCAAUCUAUCUCAUAAUAGUCUUGCCGGACAUAUGUUCUGAAUUAUUAUUAUGCUUUCAUCAAUAUUUUCAAACAUUUCUCAAUAUGUAUUUUCAAAGAAUUCUCAAGCCCUGGAACAUUUGGACCGGUUCUUUGGAAGCCAAGAUACCCAGGUUAUCAUGGCCAUGCACAAAAAUGAAUAAAUUAUUCCAAGUCUUCCAUGACUCAUUCCAAGUCUUCGGAGGAGACCCUGAGCACAAAGAUGCUCAGGGUCUCCCCAAGCCUUCCAGGACUCAUUCCAAGUCUUCGGAGCACGGUCUCGCCUCGCCCUUUCAAAGAUGUGAUAGUAGCUCGAGAGUGAUAUAAAUUAUUUUCCCGACACUAAAAAUAAAUAAUCAGAUCAAAUUAAUCAAUAAUGUAUUAAGGAUGAAAUCCAAAUUAAUCCUAAAUUUUGAUAAUAUAUAAAAAUUAUAAUUAUAAAUUAUAUACCAAAUCAGAAUUGAAUUAAUUCCUUGGCACUAAAAUUGAUAAAGAAAGUAUAAUAAUUUAAAUUUAAUUGAUGAAAAGUCAAAGUCUUCUAAUAAAUCCAUAAAGAAUAUGAUAAUCAAAAUAAUGAAAAUUAUAAUUGAAAAAUCAAAAUCAUUAGUGUAUUGGAAUAGUGUUCACACACUUGUAUAUCAAAAUUUGUGGUCCAAAAACUAUAGCACAAUAUCCUAAAUACACCACAUUAAAUAUUAGUUCAAAAAUAUUUAGUAAAUAAUUGUUUUCAUUCAUCAUUUUGUUAUUUAAAAAACUAAUAAUUUGGGUUGAUGUUAACCUAUAUUUUAAUAUAUAAUUAUAUUAUUUUCGUCUUAUUUAUUUAACUAGAAACAAUAUUUUUAUCAUACAUCAAUUAUAUUAAAAGAUAUAAUUUUAUUAAAAAAAUUGAAUUAUUAUUUAUGAAUUCCAGCAUGAAGCGUAUAAAUAGAAGUGUGCAGUUGAUCAGAUUUAUAACCCAGUUGAUCAGGAGAAACAUGGCAUACUCUGCAAAGACUUCUCACCUUCUUCUCUUUGUUUUCUUUCUCUCAUCACUUGAAUCCAUUCUUUCAACAAGACGAGAGGGAGAAGCUCUUGUGAAGUGGAAGAAUAGCCUAGCCCCUUCUUCUUUUCUCGACUCUUGGUCACUCACCAAUCUCGAAAAUCUUUGUAACUGGACUGGCAUUACUUGUAACUCUGCAGGUUCAGUCUCUGAGAUUAACCUUUGUGAGAAACAACUUGAUGGAAUGCUGUCCGAGUUUGGUUUCACUUCAUUUCCAAAUCUAAACAGUCUCACCCUCGCAGACAACUUCUUCUCGGGUCCAAUACCACCAGCCAUUCAGAACUUAACAAGGCUUCAAUACCUUGAUUUAAGCUUGAAUUAUCUCAAUGGUACCAUGCCUUUCUUGCGCAUCCUCAACCUCAGUAGCAAUCCUCUUGCGUCGAAAUUCCCAGAUUUUAUAUCCAGUUCUCAAAGCCUGACUCACCUUGACCUUUCAUAUAACAUGUUUACCGGUGAUCUAGCAUGUGAACCAUUAUUUGCCAACCUGCAUAAUCUUGAAGUCCUCAGUCUCGUUGAAAAUUCUUUUGAGGGGCCAUUUCCACCGGAUAUAUUCAGGCUUUCCAAAUUAAAACAUCUUAGCCUGUCAGUUAACAAACUUUCAGGUUCAAUUCCCAAUGACAUAAGGUUGCUUUGUGAUCUUGAAUACCUAUAUUUAGCCAACAAUUCCUUUGAAGGACCACUUCCACCAAAUAUAUUCAAGCUUUCAAAAUUAAAACAUCUUGUUCUUUGGGGUAAUAAGUUUUCAGGUUCUGUUUCCAAUGAUAUAGGUUUGCUUUCGGCGCUUGAAGCCCUCGAUCUUUAUUCUAAUUUUUUUGAGGGGCCGCUUCCACCAAAUAUAUUCAAGCUCUCAAAACUAAGGAUUCUUUCCCUUGGGAACAAUAACUUUUCAGGUUCUGUCUCUAAUAAUAUAGGUUUGCUUCCUGAGCUUGAAACCCUAUGUCUUGACUCUAAUUUGUUUGAGGGGCCGCUUCCCCCACAUAUAUUCACGCUCUCUAAAUUAAGAUAUCUAGACCUCUCAAACAAUAGAAAUUUAUUUGAAAGAAGUAUUCCUAUUGGAUUGGGACUCUUGACUAACCUCAGGUACUUAGAUCUAUAUUCCAGUAAUCUCAGCGGCUAUAUUCCAUCUGACAUUGGAAACCUGAAGCUACUAGUAGGUCUUAAUCUCGGUUCUAAUAAAUUGACUGGACCAGUUUCAAAGAUCGUUUCUAAUCUCACAAAUCUUAUAUUUCUUAGUGUAAGAAAUAAUAGUCUUAGUGGAAAUAUUCAGAGUGACUUGUGGAACUUCCCUAAGGAAUAUAACAAUCAUCCAACUUUGGAAUACAUCGAUUUAAGUGGGAACCAUUUUACAGGUAUCUUUUCUCUAUAUAUCUUUUCCUUUUCUCAUAUGUAACUAAGCUAGUAAUCUGAUUAUUGCAGUUUUACCAAAGUUUCAACAAUCUUGACAGGUGAGCUUCCAACAACAAUUUGCAAUGUCACUUCCCUUUCGGUUCUUGAUUUGUCAAAUAAUGGAUUAAGUGGUGCACUUCCAAACUGUUUCGGGAAUCUUGCUGAUGGAUUGCUUUACCUUAAUCUUGCUAAUAAUCAGUUUCGAGGAACAAUACCAACUACUUUCUCCAGGAGUUGUCGGCUGAAAUAUCUAAACAUGGAUAAUAAUGAGUUUGAAGGAUUGAUGCCCCCAUCUUUGGCGAACUGUAAGAACUUGAGAAUUCUUGAUAUUGGCAACAAUAAAAUAGGUGGUACAUUUCCGUCAUGGCUUUAUGCACUUGGAGAGCUAGAAGUCCUUGUCUUGCGAUCAAAUAAACUCUAUGGUACAAUAAGUGGAAGGAGCAUAGAAGAUCCCUUCCCCAAGUUGCGGAUUGUGGAUCUGUCCAACAAUCAAUUCACAGGCCAUUUGCCAAUUCAAUACUUUAAGAAUAUGAAAUCAACUGAUAAUUUGUAUCGUUAUCAGAAUGACACAGGAGAUUUUAUUUUCCAUUAUGAAGCAUCUGUCUCAUUAACUGUGAAGGGAACAGAGUAUGAAGUGAAAAAUAUCCUUCAUAUUUACACAGCCAUUGAUCUGUCGUGCAACAAAUUUCAGGGAGAAAUUCCAAAGGUUACUGGAGAGCUUAGAUGGCUUGCAUUGCUCAACUUAUCUCAUAAUAGUCUUACUGGACCUCUCCCAUCACUGCUUGGAAAUAUGGAAGCACUCCAAUCUUUAGAUUUGUCUUCAAAUCAACUGACAGGGGCUAUUCCACCUCAGUUAACCGCAUUGACAUUUCUAGAAGUCUUAAACCUCUCGAGAAACCAUCUUAGUGGAGAGAUUCCUGAGAAAGGACAGUUCAGCACAUUCAACAAUGACUCUUAUCUAGAAAACUCUGCGUUAUGUGGAUCACCCUUGACGAAGAAAUGUGUAAACACUGCAUCACCCCCACAGGAAGUCGGAAAUGGUGAUGAAGAUGAUGCUGGUGAUGAGUUGACAUGGGAAGCAAUCGUGAUGGGAUAUGGAUGUGGACUGAUAUGUGGAUUGUCAUCUGCAUACAUUGUUCUCAAACUAGGAAGGCCUUGGUGGUUUGUGAGAUAUGUCGAAGUACUGCAACUGAAGUUGAUGAAAAGAUAUGCAUGAAGAAAGGUACUGGUCGAUCAAGACAAACUUGAAAGUUGUUGUCCUGGUAGACAUUUCUGAACCAGUAGUGUACUAGCUGCAUAAGUAUUUGGUAUUAUGUAAUAAUCCAUUUGGUCGGGACUCAUAAUGAUUUCUCUUGCUUCAGGGGUAUUAAUAUUAACCUUGCUAUCUUGAUCUGUGUUAAUGCAAAUGAAAAAGAAUGGAAAAACAAAAAAAUUGCAUCAAACCUGUUGUACCAAGAUCCAUUAAUCUGCUUUCAUCUCUUACGCAACAAUUUAACAGCACUUUCACACUGUUUGAAUGAUUAUCAUAAAUUCGAGUUUUCCUCGCCAGCACCAAAUCCAAAUAUACAAUCCCACACAUUCCAGUCUCAGCUUCAGCUCCCAGGCUAGCAUUGAUUUAGCCAAGCACGACAGUGGCCGCUUGUGUGCCUAACAAUGACAGUUGGGGAUUUGAUGGAACGUGCCUUGGUCCUGCCUUCAAAUGUCUAACAAUAACAGUUGGAUAUGUCGACAAAAAAAUUGUUCCUCACACUGAGGAAUAACUCUGACAGUUCUUUUCAUUGUGCCUUGGUCCAGUAAGUGGAAGGAGCACAUCACAUCCAUUCCCCAAGUUGCGGAUUCUAGAUCUCUCCAACAACCAAUUCACGGGCUAUUUGCCAAUUCAAUACUUUAAGAAUAUAUGAAACCAGCUGCUGAUAAAGCGUAUAGUUAUCAAAAUAAGUCACAAGGACUAAUUAAUUACAUAUAUGAAGCCUCUAUCUCCUUAAAUGUGAAAGGAACAGAGUAUGAAGUGAAAAACAUCUCUUUAUAUUAUAGCUCCUGAUGCGUGAUUUGUACAGUUACCACACUGCUUAAUUCUUCACCUCAAAGUUCCACCUUAUUACAAAAAUGCCACCGCUCUAUUAAGCGGCACCCACGUAAGCUCAUUGCCACCACGUGCUAUCUUCCUGCUGUCUUUUGUUUAUUUUAUUCACUAAACCGUACUUACCCGAAGCUUAUGUAACAAGCUUACAUUCUUUACAUUUUACUCAUUUCAAAAUUUAAAACCCAGCCUCCACGGCUCCCUUACAAAAGUAACCGGUUUGAACGUAAAGUUUUCAAAACUAACCAGCCUACGUUCAACUUUUCAAAACUAACCAGCCUAAAUCAAAAAAAGUCGGGCGACCCUUACCUGUUUUUUUCCCGAGCACCGGUCGCCCUCCUCAGGGGCGUCCCCCAUUGGAGUUCAUCAAGCACAGGUCGCCCUCCUCAGGGGCGUCCCCCCUUGAAGUUCUGUGACGUGGUCCGCCCAAUCACGGGCGACCACGUGUGACACUACCCCCUUAAAACCCCCUCCCAGCCACACAAACACACAAUUACACACACAUUUGCACACACUCAGUUUGAAAACAACACUGCAGCAGCCACAGCAAGGAGCCGAAAGGGGAGAUUUUGGUAAAGGAAGGAAGAAAAGUGGGAGAGGAUCGCCCGAGCUAGCAUCAAGGUCGCCCACCCUAGCAAAAAAUUUGAAGGUACUACCUUAUUCCUCCCCUAAAUAUUAGUAUAUAAAGCCUUGAUUUGUAAUUUAUUACUUGAUUAGUUUGUCUUGCAUGUUACAAAUAUCGAUUAUGUUCAUGAUUAUGGCUAAUUUAUAGACUAGUGUUAUAAUUACCGGCUUGAGAUUAGUGUUAUAAUUACCGGAUUGAGAUUUGGUACAUUAUGAUUUUUAAAUUUGUUAAAAAAUUUAAAGAUUUAUAAUAGAAAUUAAGGAUAAUUUAUAGAUUUGAUAUGUUGGAAUUUAAGAUUUUAUGCUUUUUAGAUUUUGUAGGUAGUAAUUAAAUUUAGUUGGAGAGAAAAAAUAUAAUAUAAUAUUCGAAUUAAAAAGAUAUUGAGAAUAUAAUAUUCGAAUUAAAAAAUAUUCGAAUUAAAAUAUAUUAAAAUAUAAUAUUCGAAUUAAAAAUAUAAUAUAAUAUUCGAAUUAAAAUAUAAUAUAAUAUAUAUUCGAAUUAAAAAAUAUUCGAAUUAAAAUAUAUUAAAAUAUAAUAUUCAAAUUAAAAAUAUAAUAUAAUAUUCGAAUUAAAAUAUAAUAUAAUAUAUAUUCGAAUUAAAAAAUAUUCGAAUUAAAAUAUAUUAAAAUAUAAUAUUCGAAUUAAAAAAUAAUAUAAAAUAUAUUGAGAAUUAAAAAAAUUAGAAAGCAAAUAAAAUAUUCGGAUAAAAAAGAUAUUAAUAGCUAAUAUUAAAAAAAAUCGAUUUAUAAUAAUAAAAAUUCGAAAAAAAGCAAAAUAAUCGAAUUAAAAUAAAAUUUUCGAACAUAUAUUAAUAAAAAUCUUAAUUAUAUUAAUAUAUAAUUCGAAUAUAUGAAAUUUCGAGAAUUAGAAUAUUUAUGAAAUUAAGAGAAUUAAAAUAAAUAGGAAAUUCGAACAAAAAUUAAUUUAAGGUACGCUCUCGAUUCUCUCUAAAUUAAUGUGUAUAUAUAUAUAAUGACUUGAUUUGGAUUAUUGUUGUUUUAUUAGCUUGAGUUGCAUGUUAUAAGAUCGGUUAGUUUAUUGAUUGUGGCUUGAGAUUUGUUAUAAUUGAAAUUAAGGCUAAUUUAUAGAUUUGAUAUGUUGGAAUUAAGGCUAAUUGAAAUUAAGGCUAAUUUAUAGAUUUGAUAUGUUGGAAUUAAGGCUAAUUGAAAUUAAGGCUAAUUUAUAGAUUUGAUAUGUUGGAAUUUAAGAUUUUGUGCAUGUUAGAUUUUGUAGGUAGUAAUUUAAUUUAGUUAGAAACAAAAGCUUUGAAUUCGAAUUACAAAUAUUAUGUUGGAAUGAGAUUUUGUAUAUAUACAAAAGCUUUGAAUUCGAAUUAUAAAUAUAUUUGAAAAUUGUUGGCGCAGAUGGAUCCUGCAGCUUAUCAUCCCGGGCCGGUUAACGGCACUUUGUUGACAUUGCAGGACACGCAUAGGUCCACUUUUGUGUGGAACAGUAGUACGGUAAUGACUUGAUGGACUGUUGUUUAUUAAAGUUAAUGUUUGCUUCACUAUAAACUGCUGACAAGUUCCUGUAUUUUAAAUUGCAGGACAUUCCUGAUCUUAGAGUCAGGACGAACUUCGGUGAGUACUGGAAUGUAGUUGACCAAACCAGGCCGCCUCAGACGAUAAUAGAUGCUAUUAAUGAUGCGGGCUUUGAGUGGGUGUUCAGGUUGGGUCAGGUCAAGCAUGACAGGGGCUUGAUCACUGCUUUUAUCGAGAGGUGGCGUCCAGAGACGCACACUUUUCAUCUACCUUUCGGGGAGGCCACCAUUACACUGGAGGAUGUCCAUCACAUUCUCGGGUUACGAACCACUGGCCGGCCAUUUAUUCUACAUGGCUUCACCACCACAGCUCGCGAGAGAUUGGCCAUGAUACGCGAUGUUCUUGGAGUGACUCCUAAGCCGGCUGAUGUGAGGAAGAACGGCUUGAGGAUCGGUUGGUUGAUUGAAAAAUUUGGCGACUGUGCCCGGUUGGACGAGGCAGCGGAGGAUUUUGAUGCACAGACUAUCUUUCACAUCAGGGCACACCUACUGUGUGUUAUUGGAUCGUUGUUUCCUGAUAGCAGCGGGAACUAUGUGAAUCUCAACCUCCUUUGGAUGCUACGUGACUUGCAGAGCGUGGAUGGUUAUAGCUGGGGGAGUGCUGUUCUUGCAUACCUUUAUAGGAAGAUGUGCGAUUCCACCCAUAAAGUCACAACCGGCUUCAUUGGCUACGCCACCACUACGCCAUAUAUGAUCUAUCGCAAUGGUAUGAACGCGAGUGUUGCAAAAUUAUGUUGCAAUAGAGACACUGAUCCAUAUCUACCGCAACGAUAACCAUUCAUGUCAAUUAUAUGUUGCAAUAGCAAACAUUAUGUGUUGCAGCUUGUAAUAUACUUGUAAAAGUGUUAGCUUAAAGUAUUAUAAUAUUAUUUUAACAUUAAAUAAUAAUUUAAAUUAUUUUAACAAUAUUUUAAAGUGAUAUGCAAAUUAAAUAAAUAAGAUACGCGAUGAUAUGCAAAUUUUAUUCAUAAUAAUUAAAAAAAUUAAAAUAGGAAUUUUAAAAGUAAUUAAUUUUUUUAAAAGCAAUGAAAAGUAAAAAUAAUUAAAUUCCCCUUGUUUUGAUAUCAGAACUGAUAUAUAAGUUUCAAAAAUAAAAAUAUAGAUAUACGAAUUAUAAGUAGUAAUAAAUACAUAUAAUGAAUUUUGUUCCUAAAAUAAUUACAUGAAUUUUAUUUGUUAAAAUAAUAAAGUAUAGGUGCAGACGUGCAGUACAUUAUUUGACUUUAUUGAACUGGGCAAAUAUCGAGCUCAAAGCGGGUAAAAAUUAGGCUUACAGCCGCCCAAAUUUUCAGCCAAGUUUGAAAUUUUCACACAUACACUAUACACGCUCGAGUCUCCUUGAAUACCCUCAACACUCACUACACUCUCUCCCUCGCUCAACUCUCUCUCCCUUCUCUACUCUCUCUCUCUUGUUAAUCUCUCUGAAGCUAAUCUCUCUCUGGCCACCAUUUUCACUCAAUCUCGCCAUCACUUUUAAUUAACUUGGAUUUGCAUUUAUAGUUGGAGCACAGUUGAUUUGUGGGUCGAGGUUCCAAUUCUUCAAUUAGGGUUUUGGCUUUUCAAUCAGGGUUUUGGUUCUUCAUUAAACUUCAAUUAGGGUUCAAUUACUUACAUAUAAUCUCUUAAACUUCAUCUGAUAUCUCUUUCUCUUUGAUUUCAGGUGUUCUUAGUUUGGGUUUGCACUCCAAGACUUUAUUAUAAGGUAUUUUUGAAUUUAGGGCUUCAUGUUAUGAGUUUAUUUGCAUUUAGUGUUCUUUGUUUUUAUGUUUAUUUGGUUUAUUAUCUUUAUCUAGUUUAUUUCCUUUGAUUUUUUGUUUUUUUUUUCAUUUGUUUUGUGAAAUUGCAAUACUCUGUUUUUGUGUUAAUUUUUUUGUUGCUUAAAAGUGUUCAACAACAAUAUUCUUCUUAAUUAUAAAAGAUCUAUCACGAGGAAGAGGUCCCUGUUUUGUAUAAUAUCUUGUAUGUCUUUUCUUUUCUGUAUAUUAUUAAGCUACCUUGGGGCAUCCUUUUUCUAGACCAGAUUUCGUGCGCAAUCUUUAGUAAAGAGCAAAUAUUCCGAUUCUUUUGCAUUUGUCUCAAUGUCAGUGCUUUGCAUAUAUGGAUAUAUUUUACAUGAAAAUGGUGCUUUUGUUGUUGGCCUGCUUAAUGUUCAAGACAUGUAGUCAACUCAGUUUAGUGUGACAAUAAGACUUUCUCAUUUCAUUAUGAUUCUCACAUAUUUUAUGCUCGUCACAGUACAACACAGUUUUGUAUUUGGUGUGAGUGAGCAGUAAAGAAUUCUAUGGAAGAUGCUAGUGACUACCGGUGGUAUAUAACCAGGUAAAAAUAAUGCUCAGUUGAUAAUCCUUAUAAGGGAGGCUCUUACUAUUUCUUCCUCUUUAACAUUGAGUUGUUUUAAUGUACAUACUAGCUGGUUGCUCAAGUGUUCUAUCAUUAUAAUGUAUACAUUGGAUACAAUAUUUGUUCAAUGAGGUAUCUAACUAGCUUGCUGAUGGCCGGGGACUAUAGAUUUAUUCAUUGCUAAUUGGUUAUAUUCGUUGUACCUGUUAUGCCUCAAUCAUAAUGGCAUAGUGACAAUAAAAGGAAAACGAAUUAUAAAUAUUUCACAUAGCAUGCUCUAGUUAUCUACAACUAUUGUUUUGGACUUCUGGUUUGGCAUUUAUAAUAAGUUGGCAUAUGUCUUUGAAUUCAUAUAGUUUGUAGCAUGACCUAAUUGGCACAAGUCAUCCUCUGCCAUGUCUUAUAUCUUUAGUUAGUAAGAAUUAAUAUUUCCCAUGUUUCAGCCACUAUACAAAUAUUGAUCAUGGACGAAGUUCUUACCCUGUUUAGUAUUAAUUUCAUUAUCUGCUGCAACUUUAUUGUGUUAUCUGUGCACUGCCCAACUAAGUACACAUAAUUUGAGUUUAAAAUAAAGCAUGCUUCUUUACUGGAGCUCAGCUUAGUAGUUGCAUUGUAUUGUUGCAGGAGAAGCUUAAGCCGUUAAUGGAUCAACUUAACAAAGUCAAAGACUUGACUGUUCCAGAAUUUGGAAAUUUCCGAACUUGAGAAGUGCGAGCAAAUGCAAGAAUAUGUUUAUAUAUAAUAGUGUAGUGUAGUGGGAUGUUUGGUUGGAUUCGUUUAAUACUUUGAUUUGGUUGGAUUUGUUAGGUAGUUUUGUUUGGUUGGAUUUGUUAUAAACUUUGAUUUGUAUGAAAGAAUAGUUUAAUGUUUCAGUGGAUAUAGUGAAAUAUUGCAAAGUUGUUAAUUUAGUCUUGCAUUAGCACAUAUAUGUUGUAGUAGCUAAUAUAUAUAUGUUUCAAUUUAUAACAAAAAAUGUUGCAAACAUGCAACUGAAAAACAGGUGUCCAAACAUAGGACCCACAUGUGUGACCCACGUGUGGGUCCCACUUUUUUUGAAAUCAGGAGGUCUAACGUAACAUAAUAUAUUUGUUGCUAUAGGGUAGUCAGAUGUUGCAAUAUCACGUCUAUUGUAACAUAAAAAGCCGUGUUGCAGUAGGUUACCCAAAUGUUGCAAUAGAAGCCUAGGGCAACAUGAAAAAAUGCAACUUAAAUUUUAUGUUGCAAUAGCCCUUUUUCGGGCUAUGGCAACAUAUUUUGGGGUUAUGGCAUCAUUUUUUUGAUGUUGUCNNNNNNNNNNNNNNNNNNNNNNNNNNNNNNNNNNNNNNNNNNNNNNNNNNNNNNNNNNNNNNNNNNNNNNNNNNNNNNNNNNNNNNNNNNNNNNNNNNNNNNNNNNNNNNNNNNNNNNNNNNNNNNNNNNNNNNNNNNNNNNNNNNNNNNNNNNNNNNNNNNNNNNNNNNNNNNNNNNNNNNNNNNNNNNNNNNNNNNNNNNNNNNNNNNNNNNNNNNNNNNNNNNNNNNNNNNNNNNNNNNNNNNNNNNNNNNNNNNNNNNNNNNNNNNNNNNNNNNNNNNNNNNNNNNNNNNNNNNNNNNNNNNNNNNNNNNNNNNNNNNNNNNNNNNNNNNNNNNNNNNNNNNNNNNNNNNNNNNNNNNNNNNNNNNNNNNNNNNNNNNNNNNNNNNNNNNNNNNNNNNNNNNNNNNNNNNNNNNNNNNNNNNNNNNNNNNNNNNNNNNNNNNNNNNNNNNNNNNNNNNNNNNNNNNNNNNNNNNNNNNNNNNNNNNNNNNNNNNNNNNNNNNNNNNNNNNNNNNNNNNNNNNNNNNNNNNNNNNNNNNNNNNNNNNNNNNNNNNNNNNNNNNNNNNNNNNNNNNNNNNNNNNNNNNNNNNNNNNNNNNNNNNNNNNNNNNNNNNNNNNNNNNNNNNNNNNNNNNNNNNNNNNNNNNNNNNNNNNNNNNNNNNNNNNNNNNNNNNNNNNNNNNNNNNNNNNNNNNNNNNNNNNNNNNNNNNNNNNNNNNNNNNGCUUAUCCUCGUAUGUAGUUUGUUUAUGGUUAUGUACCUGACCAUGUACUCGUACAUUUUUAUUUCUUGAUCUGAUUAUGUACUCUUAGUCUAGUAGAUCGGUUGUUACGUUAUUAUGCAGUUCUUGUGCAUUCUUAUGUCAUAAUGUUUUAUAAUGAUUCAAGCAUUGAAAUUCAUAUGGACAAUAAAGGAAACCUAACAUAACAUAAUAAACGACAGAACACUAAAACACAUACACAUGUUGAUCUUUCUCGAAACCAGUAAAACUGACUUUAUUUUGACUAAACUUUACAUAUAUCAAAUAACUGAAAAAAAUAAUAUAAAAUUUGAAUUACUUGAACAACAAAAGUUGAGACAUUACAUAUAAGAUACAAUACAUAUAGUAAUGGGGGUGAUCUUUUGGAGAAAAUACCUAACUCAAAGGGAUUUCUUCAAAUAAUUUGAGAUGGGUCAGAGCUUCAAGAAUCUGUGUACUCUGCUUUUACAAGUACAAAGUGGGAAAAAGUGAGACAUAAAUAAAAUGUAGUGAAGUAUUUGAGAUGGGAGAAAGUAAAACUAACUUAAUUUCAUAUUAAUAUUGUGAAGAUAUUAGCAUAGAAUGAUAAAUAUACAUUUCUACUACCCAUUUAUAAAAGAAAUAUUAUAAAAUAUAAAACUCUACGCUUUAAAUUUAAAUUGUUUUAAGUUGUUUUCUAUUAAAUUAUUUUCCCCACAGGGGAAAAUAAUAUUAAAUUGUUUUAAUAUUAUUGUUUUAUUAUUAUUUGAUUAUUAAAUUAACGAGUACAUAAUUUGUAAAGUUUAGUGCUAAGAUAUAUAUAUUAUUUAAUUUUAUUAAUUAUAUUAAUUUCACAAAACAAUUAAAAUUUGAUUUUAAAUAAAAUAUUAAAUAUAUAAUACAAUAAUAUUAAAUGGCGUAUAAUCAGUGUUACAGAAAUCGGGAAUCGGACCUAAUCGGUUGAGCUACCGAUUCAGGGAUUAAUCGGAAAUCGGAGAUUAAUCGGACUGAAAAUCGGAUUUAUUUUAAUAUUAAAAUAUUAUUUAUUAUUUAGUUAUUAUUAUAUUAGGUAUCUAGUAACUAAUAUAUUUACUAUAUUCAUAAACUCUAUAAUUAUUCAUAUUUAAAGUAAUAUAGUAUUUUAAUUCUAAUAAUUUAUCACAUAUACUUCUAUUAGAAAAUAUGUUAUAAGGAUUAAUCGGAUUUUAAAAAUCGAAUCGGUGGCCGACCUUGCAGGAGAUUAAUCGAGGAUUAAUCAGUUAAAUCGGGGAUUUUUAGAACAUUCGGCGUAUUAUAAUACAAUUAUAUCAAAAUUUAAAAAAAAAUCAGUACCUCAGUUUGGGUAUCGGUCAGCCACCUAGGACAAGUGAAUGAGUGAAACCGCUACAAAAAAUGUAGUAGUAUGGGUCGCCCCUGUCAAGGGCGAUCCUAACUGUAUUUUGUAACAGUAUGGGUCGCCCCUGACGAGGGCGACCUGAACGGGGAAAAACUUCAGCUUGGGUCGCCCGACUUUUUUUGAUUUAGGCUGGUUAGUUUUGAAAAGUUGAACGUAGGCUGGUUAGUUUUGAAAACUUUACGUUCGAACUGGUUACUUUUGUAAGGGAGCCCAGCCUCCACCAUUGCAGCUCUGAGCAGCCAUGAACCAGGUUAUACUCCAGUCUCCUUUUCUCCCCCGCGUGUGUAAGUCUGUACUGCAGCCCACAUUUUCAACACGCUUCUGUCCUAAGCUUCGCAAGAAAUAUCUUUUUUUUGAAAUUCAAAAAAUUUGCGCACCAUAUCAUCGUCCAGCCAAACCACCAUCGGCGAAUCAGCAAAUAUACAUAUCAGAUCUAAUAUACACCAAUCUGAGCUUUGAUGACUGAGGUUUGAUUUGUGUUUUAUUUAAUAAAAUGAUAAAAUGAUGUCUUCUUUCAUGAUCAUGCGAUUAAUCGAUUGUAACUUUAAGGGAGAUGGAACAAGCAAUUCACGACGUCUAUUUACCUCCGAAGACAUGAUUAGUGGUAUGGUUACAUAAAUUUAACUUCUCUAUUUUUCUACCAUGUGUGGCCUAAUUGUUUCAUCUCUUGCUUUGUAGGUUAUCAGUCCAAAAAGCGGAGGAAAAGGGGCUACACAAUUAAGAGAUGAAACAGUAUUGAGCAUGUGAGCUUUAAAACUUGAUGAUUAAAUUUUUCAUAUUAUAUUUGUUCUGUAUUUAGAAAUUUGUGGAGGAUGUGUUUGAUAAUAUGUCUGAGAGAAGAAGUUAAUAAAUUUAUCGUGUUGAGGAUGUGUUUGAUGAUAUGUCCGAGUGAAAAAAUUAAUAAAUUUAUUUUCAAAAUGUUGCGAACAAAUUGUAAUUUAUAUCUAGCAGCUUCAAAUAAUUUUUUUUAGAGCAAAAAGAAUCGCAAUUGCAUGUGAAGAGAUGCACCUCCCUGAUAUUAGACUUUUAGUGUAAUUGCAUGUGUAACUAAACCGCUUGACUAUAAUGUUGGUGUAGAGUACGGAGCUUUAAUUUAUGAUGUUCUCCUCAAUCUGUCCAAAUUAUAGCUGAUCGUGGGAAUCAACUUUAGGGUAAGCUCUGCUCUGAAACUCAUUUUCUUAUAUUGGAACUUGGUUAUUUCUUAAAUGAAACGACUUUGACGUUUUCACCGAGUAGUCAUAGAUGCGUGAGUUGUACAAUAGUAAAAGAAAAAUAAAUUACAUAAAGACUGUCUGAGGUAAAAUAGUAUACAAGCUGCAAUUUUAUAUUUGGUACAUUGACGUAAAAAGUUAUUGUUAUGUUCAGGGGGAGGUGCUGAGAAAUGACAUGAUUAUAUCAUACGAGCGGCGACAAACUACUGAAGUUGCAAAAGAAAUGAUCUUAAAGAAAGCAGAGAAAGUGGGGGAGUUUUUUCAAGAAAAGAAUUUAAAGAGGAGAUGAGAUGCCAGAGUAUUACGCGCUAUUGCCGAAACAGGAUUAAAAACUAUAUUGGGUAUCUCUUCUUGAUCUCUUGAUUAAUUCCACUAGGAAGCUUCAAUAUUAUAUAGGAAGUUUUCUUUUUAAGCUUAAUUUUGAAUUUGAAUCCUCAAACUAUAACUACUGUAUAUCUCUUUAUAUUAUAGCUCCUGACGCCGGGAACUUCCCCUUCUACAACCAGCCCAACUGUACAUAACAGUUGCUUGCUUAUGAAUUUCAAAUUUAUAUUAUAAUGUUUAUAUGUAAUAUUGAAUCAAAGUUGCUUGCUUGCUUAUGUAAUAUUGAAUAUCUACUGUUGGAUGAUUGUUAACUGCUGUGUUACCAAGUGUUUGAUUAAAUUCCUACAAGUUUUGUUUGAAUUUUGUUCUUUAUUUAUCAUUAGUAUGUUUCAUUUUUAUGUUUGACUCUAUGCUAAUCGCUGAUAAGAUUUCUAUGAUUAUAGGAGAUGAGUGUUCUUAUGGCAUGAAUGAUAUUGGAAAAGUGAAAUGUGUUGAUGCUUUGUGUAAAUAAAUCAUGAUCUGCCGUUAUAGUUUUCUGUUUGUUUUCAAUUUGUGUGUACCUAGGUGGUUGUUACUGAGCAUUGAUCAACUGUGUUAAUUAAUUUAUUAAAAUGGAGUUGAGUCUGAGAACUAAAGGGCAAUUAUAUACUUCUUUAGGCUUUCCUUAACAUGUUUUUAUUCAUUAAAAAAAAUCGAUGAGUUUUUAUAAAUAUAUAUACUCUGUUAUUUUCUCUGUACCUAAUUAAAAGGAUUUUAAUUCGAAUUAUAGGUGUUUGUCAUGUGAAUAUUAUCUAAAAGAUAAUGGGGCCGUUUGGGUUAGCUUAAAAGAAGUGACUUUUUGCUUAUAGUAAAGAAGUGGAGUAGAAGUGAGAAGUAAAUAAGUUAAUAAAGUGUUUGGAAAAGAAGCAGAAGCUGUGAGAGAGAAGCUAGCAUUCUCAGCUUCUUAAAAGUGCUUCAACUUCUUUACACAAACAGGUCAAGAGAAGCAGAAGCCAGAAGCAGCUUCUGCUUCUCUUGGCCAAACAGGCCCAAUAUCUUUAAGGUCUCUUGCAUUGGUCAUUUAAUGUGUUAAUUAAAAGUUUACAUUUAAAUUUUUUGAUCUAAUAAUUUUGGAUAGAUGGUUUGUGAGGUUAAUGAAUGAACUAAUAUGGAAUGAUAAAAUGUAGGAGGUCUGGAAAGAUGGGUUUCAAUGCAGGUUUAUUGCUACUUUCCUUCAGGUCUGCAUUGCUUUGGUCUGUCUUCAGGACUGAGACUGUGAUUGGUUUCGGAACAGACACAAGUAUAUAUAUGGACCAAUGCAAAGCACCUGAUUAUCAUACUUUAGGCUUUUGCUCUGCUUUCUAUGGUAAAAAAAAGUGACAUUACUUCGAAUCUGAUACAGUUUAUCCAAGAGCUUGCUUCAAUAUUAAGAAUGCAAUACGUGUUGCAGAUAAAAUUUUGACCAGCAACAUUGGGGCACCCAACCCAAAUCUAGCAACAUUGGCCGUGGAGCUUUAAAUAUCUCCGUAAGAUUCUUUUCCCUCGCAGGCAGGCAUCUUUUUCUGCGAAAAAUAUACAAGAAAAAAGGACUAAUUUGUUUAAUUGAAAAUAAAUUUCGGAUGAGUUGGAUUAAGAAUCAAAUGGAGAGUCCUGUUUUGGUUUCAUUUUGAUGGAGAGGUUGCUUAGGUCCUGUUUUGAUCGAAAGGUUGAAAAAAUAUUUGGUAUUUUUUGGUCUCAUUUUGGUUUGUUUCGUUCCUUCACAGGUGUGCAACAAGUGAUGAUAGUAUUUAAACAUGAUUAGCAAACUGCCCAGCAAUCCAUGCAUGGCAAGGGGAAUGCACAGCUUAAUGAUUUCAGUCUCCGUACCAUCCAAGUGCAACAAAAAUCAAUUAUCUUGUGAUGUCUAGGAUUCUACAAAAGUAAGAAGCCUUCAUUCAUCUUCAUUCAUCCCCUGUUACUAGAAAAGCAUUGGUAGCCUAUAAGCAGGUACACUAAGUAGCUCACCUAAUUUUUGCAUUUCAGUAUCAACGGAAAGUGGUGCAGGACUCCACUUUAUAAUUAAAUUAUGUGUCUAAAUUAUGCGUGUUGUAAUGUUUAGUGACCAUGUUCCAGACCCGACAUGUCCUUACUUGGCAGAUCAAGUUAUCCAAGAUUUGGGAAGGAGUUUCGCCUUUGAGAUCUCCAACAAGUAAGAAGAAAUAAUGUCAAGGAAUGAACUAAUGUAAAAUGAUAAGAAGAUGAAGGUAUAAAACAAUGAUUAUAAUGUAGGCUUCUUCGUAAUGUAAUGAACAAAAUAAUGGAGUAACUAUAACUAUUCUUGCUGCAAGCCUGUGUUUGUUUAAUGCUAUCUGGCAGUAGUUUAGCAUUGGUAUAUUCCUUAAGGUGGAUUUGGAUAGAGUGAGAGGAGACAUUACUUAUCUUUACCUAGCUACUGCUUUUCAUGAGAUUUGGGCAGAGCGUAACAUUAGAAUUCAUCAUCCUAAGAGUUUUAAAGUUGCAAACCGGCUUAUCAAGGACAUAAUAGCCUCUGUUACUAUUUUUACAUGCUCCUCUAUUGUUGUGUGAACUUGCUGAACUCCUUUUUUCUGUUGUUCUACUUACUAAAAUCUUUUUAAUUUUCUUUUGUUAGGUACACUAAGUGGUUCACUCAAUUUUGGCAUUUUAGUAUCAUUGGCAAGUGGUGUAGGACUCCAUGAUUCUGUGUUGUCCACAAGCAACGAAAAAAANNNNNNNNNNNNNNNNNNNNNNNNNNNNNNNNNNNNNNNNNNNNNNNNNNNNNNNNNNNNNNNNNNNNNNNNNNNNNNNNNNNNNNNNNNNNNNNNNNNNNNNNNNNNNNNNNNNNNNNNNNNNNNNNNNNNNNNNNNNNNNNNNNNNNNNNNNNNNNNNNNNNNNNNNNNNNNNNNNNNNNNNNNNNNNNNNNNNNNNNNNNNNNNNNNNNNNNNNNNNNNNNNNNNNNNNNNNNNNNNNNNNNNNNNNNNNNNNNNNNNNNNNNNNNNNNNNNNNNNNNNNNNNNNNNNNNNNNNNNNNNNNNNNNNNNNNNNNNNNNNNNNNNNNNNNNNNNNNNNNNNNNNNNNNNNNNNNNNNNNNNNNNNNNNNNNNNNNNNNNNNNNNNNNNNNNNNNNNNNNNNNNNNNNNNNNNNNNNNNNNNNNNNNNNNNNNNNNNNNNNNNNNNNNNNNNNNNNNNNNNNNNNNNNNNNNNNNNNNNNNNNNNNNNNNNNNNNNNNNNNNNNNNNNNNNNNNNNNNNNNNNNNNNNNNNNNNNNNNNNNNNNNNNNNNNNNNNNNNNNNNNNNNNNNNNNNNNNNNNNNNNNNNNNNNNNNNNNNNNNNNNNNNNNNNNNNNNNNNNNNNNNNNNNNNNNNNNNNNNNNNNNNNNNNNNNNNNNNNNNNNNNNNNNNNNNNNNNNNNNNNNNNNNNNNNNNNNNNNNNNNNNNNNNNNNNNNNNNNNNNNNNNNNNNNNNNNNNNNNNNNNNNNNNNNNNNNNNNNNNNNNNNNNNNNNNNNNNNNNNNNNNNNNNNNNNNNNNNNNNNNNNNNNNNNNNNNNNNNNNNNNNNNNNNNNNNNNNNNNNNNNNNNNNNNNNNNNNNNNNNNNNNNNNNUUUUACAUGCUCCUCUAUUGUUGUGUGAACUUGCUGAACUCCUUUUUUCUGUUGUUCUACUUACUAAAAUCUUUUUAAUUUUCUUUUGUUAGGUACACUAAGUGGUUCACUCAAUUUUGGCAUUUUAGUAUCAUUGGCAAGUGGUGUAGGACUCCAUGAUUCUGUGUUGUCCACAAGCAACGGAAAAAAAGCCUGCAGAAAUGUUUCGAAUACUUUGAACGAAAUAAAGGUACAUUAUUAGGCAAGUGAUUGUGGCGGCAGAGAUAGCAGUUUGAUUGCUACACAAUUAUGUGUUUCACAAGAUUUUGCUAUUUUAAAUUAUAGUAAAUUUGAUUAAAUCCCACUCGGAAAGUUUGAAAUUUCUUGAUGUUGCUUAGUUAAAAUUUGGAUAUGGACAAUUAUGAUAUUUGUGAAUUUGGGUUCUUUUUAUAGGUGAUUUUUGAACAUUGCUAGAAUGAUAUAUGAUCUCAGGCCUCACACUCUUAACAUCUUUACGAGGCUUACGAGGUUCGAGAUGAGUUGGUUACUUAACAUGAUUCGUUUAAUUUAAUUAUGUGUUUGUGUAGUUGGGUUGAUUUGUUGUUUGUUUCGUUUAAUUGUACAAUUAAGGAGAUGGUGUUUACAAUAAUAAUAUUGAAGAUAGUUUGUAACUAGAGUAUGUUGUUAAUAAUUUGGUUAUGAGAAAUUGAGGCCGACACAAGUUUAAUCUGGCUUUCUCGAGAUGAUCUGACCUCGAGAAGAAAGAUUAUCUCAAAGUAGUUUUGUAAGUUGCUUCUCUCUGUUUUUGGACAAUGUAAAUUCUUACAUUACAUCUGCCUCUUGCAGGUAACAUCUUUGCUUUUAGGCUCUUUAUAUCGCCGAUGUAAGUUUUGCUCCAUAAAUUUCAGUGUUUGGCUAGAUCUCCUACAACUGUACUUUUAAAGAAAAAUAGAAGAAAUCAAGAACUGAGUUUACUGUACUUUUGCAGUGAUAAUCAGAUAUGUACCGGUUUUGCUUCGCAUAGUCACACCUUUUCUUUGUACAAUUGCAGACCCACUUUUAGGGGUAUUAUGAUGAGGAACGAGUGUACAGAAGACUUCUCAGGUCUUCCAUAUCUAUAUGCCCUCCUGCACUGCUUGAUUUGUGCCUGGUAUGGCAUGUCGUUUAUGUCAGAUGAUAAUGUGCUUGAUAACUGUAACCUUAUACAGCUACAUUUACUUUAAAUGUCUUGAACACAGUGGUUGCAAAUAAUGGUUAAAUGAUUAAUAUUUACACUGAUCUACUGCUUUUACACUGAUCACUGCUUAUGAUGUUGAAAAACCAAAAUUUGGUGGAGAAAUUGGGAUCAAUGGAGGGAGCUUGCACUGACACACGAAAUCUGUCAAAGCCUAGAUUACAAAGUAAUACUUUACUUGACUGAUCGACGGUUCAACUCAGCAGGAUAUGGAGUAUGCUCGCAGUGUACAUAACAUCCAAUCUCCCAAGGUCUCAUCAUCUACUUUGGAGACAACCUCAAAAUGGGUGUAGUUGCACUUGCACCCAAAAAUGAAGCCAGUGCAAAAAUCAAAGAGAUGACCCAUUUGUUAAAAAUGUUGAGGCUGAAGAGUACAAGGGAACCAAGGUCAGAGAUGUCUCCUCCGCUAAGAGAUGAGGAAAUAUGGCAGUCGUUGGUAUUUGGGAAAUGCAUGUUAGCAAAUACAUGGAUUAUAAAUUGUAUGAGUGACAGGAUGAUAAUAUAGCGUCUCAUAGUCUAAUAUUGCCAAUGACAGGGCUAAUAGCAAUAGCACUUUCAAAAGUAGGUUUGCAGCUGUGAAAUUCACUCAAAGUUGUGAAAUUUGUGAAAUUUGCUUUUGCUCUAACAUGUAAUACCCCGGGUUCCAUUCUUUUGUUUACUUGAAUUUGAAUUGUAUUGUUAUCUUUGUUUUUUUAUUAUAAUUAUCCAAAAAUAGAUGUCCAUCUUGACUUUUGGUUGGUUAUUAGACAGAGGAAUUGAGCCCGGAAAUAAAAGUGUUACUAAUUAUCAUCCAUUAUUAAAGCAAUUAUUAUAUUAGACCAAUUUUAUUUUUGCACUAUUUGAAAUAUUCACUUUAUCUGAAUGAUGAAUGGUUCUUCUUUCAGUUAAUACAGUGUCAUUCACUGGUUAACAAAUGACCUCUUAAAUUAUUCAUGAAAUCAUUUAAAAAUAUAUAAAGUUUAAUUGACAAAUUUAUCUUUUUUAAUAAAAUUAUACUCAAAUUUUUGGUUGAAAUGUAUGUAGCUUUAAGAUUAUAAUCACUUUUAGCCGAAAGUACUUUAAUAUUAGUGUUCAUAAAAAUAAUUUUUGAAUAACUUAUUAAUGAUUAAUUAUUUUAUGUAACGGUUUAAUAAAAUUAUACAAAUAUAAUGAUUUCUAAUUUGAGAAUAGUUUUUUAUAGUUCAAAACAAAAUUUAUAAUAAAAAAAUUUAACGAGUUAUCAGUAAUUAAUAAUAUACAUUUACAAUUAAAUUAUCCAAAUUAAUUAUAAAAUAUUAAAAUUUAAAAUAUUUGACUAAAGUGCGAGGCGUCACCGCUCGGCGACGUCGAGGGGCACUUGAUAGAAUAUGACUUUUCAUAUAUUACAAAGUUUAGCUAUAUAAUUAUUUUGAUUAUAAGAUAUUAAAAUAUAAAAUAUUCGACUAAAGUGUGAGGCGUCGCCGCUCGACGACACCGAGGAGGACUUGAUAAAAUAUGACUUUUCAUAUAUUACAAAUGUUUAGCUAUAUAAUUAUUUUGAUUAUAAAAUAUUAAAAUAUAAAAUAUUCUACUAAAGUGUGAGGCGUCACCGGUCGGCGACGACGAGGAGCACUUGAUAGAAUAUGAUCUUUCAUAUAUUACAAAGUUUAGCUAUAUAAUUAUUUUGAUUAUAAGAUAUUAAAAUAUAAAAUAUUCGACUAAAGUGCGAGGCGUUGCCGCUCGGCGAGCCGAGGAGUACUUGAUAAAAUAUGACUUUUCAUAUAUUACAAAUGUUUGGCUAUAUAAUUAUUUUGAUUAUAAAAUAUUAGAAUAUAAAAUAUUCGACUAAAGUGCGAGACAUCGCCGGGGAGCACUUGAUAAAAUAUGACUUUUCAUAUAUUACAAAUGUAUUAUAUAAUUAUUUUGAUUAUAAAAUAUUAAAAUAUAAAAUAUUCGACUAAAGUGCGAGGUGUCGCCGAGGAGUACUUGAUAAAAUAUGACUUUUCAUAUAUUGAAAAUGUUUAGCUAUAUAAUUAUUUAAAUUAUAAAAUAUAAAAUAUUCGACUAAAGUGCGAGGCGUCGCCGAGCGGCGACGCCGAGAAGUACUUGAUAAAAUAUGACUUUCAUAUCUUUAAAAAUAUUAUGUAAUUUUCGAACGUAAAUGAAUUUUAAUUACGAAUUAACUUUUAUAAAUACUCAAGUUAUACAACGGUUUUUGUUGAAUUUGAUUUUUAUUUUACACUGAACUUUUAUUUUUAUAACUACAAAAUCACAAGUUAUAUUUAAUAUUUUUUUUAUAACUCAAUUGUUGUUUUCUUGCAUAUAAAAGUUUGUAAGUAUAAGUAAUGGAUAUAAUAACGUCAUAUUAAUUUUCAAAAUAUAAUCAAUAUUUUAAAUCUUAUUGACAAAAAAAGGACUAAAUUCUAUCUAUUAUUUUAAAAUAUUAUUUUAAAAUAUUAUUGUAUAUACAAAUACUCACAAAUACUCCAUGACGCUGACGAACAUCCAAUAAUCAUUAUCAGGUAGUGAAAGAUCUGAGGAACACAUUAAAAUUUGUACUUCAAUAAAACACAAUUGAAAGAUGAAUUUUAGCCAAAAUAAAUAUGCAUGAAUACAGGUUGGCAAAUUGGCGUAACAACCACUGAGCUACUCAAGUACAAGGACUCGAUGAAAGGCCUCUACUACUCCCAGAACCUGAAAAUGCUAUUUCUAUAAUUCCAUCACGUUAUUUAUCUUAUUUAAUGUACUGUUCUGUGAUAACGUAUGGGAACUCGCUAAUAUGGAAUGCUAGCUUUGCAUUUGGUCUCCUCGCCAUAUUCACAAAUCAUUAGGAUUCAUAUAGAAUUGGUGCGUGUUCAAAACAGAAUUUUUUCAAGCACAAGAUCAGCAAAAAUAAAUUUAUUAAUCUUCUGCAAUUUAAAAUGCCCAGCAAGGCGGGCAUAAAUACUAGUUCUUCAUAUUUACACAACCAUUGAUCUGUCUUGCAACAAAUUUCAAGGAGAAGUUCCAAAGGUUACAUGAGAGCUUAAAUGGCUUGCAUUGCUCAAUCUAUCUCAUAAUAGUCUCACCGGACAUAUCCCAUCACUCCUCGGAAAUAUGGAAGCACUCCUAUCUCUAGAUUUGUCUUCAAAUCAAUUGACAGGGGCUAUUCCACACCAAUUAACUAAAUUGACAUUUCUAAAGGUGUUGAACCUCUCGGGAAAUAAUCUUACUGGGGAAAUCCCGCAAAAAGGGCAAUUCAGCACUUUUGGAAAUGAGUCAUACUUGGGGAACCCGGCCUUGUGUGGACUUCCUUUGACGGAAAAAUGCAUGCAUGCAGUGUCACCAACUCAAGAAGUCGGAAAUGGUGAUACUGAUGAAGAUGACGAUGCUGAUGAUGAACUUAAUUGGGAAGCCAUCCUGAUGGGAUAUGGAUGUGGAUUGAUAUGCGGAUUGUCUUUGGGGUACAUUGUUUUCAAGAUAGGAAAGCCUUGGUGGUUUGUGAAAUACAUUAAAAUACUACAACUGAAAUUGAUGAAAACAUGCACAAAGCAUAGCAGACGAAAGACUUGAGGAGAUGUUGUCUUAGGAUGCAAUCUCGUUUAAUACUUUCAUCAUUAUUCUCCAAGAUGUCUGAACAUGUAUUUUCAAAGAAUUCUCAGUUCACCUUUAGCCUUAUAAAGUAAAAGACAUUUUAAAGGCACUCUCAACUUACACCUAUAUAUACACGUACGGUUCACUUCAGUACAAAGAUUAUUAGCCAUGCAAAACAUGCAGAACCACUAGUAAUGCAGAAAAACAAAAUAUCAGUUUUCUCCAAAUAUCACUACAACAAAACUGCCAUUUUACGACGGAAAUCUAAUAUUCUAAAGGUUUACGACCAAACUAUGUUGGUGGACUUUAUUUUAAUUUACAGUUUUAACAGUAGUUAAUUUUGGAUAUCUAAACUUGCGACAGAAAACAUACGACAGUCUACCUCGCGAGAGAAAAUCAUUUUAUUUUAUUUUUUAGCGCCAGAAUUUUAAUACUAAAAUAUUAUAUAUAUGAAGGAAACUGAUCUCUAAUGUUUUCAGCUUGCUCAUCCAUAUGUAAGUAAUCCGUCGAAAAAGUUAGUUUGUUGUGGUGGUGUCUUAUCAUGAGAGAAAAUGAUAAUAUCGCAAAAUAUUUGCAACUGAAAGAUAAAUUAUAAUUCUAGAAACCAUUUAGGUAACGAUGCACGAAGUUAUUUUCACUCACUUAGAAUUAAUGAUCAUAAAUAUUUGCAACGGAAAGAUACAUUAUAGUUCUAGAAAAGGAUCCACGAAGUUAUUUUCACUCACUUAGAAUUAAUUGUAAGUUAUUGUGAGUUUUUGAAUAUGGAUUAUCUCAAAUUUUAUGAAAACACAUAUUGAUUCAUAUAUACAAAUUUGCCUACCUAAUAUUAUAAUAUUUAUGGAGAAGUUGUAUGAACAAUUGUGUAGAUAAUUAUACUUUACAAAGCAUACUUCUGCUAGAUGAAUUUUGAUUAAACAAAAUCGAAAGGGAUAGGUCUGGGUCUCUCCAAGUCUUUGAGGACUCAUUCCAAGUCUUCUGACGAGGACAAAAUAUAUUGCUGGUAGUCUUUCAGUCCUUCCUAGAGUAUUUUAUGCUCUGGACUGCAUUAUGCAGCUCUCAUAUAACUUUGCGAUGCAAAACAGUGGCAAGUAAGUAUUUCCGUAUGUGUAUUUAUUUGUAUAUUAAAGUUGCGUAACAUUUGUGUUGAUAAUUUGCGUAAUGUUGAUGAGGAUUGCUCCCAAGUCUUGGACGGACUCUUUCCAAAUCUUCUGAGGACAUAUCGGUUCAAAUUAGUCCAUUAAAAAUUUUAUGAUAUGAAGCUAUCUGCAAAAUAAUAUAUAAGGUAAAAUGAACCAUUGUUUUGUGGUUAAGUUGUACAGGCAAUAUGCAGUGCAAAAUCAGGAACAGAAUAUAUGAAUACUAGUAAUAUGAUAUCGGUAUGAACGAAUAUUUUCUAUGUAGUUGUUAUUGUGAUGCGGAAAAAAUAUUGUAACCAAAAAUAAUUAUAAUUCUAAAAAUUUCCAUUAUACACUUUUUUAGUGUUCGUGGUACUUCAAAUGACAUUUCUCGCGUAUGCCUCCAAUUAAGAACUUGAUGUUCAGCAUAGUCCGAAACUAAAAUUAUUAUAAGUGUGUAAUUCAAAAUUAUAUUGCUGGUAGUCUUUCAGUUCUUCCUAGUGUAUGCAGUAGUUUCAUUCGAUACCGAUUAUUUUAUGCAUUGCCCGAGAACCAGUCUAUCUAAAACCCUAAGAUGUUAUAUUUUUAUACGUGUAUUAGUUUUGAAGAUUAAAGUUGUAUGGACAAUUGUGUUAAUAAUUUGCGCAAUUGCGCAAUGAUAACUGGGAUAGGUCAUCUUCUCUCCCAAGUCUUGGAUGGAAUCUUUCCAAGUCUUCUGAGAACCCAUCAGCUCAGAUUAGUCCAUACAAUGUCAAGGGUCCUAUGAUAUGGUCUACUAACAGCCCAGUGUCGGUAAUAAAUCCAAUUGCAUAUAACCUAUUCAAAAUCAAUCCCCUAUAAACAAUCAUCUCUAAAAACUAUUCACAUAAAAUAAAAUUUUAAAAAUAUAAAAUAUCUAGUUGUUUUCAAUAUAUAAUUUUCCACAGUAGAUAACACAAUAUCUUUAUCAAAUUAUUAUUUAUGGGUUCAAUAUUUAAGCUAUAAUUCCAACAACACGGCAAGCAUGCAGCAUAUAAAUAGAAGUGUGCAGUAUGGUAUUGCAUUCAUAACCCAGUUGAGGAAAAAUAUGGCACCCUUCCUAAAGCCUUCUCACCUUCUUCUCUUUGUUUUCUUUCUCUCAUCACCUGAGUCCAUUCUUGCGACAACACGAGAAGGAGAAGCUCUUGUGAAGUGGAAGAAUAGCCUAGCCCCUUCUUCUUUUCUUGAUUCUUGGUCACUCACUCAUCUCGAUAAUCUUUGUAACUGGACUGGCAUUACUUGUAACUCUGCAGGUUCAGUCUCUAAGAUUAACCUUUUUGAGAAACAACUUAAUGGAAUGCUGUCCGAGUUUGGUUUCACUUCAUUUCCAAAUCUCAGCAAUCUCACCCUCACAUACAACUUCUUCUCGGGUCCCAUACCACCAGCCAUUGAGAAUUUAACCCAGCUUCGGUAUCUUGAUUUGAGCUAUAAUUAUCUGGAUGGUCCCAUUCCGUUCCAGGUUAGCCAUCUUCAGAGCUUGCUCAUCUUGAACCUGUCACAGAAUGCAUUGCAAGCUCCAAAUUGGUCCCAUUUCUCUCCCAUGCCUUUCUUGCGCAUCCUCAACCUCAGUUACAAUCCUCUUGCGUCGAAAUUCCCAAAUUUUAUAUCCAAUUCUCAUAGCCUGACUCACCUUAGCCUUAAUUUUAAUGAGUUUACUGGUGAUCUAGUACGUGAAUCAAUAUUUGCCAAUCUGCAUAAUCUUGAAGUCCUCAGUCUUCUUGGCAAUUUUUUUGAGGGGCCAUUUCCGCCAGAUAUAUUCAAGCUUUCCAAAUUAAAACAUCUUCACCUGUCAGGUAACAAAUUCUCAGGUUCAAUUCCAAAUGACAUAAGGUUGCUUUGUGGUCUUGAAAACCUAUUUUUAAGCAACAAUUCCUUUGAAGGACCGCUUCCACCAAAUAUAUUUAAGCUUUCAAAAUUAAAACAACUUGUUCUUUGGAGUAAUAAUUUUUCAGGUUCUAUUUCCAAUGAUAUAGGUUUGCUUUCUGAACUUGAAACCCUCAAUCUUCAAUUUAAUUUUUUUGAGGGGCCGCUUCCCCCACAUAUAUUUAGGCUCUCUAAGUUAACAGGUCUAGAACUCGGAGACAAUAGAAAUUUAUUUGAAGGAAGUAAUAUUCCUAUCGGACUGGGACUCUUGACUAACCUCAGGUACUUAGAUUUACAUUCCAGUAAUCUCAGUGGCUAUAUUCCAUCUGACAUUGGAAACCUGAAGCUACUAGUACUUCUUAGUCUCGGUUCUAAUCAAUUGACUGGACCGCUUUCAAAGAUCGUUUAUAAUCUCACAAAUCUUAUAUUUCUUGAUGUAAGUAAUAAUAGUCUUAGUGGAAAUAUUCAGAGUGACUUGUGGAAAUAUAACCAUCAUCCUACUUUGGAAUACAUCGAUUUUAGUGGGAACCAUUUUACAGGUAUAUUUUUUCUCUAUAGAUCUUUUCCUUUUGUCAUAUGUAACUAAGCUAGUAAUCUGAUUAUUGCAGUUUUACUGAAGUUUCAACAAUCUUGACAGGUGAGCUUCCAACAACAAUUUGCAAUGUCAUGUCCCUUUCGGUUCUUGAUUUGUCAAAUAAUGAAUUAAGUGGUGCACUUCCAAACUGUUUCGGGAAUCUUGCUGAUGGAUUGCUUUACAUUAAUCUUGCUAAUAAUCAGUUUCGAGGAACAAUACCAACUACUUUCUCCAGGAGUUGUCAGCUGACAUAUCUAAACAUGGAUAAUAAUGAGUUUGAAGGAUUGUUGCCCCCAUCUUUGGCGAACUGUAAGCACUUGAGAAUUCUUGAUAUUGGCAAUAAUAAAAUAGGUGGUACAUUUCCGUCAUGGCUUUAUGUACUUGGAGAGCUAGAAGUCCUUGUCUUGCGAUCAAAUAAACUCUAUGGUACAAUAAGUGGAAGGAGCAUAGAAGAUCCCUUCCCCAAGUUGCGGAUUGUGGAUCUGUCCAACAAUCAAUUCACAGGCCAUUUGCCAAUUCAAUACUUUAAGAAUAUGAAAUCAACUGAUAAUUUGUAUCGUUAUCAGAAUUCCACAGGAGUUUUUUCUUUCCAUUAUGAAGCAUCUGUCUCAUUAACUGUGAAGGGAACAGAGUAUGAAGUGAAAAAUAUCCUUCAUAUUUACACAGCCAUUGAUCUGUCCUGCAACAAGUUUCAAGGAGAAAUUCCUGACGUUAUUGGAGAGCUUAGAUGGCUUGCAUUGCUCAACUUAUCUCAUAAUAGUCUGACAGGACCUAUCCCAUCAUUACUGCGAAAUAUGAAAGGACUCCAAUCUUUAGAUUUGUCCUCAAAUCAACUGACAGGGGCUAUUCCACCUCAGAUAACUGCACUGACAUUUCUAGAAGUCUUAAACCUCUCGGGAAACCAUCUUAGUGGAGAGAUUCCUCAGAAAGGACAAUUCAGCACAUUCAACAAUGAUUCUUAUAUAGGAAACUCCGCAUUAUGUGGAUCACCAUUGACGAAGACAUGUGCAAACACAGCAUCACCUCCACAAGAAGUCGGAAAUGUUGAUGAAGAUGAUGCGGGUGAUGAAUUGACAUGGGAAGCAAUCUUGAUGGGAUAUGGAUGUGGACUGAUAUGUGGAUUGUCAUCUGCAUACAUUGUUCUCAAACUAGGAAAGCCUUGGUGGUUUGUGAGAUAUCUCGAAGUACUGCAACAGAAGUUGAUGAAAAGAUAUGCAUGAAGAAUGGUACUGGCCGAUCAAGACCAACUUGAAAGUUUGUUGUCCUUGUGCACAUUUCUGAACCAGUAGUGUACUUGCUGCAUAAGUAUUUGGUAUUAUGUAAUAAUCCGUUUGGUCGGGACUCAUAAUGAUUUCUCUUGCUUCAGGGGUAUUAAUAUUAACCUUGCUAUCUUGAUCAAUGUUAAAGCAAAUUAAAUGAAUGAAAAAACAAAAAGUAUGCAUCAAAUCCGCUCCUGCUGUACCAAAAUCCAUUAAAUUGCUUUGGUCUCUUACCUAACAAUUUAACAGCACACUUCCACACUGUUCAUACCUAAUUUGCGUGUAAUAUGAAAACUAAGAGGCAUGGCUUUUGUCUCUAUAAGUCUUUGAGAACUUAUUCUUCCAAGUCUUCUUCGGAGGCCUGCUGCCUCAACAACCUUUCAAAGAUGUAGCAGUUGCUCGAGAGUAACAUAUAUAUUAGAUAAAGACUAUGCAAUAAUCCACGUGACAGAAAAACCAAAGUCCAAUUAGUUUUCCAAGUUCAUAAAAAAUACUAUAGGAUCAUUAGCAUUACAUUAGUAUUCCACUAGCAUACAGCAUAUUAUAAGACAAAAGUAAGCGGAAAUAAACAUAAUUUCAAUAGAUUUAACUUACUCUUCAGAAUCGAUAAGUUUGGAACACGUUGAUUGAGCACAAGACGAAGGCCACACAUGCGCAUCAUCUGAUGCAGCUAUAUAUGGUGCCUUUACAGUUGCUCAUACAUAUAGUGAAACAAUAAGGAUCAACUCCUCCAUUGUACGUACACAUUUUCAUACAAGCUAUAAAGCAUGGUGAUAGAGUCUUUGCAAUCUCGUCAUGACCGGCACAUCCGAUUAUGAUAAACUCUAGCAGGAUCAUCCAAGUAAUAAUUUUCAUAAUGAUAUUAAUUAUCAUUGUGAAUAGUUGCAUUGAGUUAUAUAUGUGUGUGUAUAUAUAUGCAAUGGAUUUUGUGGUUGAGAAUAUCUAUUAGAUUUUGUAUAUCCAUAACAAUUAUUAAAAUUUAAACAAGAAUAUCUAUUAUUGGUUGUGGUUGACUAUUGUAGUAGUCCAAGAAAUCAAUGCAAGUGAAAUCUAUAUUAUAUUUUAAAAGAUUAUACAUGAAAUACAAAAGGUUUUUUUAGGACUGCUGUUAAAAAUUGUUAUGUUGUACGAAAAAAUGCUGAUAAAAAGAGUGUUAUACGAAAAAAUGCUGAUAAAAAAAAUGUCGUAUAAAUCAGAUAUGACAGCUUCCCACAAAAACUAAAAAAAACAGUUUUCCGUAAUAAUAUGGGAGAGGAAAAACUGUUUGUAGAUUUAUAGAACAAUUUUUCGGUAAAAAACUGUUGUUGUUUUCGAGAGUAAUGACAAACAGUGCCGAAAUCAUUUUGCAGGUAGUUAAUCUCACUUCCAUAUAAUAUACUCCUAUAUAUUACCGAAAAAACAUGAAAUGAUGCAAACCUCAUACUAUUGACAACAGCUAAACUCCUUGCAAUACUUUCAGCUGCAAAAUCCAUCAAAUUUUUUGAUUUAUCAUGUAACUGUUUGACAGAGUACUUCCAAGCCUAAGUAUCAAAAAUCACUACCUUACGAAAUAUAUCUCACCCUACCUUCUCUGCUUAACUGUUUCGAGUGCUUUUACCAAGCAUAUUUUCCAUUAAGCGUGAAAGGCACAGAAUAAUUAGGAUCACCGAAUAUCCCAUCAGUGCUGGGGAAUAUGGAACCAUCUUAUCAAUUAACUAGUUUAACAUUUCUUGCGGUCUUGAACCUCUCAGAAAACCAUCUUAUCCUAAUGUGCCGACUUCCUUUGACGGAGAAAUGGUGAUGCUGAUGCUAAUGAUAAUGAACUCAACUGGGGAGUGAUCCUUAUGGGAUACGGAUGUGGAUUGAUAUGCGGAUUUUCUUUGGGGUUUAUAUUUUGUGGUUUGUGAGAUACAUUGAAGUACUGCAGCUGGAGUUGAUCAUUAUAAAGAACAUAGGCAAGUUAAUCGCUUAUUGAAAUUAGUAAUUGUCAAAAGUAAAAUGUUGAAAUUACUUUUUUCGAUUGAAAUCAUUGAAAAAAAGUCUCUGUCGAAAUUGAUCUGCCAAAAUUAUGUUUAAUAUCUACGGCCAAGAUUAUCUGUCGAAUAUAUUUCCCGACAAUUUUAAAAGACAAAUUUUUCGCCUCUCAGCUGUGAGCGGGAACAGAUAUUUUCGACAGAAUUCCAUUGAAAUUAGCUAAUUUCAACAUAAAUUUUCUAUCGAAAUUACUUGAGUUCUUUGUAGCUUGUUUUCACAAAUACGCUGAUAGCCUUUGGGGACGGGUAUAUUGUUUUCACAAAGCCCUGGUGGUAUGUGAGAUGCUUCGAAGGACUGCAACUGAAGUCGAUAAGAACAUGCAGAAAGAAAACCGAUCCAUCUUGAUAAACUUGAAAAAUGUUGUCAUAUGGUGAUAUAUACUCCCUGGCCCCAGUCUCUUGGAAAGAACUUGGUUGAUUUUUUUUUUUCAGUAUUGUUGGAGCUGUCAUACUAGUGCUAGUGUGCCGACUAGCACUAGUAUGACAGCUCCAACAAGUAUCCAUCCCUAAUAAUUGCAGCAAAUUAAAAAAUAUAGCUAUAUCUUUUUAGCAAUGGUGCAAUUUGGAAAGCUUUCUCAUCAUCUUCUUCUUUUCUUUAUCUCAUUACUCUCAUCUAGUUCCACUGUCCUAUCUGCAACAAUUCGCGAAGGAGAAGCUCUUGUGGAAUGGAAGAACAGCCUAUCCCCGAAUUCAUUUCUUGGUUCUUGGUCACUAAUUAAUCUCACUUAUCUUUGUAAUUAAGUGGACUGGCAUUGUAUGCAACUCUGCAGGUUCAGUCAGUCAGAUUAAUCUUCAAGAACUCACACUUGCUAACCUCCGUUUCUUUUCGUUUCCAAAUCUCACCAAUCUCAACAUUACACAUAACAACUUCACUGGUCCAAUACCACCCGAGACUUUAGCUAUAGUAAUCUCAAUGGUACCCUUCCAUACCAGGUCAGCCAUCUUCAGAGGUCGGUCGUCUUAGGCCUCUAAUUUAAUCACUUGAAAGCUCUAAGCUUGUCCAAUUUUUCCCCCAUGCCUAUACUGGUUGGUCGCGGUCUUGGUGGUAAUAAGCUGGCGUCAAUUUUUCCAGAAUUCAUAUCUAAUUGCUAUAACAUGAUUAACCUUGAUCUUUCAUUUAACAUGUUAACUGGUGAUCCCUUCAACAACUUGCGAAUCUUGGAUCUCUUCGACAAUGAAUUCACUGGUUACUUGCCAAUCCAAUAUUUUAAUAAUAUGAAACCAGUUAAUACCGUGAUUGAUUAUUACAACAUAACAGUGAAUCAUGAUUAUCAAGCAUGUCUUGUUAACAUUUUGCACUCGUAUUAAUUGUCUUAUAUAUGACUAACUCAUCUUGCACUCGUAUUAAUUGUCUUAUAUAAUACUAAUAACAAAAAUAUGAGGCGGUGCUUAGUCAGAUGAUUUUAGUUGUUAAAAUAUUUUUGUGUUAUUUAUAGAUAGUGAAACAUGUCUAAUAUUUUAUCAAUUUUGUUUCGUUUCUUGAGAUUUCCAAAUAUUUAUUGGGACAUUGUACCAUGGUGUAUUUCACAUAUUCGCAAUUUUAAUUAUUUUGUAUUUUUAUUUUAAAGAUAUGAUAAAGUUUAUUUAUUUAUUUGUUUUUAUCUUAAAAGCGAUUUUCGAGUGUUGCUUAAACCUCGAAGAUUCCAAUCGAGUUUUAUUCUCGGAUCUGUUUCGGAAUUGAGCUUGGCCUUGAUUGUUUUCUGAAUAAAUCAGAUCUUUUGAAAUCAAAGGUUCGAUUGUGUUUUCCCGUCUCGCCUUUUGGCGUGUGUUGAUUUAGUACCCAAUUUUUGGGUGAUUCUGCGUUGUUAUAUUUGUGGUUGUUAUGUCUUUCUGUGUUAUCAAUGAGAAUGAUUGGGAUGGAGUUUUGGGAGAUUUGGCUUAUCGCAUCAUUACAUCUUUCGGCAUGUCUAUAGCUGGCUCCCGGCAUGUAGAUAGCUGGGGUAUGCUUGGAACGGUGGCGAUCGCAUGUGCUCACCUGUCACAAAUUAUAGUUGUUCAUUAUUCGAGGGCUCUUGUUCCUCGUUGCUUAGUUUUUACAACUGAGUCGUCUGAACACCGCAACAGCCAUGGAACUAUUGUGAAGGUCAAUUGUGAAGCUAUCAUUUUCGAGAUUGAUGUAGGCUGGAUUACUCGAGAAGCUUUUGUAUUCAUUUUCAGUUUCAAGAAUUCUUGAAUUCAGUGUGUUAAGCAGUCUGGAAACAAUGCGGCUAUUUGAUUAGCUCGUUUUAUUGUUUAUCAACCUGAUUGCAUUGUCAGUUGGGGAUUUGUCCCGAUUAAACUUGUUUUAAUAUAAUGGAAUGAAUUUGCAUUUUGUCAAAAAAAAAAAAAAAAAGCGAUUUUGAGUUGUUUGAGUUAGAUAUAUACUCCUACUGUGGUUCAACUAGUUUUGCCAUAAGUGAAUAACUUCCGGUCAAUAUUUUGAAAUUUGUCGUUAUCUUCUAAUUAAAAUAAAGGGUUAAAUAGCUACUUCAUCAUUAAUAUCGUUGAAAAUUUGCAGCUGAGUCAUGUUGUUGAAAAGACUUUCAAACUGCAUCAUUAAGUAAUUAAAAAAUUUCAAAAACACCACUCUCCGUCAGUUAUGUUAAACAAUUAACGGAAAGUUCGAAAAAAAAUAAAGAAAAGACAAAAAAACAUUAAAAAAAUUUGAAAAAAAAACCCGAAAAAAUGUGAAUAAACUAUGAUAUUUUUUUUCUUUUUUUGAAAAAUGUGAAUAAAAUCAAAAAAUCAAAAAAAAUGGGAAACCAAAAGUGGCAAGCUUUUUUUUUUUUUGUUCCUUUCAAAUUUUCUAAAAUCUGGGGAAAAAAGAACUUGCCAACUAAUUUUUUCCAAAUUUUUUCAAAUUCUUUUCAGAUUUUUGAAUUUUUUUCCAAUUUUUUCCUCACUUUUUUUCUGUUUUUUUUUGAAUUUAUUAAGAUUUUUUUUGUUUUUUCUGCUUAUUCUGAAUUUUUUAAGAUUUAUUCGCAUUUUUAAAAAAUAUUUUUGAAUUAUCCGUUAAGUAAUUAAUGGAACUGACGGAGAGUGAUGCUUUUGAAAGUUUUUAAUUACUUGAUAAUGCGUUUGAAAAUUUUUUCAACAACAUGACUCAGUUGCAAGUUUCCGGCGAGGUUAGUAAUGAAUUAGUUAUUUAACUCUUAAUAAAAAUCUAUCUAAACAAUAUUAUAAAUAUAAUGUUAUGGGUUCGAUGAGUCGUGUAAAACAUGGAAGAAGUUUAGGUGGGGUAAAAAGAGCCUAGCUGUGUGAUUUCCAUUCUGUUAUACGUGAUAUACUGUAGUUGAUCAUCUCCUUUGUCCGCUUCAUCCUGUGCAACCUUAACCUUUAAGGAAAAACUUAUGAGAUUCUCUAGUGCAUCUAAAUUCUUGUGUGAAGAAUGUGAAGAAAAAUGUUAGUCUCAGAUUAUUUUUCCUAAAAUGCUUGCAUGUUACAUUUUAUAUGUAUGUCCUGACUUUAAGUAUAAUUUAGCAUUUUUAUUUAGUAUUGUGUAAAAAUAAUAUAUUUUAUUCAGUCUUAUUAAAAAUAUAAUCAUGUUAUACUGUAAAAGUAUUUGUGAAUUUCUUUGUUACAUAUGUGUUUAAAUUAUUUUAUUUAUAUAUGUUUUACAAUUUUUUACAAAUAUAUAGGUUGAGUAUUGCAUAGGAAUAUAAUUACACGUUAGCAAAUAUGAUUAUGUGUAAACUGUUCUGCGUGCAUGUAUAUUGCUGCUAAGUUUUAAACUUCUUACUAACCGGAAUAAUUUUGACAGAUGUGUGGAACUUGAUUAAUUUAGUUGCACUAUAAGAGAAAGCGUUUUUGUCAAUAAAAAUUGUUAAGGAAAUUAGUCCGUUGGUAGUUCUCAACGGAUUUGUAACAAUUUGACUGGUCAAUGUUCUGUCAACCAAUUCGUAAUGAAAUACCCACACUUAUUUACAACGAGAUGUUCUAUUAGGAAAUAUAGCCACACAAUGGAAUAAUAACAAAAGACCAAGGAAUGAGCAACAGACUAGCAACGAAAGUAUCUGUUAUUACAUUCGUUGAUAUUCCCUUGAUAAAUACUAGACUUUUUAGCACUUUGGUGGCUUGUACUAUUUCAAAUUUGCACGUUAGUGGCCGACCUUUAAAAGUCAUCAAUUGUGUUGCUGAACUUAUUUUUUUUUAACACAUUAGGGGCUCCGCAUCAUAUCCGUUAAAUCGAAGUAACGGCGUCAAAUGAUCAAUACAUAUCUCCUCCUCCUCUUAUUUCCCUCCAAAUUAAAAAACGAAACGGCUACCCUCUUUUCCGAAGCAAGAACGACGACGAAUUCCUGCUUACAGAGAUGAGUUGGUUCCGGCGUCUUAAAGAGGAUGCUGAUGUGUAUUAGCCUCGACAGUGCCCCGAUUACUGUAGUAAGCUCUUCAACUUUUCUUCUUUGUAGCAUAUGAAAUGAGUUUAAUUGACCAUUAUUUCAGUGUUUGUUGUUGUUAGUGGCUAGUUGUUUAGUAUUAUGGACCUGCAAUUGCUUUAUACUAUUAAAAUGAAAGAUUCUGCUUGUGGGUUUUUAAAAAUUAAGGCUUUUACAUAGUCCAAGAUUCGGUCAUUAUAAAAUCAAUUUAUGCCUGUUUUAGUAUAGUGCUUGUUGUUAGUGGCUAUUUGUUAAGUAUAGUGUUGUUUAUUGUAAAUAAAACUGUUGCUUUGCACUCUACAUUUGCAGAACCUGGUGAUUUUACCCUAAAAAUAUAUCAUGGGGCCGAUUGGGUAGAUAACCCUAGGGCAUAUGUGGGAGGUACAGUAGAUUUCUUUGACUUCUGUAAUGCUGAUCAGAUCAGCAUAAUUGAGAUAUAUAGUAUGUUGAAAGAGGUUGAUGAGUUUGGGUUUCACCAACUGUGGUAUAAGCUACCUGGCACUACAUUCGAUAGAGCUUUUGUACUAAAUAAUGAUGAGGAGCUAAUGACCAUGUGUGAGCUUAUAUCUGAUGUGGAUAAGUAUAUGGAGAUUUAUGUCACCACUAUGGCACAUCUAAGUAUAGUGCCCUAUAGAGAUUUAGAGGUUGAAUUUGUUGAACCAACUCCUAAAGAAGCACCUGAAAAGAACAAUCCAUCACCUGAAAAGAUCAAUCCAGCACCUGAAAAGAUCAAUCCAGCACCUGCAAAGAUGUAUCCAGCACCUGCAAAGAGCAUUCCAACUGUGGGAAAUGAUGAUGAUCAGGAAGAGUUUGAGUUUGAUUUUGACAAUACACGGUUUUGGGAUACCACCCAAAAUGAAAUUGAAAUUGUGCAACAAGUUAGGGAAAUGGAGGGGUUGGAAGAGGAAUUUUCAGACACAGAUUCUGAUGAUGAGGAUUUUGUGCCAGAAGAAAAGGAAAGUAGUGAUGAGACCUUCCACUGUGAUAGUUCCAAUCAAGAUAAUUCUGAUGAUGAUUUGUUGUUUGAUGAUGAUUACUACCAUCCUUACCAGCAGAUGGAAACCAACAAAGAAAAAUAUACAACAACAACAACACAGCAAGAAUUUUCCAGUUCCUUGCUUGCUUCUGCGCCUCGGAUAGUUCUUCACUGUAGAAAUCCUUGUACUCAUCUUUGGCCUUAAUCAUUUCAGCAAAACAUUCAUCGUCCUUGUUCUUCAAACGCCUUAUCAGUCCAUUGAUUACACUCUUGCUGCGCGCAUCAAACUCGGGUUCAACCCACUUGAAGAAAUUGCACCUUCCAUUCACGCAAGUCAAGAAUCUUCUACCCGGAUUGUACUCCGUCCACGAUGUCUUCUCCACUGCCCAGCUUCCACACAUACAUUGUUGAUUCAUCUUUGCAGAGCUUUUUGGUUUGGAUGAGAGAUUUAGGUUUGAAUAUGCUCAAUUACACACAGCAGAAACGUAUAUAUAUACACAGCAUAUAGCCGUUGCAAAAAUAUUUUCCUGAAAUACCCCUGACGACCGUUACUUCGAUUUAAUGGAUAUGAUGCGGAGCCCCUAAUGUGUUAAAAAAAAAAUAAGUUCAGCAACACAAUUGAUGACUUUUAAAGGUCGGUCACUAACGUGCAAAUUUGAAAUAAUACAAGCCAUCAAAGUGCCAAAAAGUCUAAAUACUAACAGUUUCGUUAGUAAUUGAUUAUUAGUUUUACAUGGACAAUUGAUAUACACCACAUGAGCACAUACACGGAUACAAUGCCAGGCUCUUAGUUGAAAUGUGUGUACUGCUAAAGCUCAAGGAGAUUUAGUUGACUAAAUUGAUUUGAGUUGUAGAAAAAGGUUUAAUAAUAUAAUGGACUUUGAUAUAUGUAUUGUAGAUAUUAAGUAAUUCUCUUGAAUUUAUAUAUGUAACAUAAUUGUUAAUUGGCUCAUCCUUAACUAGAUAUUUUAUAUUACAUUCUUAACUACAGAUUUUGUAUUUAAAAUUUUUUUAAAAAAUUAACCUUUAUUUGGUAUGUGGAUUUUGUAGUCAAAUGUGGUCAAUUUACUUAGCCUUCGAUCGAAUACCUACCCAAAACAUAAAAAUAUUUUUUAAUCAUUUAUUUUCGACGAUCCAACUAUACGGAUAUUAUUGUAAUGUGAUAAUAUUGUUUACAAAUUUUUUUUAAAAAAAUUAGCCUUUUAUUUGGUAUGCGCAUUUUGUAGUCAAAUGCAAUUAAAUUACUUAGUCUUUAGUGGAAUCUUUACCCGAAACAUAAAACUUUUUUUUAAAAAAAAAUUUGGACAAUCCAACCGUACAGAUGUUAUUGUAACGUGUUAAUAUUGGUUAAAAUAAAUUUUGAGAAAAUAUGUCUUUUAUUUGGUGUGUGGAUUUUGUGGUCAAAUGCGGUCAAAUUACUUAGCAUUUAAUCGAAUACUUACCCAAAACAUGAAACUAUUUUUUUUAAAAAAUAAUUUCGGACGAUCCAACCGUACGGGGGUAUUGUAACACAAUAAUAUUGAUUAAUUUUUUUAUAGGAAAAUUAUAGCCUUUUAUUUGUUGUGUGGAUUUUGUUGUCAAAUGCAGUCAAAUUACUUAGCCUUUAAUGAAAUACUUACAUUAAACAUGAAUUUAUUUUUUUUUAAAAAUCAUUUGGAUGAUCCAAUCGUACGGAUGUUAUUAUGACAUGUUAAUUGAUUAAAAAAAUAUUUAAAAAAAAUGCCUUUUAUUUAGUAUGUGGAUUUUGUAGUAAAUGCUACUUAGCCUUUAAUCGAAUACUUACCCGAAACAUGAAACUAUUUUUCUAAAAAUCAUUUUGGACAAUCCAACCGUACGGAUGUUAUUGUAACAUGAUAAUAUUGAUUGUUUUUUUAUAUAAUAACCUUUUAUUUGGUGUGUGGAUUUUGUAGUAAAAUGCGGUCAAAUUACUUAGCUUUUAAUCGAAUACUUACCUGAAACAUGAAACUAUUUUUAAUAAAAUUAUUUUAGAUGAUCCAACCAUACAGAUGCUAUUGUAACGUGAUAAUUGAUUAUUUUUUAAAAAAAUUAGCCUUUAAUAUGGUGUAUGGAUUUUAUAGUAAAAUGAGGUCAAAUUACUUAGUCUUUAAUGGAAUAUUUAUUAGAAAUAUAUUUUAAAAAAUUAUUUUGGACGAUCCAAACUGUAUGAAUGUUAUUUUAACAUGUUAAUAUUGAUUAAAAUUGUUUUUAAAAAAAAAUUAGUUGUAUUUUAUGUGUGAAUUUUUAGUCAAAUACGAUAAAAUAUUUAUUUAGCUUGUAAUGAAAUAUUAAAACCCUACUUCAAAAGAAACUUGUCUAAAACUACCUAUAAGUGUUAGAGAAUCAUCGAUUUAGUUAUCAAAUUAGUUAUCAUAAGGGUUUUACUCCGCUUUUCUCUGGUAUGAUGUUGAUUUUUGGGGUUUGAUUGGUCGAUUUUCAUGUUUUAUAAGUUAUGUGAGUUCGAUUUUGAUGUUUUUACAAUUAGGUUUAUGUAUGUUCUUAUACAGGUUUCAUGUUCAUGUUUUGAUUUGUUGAUUUCCUAUUUUUCAUAUUUUGUUGAUUAGUUAUUUGUGUGGGUUUUGAACUUUGAUGAGUGUGUAUGUAAUCUCCUGUUUUUUUUUUUCAUUUUUCUGGUUCGAACACUUCGAUUAGUAGCUGGAAAAACAGCUGAUGCGGCAGUAGCGGCUAGUGAGAUGGAUAACAAGAAAAGGAUGAUUUCGAGGUCAUCUCGUGCAAGUCUUCAGAUAUAGUUUUGUUCCUUUAUGUUUUUAAUUGACAUAAAUUUUCACAUUUGAUGAUUAUAUUAUGGGGGAUUCUGGGUAUACUUGUAUAUAAUCUAGCAAGUUAUUAUAAUUCUGGACGGGGGGCUUAUUGUGAAAUUAAAUUGAGGGAUAAGUUGUGUUAUUGGUUCUAGUGGAUUAAAUUUAUGUUGACACUUGAUAUAUGCAUUGAUGUCGUAAAAUAAGUUGCACAUCAAACUAUUUGGCUUGUUUAAGUUGUAUGGAGUAAGGCUGUACGCGGAUCGGAUCGGUUCGGUUGGAGGGUAAUAACCAAACCAAACCGCAACUUACGGUUUUCUAAAAUCUCAAACCGCGACCAUACUGUUGGUUAAAAAAACCCAACCAAAUCCAUCCACGUAAUUGCGGUUGGUUGCGGUUCAACUGCUAAAAUAGUUAUAACAAAGAAAAUAUAUAAGUUAUUGCUUAAAAUCUUGCAUAAAGUACAGACUUUAACUCAAAAAUAUAUAAUUUAUCACUUAAAAUCUUGAAUAAAGUUAAUACAAUAAAUCUGAUUACAUAUUACAAAAGCAAACUACUCCGGAAAUAUAUAACUUGAAGCAGAGCUUCAAGUUAAUGGUUAUUAAAAAUUUCAUCCGCGACUGCCCACAUUUUACGGUUAUCCAUAAUACACGGAUCGGUUGCAGGUGGUUGUUGCGGUUAAUGCGGUGGAGCGGAUUGAACGUACAGCCCUAUGAAGUAUGGUUGCCAAGCAUUGGUUGGUUGUACACGUGUAAACAAAAUGAUAUUUUAAUAUUUAAACAAAACAAUACAGUCAUAAACAGAUCGUGUCGGGCUGGACUGAUUGUGAUUUUCCUUUUUGGAACUCGUACUCGGCAUCUUCCAAGCGAAUGAUAUUUAGAAGUUUGUUGCUAGUAUACUCCAUGUCAUAAUAAGAGUUCUUUAGAUUUUUUAUAUGUAAUUCGAAGUAUAAAAAACAUAUUUUAACAUAUUAUUUUUAAAUUUUUUAUACAUAAAAAUAUAACAUCUAUAUUUUUAUUUAGAAAAAAAUUUGAAAUAUAAUAUAUAGAUGCAUGUCUUUUUUAUACGUGAAAUUACAUGUAAAAAAUUAAAAGACUCUUAUUUUGAGUAAGAGAGAAUAUGAUGUACCAUAAAGUCAUCGAUCUUUUGUUAUCAAAUAAAUGUGAUAUUUAAUUAUUUAAGAGCAAGUCCAAAAGUAUCUUAGUUAAAGUCCUAAAUAUAAUAUAAAAUAUUACGUUCUGGUGAUUUAGGAUAUAUUUUACUAACUUGGACUCCAACAAUGUGUCUUAUUCUCAUAAGAAGUUUAAUAUUUUAUUAUUAAAGACUCUCUUUCAUCAUUAAAGCAUAAUAUAAAAGUAGAGAGAGAAAAAGAGUGUUGAUAAGAAUUAAUAAUAAAAUAUGGGAUAGGGUUAGGAGAGAUGUGCCUCAAAAAUAGGGUUUGAGGAGUUUCAUUAGGUGUGGACACGGAGACCAAGAAGUAAAAGAUGAGUACAGUUAAAUGAAGAUGUGGUAAAAUAAUGUGACCCAUUUAUAUUUAAUAAUACAUUUGAAAUAGUGGAGGAAAGUAACGAGUGUAAUAACGUUUAUAUUAUUAUAGCAUAUAGAUAGCAGAAGAAAGCAAUGGGUAUAAAAGUGUAUUAUAUUAUUAAAGUUUUGAAAUGUUUAGAAAUAAUGGGGCAAUCAAAAAGAAAACUGUAUAAAAAUGGACGAGAGAAUACAAUUCAAGAAGUAAUAUAUCUCAAUUCAAACUAGGUAAUAUAUUUAUGAAUUAUAUUAAAAAAAAUUUGACAUUCAAAUAUAAAAAUUUAUUUUAUCAUCUUAACAAUGGAAUAUUCGAUUAUUAACUUUCGUAAAUAACAUUAAUUUUUCAUUAUAAUAUACUCUAAACUUUUAUUUUAUGUGCCUGUUUGUUUACAAGAAGCUGGAGUCCUACUUCUCUUGACUCGUUUGUGUAAAAACGUAAAAAGUGCUUUUAAAAAGUACUGAGAAGGAAAUGGAAGUAGAAAAUGCUAGUUUUUCUUUAUAAUAUCUAUUUCUUUUCUAGACACUUUAAUAAUUUAUAUAUAUUAAUUUAUUUCUCACUUAUACUCCAUUUUUUUAUAGAGAACUUCUUUUAAACUAAUCGGCUCCUAUAAUCAGUAGUUUCUCAAUUUUAAUAGGAAUAAGAGCAUGUUUAUCUGAGCUUAAAGCCCGGGGUUUAUAUCAUCUCUGGCUUUAAGCUGAAAAAUGUAUGUUUGUGUAUUAAGUCGGAAGUCGGCUUAAAGUCGGAAAUAAGUCAAAAAUUGACCUAAAACCAGAAGUUAGUUUGAGAUACUUUUCUCGGUGACUAAUUUUUUUUUUAGCCAUUUUUUGAUAAAAAUUAUUCCUAAAUCACAAAUUACUCAUAAAUUACUUUUAUUAUUAUUAUUAUUAUAUUUUUAAUAACUUAUAAAUUAUUAAUAAAUCAAAAUUAAUCAAACAAAUAUUUUAAGUUCUCAUAUUAUGAGAUAACUAACGUUAAGUCAUGAAUCAACUGAACGGGAUGUAAGUCUUCUUCUCCCCGAGUCAUCAGCAGACUUUUUCCAUGUCUUCUGAGCCCCCAUUGGCUCACAAUUGGCCCAAAAAAUAUUUGGUUAUGCAUUGCUAUUCACACACUUAGACAUCAAAAUUUAUCAUCCGACAGGCGACAGCUAACUGCACACUAUUUUUCCCACAAGCUGAAAAAUCAACGAUCAAUUAAUUUUUCUUAUCAAUUAAUAAAGUUAUGAUUUCACGUACACGGCAGGCAAAAUGCUAAUAAAUAGACGAGUGCAGUAUAGUAUGGGUUCAUGAUCACCUUGAGAUUUAAUUGAAAAAUAUUAUGGUGAUAUAGAUUAAAUUAAAUUAUAAUAUCUUGAAAAGUUAUAAAUAAUUUUAAUUACUAAUAAUAUUUAUUUGUACAUUUAAAUAUUUUUAUAAAAACACAAAAAUAGCAUUAUACUCAUUUAAGUUUCUCGUAUCCGCCUCUCUUCUUGGAGAUUGUGGAUUUGCGAUAUUUAUAUUGAUUAUUAUAGGAAAAUGUUAUUUCCAGAGCAAACAUUUUUAUUUCCGGAGCAAAUUCAAACAAAUUUUUCCAAAUUGUUCUGGAAAUUAAAAUAUUGAUAUGGAUAUAACAAUUCCCUUAUUAUAUCCUAUGUAUAUUACAUUAAUGCAAUUAACAUGGUUGAUUGUUUUAGUAUAUAAUCAUAUUACUGUGACCUUUUAGUAUAUAAUUAUAUUAUUUUUGUUAUAUUUUAUGCAUCUAGAAACAAUUUUUUUAUGAUAUUUAUUAUAUUAAUUAUAGUAAAAGAUAUAAUUUUGUUUAAAAAAUUGAAUAAAACUAAGAGGGAUAGCCUACGUCUCUCCGAGUCUUCGAGGACUCAUUCCAAGUCCGAGAGGACCACAGCCUCAACCUUUAAGAGAUGUGAAAGUAGCUUGAGAGUGAUAUAAAUUUAUUUUUGACAAUAAAAUUUAAUAAUCAAAUAAAUUAAAUUAAAUUAAACUAGUUUAUAAUCGAUUAAAAAUAUAUAAAUCAAAAUUAUUCCCGAAUUAUGAUAACAAUUAAAAUCAUUUUAAAAGUUGCAUAAAUCAAAUCCAAAUCGAACAAAUUCCCCUAACACUAAAAUGUAGUUGCUUUAUUGUAGAUAAAAACAGUAUAAUAAUAGUAUUGAUGAAAAAUCAAAUUCAUCAAAUAAGUUUAUAAAAAAUACAUGAUUUUAAUUUUAAAAAAAAAACAUGAUUUUAGUGUGUUGUAUUAGUAGUGUGUCCACGCAUUUAUAUAUUAAAAUCUAUCCUCUAAAAACUAUCGAUCUAUUUACACAACUAUUGAUCUGUCGUGCAACAAAUUCCAGGGCGAAGUUCCAAAGAGAGCUUAAAUGGCUUGCAUUGCUCAAUCUAUCUCAUAAUAGUCUUAACGACAUAUGUUCUGAAUUAUUAUUAUGAUUUCAACAAUAUUUUCAAACAUUUCUUAAUAUGUAUUUUCAAAGAAUUCUCAAGCACUUGAACAUUUGGACCGGUUCUUUCGAAGCCAGGCAAUGCACAAAAAUGUCCAAAAAUGAAUAAAUUAAGAGAGAGUAGCUCACCCUUUCAAAGCCUUCCAGGACUCAUUCCAAGUCUUCGGAGGACCACUGCCUCCCCCUUUCAAAGAUGUGAUAGUAGCUCGAGAGUGAUAUAAAUUAUUUUCCCGACAUUAAAAAUAAAAAAUCAGAUUAAAUUAAUCAAUAAUAACUUAAGGAUGAAAUCCAAAUUAAUCCUAAAUUUUGAUAAUAUAUAAAAAUUAUAAUUAUAAAUUAUAUAACCAAAUCAGAAUUGAAUUAACUUACUUGGCACUAGAAUUGCUAAAGACAGUAUAAUAAUUUAAUUGAUGAAAAGUCAAAGUCUUCUAAUAAAUCCAUAAAGAAUAUGAUAAUAUGAAAAUUAUAAUUGAAAAAUCAAAAUCAAUAGUGUAUUGGAAUAGUGUUCACACACUUAUAUAUCAAAAUUUGUGGUCCAAAAACUAUAGCACAAUAUCCUAAAUACAUCACAUUAAAUAAUAGCACAAAAAUAUUCAAUAAAUAAUUGAUUUCAUUCAUAAAUUUGUUAUUUUAAAAACUAAUAAUUUGGUUGAUGUUAACCUAUAUUUUAUAUAUAAUUUCGUCUUAUUUUAUUUUACUAGAAACAAUAUUUUUAUAAUAUUUAUUACAUUAAAUAUAUUAAAAGAUAUAAUUUUAUUAAAAAAAUUGAAUAAAAUUAAAAGGAUAAGUCUCGGCCUCUCCAAGUCUACAAGACUCAUUUCAAGUCCACCGAGGGCCUCAACCAUUGAGAGAUGUGAAAGUAGCUUGAGAGUGAUAUAAAUUAAUUAAAUUAGUUAAUAAUGAAUCAAGACUAAUCAUGAAUUAUGAUAAUAAUUAAAUAAAUUAUAAAAUUAAAUUAUACAAAUAACACUAAACCUUAGUUACUUUAUUGGUAAAUAAAUAUAAUAUAAUAAUCAAAUUGAUGAAAAAUCAAAAUCAUUUAAUAAAUUCACAAAAAAUAUAUGAUCAUUAGUAUGUUAUAUUAGUAUCCACACACUUAUAUUUCAAAAUCUAUCCUCCAAACUUAUCAUCUCUGUAAACUAGCCACAUAAAAUAAAAAUUUAAAGAUAUUAGAUAUUUAGUUAUUUUCAUUAUAUAAUUUUUCCACACGAAAUAACAAAAUAUCUUUAUCAAAUUAUUAUUUAUGAGUUAAAUAUUCAAUUUAUAAAUCCAGUAUGCAGCGUAUAAAUAGAAGUGUGCAGUAUGAUAUCAGAUUCACAUAACCCAGUUGAUGAGGAGAAACAUGGCAUACUCUGCAAAGCCUUCUCACCUUCUUCUCUUUGUUUUCUUUCUCUCAUCACUUGAAUCCAUUCUUGCAACAACACGAGAGGGAGAAGCUCUUGUGAAGUGGAAGAAUAGCCUAGCCCCUUCUUCUUUUCUCGACUCUUGGUCACUCACCAAUCUCGAUAAUCUUUGUAACUGGACUGGCAUUACUUGUAACUCUGCAGGUUCAGUCUCUGAGAUUAACCUUAGUGAGAAACAACUUGAUGGAAUGCUGUCCGAGUUUGGUUUCACUUCAUUUCCAAAUCUCAACAAUCUCACCCUCGCAUACAACUUCUUCUCGGGUCCAAUACCGCCAGCCAUUGAGAAUUUAACACAGCUUCAAUACCUUGAUUUAAGCUUUAAUUAUCUCGAUGGUCCCAUUCCGUUCCAGGUUAGCCAUCUUCAGAGGUUGCUCAUCUUAAACCUGUCACAGAAUGCAUUGCAAGCUCCAAAUUGGUCCCAUUUCUCUCCCAUGCCUUUCUUGCGCAUCCUCGACCUUAAUAGCAAUCAUCUUGCGUCGAACUUCCCAGAAUUUAUAUCCAAUUCUCAUAGCUUGGCUAUCCUUGACCUUGGAUAUAACAACUUUACAGGUGACCUUGUGCGUGAAUUUACUAAUCUACAAAAUCUUGAAACCCUCUACCUAGAUGAAAAUUCUUUUGAGGGGCCAUUUCCGCCGGAUGUAUUCAGGCUUUCCAAAUUAAAACAUCUUCGCCUGUCAGGUAACAAAUUCUCAGGUUCAAUUCCCAAUGACAUAAGGUUGCUUUGUGAUCUUGAAUCCCUAUAUUUAAGCAACAAUUCCUUUAAAGGACCCCUUCCAUCAAAUAUAUUCAAGCUUUCAAAAAUAAAACAUCUUGUUCUUUGGAGUAAUAAGUUUUCUGGUUCUGUUUCCAAUGAUAUAGGUUUACUUUCUGAGCUUGAAACCCUCGAUCUUAACUCUAAUUUUUUUGAGGGGCCGCUUCCGUCAAAUAUAUUCAAGCUCUCCAAACUAAGGUAUCUUUCCCUUUGGGGUAAUAACGUUUCAGGUUCUAUUUCCAAUGAUAUAGGUUUGCUUUCUGAGCUUGAAACCCUCGAUCUUAACUCUAAUAUUUUUGUGGGGCCGCUUCCGCCAAAUUUAUUCAAGCUCUCCAAACUAAAGAUUCUUUCCCUUUAUAAAAAUAACUUUUCAGGUUUUAUUUCUAAGGAUAUAGGUUUGCUUUUUGAACUUGAAACCCUCUAUCUUGGCUCUAAUUUUUUUGAGGGGCCGCUUCCCCCACAUGUAUUUAGGCUCUCCAAAUUAAGAGAUUUGGGUCUCAGAGACAAUAGAAAUUUAUUUCAAGGAAGUAUUCCUAUUGGACUGGGACUCUUGACUAAUCUCAGGUACUUGAGUCUAUUUUCCAAUGAUCUCAGUGGCUAUAUUCCAUCUGAGAUUGGAAACCUGAAGCUACUAAAAGUUCUUGAACUCGGUUCUAAUCAAUUGACAGGACCGCUUUUAAAGAUAGUUUCUAAUCUCAAAAAUCUUAUAUAUCUUGGUGUAAGUGGUAAUAGUCUUAGUGGAAAUAUUCAGAGUGACUUGUGGAAAUAUAACGAUCAUCCAACUUUGGAAUACAUCAAUUUAAGUGGGAACCAUUUUACGGGUAUAGUUUCUCUCUAUAGAUCUUUGUCAUAUGUAACUAAGCUAGUAAUCUGAUUAUUGCCUUUUCACCAAAGUUUCAACAAUCUUGACAGGUGAGCUUCCAACAACAAUUUGCAAUGUCACAUCCCUUUUGCUUCUUGAUUUGUCAAAUAAUGAAUUAAGUGGUGCACUUCCAAACUGUUUCGGAAAUCUUGCUGAUAGAUUGCUUUACGUUAAUCUUGCUAAUAAUCAGUUUCGAGGAACAAUACCAACUACUUUCUCCAGGAGUUGUCAGCUGAAAUAUCUAAACAUGGAUAAUAAUGAGUUUGAAGGAUUGUUGCCCCCGUCUUUGGAAAACUGUAAGCACUUGAGAAUUCUUGAUAUUGGCAAUAAUAAAAUAGGUGGUACAUUUCCGUCAUGGCUUUAUGUACUUGGAGAGCUAGAAGUCCUUGUCUUGCAAUCAAAUAAACUCUAUGGUACAAUAAGUGGAAGGAGCAUAGAAGAUCCCUUCCGCAAGUUGCGGAUUGUGGAUCUGUCCAACAACCACUUCACAGGCCAUUUGCCAAUUCAAUACUUUAAGAAUAUGAAAUCAACUGAUAAUUUGUAUAGUUAUCAGCUUUCCACAGCAGUUUUUUCUUUCCAUUAUGAAGCAGCAGUCUCAUUAAUUGUGAAGGGAACAGAGUAUGAAGUAGCAAAUAACCUUCAUAUUUACACAGCCAUUGAUCUGUCGUGCAACAAAUUUCAGGGAGAAAUUCCAAAGGUUACUGGAGAGCUUAAAUGGCUGGCAUUGCUCAACUUAUCUCAUAAUAGUCUAACAGGACCUAUCCCGUCAUUGCUGAGAAAUAUGAAAGAACUCCAAUCUUUAGAUUUGUCCUCAAAUCAACUGACGGGGGCUAUUCCACCUCAGUUAACUGCGCUGACAUUUCUAGAGGUCUUAAACCUCUCGGGAAACCAUCUUAGUGGAGAGAUUCCUCAGAAAGGACAAUUCAGCACAUUCAACAAUGAUUCGUAUCUAGGAAACUCCGCUUUAUGUGGAUCACCAUUGACGAAGAAAUGUGCAAACACAGCAUCACCUCCACAAGAAGUCGGAAAUGUUGAUGAAGAUUAUGCGGGUGAUGAAUUGACAUGGGAAGCAAUCAUGAUCGGAUAUGGAUGUCGACUGAUAUGUGGAUUGUCAUCUGCAUACAUUGUUCUCAAACUAGGAAAGCCUUGGUAGUUUGUGAGAUAUGUCGAAGUACUGCAACAGAAGUUGAUGAAAAGAUGCUUGAAGAAAGGUACUGGUCGACCAAUAAGAACUUGAAAGUUGUUGUCCUGGUAGACAUUUCUGAACCAGUAGUAUUUGGUAUUAUGUGAUAUUCUGUUUGGUCCGGACUCAUAACGAUUUCGCUUGCUUCAGGAGUAUUAAUAUUAACCUUCCUAUCUUGAUCAAUGUUAAUGCAAAUUAAAAUGAAAAGGCAAAAAAUAUGCAUCAAAUCCCCUCCUGUUGUACCAAGAUUCAUUAAUUAAGAGGCAUGGCUUUUGUCUCUCCAAGUCUUCGAGAAAUUAUUCCAAGUCUUCUUUGGAGGCCUACUGCCUCAACAACCUUUCAAAGAUGUAGCAGUUGCUCGACAGUGAUAUAUAUAUUAGAUAAAGACUAUGCAACAACCAACGUGACAGAAAAAUCAAAAUAGGACAAAAUCCGUACGAAUCAAAAUAGUUUAUUUCUAAGGGGAAUAGCUGAAUUAAAUUGUAAGAGAAGUAAAACAGAUUCUUUUAUAUUUUGGAAUAUAACUGAAAAAGAUUUUGAGAUAAUUUUCAGAAAUCAAACCAGUCAAAUAAAUAUUCGCUGAAGGAACAGAGUAAAGAUACAACGAAUAUAACAAGUUGUAAGAUGAAUAUCGCUGAAUCAAACAGGGUAGAACCCGUACAAAAACGCCAAACAGAAAGGAUCAAAACAGAGUAAUCAAAUUUACCUAACACUAAUAGAAGUAGUGCUGAAUAAAAGAGAACGAAAUCUGUACCUUAAAAAUAGCAAACGCAAACACUAACCAACCUCACAAGGGACCAUCUAAACUCCCUAACCCCGACUUUAUCUUAAACUCCAAAUAUCUCCCUGACUCCAAUAUGCCCAGAACAAUAAACGAAUGUUUUGACCUUCUAAACGAUGUUUUCUGGAAUAACGCAAAACACGAAAAUCGUAGAGAACGAAAAGACCUUUCCGAAAAGGUAAGGCUCGUCAAGAACGGAGUCAUAACGAAUCGGGAAUUAAAUAAAACGUCCGCUGAUUCAGAACUCAAAGCGAGAACAGGAUCUGAUUAAGUUUUGUAAUUUUGAGAACAGUUUGAAACAUAAUCUGAGAAAACAUUAUAAACGAAAGUAUAUGAGAUUGAAAGAGCUUUCCGAAACAUCAAGAAUCAUCAAAUUCCGAUAAGAAUUGAAUUUUCUACGAAUUUUACAAGACAGCUGAUUUGUGAGAAUAAAGCCCUACGAAUUUUUGUCAUAAAAAUGAAGAGAAGGUUGAGUAGCUCUCAAAAGUAUAUAAAAAGAAUGAGAGAACAAAUCAAUAUACUCCCUUUGUCCCUCUCGUUUAUUUACAGUGUUUGACACGCAUUUUAAAGCGCAUAUAAAACAUAGUUCUAUGAUUUAUUUUCAAAAUUUUUCUUUUUUGUAUAAAAAUUUAAACAUCAAAUUUUUAUCUAGAAAAAAAGGAAGUUCAAAAUAAUUUAUUGAACUACGUUUUACGAGAGCAUUAGAAUGCGUGCCGAGCCCCCGUCCCCCAAUGUAAACAAAUGAGAGGGACGGAAGGAGUAUAUAUACAGAGUCUUGAGACCCUAAUUCUAAACCUAUCCAUUAUCUGAAUGCAAGGCUGAUCUAUAUUUUAAGUACACUAUCCUAAUUCAAUUUUAAAUCCUAUUCAUAAUCUAAUUUUAAUCCUUUAUUAUUAUUACUAACCAAUUAAUAUUAUUUUAAAAAAAUACUGGAUAUUACAUUCCUGAUCAGACUAGUGAUCGGAUUGCAACCGCAAAGCAGCCUAUAUAUAGUGACAAUUAAAUACACAACAAAACAACUUCUUUCUUCUCUCUUGGGUUAUAAUACUCAGACGGACAAGCUAUAUCUGAGGCGAUUUUCUGGGCGAUUAAACACACAAUAAAAGCAGCUUCUUCUUCUUCAAUUAAGGUUUAUUCUACACCCAAUCACAUACACACACACACUUUAAUAUGACUAGUGAGUUCAAUUUUUGGUGGUAUUAUAUGAUUAUCAUGUUCUCUUUUUAAAUAUUAGUAACGUUAUUUUCGGAGUGGACUCUGUUGAUGUUUAAAUUUGAUAUAGAUAUUGUAAUUGAAAAUUUAUGUUGAUUUGUUGUUCAGAUUUCAAGUAUUAAUUUGUGUGUGAUCAAAAUUUUGCUUCUACAUCGAUUAUCAGGAGGAAAUAUGAGGCCGAUCUUGAUCAAAGGACACGAAAGGCCAUUAACAUAUCUAAAGUAUAACAAGGAGGGUGACCUCCUCUUCUCCUGCGCAUUAGACAGAAACCCCGCUGUUUGGUACGCUGAUAAGGGAGAGCUUUUAGGCACUUACCGUGGGCACAUUGGUUCUGUUUGGGGUUGUGAUGUUUCUAGGGAUUCAAAACUUUUAAUAACUGCAAGUGCGGAUCAAACAGCAAAGGUAUGGGAUGUUCAAACUGGGUCUGAGCUGUUCACGUUUGAAUUUAAGUCCACUGUGAAAUCAGUAGAAUUUGGUGUCGGAGACAAGCUUGCUGUCAUUGCAACAGACUCCUUUCGUGACAUGUCUUCUGCAAUUCAUGUCAAACACAUAGCCAGAGAUCCUAGUGAACAGUGCGGUGAUUCUGUGAUUGAAUUCUCACCUGGAGGAAGAAUCAAUAGAGCUGUUUGGGGACCUUUAAAUAGGACCAUAAUAAGUGGUGGUGAACAAGGCGUUGUUCGUGUGUGGGACGUUGAGACAAAGAAAGUGAUUUAUGAGUCAGACAAGGAUACUGGUCAUCAGAAGGCCAUUACAUCACUUGCAAAAUCAAGAGACGGUUCACAUUUACUUACUGCUUCCAUUGACAAAUCAGCUAAGCUUUGGGACAUCAGAUCAAUGAAACUUCUCAGGACAUACAAGGCUGAAGCCCCAGUUAAUGCAGUUGCACUCUCUCCACUACUUGAUCAUGUCGUGCUCGGAGGUGGUCAAGAUGCAUCGACUGUUACAAACGAUCCUCGUGCUGGCAAGUUUGAGGCCAAAUUUUAUUCCAAGGUCCUUGAAGAAGAAAUUGGAUCUGUGAAAGGACACUUUGGUCCGAUAAAUGCAUUGGCAUUCAACCCUGAUGGAAAAAGUUUCGCAAGUGGAGGUGAAGAUGGUUAUUUGCGAUUACAUCACUUUGAUCAUGACUACUUCAACAUGGCGAUUUAAUUCGAAUUACUUACAUUGCUACGUCUUUUUUUUUUUUUUUCCGGUUUUAUUCAAGUUAUUUUCUGGUUUUUAUGUUGAUCUUAUGUUCUUUGUUAUAAAUAGAAGUGUGGUUCCUUUUAAAACUAUUUACAUAAGUUUUUGGCUUUUCAUGUAAUUUAAUCAAAGUAAAUGCCAUGAGAUCCUGAAUAUAUCUACUUAUCUAUCUAUCUACUUAUUAAAGCAGAAUCAGGGGAAAAAUAUACCAGAAAUUGGAUGAAAAAUUUACAUACACACCCUCAAUUAUUCAUCAAUUCCGAAAUUGGCCUGUAGUUUAGCUGUUAACUUGCAGGAUUUUUGUAAAAGUAGGAAUCAGCGAUUCUUAGGUACCCCAGUGACCCCGAAUCGGUUUCUCAGAUUCUUGGAAAUCCUCGGUCAGUUGAUUUAGAUUGUGGGCAUAUAUACACCUAUAGUCAGCCUCCGGCGGUGCAAUCUUUUGGUGGUGUUUUUCAGCCUUUUCUGCUAUAGCGAUUCUUGUUAAAACAUUCAGGUGCUAGGGUUGUUUUGUUGGUAAAGGGAAUUGGAUUGUUGUAUCUGCGGUUGUGGCAAAGGUAAUUUUCUUGCCCUUGCUAUUCUUUUGGGAUGUCUGAUUAUAAAUAGCCCUUCUAACUUUGUUCACCUGUUCUGUAUGAUGUGUGUCAUUUGUGAUUGAGUCGAGCAGUAUAUCAUUUUGAUGCAUAUUGUUAAUUUCACUCUGGGAAAUUUUUAUGCUGAUGUUUGGGCAAUUAAUUCUGGUUAUUUCGUUGAUUUUGUUUGUGGUUUGUUUCCACCUGCCAUUAGAACUGUAAAGUAAAGUGUAUUUAUUGAUCAUGAUUCAAGUGUUUGUAGAUAAUCGAUGUGGGUGACAAAGAAGCUGCAAAUGAUGAUGGUUCUUCACAAAUUUUAUCUGCUUUGCUUCCUUUUGUUGUGGCUCUCACCAUGGUUGUCAAGUCGACGACUGCUGUUGCUGCUCUUGCUCAGCCCUCAACUUUCACCUGGUAACAACUUUUGUAUGUUUGGUAAAAUAUUUUGAUUUUUUUUUUUUUGUAAGGGUAAAAUAUUUUGAUUGUGAUAAGCUAAUUUAUUGUUUUUUAAUGAUUCCAACACUACAACAGAUUUAGCAUCACACAACGGUUUUUGCCCGUUGUCUGAGACCACGGAAAACCGUGGUCUAUCGAGACGCCGUCUGAUAUGCGUAUCAGACAACGGUGCGCACCGUUGUGUGAUAGUGCUAAACACGAUGGUUUACGUUAAAAAAAUUGUUGUGCAACACCCAGAACCAACAACGUUUACUCUUAAACGUGGUGUUGUUAGAAACACUCCUUAACAAUAGUCGAUUUCAAAAAUGGUGUUGUUAGAGAGACUAUCCACAACAGUUUUAUUAGCUCGCAAGACUUGUUGGAAAGAUGAUCAUACAACAGUAGUUGAAAUAGAGAAGCUCGUUCUUUCCUCUCUUGUACAACGGGUUUCGAACACCAAGCCACUUGUGUAAGGCCCCUUCUAACAAUGUUUUAAUUAGUGAGGUUGUUGUGUUUAGUUACGUCAGACAAUGGUUUUCUUUCAUAGUUGGUUGUCGUUUACAUGUUUUAACAAUUGUUUCUGUUUCAUCAUUAUUGCAAGUCAUUUGUUUGGACAAUGGUUUUGUGACAAUAAAUCAUUGUUUCCAGUUUUAUGAGACAAUGUUUUUAAUGAAUAAUGAUUAUUGUAUCAUGUUCAGUAUGACAAUGGCCCUGUAUUAUCCCAUUACCUAAAUACAUAAUAGACAAUGAUUAACAUAACUCGAUUAAACUAAGCUAGAGAAUGUAAUUAAAAAGCCAAAAAUUUGUAAACAAAAAAUUUCAUUAUGCACUAAUAACCAUUGUUACAACCAAAUCAUAUAUACCAUCCAAUAUCCAGAAAUAUUUCCCCCGAGGAUGGCAAAUCUCAAAAAUAUAAAUACCUACAAUAAAUGGUAGCAUCUAGAGAGGCAUAUGUGACUACAAGAGUCUUUUGUGAGCUUUUCAACUACCCAGCCCAGGAACAAUCCUCUGAUUGCAUUCUUUUGAUUCGGAUGGAGCCCUCCUGCUAUCUCUUUUGGAAGUGACUCUACUGCAACCACCUGUAAUACAUAAAAAAGUUCUUGAUAUGCUUUUCGUACAAAGAAAUUAAUGUGGUUGAGGAGUAUGUUUCGAGUUCAAAAUAUACCAGUGUGCCAUCUUCCAUGGUUUCACGUCAUUCAUACACAAUAAAUUGUAGCAAUUGUGAGCCCUAUCAACAUACCAGUCUUUCUGUAUUUAGAGUUGGAGCAGCUAAGCCAAAAUCAGACAAAUGGGGAUUGAGUUCAUCAAGUAAAAUAUUUGCUGACUUUAAGGUACUAUUAACAACAUAAGGAACAACAUCAGCAUCUUGCUUCUAUCAUCAGUGAAGUAUAAAAACUCUUGCAAGCUACUAUUUGCAAUAUAAUCAUGGACCAGAAGACGUACCAUGUUCAGCGGAAUAUCAUUCAAAUCUCUGGCAUGGUUGUUGUGAUGGAUAAAAAUAAGUUCCUUUAUGACCUGAAUUAAACAUUAAAAGAUACCAAAUUAACCGAAAUGCGUAGAGAUGCACAAAAAGUCCAGGCCCGAAAAUAUGGUCAUAGAGAUUUAAAAAAAGUCGAAAAUAAAGACAAACCAUGUGAGUAAAAAGCAGAGUAAGGAGGAUUGAUGGUAGUGUUUGAUAUAGAUGCCAUGUGGGUAGAUCCAUAUGAGCUGCUGGAAGCAGAGAGAUUUCUUCCAAACUCUCUUACAUUAUUGACAACAUUUGUGUUAACAUAUAUGUGUUGUAUAUGAAAUUUUAAAGAUUAGAUACAUAAAUAUAAUAUUAUUCGGAAAAUAUAACAUACCAUCUCGAGUCAUUUUCUUGCUUGGUCAUUAAAAUAACCUACAGCAAGUAAUGUACCCUCACUCUAUAAGAAGAAGAUGGACAAAAAGAAGUCAGUUGUAUGGAUGCCUCGGAAUAUAUACAAGAAUGUCCCAGGGAUAUUUAUUCAGUUGAUGAAGCAUGUAUAUCUAGAAAUUAACAAACCUCAUCAGCCAAAACAAAUAUAAAAUUAAUAAAAUCAUCUGUCUCCAAACACACAGAUUAAAAUCAAAGCACAAAUGUUAUCACACAAAACCAAGACAACACAAGAUCCAUCACUAAAACACACAACUACUACUAAAAUCAAACACACAAACAAAAAUCUCAUAUAGAUUCAAACUUUAUCCCCAAAAUCAAGUAUAAUUACACAGUAAAAAGCAUUCGUUUACCUCUUCAUAAGGUGAAUUGUUGUUAAACUAAUCAGCACGGUCAACACCGGCAUCAAAAACUUGAAUGGCCUUUGGGGUUAUCGCCGACAGAACAGAUCUGAGUAAGCUUUGUAGAAAAUGAGAUAGAGACGGGGGAGGGAGGGGAGAGUUCAGAGGAGGGUGAGGGAGAGACAGAGGGCGAGAGGGAGGGGAGGGGCGAGAUGCUUUAACAAAUCAAUUGCGGCAAGAGUGGGGAAGACACAGCCGCACCAGAAGAGGAAGAGAUAGAUUCAGAAGAAGAGAGAUUUACUCUCACUUACAAAUUUUAGGUCAAAAUAGAGGGGGGGAAAUGAAAAUUUGGAUAAACAAGUAGAGAGGGAAUUGAAAAUUUUUGUAAGGUGGAAAUCAUUCGUUCAUCCCGUGUAAAUAACAAAAUCAAUGUAUUAUAAUAUCCAUAUAGUUGAAUUAUAAAUAAAUGAAUUUUUUAAAUUAUAUUUUUGUAUUUGAUUACAAAUAUUUCAUAUUAAAUAAAUUUUAAAAACAAUUUUAAUGUAGAUGUCAAUAUCUAAUUAUUUUAGUUAUUUGUGAAAAUCUUCAAAAAAUUAAAAAUUAAUCUGGUAAAUCUUUUUGACAAAAUAUAGUUGAAAUACAACUAUUUAAUAAAAAAUUAAUAAUUCUUUAAAAGUUAAAAUUCUCAUUUUCUCGAUGUAUUCCGUUUUUGUACUCUUUGUCUAAAUAAAAUAUACACAAAUUUUUAUUAUUCAUUUGUAAUAAGAAGAUAUUUGUGUGGUUCAAAUGUCAAUAUUAGUAUAAAUUUCAUAUUUACAAUAUAGGAUGUACUUAAUAGAAGUUUUGUGAUCUAUAUGAUUAACCCCGUAUUAAUUUUGAAAUAUUUUCGAUCAUCCAAACAUAUAAAGAUCUUAAUAUCUAUCAAUAUUAGUCAUGUAUAAUAUUUUUAAAUUUUUCUAUAUUUAUUUAUAUCUUGUUGUAACAAAACUAGUGAUGAUCGUUGUUUUUAUGUCAUUUCUUAUUUUUGUACUUUUUAUCAAAAAAUUAUAUUUAUAUUAUGCAUAUGUCCAAAUUUGUAUUAUUCAUUUGUAAUUGGAAGAUAAUUUUGUUGUUCGGACCUGAGUAUUACUAUGUGUUUUAUGUUCACAAUUUAGGAAGCACUAGAUAGAAUUUUUGUUAUCUACAAAAUUUGCUCUGAAUUAAUUUAUAAAUAUUUUUUUCGAUGAUAUAACCGUACGGAUGUUAAUAACUAACAAUAUUAGUCAUGCAUAAAAAAAUUAGAUUUUUUUAUGCUUAUUUUAUAUGCUUUUUUUACAAAACUAGUCAAUUGUAAAUUUUGUCUUAUUGUAAAAAGGUAAUUUUUGUCUUGUAGUGUCCAACAGACAACGGUACUUAUAGGCACGUGUGUUGUAUGAGUUAAAAUGACACAACUGUUAUGGACAUUAUACAGUCAUAACAAAAUCUAUUGUCUAAAAUAGGCUCAAACAAUGUUUCGGGAAAAACUCGUUGUGUGUAAGUAGUGUAGACAAUGGUUUCUGGGAGGCAAACCGUUGUAUAAUAAAUUUUCAUUUUUAAGAGUUAGAAAUUCACAUUUUCUUGAUUAGUUCUUGUUUUUGUACUCUUUGUCUUAACAAAUAUACUUAUAUUAUGUAUAUAUGCAAAUAUCAAUUGUCAUUUGUACUAUGAAGAUAAUUUUGUAGUUCGAACAUGAGUAUUGGUAUGUGUUUUAUAUUUACAAUUUAGAAAGUACUGAAUAGGAUCUUUGCUAUAUAUAAGAUUAGCUCCGUAUUAUUUUAUAAAUAUUGAUUUUGAUGAUCUAACCGUACGGAUGUCGAAAACUAACAAUAUUAGUCAUGUAUAAAAAAAAUCAAUUUUUUAUGUUUAUUUUGUAUGUUUUUUUUAACAAUACUAGUCAAUUGUAAAUUUUGUCUUACUGUAAAAAGGUAUUUUUUGUCAUGUAGUGUCUAACAUACAAUGGUUUUUAUAUGCACCUAUGUUGUAUAAUUGAAAAUGAUACAACUGUUACAGAAGUAUACCGUUCUAAGAAAAUCUAUUGUCUAAAUUAGGCUCAAACAACGGUUCACGGAAAAUCCGUUGUAAAAAAGUAGUGUAGACAACAGUUUAUGGGAAGGAAACCGUUGUAUAAUAAAUUUUCAUUUUUAUGAGUUAAAAAUUCGCAUUUCCUUGAUCAAUUCUUGAUCUAAUGCAAGAAAAACAUAUGACUAUCAAGAAAUUGAUUGUUUUGUUAUAACUUUGGUUAGGACUUUGAAUCUUUGCACUCUCUUAUGUACAUCCAUUUUCUUAAAAUUCAUUCAAUCAUACAACAUUUUAUUAGUUAGUAGAGGCUUGUCUAUAAUGCCAUGCUACAAUGCUAACAAAAACACUUGUAUGUUAGCUUCCCAGUCACACAACACUAUAUAAAACCCUUGUUUGAACUCCUCGUAAACAACACAACAAAUAAAACACUUGUCUAAUUACAACGACGGUUUCUUGAACUAUUGUCUGAAGUUUCUUCACACAUCGGCUCUCAAAACAGUUGUCUAACAUGCAUCAUUACACAAUACCACAGUUAAGAAACCAUUGUCUAAUUGAAUUUACUAGACAACAAUUUUUUAACCGUUGUAGGUCGUAGAUGUUAGACAAUAGUUUUUCGAGGCCGAAAAGAAAGUGUUGUGUCUUUUUUCCAAACAACGCUUUUUUCACCGUGCGUUGUCUGAUCAGUGUUGUCUAAUGGUGUUAUUGUUGUAGUGCAAGUUGGAUUUAUUUAAUGCUAAUAGGUACUUGUUCAAGUGAGGAGAUUUAACUGAGAUUCAGGUUCUGGCAUUUGUCUUGUGUUGUUAUUUGUUUAUGUACCGGUUUUGAGAGUCAUUAGAGAUAUGUAAGGUAUUUAUUCCUAUUUUUUAUUAUUAGUAUUACAUCGUUUUCGGGUAAAAUAAUCGAUGAUUGUUUGUUUUAACUGUGUAAUAGCCUUAUGAUCUGCCAACUUAUGUAGACAUGUGAUAAACAUGUUGACUGUGGUCAAUAUUUUAGAUGAGGUAGUGUGUUUGUUGUUAUUGCAAGACUUUUUGGAAUAAUCAUUGUCAAAAAGAACUAACGAUGAAUGGAAAUGAAGUUCUGAAGAAGUGAUGAUACAAUGUUAAAGAGAUUGCUUUUUGUUGAAUUUUUCUGACUCUGGAAUUAAACUGCGUUAGUAUCUUCUUCUCUGAUUUUCCUUAUUUGGUAGACCUACUACUUUCAGAAGAUACAUGUGGUAUUUGUUUGGUUGAUUAAUUUUGGUAAGAUACAGUUUCCGUUUGGAAUCAGACUAUCCAUUGAACAAUCAGACUAUCCAUUGAAGAUUUUAUGCUCGCUCUUAAAUGGUUGAUCCACUGAUCUUAUUCUUACUUCAUAUGAGCUAAAGCCAGCUCUAGGGGUGUUUCUCGCAUACAAAAAAAUUAAAAAAAAUAUUAUGAAACUAUACUUUGCAGGAGUCUCAAAAUAAAUAAGUGUAAACGAUAAACUUAAACACCUAACUUCUUAAACACCUAGCAUAACACGGGUGAGCAUAUGGUCAAUCAUACCAAAUUGAAUAAAUCGAAAUUAAAAUUUAAAUAUUUUUAGACUGGACCAAACUGAAAUAUUUUGUCCGAUCCAGUUCAGUAUGAUCGAAAAGAAUUGAUUCUUUUGGAAAAAGUAACUUAAUAUUAUAAAUAAAAUUAAGAUUUAUAAUUUAUUUAAAAACUAUCAAUGAAUCAUCAACACUUCUUCAAAAAUAGAUACAUUUGAAUUUAUACAUUAGAUAUUAUAACUUCUAAAAAGUAUAUAAAAAUAUAUAAUAUAAAUAUAAAUUUAUAGUAUAAUUUUUUUGACUAUUUAGAAUAUAUUUUUAACCCAAAUAUUUUUUUUUAAAAUCAAAUUUUAUUUCGAUGAACUUUUCUAGAAAAUUAAGAUAGAAACGAAACUCAUUCCUACAGUAAGGUUUCAGUUUUUCGGCUGCAAUACGGUUUUGCUCAUCAUUAGCAUAAAUGGAGUAUGUAGUAAAUAUGAAUGAAUGGCAUGGGAAUUCUUGGAAUGGUAUCAAGAAUUAAGAUUAAAGCACAUUAGAAGUUUAGAACCAUGAAUGUUAUUUUUGAAAAUAGUAAUCCCUCCGUUUCUUAUCACGUUUCUCGUUUGAUAUGUCGGAACGGUUCAUAAUAUGAGACAAAUUAGUAAUUUAUGUCCAAUUUAUAAAAUUAAAUAUAGUCAUGAGUGAUCUUGUUGGAUUCGUAUCUAUGAGUACUUUAAUAAGAUGAAAUUUUUAUAUUUAAUGUUAAUACAAAAUUAAAAUAUAUUAAUUAAAAAUAUAUAUUGACAAACGUGAUAAAAACAAACAGCAAAAAUAUUAAGAAACGAAGCGAGGGAGUAAUAAAUAUGCUUUAUGCUGAACUGAAUUGAGUGCGUGGAAGCUUGGGGAGGCAGCUUACUACAGUAUCUACGUGUAUCUGUAUAUGCAAUAAAGACACAAAUACUCACAGGAGAUUAUUUUUCAAACACUUAAUUUCCCCCUUUCCUUCUCGUAAUAUUCAACUCAAUUCAUCACAUCAUCUUCUUCAGACAAACAACUAUACUCACUUCAGAUCAUCACAUCAUCUUCUUCUUGACUUCAGAUCCACAUUUCAAACCCUAAUCAUUCGCUUGGUCCCCUCCCUCUCUGUAAUAAUACAAUUCUUUCUACACACAAACAAUAACAUCAUCAUCAUCGAGUGAAGCUUCAUAUCCACAUUCCAAGACCUAAUUACUCGCCAAACCACUCUCGCUCUCAUGGAGGAGGCCUUAGAAAUGGCGAGAUCGAAUGAUACCAAGAAGCGAAGGGCGGGAGUGGAUCGGCUGCAACAGCUUCUUGAAGAUUCAAGAAAGUGCUUGUCAUCGUCGGAAGUGACGGCGCUAGUCGACACGUGUCUUGAGCUUUUGAAGGACACGUGUGUUGCUGUCGUCGGCCGCGGAGUUGUUUAAGUUGCAUUCUGAUAGAAUUAUGACGGCGGUUGUUGAUAGGUUGUGGGAUGGGGAGCAGCGGGUUCGAGACUCGGCGAGGAGGCUGUUGAUUACCCUUAUGGAGGUAAUUUAUUAAUUUUCUUGGGGAAUGCCAGUUGAUUUUAUGGAAUGUGAUAUAGUAUAGUUUCUAUCAAUCGAGUAUCUUAAAUUGAUGACUACAACAAGUAUUAUCGUUUUGCACGCAAGUGGCUAAACUUUUAUGCAUGCCAAAUUGCCAAUCGGGUUUCAAUUUCAGAUCUCUGCCUUCACUUGCAUACGAACACAUUUGAGUUUAAAAAGAUGAAUCACCUCAUAAAUAUCAUUAAUAAUUAGUUGGUGUUAAUAGUGCACUGAAAAAUGGGAGAGAAUGACAAGACUAUAGACAGUAGUAGGGCUGAGCGAGAUGUUAAUUGAGUACUUAUAUGAUGCUUCACUAUGUUCAGGGAGUUAGUUUAUUGCUUCUUUCCUACACUUUCACUUGAAUUAGUACUAAUUAAUAAUUCCUUCUCUAUCUUGUAAAAUUUCUCCUUCAUUGCUAAGCAUAUCUACUCUGAUUAAUUUUCAAACAAACUUUACUACUGAGAUAGGAUUGUUUGCUGGGUAGGAGCACCAUAGAAUGAGUAGCUCUAUUGCUAUAUACUGAAGGGUGCGGUGGCAUCCUCGGUUAUAUUUUAAGUGCUACUUCGAAUUUAGUUGUUGGCUUUUGCAAUUUAUUUUCAUUCACAAUGUUUUAAUAAUGAUACCCCAUAUUAGGUGAGAGAUAUUAGUGCCAGGCUGGAGCAGAUUCAGAUUCAACCAGCAACUUCCGUCUCUUCCAUCUCUGAAGGACUUAAUAGUAAUCUUCUCCACCAUGCACCUGAUUUAGAAGUAUAAUGUAUUAAUGUGAACUUUUUAUUUAUAUUUAUUUCCAUGUGUAGUAAAACGAUCACAUCUUUUAAGAGCUUAGUACAAUGUUAUGUACAAUGUGUAAUUAAUUAAGAGGUUUGUACAUAGUUUAGUAUGAAAUGGAAAAAGUUUGUACAGAAGUUUAUUUGUUCACAUUACAGCUGAGACGAGCAAGCAAAAACCAUCAGAGAAUUCAAAGGAUAAUGAUAAAGGAAUUGAGCCCCUACUGGAACUGCCGGAAGAUAUUAUCUUUCUACAAAUUCUGCCUAAGUUGAACAGCCUAGAUGUUCUUCCCCUGGUUUUGGUGGCUAGGAGUUGGGCCUCCUUUCUUUUGCAUGAGGGACCCAGACUGAUGUUAUUCAACCCACCUAAAAAUCCUACACCUAAACACACUUCAAUUUUAUUUGAUGUAAGCCCGAUUCCGUACUCUGUUUCAGUUUUGUUAUCCCCAGAGAGCCGCCAACUGUGUCAGUCUAGGUGUAUAAUUGUUCCAAUCUUGAAUUCUGGUAUAAAACAUGCUGUUCCAAUUUUCACUGACUACCCAGAUUUUUUAAAGCAGGGGGAAGUCCCAACUGUAGUGGGAUCUUCCAGUGGUAUUAUAUGCCUCUAUAUCACCAGUUCUCCCUCUAGAUACAUCCUGCUAAACCCCUUAACAAAACAUUAUAAAGAGGUUGGGGCCCCUUAUAUUUUUGUACCAGAUUGUGAGCAAGCUUCUGUAACUUCUGGAUUCUUUUAUGAUGAAUGGACUGAUGACUUAAAGAUCGUACAAUUGUUGAGAUGGGAUCAAAGGCUUACGAGCUUGGAUGCUCCGGGACCCAAAAAGAUACAUGCGCUUCGCGUUUGUUCUGUAAAUUCUGCAAAUUGGGAAGUUGUUGACUUGGGGCCAAUGAAAGUCUCCGAUCGUCUUGGUGGUGUGUUAUUUUUGCCGAAAGCUCUCGUCACAUUUGUAGAUGCGUUUGCUACAGAGCCGGAGAUUAACUUUUGGUUGGAUUUUCGUGAUUGCCGUCUAAAGGCAGUUCCGGAAUUAGAAGGGGCUGAACUCAGUAUGAAAUCGGUUUGGUGGAAUAACCAGGUUGGUGUUAUUGUUGGAACUGACAGCAUUUAUGUCCUUGAUGAGGAGUUUGCAGCCUGGUAUUACUGCACAGUGCUUCCGGACGUGGGAAAUUGUGUAUUCUGUUUAGAUGAGAACAAAAUUGUGGGGAUGGGGGCUGGGGAAAGCGGAAGCGUAAAUGAUUACAAUAUUCUUAAUUCCACAAGCGGCGAAAUCCAACAUAUAAUCUCGUUGCCUUCUUGCAGGGUUUUUCCGUAUGUUCCUACAUUCUACUAUAUCGAGGGAAUGGCUAAUUUUUAGACUUUUGCAAGUCACAAUGUAAUAAAAGAAUGUAAACAGUACAUAGCAGCAAUACCUCUCUAUAGCAUAUAGUUUCAGAUACAACAUGUAUUGUGAUGCCAGCUUGUAGAGUACAAGUAUUAUUCUAGGUGAUUGAUUGUUGAGAAUAAUAGAGGCAACCGGUUGCAUGAUGGUAUCCUUGAAACUUUCAUAAUUACUAAUAUCGAACUCAGAUAGCAUGCAAUUUUUCCGGAGAUCAUAUUCUUUAGCUAUCAACUAACUCUACAUUAUAUAUUAUGUCCCAGAUCAAUGAGUUUGUUUGCUAUAAUGUCCUAUUUUAUAUGUGAUUUAGGAAUAUGUUCCAUUAACUUGUUAUCACCCUCAAAUCUAAAAUCUAAGACUACCAUGUCCUUAGUUUAUUUUGUUUAAUAUUUGUGAAUAGACUCUAAUCUGAUCAUAUCAAUUAUAUUUUAGUAACAGAUGUUUAAAUGCAUAUGUUUUUGUUAUCUAGUUAUUUCAAUGAUGAUGGGAUUAAAUUUUUUUAUUCUUGUAAUAUGUACAAUGAUUGGUUUAGCUUUAAUAUUUAUUUUUAUUUUUAUUUACCAAUUUUAAUGUAGGUAAAGUUUUAUCAGCAAAUUUUAUUUUUUGUAUGCAGUAAUCUGUUCUAAUAUCAAAUUUUGAUUUAGAUCGAGUAUUAGUAUGUUGAAUUUGCAUUCAUCUAGUUAGAUGAGUGAAACUGGCUAAUUAAUGGAAAAUCAUAAGUACCUGAGUUGUUUUCAAAUUUUUUUCCCAAAUUUUAAUUGUUUGAUUGGUUUCUUCAAAUUAAUAUUAAUGGAAUCAUGAACGCACAUAAAUAAUUUAAUUAAAAAUUAUUUAUUUAUGUGUCAUUUAGAAAAAAUUGGGGACAAAAUUUGGGAUAGUAAUGGGGACGAAAUAUGUGUUAGCGUUAAUGGUUUAGCGGCAGUGGAGAACGCAAUUUAAGAGCAAAUCCAAUAGUGUCCUAAACUAGUAUCCUAAAUUAAAAAUUAAGGUAUUUAUAUAAAUGAGUGCUCCACCUAAUGAGUGCUCCACCAAUGUCCAGUGAUACCUUAAAAUACUAGGAAAUCCAUCAAGCGUCUCGUUUUUAAGACAUCACUAGGCAUGCCCUAUUUCACUUCUAUCAAUAAAAUAUAUCUUUCCCUCGUUUUUUACAGAUCUCUUCUCUCUCAUUUUUUCCAUUUAUGCCCAAUUAUAAUUCAAAUAUAAUACACCUUCAGUCCCUUUUUAGUUGUGAAAUUUACAAAAAUAAUUUGUCCUUAAAUAAUAUUCUCAUCCUUGUUCCAAUACAUAUUUAUACAUAUUUUUUCAUGUUUACCCCUUGAUUGUUGGUUCAAAUGUUUGACUGUACUACUAAUAUAUACAGUUUUGACUUAGUAUUUAAUAUAAUAAAUAAGGGCAUGCGUGGAAACAACUUACAACAUUUAAUUUUCUUUAAUAUAUGUAUUUUUGCAAAUGUGACAACUAAAAAGGAACAGAGAGAGUAUUAUUUUAAUCAUAAAACAUAUUGUUGGAGUUAAUAUAAAAAAAUCAUGUCUUAAAUCAUAAGAUUACUAUAUUUAAUUAUAUUUAUAAGGCAUCUAAUAGUACAAUAUUGGAUUUGCUCUGAUCACAGAUCAAUCAAAUGAUCGGCAACUUAAGCGAUCAAAUGAGAUGACUCGCAUAGUCCACGCUAAUCGAUAUCCUUAAGAGGAUGUUUGCCUGGGCUUAAAGCCCUUGCUUUAAGCCAUCUUUGGCUUUAAGCUGAAAAAUGUCUGUUUGUGUAAUAAGUCAGAAGCCAGCCUAAAGUCAGAAAUAAGCCAGAAGCUGACUUAAAGCCAGAAGUUAAUUUGAGGUACUUUUUUCAGUGGCUAAAUUUUUUUGAACUUUUUUUUUGAUAAAAAUUACUCCUAAAUCAUAAGUUUCUUAUAAAUCACUUUUAUUUUUAUUAUUAUAUUUUUAAUAACUCAUAAGUCAUUCAUAAGCCAAAAUUACCCAAACAGACAUUUUAAGCUAUCAGCUUAUCAGAUAAGACACGUUAAGUCACAAGUCACAUUAAGUCAUAAGCCAUAAGCUCAGCCAAACGGGCAAGUUUUCUAAGAGACAUUCCUGCUUAGUGCAUUUUUAAUAGGGUUGCCUAAAUCGUUGACGAAAUUGGACAUGUGAGACAUUAUAUAAAAUUUGUUAAACAUGUAAGUGAUUGUGUUUCAAUAAUGUUAACUACAUUGAUAGAUUAUAACUUAAAAAUAGUAUGUUAUUAAUAUUUAGAUUGUUAUAAAAAAAUAUAUGAGUUUAAUAUGAUAGGAAAUGAUGUGUAAAUUACCCCGAUUAUAUAUAUAUAUAAAUAAUAAUAUAUUUAUAUAUAUUAUACUAAAUAUAUUAUUAAAAAUAGAUAAAUUUUAUAAUAUAAUCAAAAGUAAAAAAUAAUCUUUAUUUUUAUUGAUUGAUUAUAAAUAUAUUGUAAUAUAAUAUAUUUUAUAAUUUUAAAUUGUUGUUUAUUUAUAUUAUAAAUCAAUUUUAAUAUGAUUUGAGGUUGAAAAUAUAAGAUAAUAUUAUUUUAUUAUUAUAUUAGGAGUUUGUAGUUUGUUUUUUAAUUAAAAAAAUAUAUUAUAUAUUAUAAAAUUAUUAUGUUUUUAUUAAAAAAUAAAAUUCCCCGAAACCCCGCGGGGAUCCCCGUUCCCCGUUCGGGGCGGGGAUCGGGGCGGAAAAUAAUCCCCGUUCGAGGUUCGGGGCGGGGUCGGGUAGGGCCGUAGGGGUAUUGAAUUCGGGGAUCGGGGUCGGGGAUAGCACUCCCCGCCCUCGAAGUCUCCCCGUGCCCAUCCCUAGUCGAACCUCUAGAGGUCCGUAAAAAAUCUCCAAGAAGAUUACACUAUGUAAUCUUCUUGGAGAUUUUUUACGGACCUCUAGAGGUUCGACAAAUAUAGUGGCCGGUAGGAUGUUGGUUAAAAUUAUAGAUAAGUGGUGUCUAUGGUUGAGUGUGAUUUUUUUGAAUAGAAUGGCUAUAUAUUUUAUUUUUGGGAUGCCAACUCAAUUUUUAAACUAAGGACUUCUCAUAUUUGGAGAUGCUAUAUGAUGGCAAAUCCCGCAAAUCUUCAAUUUUGACAUAUAUUAUCCUAAAUUCUCUUUCAACAAUGAUUGAUUCAAAUUUGGAUCAAGAUUGUUGGAUCCCGCUGACGUGGCAGUGACGUCAUGUUGACGUGGCGCCCUGGGGUGGACCCCGGUGCUGACGUGGCAGAUGACGCGGCGGUGACAUGGCGCCUGGUUGGGGUCCCAUUACUAACGUGGCAUUUGGGUAGAAAGUAUAAAUUACGGAAAAUUGAUGACAAACUGAGAGGUGCAUAUUAUAAGUUUUAAAAAGUAUGAGGAGAUAUUUGAUCAGUUUAAAACUAGUUUUUAGGUUUUUAGGCUAACCGUGGUUUGUAUAUUCGAGCAUCCCCGUGUAUAUUGACAUAUAGGUAAACUCCUUGCAAUACUUUGAGCUGCAAAAUCCAUCAAAAUUUUGAUUUAUCAUGUAACUGUUUGACAGAGUACUUCCAACUUUCAAGCGUAAGUAUCAAAAUCACUACCUUCAUAUGUUCCAUUAAGCGUGAAAGGUACAGAAUAAGAAGUGAAAGAAAUCCUUUAUAUUUACACGGCCAUUGAUCUUAUAGGAUCACCUAGCCCAUCAGUGCUAGGGAAUACGGAACCAUCUUAUCAAUUAACGAAGAAAUGUAUGCAUGCAGUGUCACCACCACAAGUCAGAAAUGGUGAUGAUGCUAAUGAUAAUGAACUCAAUUGGGAGUGAUCCUAAUGGGAUAUGGAUGUGGAUUGGUAUGCGGAUUCUUUGGGGUUUAUUGUUCUUACAAUGGGAAAGCCUUGGUGGUUUAUGAGAUACAUUGAAGUAAGUUGAUAAUGACAUGCACGGCUUAAUUAAGAUUAAUUAAGACAAACACCUUGACAAAAUGUUGUCUUAGAAUGAUAUGUAUUCUGAUUUUUCCUAAUUUAAAAUCAAAUUUAUUACAAUUAAAGUUAAAAUCUGCGUAGCACAUACUAUACUUUGAUUAAAUUUUUAUUGAAGUUGUCCAUAUUAACCUAGUGGCCGAAAGUGAAUAAAUUAAAUUAGUGGGGUCUAAUAUAAAAAUUGCAUUAAUUAAAAUUUGUAAUGUAUAGAUUAUGCUAAAGCUAUUCAUUAUAAAGAACAUAGGAAUGUUAAUCUCUUUAUAUGUUUGCAUGCGGAUAGUCUCUCGGGAGUGUGGUAUAUUGUCAUGGCUGGAAAAACGGCUAAUUUCUACGGUUUUUUUUUGACAGAAAUUAAUUUUGACGGAAUACUGUCGAAAUAUCGAAAGUCGAAAAUAAGCCGCAAAAUUACUUUUUUCAAUUUUCAAUUGAAAACUGUCAAAAAAGUCUCUGGCAAAAUUAUAUUUAUUUCUACAGAUAAUGUCGAAAAUAUUUUCCUGCAAAUUUCCCGCACCUUAGUUGUGAGCGGAAAUAGAUAGUUUGGACAGAAUUCCGUCGAAAUUACGCGAGUUCUUUGUAGUGUGUUUUCACACAUACGCUGAUAAUCUUUGGGGACUGGGGUAUAUUGUUUUCGCAAAGCACUGGUAGUUUGUGAGCUUGUCCAAUUUUUCCCCCCAUGCCUAUACUGGUUGGUCUCAGUCUUAGUGGUAAUAAGCUGGCGUCAAAUUUUCCAGAAUUCAUAUAUAAUUGCUAUAACAUGAUCCGAUGCCUGAAUCAGCAGCUAACAAUUUACGUAAUCUUGAAGAACUAUAUCUUGGUGCCAAUUCUUUCGAGGGCUCAUUUCCAACGAAUAUAUUCAAGCUUUCCAAAUUAAGGGUUCUUGACCUAUCUGUGAAUAAUUUUUCAGGUUCCAUUCCCAAUGGUAUAGAGAUGCUUCCCGAUCUUGGAAUAAAUCGUAUUUAUAAUAAUUCAUUUGAAGGAAUUAUUCCUUCUUCAAUUAGUCUACUUAAAGAUCUUCAACACCUAGACUUCGGUGACGACAACCUUGUGGUUUCAAGUAUAAUGUCUUACGGGUCCAAUCUAACCGAUCAUUACAGGCAACCCCAUUGGAGAUGCUCUUAAUAACAUUUUAACUAGAGAGUAUUUUCUAUCAAUUGCAUUUGUAUUAAAUUUGAUUUAGAUGAAGAGAAACAGAAUACAUAUGAUCCCGAGACAACAUUUUGUCAAUGUUUUCGUCUUGAUUGAACAGUCUUCUUCAUGCGUGUCCUUGUCAACUUCAGUUGCAGUAAUUCAAUGUAUCUCAGGAACCACCUUGGCUUUCCCAUUUUGAUAACAAGUAUCCUGAAGAUAAUCCGCAUAUCAAUCCACAUCCGCGCGUAUCCCAGUUGAUUUAUUAAUUUAUUCAUGAAGUGUUGCGAACGACAUUCCUGCAAAAGUAAAAGUCAGUGGAAUUUGUAUGAUAGCAUGAUGAAUAUUUAAAGUUUCAGUUAAAAUUUCACCAAGUAUUUUAUUUCUGGCUUAAGUCCCGGAUUGACGAAUUCUGCUGAUCACAUUUCUAAUCGACCAAUUCUGGUCGAAUAAAUUAAAUGGCACACUUCCUGAGUUGGUGGUAGGGGCGUUCUUCUUGUGUUUCUUUCUUUUCAUUAUUGACAUUGUUAUCCAGGCCCUUGCUUCUGGGCUUUUGUAAAGCACCCAUUUACGCCAUUGUCAUGAUCAUAGCUAGUCUUCCAUAUCCAAGAUACGCGCAUUAUAGUGGAUUUAUCUUUAUUAGUGAUUUCUGUGGAAAUGCAUAAUCUUAAUUAUAAGCUCCAAUAUUAUAAAAUAAACCUAACUUAUUAGAGUUAACAGGGCAUUUGUGUUGAUAAUUUGCGCAAUGUUAAUGGGGAUCGCUCCCAAGUCUUGGACGGACUCUUUCCAAGUCUUCUGAGGACCCAUCUGCACACUAAUUUGUCCGCCAACUAAAAAUUUAUAUAUAUUUUUCCAUAGAAUAUAAAUAGUUGGGGGUACUAACAGAACCUCUAGUAAAAUUAAUUAAUACCGUUAUGAUUUCGCAAACACAGCAGACAGCAGGCAUAAGGCUUAUAAAUAGAAGUGUCGUAUUUGGUUGAUGGUCAAGUUGAGUGGAAAUAUGGCACACUUUGUAAAGCCUUGUUAUCCUCUUCUCUUUGUUUUCUUUCUCUCAUUACUUCAAUCCAUUCUAACAACACAAGAGGGAGAAGCUCUUGUGAAAUGGAAGAAUAGCCUAGCCCCUUCUUCUUUUCUCGACUCUUGGUCACUCACCAAUCUCGAUAAUCUUUGCAACUGGACUGGCAUUACUUGUAACUCUGCAGGUUCAGUCUCUGAGAUUAACCUUAGUGAGAAACAACUUGAUGGAAUGCUGUCCGAGUUUGGUUUCACUUCAUUUCCAAAUCUCAACAAUCUCACCCUCGCAAUUAACUACUUCUCGGGUCCAAUACCACCAGCCAUUGAGAAUUUAACACAGCUUCAAUAUCUUGAGUUGAGCAAUAAUUAUCUAGAUGGUCCCAUUCCUUUCCAGGUUAGCAAUCUUCAGAGGUUGCUCAUCUUAAACCUGUCAGAGAAUGAACUGCAAGCUCCAAAUUGGUCCAAUUUUUCCCCCAUGCCUUUUUUGACCAUCCUCGACCUUUAUAAAAAUAAUCUUUUGUCAGAAUUUCCCGAAUUUAUAUCUAACUCGUGUAACCUUACGUACCUUGACCUCUCAUCCAACAAGUUUAGAGGGGAUCUUGCGCGAGAAUCAGUAUUAACCAAUCUAGGUGAUCUUGAAACCCUCUAUCUUAUUAGAAAUUCUUUCAAGGGGUCAUUUCCGUCAGAUUUAUUCAAGCUUUCUAAAUUAAAACGUCUUCACCUGUCGAGCAACAAAUUUUCAGGUUCAAUUCCUAAUGCCAUAAGGUUGCUUUGUGAUCUUGAAUUCCUAUAUUUAGGCAACAAUUCCUUUGAAGGACUGCUUCCACCAAAUAUAUUUAAGCUUUCAAAAUUAAAACAUCUUGUUCUUCGGAGUAAUAAGUUUUCAGGAUCUGUUUCCAAUGAUAUAAAUUUGCUUCCUGAACUUGAAUAUCUCGAUCUUAAUUCUAAUUUUUUUGACGGGCCGCUUCCUCCAGAUGUAUUCAAGCUCUCCAAACUAAGGUUUCUUUACCUCUCGGGUAAUACCUUUUCACGUUCUGUUUCCAAUGAUAUAGGUUUGCUUUCUGAGCUUGAAACCCUCGAUCUUAACUCUAAUUUUUUGAGGGUCCGCUUCCGUCAAAUAUAUUCAAGCUCAAAUUAAAAAUUCUAGACCUCUCAAACAAUAGAAAUUUAUUUCAAAGAAGUUUUCCUAUUGGACUGGAACUCUUGAGUAACCUCAGCUACUUAGGUCUAAGUUCCAGUAAUCUCAGUGGCAAUAUUCCAUCUUACAUUGGAAACCUGAAGCUACUAAUAUCUCUUGAUCUCAGUUCUAAUCAAUUGACUGGACCGCUUUCAAAGCUCGUUUCUAAUGUCACAAAUCUUAUAUUUCUUGAUUUAAGAGAUAAUAGUCUUAGUGGAAAUAUUCAGACUGACUUGUGGAAAUAUAACGAUCAUCCAACUCUGGAAUACAUCAAUUUGAGUGGGAACUAUUUUACGGGUAUAGUUUUUCUCUAUAGAUCUUUUCUUUUGUCAUAUGUAACUAAGCUAGUAAUCUGAUUAAUUGCAGUUUUACCAAAGUUUCAACAAUCUUGACAGGUGAGCUUCCAACAACAAUUUGCAAUGUCACUUCCCUUUCGGUUCUUGAUUUGUCAAAUAAUAACUUAAGUGGUGCACUUCCAAAAUGUUACGGGAAUCUUGCUGAUGGAUUGCUUUACAUUAAUCUUGCGAAUAAUCACUUUCGAGGAACAAUACCCACUACUUUCUCCAGGAGUUGUCAGCUGAUAUAUCUGAACAUGGAUGAUAAUGAGUUUGAAGGAUUGAUGCCCCCAUCUUUGGCGAACUGUAAGCACUUGAAAAUUUUUGAUAUUGGCAAUAAUAAAAUAGGUGGUACAUUUCCGUCAUGGCUUUAUGCACUUGGAGAGCUAGAAGUCCUUGUCUUGCGAUCAAAUAAACUCUAUGGUACAAUAAGUGGAAGGAGCAUAGAAGAUCCCUUCCCCAAGUUGCGGAUUGUGGAUCUGUCCAACAAUCAAUUCACAGGCCAUUUGCCAAUUCAAUACUUUAAGAAUAUGAAAUCAACUGAUAAUUUGUAUCGUUAUCAGAAUGACACAGGAGUUUUUUCUUUCCAUUAUGAAGCAUCUGUCUCAUUAACUGUGAAGGGAACAGAGUAUGAAGUGAAAAAUAUCCUUCAUAUUUACACAACCAUUGAUCUGUCCUGCAACAAGUUUCAAGGAGAAAUUCCUGACGUUAUUGGAGAGCUUAGAUGGCUUGCAUUGCUGAACUUAUCUCAUAAUAGUCUAACAGGACAUAUCCCAUCAUUGCUGAGAAAUAUGAAAGGACUCCAAUCUUUAGAUUUGUCUUCAAAUCAACUGAAAGGGGCUAUUCCACUUCAGUUAACUGCAUUGACAUUUCUAGAGGUCUUGAACCUCUCGGGAAACCAUCUUAGUGGAGAGAUUCCUCAGAAAGGGCAGUUCAGCACAUUUAACAUUGAUUCUUAUCUAGGAAACUCCGCGUUAUGUGGUUCACCUUUGAUGAAGAAAUGUGCAAACACAGCAUCACCUCCACAAGAAGCCGGAAAUGGUGAUGAAGAUGAAGCUGGUGAUGAAUUGACAUGGGAAGCAAUCGUGAUGGGAUAUGGAUGUGGACUGAUAUGUGGAUUGUCAUCUGCAUACAUUGUUCUCAAACUAGGAAAGCCUUGGUGGUUUGUGAGAUAUAUCGAAGUACUGCAACAGAAGUUGAUGAAAAGAUAUGCAUGAAGAAAGGUACUGGUAGAUCAAGAUGAACUUGAAAGUUGUUGUCGUGGUAGACAUUUGUGAACCAGUAGUGUACUAGCUGCAUAAGUAUUUGGUAUUAUGUAAUAAUCCGUUUGGUCGGGACUCAAAAUGAUUUCUCUUGCUUCAGGGGUAUUAAUAUUAACCUUGCUAUCUUGAUCAAUGUUAGGGCAAAUUAAAAAGAAUAUAAAAGCAAAAAAUUUGCAUCAAACACCUGUUGUACCAACAUGCAUCCAUUAAUUUGCUUUCAUCUAUUAAGUAACAAUUUAAGAGCGCUUCCACUCUGUUUAAGCAUGGAGAUAACACAAAGAAGGCAAGUCCAUGGACUAAUAUAUUAACACGUAGUCCACAUCUAUGGUAUGAACAAUUCAUAUUGCUCUUCUAUCUGUUCAACAGUCUCCCGAAGAUAGGCCAAAAAUGUCAUCUGUGGUUCUUAUGUUUGUCAGUGAAGGAGAAUCUCUGAUGCCUACACAACCUGGUGUUUUUACAGAAAGGAAUGUAGGUGAAACCAGGGGCGUAAAAUGAAUCAGGACUAAAAUCUGCUAAAAUGAUAAUUAUUUACUCAUCAUUCAAGAUUAGUCGGGCUCAAAGAUUUAUAUGGAUUUUAAGAACAAACUAUGACUAAAUAUGAAAAAAUCAUUAAUUUUUCCGACUCAAUAUUUUUUAGCCUCCCCCGGCCCUGGGUGAAACCAUAAGCUUCUCUGGUGCACAUCCAAAUCAUUCAGUUGGUUCUACUUUCAGCUCACCCACAGGAACAUCAUUCUGCAGGUACUCUUUUAUCUGUACUUUCUUAUAUUGUAUGCCAGUAAAUUUUAUAUCGACAAACUGCACAAUACACCUCGAUCUCAUAUUAUUGACAGGUGAGCUCCUCUCAUAAUGCUCACAGGCGAACCCCUGCAUAUAUACUUUGUGAUGUCAUUGAUGAUCGAUAGACUUGAAAAAAAAUUAUGACAAAGAUUCAUAAAAUAUCUACUUCCAUCCUAAUUCAGUAUUCAAUAUUAUUCAUUCGUAUCAUCAUCCAAUCAAUUCUAAUAGUUCUUCUUUAAAUCAGUACAAAUAUUGUUAAAUACCUGGAUGAUGGUUGUCUUUCCGCGAACCAAUCAUGAAAUUACCUCUGUAUAAAUCCAUCGGAAAUAAGACAGUUAAUAUCCCAAUCGAAUACACCCCGUCAGUUGUCAAACUCCUCGAAACGUAUUAAUCACUUUAGAAAAUUUGUUCCACUGGCGCUAGUCAGUCCCAGAGUUGGUGGUGGGUGCUUCUGGGCUUUCGAAAAGCACCCAUUUACUCCAUUGUUUAGAGAAGUAAAACCCCACCUUCCGCUCAUUUGAUUGAUCAGCUGAAUUAGGCAGAGUUUACAUGGUCAUGAUCAUAGUCUCCCAUNUUAAUAGUCUGACAGGACCUAUCCCAACAUUGCUGAGAAAUAUGAAAUAACUCCAUUACUCCAAUCUUAGAUUUGUCCUCAAAUCAACUGACAGGGGCUAUUCCACCUCUGUUAACUGCAUUGACAUUACUUUUCUCUUUAUAUUCUUUCCUUUUGUAUGUACCUAUGCUAAUUAUCUGAUUAUUAAAAUUAUAACAAAGCUUCAAGAUUUUUAACAGGUGAGCUUCCACUAAAAAUUUGCAAAGUCACUUCCCUUUCGCGUCUCAUUAUGUUAGAUAAUGGGUCAAGUGGUGCACUUCCACAGUGUUUGGGGAACCUUUCUUUGCUUGGUUUCAAUAAUCUUGCUAAUUAUCAAUUUCAAGGACCAAUACCAACGACUGUCCAAGACUUGUCUGUGCAUAUCUAAACAUCCAUAACAAUCACUUUGAAGGUUUGUUGCUCCAAUCUUUGGCAAACUGUAAACACUUACAAAUUCUUGAUAUUGGAAACAACGUUGGAGAGCUAGAUGUCCCAGUUAGGGCGGUAAUUCGACUAGAGCAAACCGAGUUUUGAGCGGAGCCAAAUUCGAGCCAAGUUUAAUCGAGUCGAGCCGAGUCGGCUCGUUUAGCUAAUCGAGCCUAAAACUUAGCCCGAACUCGACUCAUUUAAUUUCACGAGUCGAGUCGAGCCAACUCGUUUAGCUAAAUGAGCUGAUUUUAACAAGUCGAGCGAGCGAGCUCGUAUAAUUUUAACUUAGUCGAGCCUGAAUCUCUACCCAAACUAUUGGCUCGUGUAAUUUCGCGAGUCGAAUCGAGCCGGCUCGUUUUAUUAAACAAGCCGAAAUUUUUGCCCGAAUUUGCUCGUUUAACAAGCCGAUCUGAGCCUAGUUAAAUGAGUUCGAGUUAGUCGAGCUCGCGAGCUGCGAGCUCACCUGCCAGCUCUAGUCCUAGUCUUGCAAUCAAAUAGGUUUAACGGUAUAGAAAGUGGAAGGAGCACAAGGCAUCCAUUCCCCAAGGCUAUUUACCAAUUCAGUACUUUGAGGAUACAAAAUCAUUCUGCAGGUACUCUUGUAUCUGUACUUUCUUGUACUGUAUGCCACUUUGACAGUAGAGUAAAAUUUAUAUCGACAAACUGCAUAUGUUCUGAACUACUCCUCUAUCCCAAAUUAGAUGAGCUAGUUGACUUUGAGCACGUAACUUAAGGUACAUUGACCAACUAGUUCCGAUAUUUAUUUUUUUAAUUUUUCUUUUGUAAAUGAAAAUUUCAUAUUUAAAUUUUUAUUUGCAAAACUAAAAUUUAAAAAUAUGUAAUGUGGCUAUGCGGUCAAUGUCAACGAGCUCAUCUAAUUUGGGAUUGGGAUGCAGGGAGUAUUACGUACUAUGUUAUGCAAGCUGUUUACAACUUUCAUCAAAAUUUUCAAACAUUUCUGAAUAUGUAUUUUCAAAGAAUUCUCGGGCACUCUUAAGGCCUAUAAUUAUUGGAACUCUCACGUUAUGGACCAGAGGACCACUAUGUAUUUUACAAGCACGACGAAUCAUGUGGUCAUUAUGGACUCCCCAAGCCUUAGAGGACUCAUUCCAGGUUUUAGGAGGACCACUGCCUAGCUCACCCUUUCGGAGUGAUGUAAAUUAGUUUCCAGACACUAAAAAUAAGUAAUCAGAUUAAUCAUUACAAAAUUUUGAUAUAAAAUCAGAAUAAAUCCUAAACUUUGAUGAUACAAAAAAAAUUAUAAUUGUAAAUUAUACAAUCAAAUUAAGAUCGAAUUAACUUCCCUCACACUUAAAAUUUAUAGCGAUCAAAUCAAAAUCGAAUUAACUUUCCUAUUACUAAAAUUUAAUUACAAUAUUAUUAGAUAAAGAGAAUAUAUAAUAAUCAAGAGAAAAUAGAUUUUUUUUUGCCACUCAACUUAUUGUGUUUUAAGAAACUUACCACCCAACUAAAUUUUUUUCCUUUUGCUCACUAAUGUUAGGUUUGGAUUUGUUUUUAGCCACCAAAUAAGGUUCGGAUUUGAUUACCAGCAUUAUGAUAAUUUUUUUUGUCACUAAACUUAUUGCGUCUUUAGAAACUAACCACUGAACUAAAUUUUUUUUAUUUUACUCACUAAUGUUAGAUUUAGUUUUUUUUGUCACUAUAGUUAGGUUCAGAUUUGAUUAUUAGCAUUACAUUAAUUCUGUGUAGCAUUUUUAAAAUAUGGUAGUAGUCUGUGAUAUUUAGAUGAUUUGAUAUAUGUCUGUAUUUUUAUAUAUAGUAUAUUUUAUGUCCCCAAGGUCGUUUACCUUGGGUCAUAAAAAUUUUACACUCAUUUUAUGACUUUUAAAAGAUGUAGUUUCAUAAAUAAUUUUAUUUUUUUCUUUCGAAUUAAAAUUCAGCAUUUGAAUUUUACACACAAAAAAAUCGCAAGAAUAAGAUAUGAAACUAUGCUUUACAAGAGUCUUAAAAUACGUGCUAAACGGUAGAAAAAACUGUAAACUAAUGAGAGGUACAUAGGGAGUAAUAAUAACAUAAAAUGAUGCACAAUCAUCGAAUUAAGUUUUCCUCUCUCUAUAUAUUUAUUUUGUAAAUUUUAAUAAGAUAAAGUUAUUAAAAUUUAUGAUAUAAAUUUAAGAGAUAUCUUAGAUUGAGUGGCAAAAAUUUAGUUGGGUGGUAAGUUUCUAAAAACACAAUAAAUUGAGUGGGAACAAAAUCUAUUUUCCCAAUAAUGAGUGGGAAUAAAAUCUAUUUUCCCAAUAAUCAAAGUGACGAAAAAUCAAAGUCAUCUAAUAAGUCCAGAAAAAAUAUGACCAUUAGUAUAUUGAAAUAAUAUUCACGCAUUUAUAUACGAGAAUAUAUGGUCCACAAGUUAGUGCACAAUGUCCAAGAAUCUUUAUCAAAUAACACGGCAAGCAUGCAGCAUAUAAAUAAGAGUGGGCAGUAUGGUAUUGCAUUCAUAACCCACUUGAGCAGAAAUAUGGCACACUUCCUAAAGCCUUCUCACCUUCUUCUCUUUGUUUUCUUUCUCUCGUUACUUCAAUCCAUUCUACCAACAAGACCAGAGGGAGAAGCUCUUGUGAAAUGGAAGAAUAGCCUAGCCCCGUCUUCUUUUCUCGAUUCUUGGUCACUAACCAAUCUCGAUAAUCUUUGUAACUGGACUGGCAUUACUUGUAACUCUGCAGGUUCAGUCUCUGGGAUUAACCUUUAUGAGAAACAACUUGAUGGAAUGCUGUCCGAGUUUGGCUUCACUUCAUUUCCGAAUCUCAACAAUCUCACCCUCGCAUACAACUUCUUCUCGGGUCCAAUACCACCAGCCAUUGAGAAUUUAACACAGCUUCAAUAUCUUGAUUUAAGCAUCAAUAGUCUCGAUGGUCCCAUUCCUUUCCAGGUUAGCCAUCUUCAGAGGUUGCUCGUCCUAAACCUGUCACAGAAUGCAUUGCAAGCUCCAAAUUGGUCCCAUUUCUCUUCCAUGCCUUUUUUGCGCAUCCUCAAGCUCAGUAGGAAUCAUCUUGUAUCGAAAUUUCCAGAAUUUAUAUCCAAUUCUCAUAGCUUGGCUAUCCUUGACCUUGGCCAGAACAACUUUACAGGUGAUCUUGUGCGUGAAUUUACCAAUCUACAAAAUCUUGAAACCCUCUGGCUUUAUCGUAAUUCUUUUGAGGGGCCAUUUCCGCCGGAUAUAGUCCAGCUUUCCAAACUAAAAGAUCUUGCCCUGUCAAGUAACAAAUUUUCAGGUUCAGUUCCCAAUAACAUAAGGUUGCUUUGUGAUCUUGAAUACCUAUAUUUAGGCAACAAUUCCUUUAAGGGGCCACUUCCACCAAAUAUAUUUAAGCUUUCAAAAUUAAAACAUCUUGUUCUUUGGAGUAAUAAGUUUUCAGGUUCUGUUUCCAAUGAUAUAGGUUUGCUUCAUGAGCUUGUAACCCUCAAUCUUAACUCUAAUUUUUUUGAGGGGCCGCUUCCGCCAAAUGUAUUCAAGCUCUCCAAACUAAAGUUUUUUGCCCUUCAUGAGAAUAACUUUUCAGGUUUUAUUUCUAAGGAUAUAGGUUUGCUUUCCGAACUUGAAAUCCUCUAUUUUGGCUCUAAUUUUUUUGAGGGGCCGCUUCCUCCACAUGUAUUUAGGCUCUCCAAAUUAAGAGGUCUGGACCUCUCACACAAUAGAAAUUUAUUUGAAGGAAGUAUUCCUAUUGGACUGGGACUCUUGACUAACCUCAGGUACUUAGAUCUACAUUCCAAUAAUCUCGGUGGCUAUAUUCCAUCUGACAUUGGAAACCUGAAGCUACUAGUACUUCUUGAUCUCGGUUCUAAUCAAUUGACUGGACCGCUUUCAAAGAUCGUUUCUAAUCUCACAAAUCUUAUAUGUCUUGAUGUAAGUCAUAAUAGUCUUAGUGGAAAUAUUCAGAGUGACUUGUGGAAAUAUAACGAUCAUCCAACUUUGGAAUACAUCAAUUUAAGUGGGAACCAUUUUACGGGUAUAGUUUUUCUCUAUAGAUCUUUUCCUUUUCUCAUAUGUAACUAAGCUAGUAAUCUGAUUAUUGCAGUUUCACCAAAGUUUCAACAAUCUUGACAGGUGAGCUUCCAACAACAAUUUGCAAUGUCACUUCCCUUUCGGUUCUUGAUUUGUCAAAUAAUGAAUUAAGUGGUGCACUUCCAAACUCUUUGGGGAAUCUUGCUGAUGGAAUGCUUUACCUUAAUCUUGCUAAUAAUCAGUUUCGAGGAACAAUACCAACUACUUUCUCCAGGAGUUGUCGGUUGACAUAUCUAAACAUGGAUAAUAAUGAGUUUGAAGGAUUGUUGCCCCCAUCUUUGGCGAACUGUAAGCACUUGAAAAUUCUUGAUAUAGGCAAUAAUAAAAUAGGUGGUACAUUUCCGUCAUGGCUUUAUGCACUUGGAGAGCUAGAAGUUCUUGUCUUGCGAUCAAAUAAACUCUAUGGUACAAUAAGUGGAAGGAGCAUAGAAGAUCCCUUCCCCAAGUUGCGGAUUGUGGAUCUGUCCCACAAUCAAUUGACAGGCUAUUUGCCAAUUCAAUACUUUAAGAAUAUGAAAUCAACUGAUAAUUUGUAUCGUUAUCAGAAUGACACAGGAGUUUUUUCUUUCCAUUAUGAAGCAUCUGUCUCAUUAACUGUGAAGGGAACAGAGUAUGAAGUGAAAAAUAUCCUUCAUAUUUACACAACCAUUGAUCUGUCCUGCAACAAGUUUCAAGGAGAAAUUCCUGACGUUAUUGGAGAGCUUAGAUGGCUUGCAUUGCUGAACUUAUCUCAUAAUAGUCUAACAGGACAUAUCCCAUCAUUGCUGAGAAAUAUGAAAGGACUCCAAUCUUUAGAUUUGUCUUCAAAUCAACUGAAAGGGGCUAUUCCACUUCAGUUAACUGCAUUGACAUUUCUAGAGGUCUUGAACCUCUCGGGAAACCAUCUUAGUGGAGAGAUUCCUCAGAAAGGGCAGUUCAGCACAUUUAACAUUGAUUCUUAUCUAGGAAACUCCGCGUUAUGUGGUUCACCUUUGAUGAAGAAAUGUGCAAACACAGCAUCACCUCCACAAGAAGCCGGAAAUGGUGAUGAAGAUGAAGCUGGUGAUGAAUUGACAUGGGAAGCAAUCGUGAUGGGAUAUGGAUGUGGACUGAUAUGUGGAUUGUCAUCUGCAUACAUUGUUCUCAAACUAGGAAAGCCUUGGUGGUUUGUGAGAUAUAUCGAAGUACUGCAACAGAAGUUGAUGAAAAGAUAUGCAUGAAGAAAGGUACUGGUAGAUCAAGAUGAACUUGAAAGUUGUUGUCGUGGUAGACAUUUGUGAACCAGUAGUGUACUAGCUGCAUAAGUAUUUGGUAUUAUGUAAUAAUCCGUUUGGUCGGGACUCAAAAUGAUUUCUCUUGCUUCAGGGGUAUUAAUAUUAACCUUGCUAUCUUGAUCAAUGUUAGGGCAAAUUAAAAAGAAUAUAAAAGCAAAAAAUUUGCAUCAAACACCUGUUGUACCAACAUGCAUCCAUUAAUUUGCUUUCAUCUAUUAAGUAACAAUUUAAGAGCGCUUCCACUCUGUUUAAGCAUGGAGAUAACACAAAGAAGGCAAGUCCAUGGACUAAUAUAUUAACACGUAGUCCACAUCUAUGGUAUGAACAAUUCAUAUUGCUCUUCUAUCUGUUCAACAGUCUCCCGAAGAUAGGCCAAAAAUGUCAUCUGUGGUUCUUAUGUUUGUCAGUGAAGGAGAAUCUCUGAUGCCUACACAACCUGGUGUUUUUACAGAAAGGAAUGUAGGUGAAACCAGGGGCGUAAAAUGAAUCAGGACUAAAAUCUGCUAAAAUGAUAAUUAUUUACUCAUCAUUCAAGAUUAGUCGGGCUCAAAGAUUUAUAUGGAUUUUAAGAACAAACUAUGACUAAAUAUGAAAAAAUCAUUAAUUUUUCCGACUCAAUAUUUUUUAGCCUCCCCCGGCCCUGGGUGAAACCAUAAGCUUCUCUGGUGCACAUCCAAAUCAUUCAGUUGGUUCUACUUUCAGCUCACCCACAGGAACAUCAUUCUGCAGGUACUCUUUUAUCUGUACUUUCUUAUAUUGUAUGCCAGUAAAUUUUAUAUCGACAAACUGCACAAUACACCUCGAUCUCAUAUUAUUGACAGGUGAGCUCCUCUCAUAAUGCUCACAGGCGAACCCCUGCAUAUAUACUUUGUGAUGUCAUUGAUGAUCGAUAGACUUGAAAAAAAAUUAUGACAAAGAUUCAUAAAAUAUCUACUUCCAUCCUAAUUCAGUAUUCAAUAUUAUUCAUUCGUAUCAUCAUCCAAUCAAUUCUAAUAGUUCUUCUUUAAAUCAGUACAAAUAUUGUUAAAUACCUGGAUGAUGGUUGUCUUUCCGCGAACCAAUCAUGAAAUUACCUCUGUAUAAAUCCAUCGGAAAUAAGACAGUUAAUAUCCCAAUCGAAUACACCCCGUCAGUUGUCAAACUCCUCGAAACGUAUUAAUCACUUUAGAAAAUUUGUUCCACUGGCGCUAGUCAGUCCCAGAGUUGGUGGUGGGUGCUUCUGGGCUUUCGAAAAGCACCCAUUUACUCCAUUGUUUAGAGAAGUAAAACCCCACCUUCCGCUCAUUUGAUUGAUCAGCUGAAUUAGGCAGAGUUUACAUGGUCAUGAUCAUAGUCUCCCAUAUAUCCCUGAUACGCACAUUAUAGUGGAUUUAUCUUUAUCAGUGAUUUCUGUGGAGAUGCAUAAUCAUUAUAAGCUCCAAUAUAAAAUUUUAAAGUUAGUAUGGGAAUUUGUGUUGAUAAUUUGCGCAAUGUUAACAGGAUUGCUCCCAAGUCUUGGACGGACUCUUUCAAAGUCUUCUCAGGACCCAUCUGCACACUAAUUUGUCUGCCAACUAAAAAAUCAACAAUAUGUUACUCCCUCCGUUUUUCUUAAACUGAGGUUAAAAUUUUUGACACAAGAUGGGUUGACAGUAUAAAAUUAAAAUAUUUGUGAAUAAAAAUUUUGGUUAUAUUUUUUAUUUAAAAAGAAAAUCUUGAAAAUAAUAUUAUUAACUACCAGUCAGAUCACUUAAGUGUAUGUCCAAAAUUAAAGCGGCAUAUAAAAAAAAGGGAGGAAGCAUGUACUAACUGUUUCCAUAACAGUUUACAAGUAUAAGCUAUACCCCCUCUCUAUUUUUUUCUAUGACAGCUUUGAUUUUGGGCACACAUUCUUAAGUGUUUUGACCGGAUAGUUAAAAAUUUAUCUUCUAAAAUUUUUAAAAAAAGUAAAAUCGCAAAAAAAAUUAGAAAGCUGGUAUUUUUGAUAAAUUUCCAAAUAUGUAAUCAAGAAAAAUAACUUUUACUAUCCAAUCAACUCAUUUAAAGAUGUGUGUCAAAAAUCAAAAUAUCAUACAAAAAAUAGGUAUACAUUUUUUUAAUAGAUUAUACUCCCUCUGUUCCAAAAUAAGUGUCAGCUGGGGGUAAUAACAAGACCUUAGUCAACCCAAGCACAGCAGACAGCAGGCAUAAGGCAUCAGGAAUUUCACAGGACCAUUAUCUUUCUCUUAUUAACUGUGAAGGGAACAGCGUAUGAAGUAGCAAGAACCUUCAUAUUUACACAGCCAUUGAUCUGUCGUGCAACAAAUUUCAGGGAGAAAUUCCAAAGGUUACCGGAGAGCUUAGAUGGCUUGCAUUGCUCAAUUUAUCGCAUAAUUAAUAGUCUGACAGGACCUAUCCCAACAUUGCUGAGAAAUAUGAAAUAACUCCAUUACUCCAAUCUUAGAUUUGUCCUCAAAUCAACUGACAGGGGCUAUUCCACCUCUGUUAACUGCAUUGACAUUACUUUUCUCUUUAUAUUCUUUCCUUUUGUAUGUACCUAUGCUAAUUAUCUGAUUAUUAAAAUUAUAACAAAGCUUCAAGAUUUUUAACAGGUGAGCUUCCACUAAAAAUUUGCAAAGUCACUUCCCUUUCGCGUCUCAUUAUGUUAGAUAAUGGGUCAAGUGGUGCACUUCCACAGUGUUUGGGGAACCUUUCUUUGCUUGGUUUCAAUAAUCUUGCUAAUUAUCAAUUUCAAGGACCAAUACCAACGACUGUCCAAGACUUGUCUGUGCAUAUCUAAACAUCCAUAACAAUCACUUUGAAGGUUUGUUGCUCCAAUCUUUGGCAAACUGUAAACACUUACAAAUUCUUGAUAUUGGAAACAACGUUGGAGAGCUAGAUGUCCCAGUUAGGGCGGUAAUUCGACUAGAGCAAACCGAGUUUUGAGCGGAGCCAAAUUCGAGCCAAGUUUAAUCGAGUCGAGCCGAGUCGGCUCGUUUAGCUAAUCGAGCCUAAAACUUAGCCCGAACUCGACUCAUUUAAUUUCACGAGUCGAGUCGAGCCAACUCGUUUAGCUAAAUGAGCUGAUUUUAACAAGUCGAGCGAGCGAGCUCGUAUAAUUUUAACUUAGUCGAGCCUGAAUCUCUACCCAAACUAUUGGCUCGUGUAAUUUCGCGAGUCGAAUCGAGCCGGCUCGUUUUAUUAAACAAGCCGAAAUUUUUGCCCGAAUUUGCUCGUUUAACAAGCCGAUCUGAGCCUAGUUAAAUGAGUUCGAGUUAGUCGAGCUCGCGAGCUGCGAGCUCACCUGCCAGCUCUAGUCCUAGUCUUGCAAUCAAAUAGGUUUAACGGUAUAGAAAGUGGAAGGAGCACAAGGCAUCCAUUCCCCAAGGCUAUUUACCAAUUCAGUACUUUGAGGAUACAAAAUCAUUCUGCAGGUACUCUUGUAUCUGUACUUUCUUGUACUGUAUGCCACUUUGACAGUAGAGUAAAAUUUAUAUCGACAAACUGCAUAUGUUCUGAACUACUCCUCUAUCCCAAAUUAGAUGAGCUAGUUGACUUUGAGCACGUAACUUAAGGUACAUUGACCAACUAGUUCCGAUAUUUAUUUUUUUAAUUUUUCUUUUGUAAAUGAAAAUUUCAUAUUUAAAUUUUUAUUUGCAAAACUAAAAUUUAAAAAUAUGUAAUGUGGCUAUGCGGUCAAUGUCAACGAGCUCAUCUAAUUUGGGAUUGGGAUGCAGGGAGUAUUACGUACUAUGUUAUGCAAGCUGUUUACAACUUUCAUCAAAAUUUUCAAACAUUUCUGAAUAUGUAUUUUCAAAGAAUUCUCGGGCACUCUUAAGGCCUAUAAUUAUUGGAACUCUCACGUUAUGGACCAGAGGACCACUAUGUAUUUUACAAGCACGACGAAUCAUGUGGUCAUUAUGGACUCCCCAAGCCUUAGAGGACUCAUUCCAGGUUUUAGGAGGACCACUGCCUAGCUCACCCUUUCGGAGUGAUGUAAAUUAGUUUCCAGACACUAAAAAUAAGUAAUCAGAUUAAUCAUUACAAAAUUUUGAUAUAAAAUCAGAAUAAAUCCUAAACUUUGAUGAUACAAAAAAAAUUAUAAUUGUAAAUUAUACAAUCAAAUUAAGAUCGAAUUAACUUCCCUCACACUUAAAAUUUAUAGCGAUCAAAUCAAAAUCGAAUUAACUUUCCUAUUACUAAAAUUUAAUUACAAUAUUAUUAGAUAAAGAGAAUAUAUAAUAAUCAAGAGAAAAUAGAUUUUUUUUUGCCACUCAACUUAUUGUGUUUUAAGAAACUUACCACCCAACUAAAUUUUUUUCCUUUUGCUCACUAAUGUUAGGUUUGGAUUUGUUUUUAGCCACCAAAUAAGGUUCGGAUUUGAUUACCAGCAUUAUGAUAAUUUUUUUUGUCACUAAACUUAUUGCGUCUUUAGAAACUAACCACUGAACUAAAUUUUUUUUAUUUUACUCACUAAUGUUAGAUUUAGUUUUUUUUGUCACUAUAGUUAGGUUCAGAUUUGAUUAUUAGCAUUACAUUAAUUCUGUGUAGCAUUUUUAAAAUAUGGUAGUAGUCUGUGAUAUUUAGAUGAUUUGAUAUAUGUCUGUAUUUUUAUAUAUAGUAUAUUUUAUGUCCCCAAGGUCGUUUACCUUGGGUCAUAAAAAUUUUACACUCAUUUUAUGACUUUUAAAAGAUGUAGUUUCAUAAAUAAUUUUAUUUUUUUCUUUCGAAUUAAAAUUCAGCAUUUGAAUUUUACACACAAAAAAAUCGCAAGAAUAAGAUAUGAAACUAUGCUUUACAAGAGUCUUAAAAUACGUGCUAAACGGUAGAAAAAACUGUAAACUAAUGAGAGGUACAUAGGGAGUAAUAAUAACAUAAAAUGAUGCACAAUCAUCGAAUUAAGUUUUCCUCUCUCUAUAUAUUUAUUUUGUAAAUUUUAAUAAGAUAAAGUUAUUAAAAUUUAUGAUAUAAAUUUAAGAGAUAUCUUAGAUUGAGUGGCAAAAAUUUAGUUGGGUGGUAAGUUUCUAAAAACACAAUAAAUUGAGUGGGAACAAAAUCUAUUUUCCCAAUAAUGAGUGGGAAUAAAAUCUAUUUUCCCAAUAAUCAAAGUGACGAAAAAUCAAAGUCAUCUAAUAAGUCCAGAAAAAAUAUGACCAUUAGUAUAUUGAAAUAAUAUUCACGCAUUUAUAUACGAGAAUAUAUGGUCCACAAGUUAGUGCACAAUGUCCAAGAAUCUUUAUCAAAUAACACGGCAAGCAUGCAGCAUAUAAAUAAGAGUGGGCAGUAUGGUAUUGCAUUCAUAACCCACUUGAGCAGAAAUAUGGCACACUUCCUAAAGCCUUCUCACCUUCUUCUCUUUGUUUUCUUUCUCUCGUUACUUCAAUCCAUUCUACCAACAAGACCAGAGGGAGAAGCUCUUGUGAAAUGGAAGAAUAGCCUAGCCCCGUCUUCUUUUCUCGAUUCUUGGUCACUAACCAAUCUCGAUAAUCUUUGUAACUGGACUGGCAUUACUUGUAACUCUGCAGGUUCAGUCUCUGGGAUUAACCUUUAUGAGAAACAACUUGAUGGAAUGCUGUCCGAGUUUGGCUUCACUUCAUUUCCGAAUCUCAACAAUCUCACCCUCGCAUACAACUUCUUCUCGGGUCCAAUACCACCAGCCAUUGAGAAUUUAACACAGCUUCAAUAUCUUGAUUUAAGCAUCAAUAGUCUCGAUGGUCCCAUUCCUUUCCAGGUUAGCCAUCUUCAGAGGUUGCUCGUCCUAAACCUGUCACAGAAUGCAUUGCAAGCUCCAAAUUGGUCCCAUUUCUCUUCCAUGCCUUUUUUGCGCAUCCUCAAGCUCAGUAGGAAUCAUCUUGUAUCNUUUUUAUUUAAAAAGAAAAUCUUGAAAAUAAUAUUAUUAACUACCAGUCAGAUCACUUAAGUGUAUGUCCAAAAUUAAAGCGGCAUAUAAAAAAAAGGGAGGAAGCAUGUACUAACUGUUUCCAUAACAGUUUACAAGUAUAAGCUAUACCCCCUCUCUAUUUUUUUCUAUGACAGCUUUGAUUUUGGGCACACAUUCUUAAGUGUUUUGACCGGAUAGUUAAAAAUUUAUCUUCUAAAAUUUUUAAAAAAAGUAAAAUCGCAAAAAAAAUUAGAAAGCUGGUAUUUUUGAUAAAUUUCCAAAUAUGUAAUCAAGAAAAAUAACUUUUACUAUCCAAUCAACUCAUUUAAAGAUGUGUGUCAAAAAUCAAAAUAUCAUACAAAAAAUAGGUAUACAUUUUUUUAAUAGAUUAUACUCCCUCUGUUCCAAAAUAAGUGUCAGCUGGGGGUAAUAACAAGACCUUAGUCAACCCAAGCACAGCAGACAGCAGGCAUAAGGCAUCAGGAAUUUCACAGGACCAUUAUCUUUCUCUUAUUAACUGUGAAGGGAACAGCGUAUGAAGUAGCAAGAACCUUCAUAUUUACACAGCCAUUGAUCUGUCGUGCAACAAAUUUCAGGGAGAAAUUCCAAAGGUUACCGGAGAGCUUAGAUGGCUUGCAUUGCUCAAUUUAUCGCAUAAUUAAUAGUCUGACAGGACCUAUCCCAACAUUGCUGAGAAAUAUGAAAUAACUCCAUUACUCCAAUCUUAGAUUUGUCCUCAAAUCAACUGACAGGGGCUAUUCCACCUCUGUUAACUGCAUUGACAUUACUUUUCUCUUUAUAUUCUUUCCUUUUGUAUGUACCUAUGCUAAUUAUCUGAUUAUUAAAAUUAUAACAAAGCUUCAAGAUUUUUAACAGGUGAGCUUCCACUAAAAAUUUGCAAAGUCACUUCCCUUUCGCGUCUCAUUAUGUUAGAUAAUGGGUCAAGUGGUGCACUUCCACAGUGUUUGGGGAACCUUUCUUUGCUUGGUUUCAAUAAUCUUGCUAAUUAUCAAUUUCAAGGACCAAUACCAACGACUGUCCAAGACUUGUCUGUGCAUAUCUAAACAUCCAUAACAAUCACUUUGAAGGUUUGUUGCUCCAAUCUUUGGCAAACUGUAAACACUUACAAAUUCUUGAUAUUGGAAACAACGUUGGAGAGCUAGAUGUCCCAGUUAGGGCGGUAAUUCGACUAGAGCAAACCGAGUUUUGAGCGGAGCCAAAUUCGAGCCAAGUUUAAUCGAGUCGAGCCGAGUCGGCUCGUUUAGCUAAUCGAGCCUAAAACUUAGCCCGAACUCGACUCAUUUAAUUUCACGAGUCGAGUCGAGCCAACUCGUUUAGCUAAAUGAGCUGAUUUUAACAAGUCGAGCGAGCGAGCUCGUAUAAUUUUAACUUAGUCGAGCCUGAAUCUCUACCCAAACUAUUGGCUCGUGUAAUUUCGCGAGUCGAAUCGAGCCGGCUCGUUUUAUUAAACAAGCCGAAAUUUUUGCCCGAAUUUGCUCGUUUAACAAGCCGAUCUGAGCCUAGUUAAAUGAGUUCGAGUUAGUCGAGCUCGCGAGCUGCGAGCUCACCUGCCAGCUCUAGUCCUAGUCUUGCAAUCAAAUAGGUUUAACGGUAUAGAAAGUGGAAGGAGCACAAGGCAUCCAUUCCCCAAGGCUAUUUACCAAUUCAGUACUUUGAGGAUACAAAAUCAUUCUGCAGGUACUCUUGUAUCUGUACUUUCUUGUACUGUAUGCCACUUUGACAGUAGAGUAAAAUUUAUAUCGACAAACUGCAUAUGUUCUGAACUACUCCUCUAUCCCAAAUUAGAUGAGCUAGUUGACUUUGAGCACGUAACUUAAGGUACAUUGACCAACUAGUUCCGAUAUUUAUUUUUUUAAUUUUUCUUUUGUAAAUGAAAAUUUCAUAUUUAAAUUUUUAUUUGCAAAACUAAAAUUUAAAAAUAUGUAAUGUGGCUAUGCGGUCAAUGUCAACGAGCUCAUCUAAUUUGGGAUUGGGAUGCAGGGAGUAUUACGUACUAUGUUAUGCAAGCUGUUUACAACUUUCAUCAAAAUUUUCAAACAUUUCUGAAUAUGUAUUUUCAAAGAAUUCUCGGGCACUCUUAAGGCCUAUAAUUAUUGGAACUCUCACGUUAUGGACCAGAGGACCACUAUGUAUUUUACAAGCACGACGAAUCAUGUGGUCAUUAUGGACUCCCCAAGCCUUAGAGGACUCAUUCCAGGUUUUAGGAGGACCACUGCCUAGCUCACCCUUUCGGAGUGAUGUAAAUUAGUUUCCAGACACUAAAAAUAAGUAAUCAGAUUAAUCAUUACAAAAUUUUGAUAUAAAAUCAGAAUAAAUCCUAAACUUUGAUGAUACAAAAAAAAUUAUAAUUGUAAAUUAUACAAUCAAAUUAAGAUCGAAUUAACUUCCCUCACACUUAAAAUUUAUAGCGAUCAAAUCAAAAUCGAAUUAACUUUCCUAUUACUAAAAUUUAAUUACAAUAUUAUUAGAUAAAGAGAAUAUAUAAUAAUCAAGAGAAAAUAGAUUUUUUUUUGCCACUCAACUUAUUGUGUUUUAAGAAACUUACCACCCAACUAAAUUUUUUUCCUUUUGCUCACUAAUGUUAGGUUUGGAUUUGUUUUUAGCCACCAAAUAAGGUUCGGAUUUGAUUACCAGCAUUAUGAUAAUUUUUUUUGUCACUAAACUUAUUGCGUCUUUAGAAACUAACCACUGAACUAAAUUUUUUUUAUUUUACUCACUAAUGUUAGAUUUAGUUUUUUUUGUCACUAUAGUUAGGUUCAGAUUUGAUUAUUAGCAUUACAUUAAUUCUGUGUAGCAUUUUUAAAAUAUGGUAGUAGUCUGUGAUAUUUAGAUGAUUUGAUAUAUGUCUGUAUUUUUAUAUAUAGUAUAUUUUAUGUCCCCAAGGUCGUUUACCUUGGGUCAUAAAAAUUUUACACUCAUUUUAUGACUUUUAAAAGAUGUAGUUUCAUAAAUAAUUUUAUUUUUUUCUUUCGAAUUAAAAUUCAGCAUUUGAAUUUUACACACAAAAAAAUCGCAAGAAUAAGAUAUGAAACUAUGCUUUACAAGAGUCUUAAAAUACGUGCUAAACGGUAGAAAAAACUGUAAACUAAUGAGAGGUACAUAGGGAGUAAUAAUAACAUAAAAUGAUGCACAAUCAUCGAAUUAAGUUUUCCUCUCUCUAUAUAUUUAUUUUGUAAAUUUUAAUAAGAUAAAGUUAUUAAAAUUUAUGAUAUAAAUUUAAGAGAUAUCUUAGAUUGAGUGGCAAAAAUUUAGUUGGGUGGUAAGUUUCUAAAAACACAAUAAAUUGAGUGGGAACAAAAUCUAUUUUCCCAAUAAUGAGUGGGAAUAAAAUCUAUUUUCCCAAUAAUCAAAGUGACGAAAAAUCAAAGUCAUCUAAUAAGUCCAGAAAAAAUAUGACCAUUAGUAUAUUGAAAUAAUAUUCACGCAUUUAUAUACGAGAAUAUAUGGUCCACAAGUUAGUGCACAAUGUCCAAGAAUCUUUAUCAAAUAACACGGCAAGCAUGCAGCAUAUAAAUAAGAGUGGGCAGUAUGGUAUUGCAUUCAUAACCCACUUGAGCAGAAAUAUGGCACACUUCCUAAAGCCUUCUCACCUUCUUCUCUUUGUUUUCUUUCUCUCGUUACUUCAAUCCAUUCUACCAACAAGACCAGAGGGAGAAGCUCUUGUGAAAUGGAAGAAUAGCCUAGCCCCGUCUUCUUUUCUCGAUUCUUGGUCACUAACCAAUCUCGAUAAUCUUUGUAACUGGACUGGCAUUACUUGUAACUCUGCAGGUUCAGUCUCUGGGAUUAACCUUUAUGAGAAACAACUUGAUGGAAUGCUGUCCGAGUUUGGCUUCACUUCAUUUCCGAAUCUCAACAAUCUCACCCUCGCAUACAACUUCUUCUCGGGUCCAAUACCACCAGCCAUUGAGAAUUUAACACAGCUUCAAUAUCUUGAUUUAAGCAUCAAUAGUCUCGAUGGUCCCAUUCCUUUCCAGGUUAGCCAUCUUCAGAGGUUGCUCGUCCUAAACCUGUCACAGAAUGCAUUGCAAGCUCCAAAUUGGUCCCAUUUCUCUUCCAUGCCUUUUUUGCGCAUCCUCAAGCUCAGUAGGAAUCAUCUUGUAUCGAAAUUUCCAGAAUUUAUAUCCAAUUCUCAUAGCUUGGCUAUCCUUGACCUUGGCCAGAACAACUUUACAGGUGAUCUUGUGCGUGAAUUUACCAAUCUACAAAAUCUUGAAACCCUCUGGCUUUAUCGUAAUUCUUUUGAGGGGCCAUUUCCGCCGGAUAUAGUCCAGCUUUCCAAACUAAAAGAUCUUGCCCUGUCAAGUAACAAAUUUUCAGGUUCAGUUCCCAAUAACAUAAGGUUGCUUUGUGAUCUUGAAUACCUAUAUUUAGGCAACAAUUCCUUUAAGGGGCCACUUCCACCAAAUAUAUUUAAGCUUUCAAAAUUAAAACAUCUUGUUCUUUGGAGUAAUAAGUUUUCAGGUUCUGUUUCCAAUGAUAUAGGUUUGCUUCAUGAGCUUGUAACCCUCAAUCUUAACUCUAAUUUUUUUGAGGGGCCGCUUCCGCCAAAUGUAUUCAAGCUCUCCAAACUAAAGUUUUUUGCCCUUCAUGAGAAUAACUUUUCAGGUUUUAUUUCUAAGGAUAUAGGUUUGCUUUCCGAACUUGAAAUCCUCUAUUUUGGCUCUAAUUUUUUUGAGGGGCCGCUUCCUCCACAUGUAUUUAGGCUCUCCAAAUUAAGAGGUCUGGACCUCUCACACAAUAGAAAUUUAUUUGAAGGAAGUAUUCCUAUUGGACUGGGACUCUUGACUAACCUCAGGUACUUAGAUCUACAUUCCAAUAAUCUCGGUGGCUAUAUUCCAUCUGACAUUGGAAACCUGAAGCUACUAGUACUUCUUGAUCUCGGUUCUAAUCAAUUGACUGGACCGCUUUCAAAGAUCGUUUCUAAUCUCACAAAUCUUAUAUGUCUUGAUGUAAGUCAUAAUAGUCUUAGUGGAAAUAUUCAGAGUGACUUGUGGAAAUAUAACGAUCAUCCAACUUUGGAAUACAUCAAUUUAAGUGGGAACCAUUUUACGGGUAUAGUUUUUCUCUAUAGAUCUUUUCCUUUUCUCAUAUGUAACUAAGCUAGUAAUCUGAUUAUUGCAGUUUCACCAAAGUUUCAACAAUCUUGACAGGUGAGCUUCCAACAACAAUUUGCAAUGUCACUUCCCUUUCGGUUCUUGAUUUGUCAAAUAAUGAAUUAAGUGGUGCACUUCCAAACUCUUUGGGGAAUCUUGCUGAUGGAAUGCUUUACCUUAAUCUUGCUAAUAAUCAGUUUCGAGGAACAAUACCAACUACUUUCUCCAGGAGUUGUCGGUUGACAUAUCUAAACAUGGAUAAUAAUGAGUUUGAAGGAUUGUUGCCCCCAUCUUUGGCGAACUGUAAGCACUUGAAAAUUCUUGAUAUAGGCAAUAAUAAAAUAGGUGGUACAUUUCCGUCAUGGCUUUAUGCACUUGGAGAGCUAGAAGUUCUUGUCUUGCGAUCAAAUAAACUCUAUGGUACGAUAAGUGGAAGGAGCAUAGAAGAUCCCUUCCCCAAGUUGCGGAUUGUGGAUCUGUCCCACAAUCAAUUGACAGGCUAUUUGCCAAUUCAAUACUUUAAGAAUAUGAAAUCAACUGAUAAUUUGUAUCGUUAUCGGAAUUCCACAGGACCAUUAUCUUUCUCUUAUGAAGCAGCAGUCUCAUUAACUGUGAAGGGAACAGAGUACGAGGUAGCAAAGAACCUUCAUAUUUACACAGCCAUUGACCUGUCGUGCAACAAAUUUCAGGGAGAAAUUCCAAAGGUUACUGGAGAGCUUAGAUGGCUUGCAUUGCUGAAUUUAUCUCAUAAUAGUCUGACAGGACCUAUCCCAUCCUUGCUGAAAAAUAUGAAAGAACUCCAAUCUUUAGAUUUGUCCUCAAAUCAACUGACAGGGGCUAUUCCACCUCAGUUAACUGCAUUGACAUUUCUGGAGGUCUUCAACCUCUCGGGAAACCAUCUUAGUGGAGAGAUUCCUCAGAAAGGGCAGUUCAGCACAUUUAACAAUGAUUCUUAUCUAGGAAACUCCGCGUUAUGUGGAUCACCUUUGACAAAGAAAUGUGCAAACACAGCAUCACCUCCACAAGAAGUCGGAAAUGGUGAUGAAGAUGAUGCUGGUGAUGAAUGGACAUGGGAAGCAAUCGUGAUGGGAUAUGGAUGUGGACUGAUAUGUGGAUUGUCAUCUGCGUACAUUGUUCUCAAACUAGGAAAGCCUUGGUGGUUUGUGAGAUAUAUCGAAGUGCUGCAACUGAAGUUGAUGAAAAGAUAUGCUUGAAAAAUUGUACUGGCCGAUCAAGACGAACUUGAAAGUUGUUGUCCUUGUGGACAUUUCUGAACCAGUAGUGUACUAGCUGCAUAAGUAUUUGGUAUUAUGUAAUAAUCCGUUUGGUCAGGACUCAUAAUGAUUUCUCUUGCUUCAGGGGUAUUAAUAUUAACCUUGCUAGUUAAUUCAAAUUAAAACAAAUAUAAAAUCAAAAAAUUUGCAUCAAACACCUGUUAUACCAACAUCCAUUAAUUUGCUUUCAUCUCUUACGUAACAAUUUAACAGCGAUUCCACACUGUUUUAGGCAUGGAGAUUACACAAAGAAGGCAAGUCCAUGAACUAAUAUAUUAACCCGUAGUCCACAUCUAUGCUACGAACAAUUCAUAUUGGUCUUCCAUCUAUUCAACCGUCUCCCGAAGAUAGGCCAAAAAUGUCAUCUGUGGUUCUUAUCUUUGUCAGUAAAGGAGAAUCUCUGAUGCCUAUACAACCUGGUUUUCUUACAGAAAGGAAUGUAGGUGAAACCAGGGGCAUAAAAUGAAUCGGGACUAAAAUCUGCUAAAAUGAUAAUUAUUUACUCAUCAUUCGAGAUUAGUCGGGCUCAAAUGAAGAUUUAUAUGGAUUUUAAGAACAAACUAUGACUAAAUAUGAAAACUAGACAACCUGGUUUUCUUACAGAAAGGAAUGUAGGUGAAACCAGGGGCGUAAAAUGAAUCGGGACUAAAAUCUGCUAAAAUGAUAGUAAUUAUUUACUCAUCAUUCAAGAUUAGUCGGGCUCAAAUGAAGAUUUAUAUGGAUUUUUAAGAACAAACUAUGACUAAAUAUGAAAAAAAUCAUUAAUUUUUCCGACUCAAUAUUUUUUAGCCUCCCCCGGCCCUGGGUGAAACCAUAAGCUUCUCUGGUGCACAUCCAAAUCAUUCAGCUGGUUCUGCAGGUACUCUUCUAUCUGUACUUUCUUAUAUUGUUUGCCAGUACAUUUUAUAUCGACAAACUGCACAAUACACCUCGAUCUCAUACACAGGUGAACUCCUGCAUAUGCUUUGUGAUGUCAUUGAUGAUCGAUAGACUUGAAAAAAAAUUAUGACAAAGAUUCAUAAAAUAUCUACUUCCAUCCUAAUUCAGUAUUCAAUAUUAUUCAUCCCGUAUCAUCAUCCAAUCAAUUCUAAUAGUUCUUCUUUAAAUCAGUACAAAUAUUGUUAAAUACCUCGAUGAUGGUUGUCUUCCCGUGAACCAAUCAUAAAAUUACCUCUGUAUAAAUCCAUCGGAAAUAAGACAGUUAAUAUCCCAAUCGAAUACACCCCGUCAGUUGUCAAACUCCUCGAAACGUAUUAAUCACUUUAGAAAAUUUGUUCCACUGGCGCUAGUCAGUCCCAGAGUUGGUGGUGGGUGCUUCUGGGCUUUCGAAAAACACCCAUUUACUCCAUUGUUUAGAGAAGUAAAACCCCACCUUCCGCUCAUUUGAUUGAUCAGCUGAAUUAGGCAGAGUUUACAUGGUCAUGAUCAUAGUCUCCCAUUUCCCAGAUACGCGAAUUAUAGUGGAUUUAUCUUUAUCAGUAAUUUCUGUGGAGAUGCAUAAUCAUUAUAAGCUCCAAUAUAAAAAUUUAAAGUUAGUAUGGGCAUUUGUGUUGAUAAUUUGCGCAAUGUUAACAGGAUUGCUCCCAAGUCUUGGACGGACUCUUUCAAAGUCUUCUCAGGACCCAUCUGCACACUGAUUUGUCUGCCAACUAAAAAAUCAACAAUAUGUUACUCACUCCGUUUUUCUUAAACGAGGUUAAAAUUUUUGACACAAGAUGGGUUGACAGUAUAAUAAAAUUAACAUUUUUGUGAAUAAAAAUUUUGGUUGUAUUAUUUUAUUUAGAAAAAGAAAAUCUUGAAAAUAAUAUUAUUAACUACCCAGUCAAAUCACUUAAAAGUAUAUGUCCAAAAUUAAAGCGGCAUAUAAAAAAACCGAGAGAGAGUAUGUACUAACCUGUUUCCAUAACAGUUUACAAGUAUAAGUUAUACUCCCUCUCUAUUUUUUUAUAUGACGCUUUGAUUUUGGGCACAUAUUUUUAAGUGUUUUGACCGGAUAAUUAAAAAUAUUAUUUUCUAAAAUUUUUAAAAGAAAGUAAAAUUGAAAAAAAAAUAGAAAGCUGGUAUUUUUGAUAAAUUUCCAAACAUAAUCAAGAACAAUAAUUUUUACUAUCCAAUCAACUCAUUUACAGAUGUGUGUCAAAAAUCAAAAUAUCAUAUAAAAAACAACAAUAUGUUACUCCCUCCGUUUUUCUUAAACUGAGGUUAAAAUUUUUGACACAAGAUGGGUUGACAGUAUAAAAUUAAAAUUUUUGUGAAUAAAAAUUUUGGUUAUAUUUUUUAUUUAAAAAGAAAAUCUUGAAAAUAAUAUUAUUAACUACCAGUCAGAUCACUUAAGUGUAUGUCCAAAAUUAAAGCGGCAUAUAAAAAAAAGGGAGGAAGCAUGUACUAACUGUUUCCAUAACAGUUUACAAGUACAAGUUAUACUCCCUCUCUAUUUUUUCUAUGACGCUUUGAUUUUGGGCACACAUUCUUAAGUGUUUUGACCGGAUAGUUAAAAAUUUAUCUUCUAAAAUUUUUAAAAAGAAGUAAAAUCGCAAAAAAAAUUAGAAAGCUGGUAUUUUUGAUAAAUUUCCAAAUAUGUAAUCAAGAACAAUAACUUUUACUAUCCAAUCAACUCAUUUAAAGAUGUGUGUCAAAAAUCAAAAUAUCAUACAAAAAAUAGGUAUACAUUUUUUUUAAUAGAUUAUACUCCCUCUGUUCCAAAAUAAUUGUCAGCUGUGACAUUUUGCAAAAGUAGCUGGGGGGUAAUAACAAGACCUUAGUCAACCCAAGCACAGCAGACAGCAGGCAUAAGGCAUCAGGAAUUUCACAGCACCAUUAUCUUUCUCUUAUUAACUGUGAAGGGAACAGAGUAUGAAGUAGCAAGAACCUUCAUAUUUACACAGCCAUUGAUCUGUCGUGCAACGAAUUUCAGGGAGAAAUUUCAAAGGUUACUGGAGAGCUUAGAUGGCUUGCAUUGCUCAAUUUAUCUCAUAAUAGUCUCACAGGACCUAUCCCAUCAUUGCUGAGAAAAAUGAAAGAACUCCAAUCUUUAGAUUUGUCCUCAAAUCAACUGACAGGGGCUAUUCCACCUCAGUUAACUGCAUUGACAUUACUUUUCUCUUUAUAUCCUUUCCUUUUGUAUGUACCUAUGCUAAUUAUCUGAUUAUCAAAAUUAUAACAAAGCUUCAAGAUUUUUAACAGGUGAGCUUCCACUAAAAAUUUGCAAAGUCACUUCCCUUUCGCGUCUCAUUAUGUCAGAUAAUGGGUCAAGUGGUGCACAUCCACAGUGUUUGGGGAACCUUUCUUUGCUUGGUUUCAAUAAUCUUGCUAAUUAUCAAUUUCAAGGACCAAUACCAACGACUGUCCAAGACUUGUCUGUGCAUAUCUAAACAUCCAUAACAAUCACUUUGAAGGUUUGUUGCUGCAAUCUUUGACAAACUGUAAACACUUACAAAUUCUUGAUAUUGGAAACAACAAAAUAGGUGGUACAUUUCGGUCAUGGCUAUUUAUUUUGGAGAGCUAGAUGUCCUAGUUAGGGCGGUAAUUCAACUAGAGCAAACCGAGUUUUGAGCGGAGCCAAAUUCGAGCCAAGUUUAAUCGAGUCAAGCCGAGUCGGCUCGUUUAGCUAAUCGAGCCUAAAACUCUGCCCGAACUCGACUCGUUUAAUUUCACGAACGAGUCAAGCGAGUGAGCUCGUAUAAUUUUAACUUAAUCGAGCCUAAAUCUCUACCCGAACUAUUGGCUCGUGUAAUUUCGCGAGUAGAAUCGAGCCGGCUCGUUUUAUUAUAGAAGCCGAAAUUUUUGCCCGAAUUUGGCUUGUUUAACAAGCCGAUCUUUCAUCAAAAAUUUCAAACAUUUCUGAAUAUGUAUUUUCAGAGAAUUUCUCCAGCACUCUUAAGGCCUAUAAUUAUUGCAACUCUCACGUUAUGGACCACUGUGUAUUUUACAAGCACGACGAAUCAUGUUGUCAUUAUGGACUCCCCAAGCCUUAGAGGACUCAUUCCAGGUCUUAGGAGGACCACUGCCUAGCUCACCCUUUCGGAGUGAUGUAAAUUAUUUUCCAAACAUUAAAAAUAAAUAAUCAGAUUAAUCAAUACAAAAUUAAAGAUAUAAAAUCAGAAUAAAUCCUAAACUUUGAAUAUACAAAAAAAAUUAUAAUUGUAAAUUAUACAAUCAAAUUAAAAUUGAAUUAACUUCCCUCACACUUAAAAUUUAUAGCGAUCAAAUCAAAAUCGAAUUAACUUUCCUAUUACUAAAAUUUAGUUACAAUAUUAUUAGAUAAAGAGAAUAUAUAAUAAUCAAGGGAAAAUAGAUUUUUUUUUUUUGCCACUCAACUUAUUGUUUUUUAAGAAACUUACCACCCAACUAAUUAUUUUUUCCUUUUGCUCACUAAUGUUAGGUUUGGAUUUGUUUUUAGCCACCAACUAAGGUUCGGAUUUGAUUACUAGCAUUAUGAUAAUUUUUUUUGUCACUAAACUUAUUGUGUCUUUAGAAACUAACCACUCAACUAAUUUUUUUUUAAUUUACUCACUAAUGUUAGGUUCAGUUUUUUUUUGUCACUGAAGUUAGGUUCGGAUUUGAUUAUUAGCAUUACAUUAAUUCUGUGUAGCAUUUUUAAAAUAUGGCUCAUAAGAAUUUUACACGCAUUUUAUGACUUUUAAAAGAUGUAGUUUCAUUAAUAAUUUUAUUUUUUUCUUCCGAAUUAAAAUUUAGCGUUUGAAUUUUACACACAAAAAAUCGAAAGAAUAAGUUAUGAAAGUAUGCUUUAUAAGAGUCUUAAAAUACGUGCUAAACGGUAGAAAAAACUGUACACUAAUGACAGGUAAAUAGGGAGUAAUAAUAACAUAAAAUGAUGCACAAUCAUCGAAUUAAGUUUUCCUCUCUCUAUAUAUUUAUUUUGAAAAUUUUAAUAAGAUAAAGUUAUUAAAAUUUAUGAUAUAAAUUUAAGAGAUAUCUUAGAUUGAGUGGCAAAAAUUUAGUUGGGUGAUAAAUUUCUAAAAACACAAUAAAUUGAAUGGGAACAAAAUCUAUUUUCCCGAUAAUCAAAGUGACGAAAAAUCAAAGUCAUCUAAUAAGUCCAGAAAAAAUAUGACCAUUAGUAUAUCGGAAUAAUAUUCACACAUUUAUAUACGAGAAUAUAUGGUCCACAAGUUAGUGCACAAUGUCCAAGAAUCUUUAUUAAAGUAACACGGCAAGCAUGCAGCAUAUAAAUAAGAGUGGGCACUGGGCAGUAUGGUAUUGCAUUCAUAACCCACUUGAGGAGAAAUAUGGCACACUUCCUAAAGCCUUCUCACCUUCUUCUCUUUGUUUUCUUUCUCUCGUUACUUCAAUCCAUUCUACUAACAAGACCAGAGGGAGAAGCUCUUGUGAAAUGGAAGAAUAGCCUUGCCCCUUCUUCUUUUCUCGAUUCUUGGUCACUCACCAAUCUCGAUGAUCUUUGUAACUGGACUGGCAUUACUUGUAACUCUGCAGGUUCAGUCUCUGAGAUUAACCUUUAUGAGAAACAACUUGAUGGAAUGCUGUCCGAGUUUAGUUUCACUUCAUUUCCAAAUCUUAACAGUCUCACUCUCGCAUACAACUUCUUCUCGGGUCCAAUACCACCAGCCAUUGAGAAUUUAACACAGCUUCAAUAUCUUGAUUUAAGCAUCAAUAGUCUCGAUGGUCUCAUUCCGUUCCAGGUUAGCCAUCUUCAGAGGUUGCUCGUCUUAAACCUGUCACAGAAUGCAUUGCAAGCUCCAAAUUGGUCCCAAUUCUCUCCCAUGCCCUUUUUGUGCAGCCUCAACCUCAGUAGCAAUCCUCUUGCGUCGAAAUUCCCAAAUUUCAUAUCCAAUUCUCAUGGCCUGACUCACCUUAGCCUUGAUCAAAACGAGUUUACAGGUGAUUUAGCGCGUGAAUCAAUAUUUGCCAAUCUGCAUAAUCUUGAAGUCCUCAGUCUUGUUGGCAAUUCUUUUGAGGGGCCAUUUCUGCCAAAUAUAUUCAAGCUUUCCAAAUUAAAACGUCUCACCCUGUCAAGUAACAAAUUUUUAGGAUCAAUUCCCAAUGACAUAAGGUUGCUUUGUGAUCUUGAAUUCCUGUAUUUAGGAAACAAUUCUUUUGAAGGACCGCUUCCACCAAAUAUAUUCAAGCUUUCAAAAUUAAAACAUCUUGUUCUUUGGAGUAAUAAGUUUUCAGGUUCUGUUUCCAAUGAUAUAGGUUUGCUUUCUGCGCUUGAACUUUUGAAUCUUCACUCUAAUUUUUUUGAGGGGCCGCUUCCGCCAAAUGUAUUCAAGCUCUCUAAACUAAGGUUUCUUAACCUCUGGGGUAACAACUUUUCAGGUUCUGUUUCCAAUGAUAUAGGUUUGCUUCCGGAGCUAGAAAUCCUCAAUCUUCACUCUAAUUUUUUUGAGGGCCGCUUCCGCCAAAUAUAUUCAAGCUCUCUAAACUAAGGUUUCUUAACCUUUGGGGUAAUAACUUUUCAGGUUCUGUUUCCAAUGAUAUAGGUUUGCUUCCUGAGCUAGAAUUCCUCAAUCUUCACUCUAAUUUUUUUGAGGGUCCGCUUCCGCCAAAUGUAUUCAAGCUCUCUAAACUAAAGUUUCUUCAUCUUCGAGGUAAUAAGUUUUCAGGUUCUGUUUCCAAUGAUAUAGGUUUGCUUCCUGAGCUUGAAAUCCUCAAUCUUCGCUCUAAUUUUUUUGAGGGGCCGCUUCCGCCAAAUGUAUUCAAGCUCUCCAAACUAAGGUUUCUUUCCCUUAAGGAAAAUAAAUUUUCAGGUUCUGUUUCCAAUGAUAUAGGUUUCCUUUCUGAGCUUGAAUACCUAUAUCUUGACUAUAAUUUAUUUGAAGGAAGUAUUCCUAUUGGACUGGGACUCUUGACUAACCUCAGCUACUUAGAUCUAAGUUCCAAUAAUCUCAGUGGCUAUAUUCCAUCUGACAUUGGAAACCUGAAGCUACUAGUAUUUCUUGAUCUCAGUUCUAACCAAUUGACUGGACCGCUUUUAAAGAUCGUUUCUAAUCUCACAAAUCUUAUGAAUCUUGAUGUAAGUGAUAAUAGUCUUAGUGGAAAUAUUCAGAGUGACUUGUGGAAGAACUCUAUAUCCUUACGUUACAUUAAUUUUGCAAAUAAUUAUUUGUCUGGGAACAUUCCUAAGGAAUACAACGAUCAUCCAACUUUGGAAUACAUCAAUUUAAGUGGGAACCAUUUUACAGGUAUAUUUUUCUCUAUAUAUCUUUUCCUUUUCUCAUAUGUAACUAAGCUGGUAAUCUGAUUAUUGCAGUUUUACCAAAGUUUCAACAAUCUUGACAGGUGAGCUUCCAACAACAAUUUGCAAUGUCACUUCCCUUGCGGUUCUUGUUUUGUCAAAUAAUGGAUUAAGUGGAGCACUUCCAAAUUGUUUCGGGAAACUUGCUGAUAGAUUGCUUUCCAUUAAUCUUGCUAAUAAUCAGUUUCGAGGAACAAUACCAACUACUUUCUCCAGGAGUUGUCAGGUGAAAUAUCUAAACAUGGAUAAUAAUGAGUUUGAAGGAUUCUUGCCCCCAUCUUUGGCGAACUGUAAGCACUUGAAAAUUCUUGAUAUUGGCAAUAACAAAAUAGGUGGUCCAUUUCCGUCAUGGCUUUAUGUACUUGGAGAGAUAGAAGUCCUUGUCUUGCGAUUAAAUAAACUCUAUGGUACAAUAAGUGGAAGGAGCGUAAAAGAUCCCUUCCCCAAGUUGCGGAUUGUGGAUCAAUAGACAUCGGCUAAAAAGCGAUGUCUAUGUAAAAUCAGACCGAUGUCUUCGUGGGUGAUGAGAAAAGUAAGUGCAUUACACAUCGCUUUCUAGCCGAUGUCUAUAACCUAUUUACACAUCGUUUAAUAUGACAAUCUGAUGUAUUUUUUAACAGUAGAUACCUUCACUAUAAUUUCAGUUCCUCAUUCCUAUGCCCUCUAUAUCAUUUUAAACUUGUCACAUGCUUAAUAAAAUGAUACUUUAACAUCUUAAAACUUGUAAAAUAGAUGUAUAUGAUAACCUUUUACAUCAUGCUUUUAUAGGAAGUGAUGUGGUACCCUUCUUUUCUUUAAGAAAGCGAUGUCUUUGUUCUUGUUUUACAUCAGUGAUUUUUAUACUCUGAUAUCUAUUAUAUAGUUUAACAUCAGGCUUUUUCUUGUUAACUGAUAUGUAUUCAUUCUUAUGACAUCGCUUACUAAGUGAUGUAAAUGUUAGUUUUAAAUUGCCAUGAAUCCUCCUGUUUCUUAUGAAUCCCCCUGUUUCAUUUAAAUUUCCAACAAAUUCCAAAACAACACCAAAGCUAUACUAAUUAAACAACCAAUUACCAAUGUCUAGCCUACCAUAACAGAACUAAAACAAAACUAGCUAGCAAAACAAUACUUCCGCAAAAGCCAAAUAUAUUACCAUCAAUCAUUACCAAUCAAAUUACAUCCCACAAUCAAAGAAACUGCACAAAUCCUAAAUAUUAACCAAGCAACCAUAAUUUACAAGCAGUUCACCACGUACUCCAGCAACCAUAAUUUACCAACUACAUUUCCCUCCAUUUAUCAACAAAAUCUACUUAGCUAGCUAGUGUCACUGUCUUACAUAAACUGAACUAAUUAAAGGAAACCAAAGUUCUCCAAUAAACCAAAGGCCUGUUUAUAAGAAGGACUCGAUAUGGCUAAGUGUCUCAAACCGAACCUCGUCAAGCUCAGCCUUGGAACAAAUCACUUUUCGAUUCUUGGAUGCCCACUGAAAAAUGUAAAACAAUAACAUUGAAUUAUACCUAAAUUUAUAUGUACACCAUUUAAUUAUAUCAACAAUGGAUUAGGCAAAGAAAAAUACCCUUUUAAAAAAUGUCAUUUCAUUGUCCAUGACAAUCUCUUUCAUAUACCGCAUAAUAACAUAGCCGCAUUCAGUUCCACCGGGCUGUUUAGGACAUCCCUAUUUAACCAAAAAAAACUCAAAAUAGUAAGUAAAGUAAUGCCCCUGGUUCUAAGCAUCAGUAGCACAAAUUGUUAAAAAUAAAUACGAAAGCUUACUGUAAUAUAUUUGAAGCUUGGGGCUUUAUUUCCCCUUCCGGCCUGAACAUUGAAAGUAAUCACAGCCCUGUCAUCUUGGCAGUGUUAAUAAUGCACAUGCAUUUAUAUCUCCAUAAGAAAGAUAAUCAAUAAAAAAAUAAAUGAAAAUACCUUGAUAUUGCUUUUUCCAAGUUGGGGAAACUAGUUGAACGAGGCAGAGGAUUAAGUAUGAAAACCUCGCCACCCCAAAACAGAACCAAUACCCAAUGGAAACUAUUUUUAACAAAUAUUUAUGAAAAACACAAUUACUAUCAAAAUCAUAUAAAUUUUAUUUUCAGUCAUGUAAAAAACUAAAUAAAAGAGAUUUAUAAUAAAUAAGAAAACACUUAAGCUACUUACUUGCUAUUAUGCGGCAUCAAAAAGAGACGAUCAGGAUUACCCUCUUUAAAUCGAUUAACCAAGUUAUCUUCAAAAGAAUUGUUCAUCAAGUUCAGCGAGGCUCCAGGAUCACAAAAAGCAAAUUGAUCCUUAGUGCCAUUUUCACGAACCACGCAAUGCAAGUAUCUACAUUGUAAAUGAAAUGAAAUUAUAUAAAAUUACACGAAUAUGAAUUAUAACUAAACAACAGUCAUGAUCUAGAAGACAGUAAUUAAAAAAAGUUUACUCACGCCAUGUAUGCAGCAAUUGCUGCUUGGCCAAUCAUAUUAAACUCCAGCAAGGCGACUAUGUUUUCAUACAAGAUGAAGAUUCUUUUCUCGAUACCAAACACCUCAGCAUCACACGGGAUUUGAAUUGAGUCUCCGGAGGAUUGCAUAAAUGUUGUUGCAUGUUUAUACAACAACCGAAAGCGUUUUGGAACAUUUUUAUUGAUCUCCAUGUUAUGAAACAAGGACUGGACUUUAUCUAAAUCGGUUUUAGGUUCCUUUACUUUCCGUUUACCUUUCUGAAAAAUGAACAAAAUUAAUUUAAAACAAAAUAUAACAAAAUAUAGGGGUAACAUAUAAUAGUACAAUCCAGUACAACAAUUAUGUUAAAGUACACACCAUAGUAGGAAUAGUAGGAGGGGCAUUUGGGAAUAUGAUCAAGUCGCGGGGCCAUGAGACGUACGAGCCAACAGCUUGCUCUACUGUUUCAAUCUCACCUGGUACCGGUUUAGGAAUCUUGGCUUGUCCUUGAAUUGGGCCAUCCACUGAGACGCGAACACAUCCAGGCUCUAUCGGCACUCCAUGUAUAGAUUUGUUCAUGUUAUCAUCAUCAAACAACAAACCAAAUGCCACUUUAUUUUCUAUUGUGCCUACAGCCAACUCACAUUUUCGUGGACCGGCCUACACACAUAUAUUUAAACAAUUAUGACGAAUGCUUGAAAUAUGUUGAGCUAAAUUGAAUAAAUGUGCUAGUUAUUUUACCUUAUUCUCUGGUGGAUUAGGUUCCAAGUCAACUUCAAUCAUCUCUGGUUCCAGUUUUUUCACCACCUCUGUCUUAGCUUCUUUGACAGUGUUUGCCUCACAACUUGCUUUAUCAGAAGCAAUAGGAGAUGAAAUAUUUGCUUUGCUGAGCAAGGCCUUCAUUUCAGCCAUCUCCUGCCUUGUCUUCUCCAUUUCCAUGGCCAUCUCUUUCUUGGCUUUCUCCAGCUCCGCGUCCCUCUCUCGAUCCCUCUCCAACAACUCAGCUUUGGUGAUUCUAUUUCUUCUUCCUGGUGGUAUAUUAAAAAAAAUUGACGGGCUCACAAAGCCUCCAACUCCUCGAACCCUCCCCGAAUGUUCAGGAGUUUGUAGGGCCGUAGUCAACACAUCUCGACUCCCAGAAGGAGUGAAUUCCCCCUUACUUUGCUGCUCUAGUAAAAUAUUCUGACAUGAAAAAUAUGAACAUACAAAUCAUCAUCUAGUGAACCUCAUCAUCAAUAUUAACUUUAAUUUUACGAGCCUUUUAAUUAUAAAUACUCACAAUUCUUUUUCCUAUUUCAGCUAGGUCUGAAUCCUCAUCAUCAGCAUCAUCAGCCUCAUCAUCAUCAUCAACAUUAUCAUUAUCAUCAUCAAUUUUAAUUUUACGAGCCUUUUGCCACAUGAGAGCCCGAUCAGGUUCUUCAUCGGCAGCCAAAGUUCCUUUCUUGAUCUGAUUAAAAUCAAAAAAAAAUUAAAAAGGCCAAGAUAUGUAAAAUACAAUUAUUUAGGUUCAAUGCUUAAAAUACAACUAUUUUUAUACCUCUUCUUCCAAUAAUCCAAUGUAACCCUUUCUUGAUGUCCGGUGAGGAUAUUUUCGAUUACUCACCCUCAGCUUUUGUUUUUCACUAAAAGACUUCAAAUAUUUUAAAUAAUAUUAGAAUACUAUUUUUCAGAAUAUAAAAAGACAUUUAUAUCACAAUAAAGCAGAACAUAAAAUAUAUUUCAUACCAGAAAUUUCGAGGUAGUCCUCUCAGCAACAAAAUUUUUCCAAGCCUCCUUUCCAACAAAAGCAUACUUCUUUGGAGGCUUUCGUAAUUUCUUCUUCUGCCCAAGAUACGGCCUCACAUAAUCUCUUGUUAAAUUUGCUUUAAAAUUCCUCCACUUUGCUCCUGCAGACCUGAUCAACCCCUUCUCAAGUUGCUUAGGAACUUUAAAUGUCUCCUGCAACCAAUGUUAAUUGACAAAAUUUACAAAAUUAUACUCUAAAUGAGUAGAAGAAAAUGCAAAAUUUACAAAAUGCAUAGGAGAUUACUUAUUUUUAUACCUUCACAUCAAUCCAUAUUUUCUCCUUUAGUUCAUCAGGUACCUUUGACCAGUUAGGAUAAUCAAUCGGAAUCAUUGUCCUAGCCAACAUUCCAGUGUAGGAUUGUAGACUGUGCCUUGCAUCCCCUGUAGGAACUCCAUGUGCAUUACAUGAAACCUUUGUUUUCUUGCCCUGCGCCUUCCUCACCACCACUUUAUACAUAGCAGAAACCCCUCGGGCACCCCCACGCUUUUUCUUUGCUGUUUCAGAUGUUGUAACUGUUGCAUCCGUUUCCUCCACAGAAUUCACAUUUUCUCCCUGAGGUUCUGUUGUCAGCUCCAACCUUUUAUCUGAUGCCUCAUCCGACUUUUUGGAGUCUUCAUGGAAUUGUACUUUGGUUUUUUGCUUUUUAUUUGCCAUUUAUCUUCUUCAAUCUGAAAAUGAAACAUAUAUAAUCCAUUAGUCACAGGCAUAUAUACGAGCAAUUACAGGAUAAGCAGUUAUAAAGUUACAUAAGCCUACAUAAGCCGUUACAAAAUUGUAAAAAUGCAUAACUAAACAUUUACACAGAGUGAAAAUUACAGGAGUCUAAUUACACAGAGUAAAUUACAAAGUUGCAUCACAUAUAUUACAUGACUUGAAAUAAUGUUAUCACAGAGUAAAUUACAAAGUCUCAUCACAAAAUUAACUAUUACAUGACUUGAAAUAAUGUUAUCACUUCUUAACCCAAGUGCCCUUAAUAUUUUCUCUAAUACUUUUCUCAACAUCAUCACCGACAUCACAUGUAGGAAUUUGGCAGCAGAAUGGAGGAUUUUCCAUGGUUGUGUCUCCUAAAUCAUCAUCGUUAUACACCUCUUGGUAGUCUCGAGUUGUAGAGGUUAAUACGACGGACCACUUGGCAUCCACCGGAUCUUCAAUAUAAUAAACUUGCUUUACUUGAUCUAUAGACACGUAUUUAUCUCUCUUGUGGCCUUGUCGACUUAGAUCGACAAGUGUGAACCCAAGAUCAUCCACCUUAAUUCCCUUGUCAUUGUCCGCCCAAUUACAUAAAAACAGUGGGGCUUUGAAUGCAUGAUAAUCCAGCUCCCAUAUAUCUAGGAUAACACCAUAAAAUGUCAAGUCACUUUCUACGGGGUUUAAAUCUUUAGCGCUAGACACUUGGACAGUUUUAGCAACUAAAGACACUCCGCUGUUUUGAACUACCCUCACAUUGUCUCGCUGUUUUGUAAAGUAUCGGACCCCGUCUACUAGAUAAGCUUCGUAAGUCAUAACUGAAAAUGAUGGUUUUCCAGCUAUCCAUCUUACUGUCUCUGAAACUCCUCCAGGAUUCUCCACCAUUUCACUACUGACCUACACAUUUCAUAAACAGAAAUUAUCCUAAAUUACUAUAGAGAAAAUAAAUUAGGCACAAAUGAAACUAUAAAAAUACUAACUUUUUCUAGAAACCAAUCAGCAAAACUGUUAUUGUGCUCUCUCAAGAGCCAAUGAACGCUUUUCUUUUUCCCACGAUGGAUUUCCUCUAGAUACUCCUUAUGCAUUCUGCCAAAAAUUAUAUAUUCAUUAAAGAAGUAGUUUAUACAGAAUGUAUAUAUUAAUUGAACAGCCACAAAAUUAAAAAAAUCUUACAAGAUAUAUGGCUGUACUUCAAGGUUGUUUAGAAGAACGUGUAAAUGAGCUUCAUCCCUCUCUUUUUCUUCGAUUGAUUUCAUUACCGCAACAGAUAAUGGACCACUUAACUUGCCUUCAUCUUUGCGAAGACCAGCAGUGGUGCAAGUUUGCUUGACAAACUCUUGGCAGAAUUCAAUCGAUUCUUCUCCAAGAUAACAUUCUGCUAUACAACCUUCGGGGUAGUAACGAUUGCGUACGUAACUCUUCAACACCUUAUUAAACCUCUCAAAUGCAUACAUCCAUCUAUAGAAGACUGGCCCACAUAACCGUAAUUCCCGAACCAAGUGCACUAUGAGAUGUAUCAUUACAUCAAAAAAUGAUGCAGGAAAAAUUUUUUCUAGCUCGCACAAAGUUACUAUUACAUCUGAUUGCAAUUUAUCUAGUUUAGAUACGUCGACAACUUUGCUGCAUAAAGCAUUAAAGAAGAAACACAAUCUAAUUAUUGUGACCCUGACUUUUUUUGGAAGUACCGCGCGAAUUGCAAUAGGAAGUAAUUGUUGAAGUAGGAUGUGGCAAUCGUGGGACUUCAACCCAAACAUUUUUAAUUCUUCCAUGGAAACACAGUUUUUAAUGUUUGACGCGUGUCCAUAAGGAAGUUUCAUGUGCAUUAACGAUGACAACAUCUUCUUCUUUUCUGCCUUGGACAAAUUAAAAAUCGAAGGAGGUAAAUAGGUCUUUCUUUCUCCUUUUUGUGGAGCUAGAUCAGCCCUAACCCCCAUGUCAAUCAUGUCAAGACGAGAAGCUUCACUAUCUUUAGACUUAUGUUUCAUAUUCAGUAGUGUGCCAAUCAAGCUAUCACACACGUUUUUCUCCACGUGCAUAACAUCUAGACAAUGACGGACAUGGUGAAAUUUCCAAUACUCUAACUCGAAGAAAAUUGACUUUUUCUUCCAUGGACAGUCAACCUUCUUUGACUUCCUUACUUCUUUCCCAAACUGAAAUUCAAUUUUUUCUUGCUGCAAUAAAACCUCUUCUCCCGAAAGAGGUUGACGUGCCUGCCCUAAUUCUUGUUGUCCAUUAAAAGCAGCUUUUUGCUUCCUAUAUGGAUGAUUUCUAGCCAAGUAACGUCGAUGACCUUGGUAACACAUCUUCCUACUAUGGCUUAAAUACUUUGCAACAGUAUCAUCACCACAUAUUGGACAAGACAUAUAACCUUUAUUAACACAUCCGGACAGAUUUCCAUAUGCGGGAAAGUCGUUUAUUGUCCACAAUAAAAUUGCUUUUAAAGUGAAAUACGACUUAGUGUGUGCAUCAUAGACAUUUGGUUCACCUUCCUCCCACAACUUCUUUAAAUCAUCGAUUAGAGGCUGUAAAUAUACAUCAAGGUCAUUACCAGGCUCAUGAGGACCGGGAACUAAAACUGUUAGCAUCAUAAACUUCCUCUUCAUGCAUAACCACGGAGGAAGAUUAUAAGUCACUAGUACUACUGGCCAACAAGUGUAUCUAUUGGUUAGACCGUUAUUAUGCGGGUUUAUACCAUCUGCAGACAACGCCAAGCGAAUAUUUCUUGCCUCACUACCGAAGGCAGGCCACCUAUAGUCGAUAUUUCUCCAAGAAGGAGAGUCGGCUGGAUGCCGCAUCUUUCCAUCUUCUAUUCGCUGCUUUGCGUGCCAGGUAAUCAGUUCAGAUGUAGAAGGAGAUUUAAACAUUCGCUUCAAUCUCGGAAUAAUUGGAAAAUACCACAUUAUUUUAGCAGGAACAUUAAUCCUUACUUUACCAUCCUUUCCUAACUUCCAGCGAGAUAGACUACACUUAGGACACUUAGAAGCAUCAACAUAUACCCCCCGAUAUAGUAUGCAAUCGUUUGGACAUGAGUGGUACUUUAUGUAUUCUAGGCCUAAGUUGGAUAAUGUUUUCUUGGCUUCAUAUGCAUUAGGUGGCAUCACAUUUUCCUUAGGAAGGAGAGAGCCAACAGUAGACAAUAAAUCUGUAAAGGCGCUAUCACUAAUUCCAAACCUUGCUUUCCAAUUAUGCAGUUUUAGCAUCGACUCCAAUUUGGUACAUUCACUACCCUCAUACAAAGGCUGUUGAGCAUCAGCCACAAAUCUCCUAAACUGAUACGACUCAUUAUUGUACUCACUCGAAUUAUACGCAGCAUCACAAACAUUGACUGUUUGUGAUGCAUGACCAGGGGAAUGCAUCGAUGCAGGGUCAAGCGUAGGUGCAGGGCUAGGGGCAUUGUCAUGAACUGUUGAUCCAGUGAUUCCACACCCUUGUGUGUGCCAAAUCCAAUCAAGGUAUCCCAAACUAAAACCGUAUUCAUAUAAAUGUCCCCUAAUAAUCUUAACUGCAAAUUUUUUAAAGUUAACACAUCUUUUGCAGGGGCAUGGGAUUUUUUUAGUAUCACUAGCAUUUUCCUCGGCAAAUAUUAAAAACUCUUCAACCCCGAUUUCAUAGUCAAGUGUAUCCCUAUCUUUGAAAAUCCAAGACUUGUCCAUGUUAUUCUCAAACUACCUGAUUGUCAAAUAUGAUAUCAAAUUACAUGGUAACAAAGAUCCAAACACAAUAUACAAUUACAUUUACAAACUAAACAAACACAAAUAUAUUUACACAGCUGUGCAUAAAACAUAAAAAACAAAUCCCAAGCUCUAAACAUAUAUAACACAGUACAUAAAAAAGAAACCCCAAGCUCCAAACAUAUAUAAAACAUAUAUACAACUACACGUUUAAUUUUCACAUGCAUACAUAUAACUACAAAAAGUUAUACUUGCAACCGAAACAUUUAUAUAAAUAUAAAGAAGAAUAUAGAAGAAUAUAUAUACCUAAAACCCAGCAGCUUCGAAACCCAGCACCUCCAAAAUCCAGCAGCUAUCCAGCAGCUUCGAAAACCCAGCAACUACCCUAAUCUCCAAGCUUCAAAUCUCCAAGCUUCAAAGAACCCUAAUCUCCAAGCUCCACUCGACCCUAAGCUUGAAGAUCGAACCUUAAGCUUGAACACAGCAGCUUCGAAUCGCGCACAAAUCGCACCUAGGGUUUAGAAGAGAGGGAAUCAGUUAAUAGAACAUUUGAAAGGGGGUUUAGAAGAGAGGGAAUCAGUUAUUAAACCAAGAACGAGGAUUGAAGGACUGAAGGAUUGAAGAAAAUCGCAUACCUAGGUUUAGCUGUCGAGAGAAAGGGGGAAGAGCUGCUGUCUGAAAGAAAUAUGUAUAUAUGUCCCGAUUGUUUUCUUUUGAAUGCUUUUGUUUUAAUUUUGAUUUAUUUUUAAUGUUUUUUUAUUGUUUUAUACUGAGGCGGGAGUGAAUGAUAUGUUAAAGGGGGGGAAAACAGUAGGGGGAACUAAUUAAAAAAUUGACUAAGGGCGGGGGAGCGGAGGGCGCGGGCUUUAAUAUUUUUAAAAUUGAGAUUAGACAUCGCUUAAUAAACAAUGUGAUGUGAAAAAAUUUUAAAGUGAGAGCUUAGACAUCACUUAUGUUAAGGACUGAUGUAAAGAUACCAGAAAGACAUCACAUAUAAAACGAGCGAUGUAAAAAAGGCAUUUUACAUCGGUGACACUUCCGACUGAUGUCUAAUGUGCGAUGUCUAUUGACGAAUUUCUAGUAGUCUCCAAAGGAUAUUUAUCUUUCCAUCAUGAUGCAGCAGUCUCCUUAACUGUGAAGGGAACGGAGUAUGAGGUAGCAAAGAACCUUCAUAUUUACACAGCCAUUGAUCUGUCGGGCACCUAAUUUCAGGGUCGAAUUCCAAACGUCACUGGAGAGCUUAGAUGGCUUGCAUUGCUCAAUUUAUCGCAUAAUAGUUUAACAGGACCUAUCCCAUCAUUGCUGAGAAAUAUGAAAGAACUCCAAUCUUUAGAUUUGUCCUCAAAUCGACUGACAGGGGCUAUUCCACCUCAGCUAACUGCAUUGACAUUUCUAGAGGUCUUGAACCUCUCGAAAAACCAUCUUAGUGGAGAGAUUCCUCAGAAAGGACAGUUCAGCACAUUCAACAAUGAUUCUUAUCUAGGAAACUCCGCGUUAUGUGGAUCACCUUUGACGAAGAAAUGUGCAAACACAGCAUCACCUCCACAAGAAGUCGGAAAUGGUGAUGAAGAUGAUGCUGGAGAUGAAUUGACAUGGGAAGCAAUCGUGAUGGGAUAUGGAUGUGGACUGAUAUGUGGAUUGUCAUCUGCGUACAUUGUUCUCAAACUAGGAAAGCCUUGGUGGUUUGUGAGAUAUAUCGAAGUACUGCAACUGAAGUUGAUGAAAAGAUAUGCAUGAAGAAUGGUACUGCACUACAACAAAAACAGCAUCACACAACGGUUUUUGCCCGUUGUCUGAUACCCAAGAAAACCGUGGUCUAUUGCGAUGCCGUCUGAUACGCGCCUCAGACAACGUUUUAUUAGUUAAAGGCUUGUCUAUAAGGCCAUGCUACGAUGGUAACAAAAACACUUGUAUGUUAGCUUCCUGGUCACACAACACUGUAUGGAACCCUUGUUUAAACGGCUCGUAAACAACACAACAAAUAAAACACUUGUCUAAUUACAACAACGGUUUCUUGAAAUAUUGUCUGAAGUUUCUUCACACAUCGGCUCUAAAAACAGUUGUCUAACGUGCAUCAUUACACAAUAUCACAGUUAAGAUACCGUUGUCUGAUUGAAUUUACUAGACAACACUUUUUAAACCGUUGUAGGUUGUAGGUGUUGGACAAUAGUUUUUCGAGGACGAAAAUAAAGUGUUGUGUCUUUGUUUCGGCCAACACUUUUUCCAGCGUCCGUUGUCUGACUAGUGUCGUGUGAUGCCAGUUUUGUUGUAGUGCUGGUUGAUCCAGACGAACUAGAAAGUUGUUGUCCUGGUAGACAUUUCUGAACCAUUUGUGUCCUGGCUGAAUAAGUAUUUGGUAUUAUGUAAUAAUCCGUUUGGUUGGGACUCAAAAUGAUUUCUCUUGCUUCAGGGGUAUUAAUAUUAACCUUCCUAUCUUGAUCAAUGUUAAAUCAAAUUAAAUGAAUGAAAAAACAAAAAGUAUGCAUCAAAUCCGCUCCUGCUGUACCUAACAAUUUAACAGCACCCUUCCACACUGUUCAUACCUAAUUUGCGUGUAAUAUGAAAACUAAGAGGCAUGGCUUUUGUCUUUGAGAGAACUUAUUCCAAGUCUUCUUCGGAGGCCUACUGCCUCAACAACCUUUCAAAGACUAUGCAAUAAUCCACGUGACAGAAAAACCAAAGUCCAAUUAGUAUUAUAAGUUCAUAAAAAAUACUAUAGGAUCAUUAGCAUUAGCAUUACAUUAGCAUACAGCAUAUAUAUAAAUAGAAGAAUGCAGUGUGGUAUUGGAUUCAUAAUCCAAUUGAGCAGAAACAUGGCACACUUUGUAAAGCCUUAUGACCUUCUUCUCUGUGUUUUCUUUCUCUCAUCACUUGAAUCCAUUCUUGCAACAAGACGAGAAGGAGAAGCUCUUGUGAAAUGGAAGAACAGCCUAGCCCCGUCUUCUUCUCUUGAUUCUUGGUCACUCACUCAUCUCGAUAAUCUUUGUAACUGGACUGGCAUUACUUGUAACUCUGCAGGUUCAGUCUCUGACAUUAACCUUUUCAACAAACAACUCACUGGAAAGCUUUUCGAGUUUGGUUUCACUUCAUUUCCGAAUCUCAACAAUCUCACCCUCGCAGAUAACUUCUUCUCUGGUCCAAUACCAUCAGCCAUUGGGAAUUUAACACAGCUUCAAUAUCUUGAUUUGAGCAAUAAUUAUCUCAAUGGUUCCAUUCCGUACCAGGUUAGCCAUCUUUCAAAAUUACACGUCUUAAACCUGUCAGAGAAUGAACUGCAAGCUCCAAAUUGGUCCAAUUUCUCCCCCAUGCCUUAUUUGACCAUCCUCGACCUUUAUCAGAAUAAUCUUAUGUUGGAAUUUCCAGAAUUUAUAUCUAACUCGCGUAACCUGACAUACCUUGACCUUUCAUAUAACAAGUUCACAGGCGAUCUUGUGCGCGAAUCAGUAUUAGCCAAUCCAGGUGAUCUCGAAACCCUCUAUCUUAAUGAAAAUUCUUUUGGGGGGCCAUUUCCACCAGACAUAUUCAAACUUUCCAAGUUGAGAGUUCUUGCCCUGUUCAAUAAUCUUUUUGAGGGGCCGCUUCCGUCAAAUAUAUUCAAGCUCUCUAAACUAAGAUUCCUUUUACUUUGGAGUAAUAAUUUUUCAGGUACUCUUUCGAAUGAAAUAGGUUUGCUUUCUGAGCUUGAAGACCUAGAUCUUCACUCCAAUUUUUUUGUGGGGCCGCUUCCGCCAAAUAUAUUCAAGCUCUCUAAACUAAGAACCCUUUUCCUCUUGGGUAAUAACUUCUCAGGUUCUAUUUCCAACGACAUAGGUUUGCUUUCUGAGCUUGAACACCUAUAUCUCGACUCCAAUUCUUUUGAGGGACCUUUUCCAACAAAUAUUUUCAAGCUUUCCAAAUUAAUACAACUUGGUCUCGCAAACAAUACAAAUUUAUUUGAAGGAAGUAUUCCUCCAGGACUGGGGCUCUUGACUAACCUAGAGGACUUGUCUCUUGCUUACAAUAAUCUUGGUGGCUAUAUUCCGUCUUCCUUUGGAAACCUAACACUACUAGUAUAUCUUAAUCUCGCUCGUAAUCAAUUGGUUGGAACACUAUCAAAGACCAUUUCUAAUCUCACAAAUCUAUGGUUUCUUGAUGUACAUCAUAAUAGUCUCUCUGGGAAUAUUCAGAGUGACUUCUGGAAAAACUCUACAUCACUGCGUUACAUUAAUUUGGCAGACAAUAAUUUUUCUGGGAACAUUCCUAAGGAAUAUAAUGUUCUUCCAAUCCUGGAUCACAUCAAUUUUAGGGGGAACAAUUUUACAGGUAUUUUUCUUUCCAUAUUUUUUCCUUCUGUUGUAUUCAAUUAUGCUAGAAACUACAGCCUCUGUUUUUUCAAAUACAUAUCGUUUAACUUUUUGGCACAAAACUUUAUAAUAAUUCUAACUAAAAGGUCAAUGAACUCAAAAAUGUGUGUCAAAAAGUCAAACGUCAUUUAUCUGAAAUCAGAGGGAGUAUAUAUUACUGUUUUACCAAAGUUUCAACAAUCAUGACAGGUGAGCUUCCACCAACAAUUUGCGAUGCCACUUCCCUUUCGAUUCUUGAUCUGUCAAAUAAUGGAUUUAGUGGUGCAGUUCCACAUUGUUUGGGGAAUCUUGCGGAUAAAUUGAUUUCGAUUAAUCUUGCUAAUAAUCAGUUUCAAGGACCAAUACCAACAAAUUUCUCCGAGAGUUGUCGUCUGACGUAUCUUAACAUCUAUAACAAUCACUUCAAAGGUUUGGUUCCCCAAUCUUUGGCAAACUGUAAGCACUUGCAAAUUCUUGAUUUUGGAAAAAAUGAAAUAGGUGGAACACUUCCGUCAUGGUUUUUUACUCUUGGAGAGCUAGAAGUCCUGAUCCUGCGAUCAAACAGAUUUUUCGGGAGAAUAACUAGAAGGAGCAUACCACGCCCCUUUCCCAAGUUGCGGAUUUUGGAUCUAUCCAACAAUCAGUUCACCGGCUAUCUGCCAAUUUUAUACUUCAAGAAUAUGAAACCAAAUGAUAAUAAUUAUGAUUAUUUCAACAACACAAACGAAGCCUAUUACGUUUAUCAAGUUUCUAUCACAUUAAAUGUGAAAGGAAGCGAGCAUGAAGUGACAAAUAUUCUUCAUAUUUACACGGCCAUUGAUCUGUCGUGCAACAAAUUUGAAGGAAAAGUUCCAGACAUUACCGGAGAGCUUAGAUGGCUUGCAUUGCUAAAUUUAUCUCAUAAUAGUCUUUCGGGGCCUAUUCCAUCACAACUGGGAAAAAUGAAAGAGCUCCAGUCUCUAGAUUUGUCGUCAAAUCAAUUGACAGGUGUUAUUCCGGAUCAACUUACUAGUAUGACAUUUCUUGCUAGUUUGAACCUCUCAGAAAACCAUCUUUCUGGGAAAAUCCCUCGGAAAGGACAGUUCAGCACUUUUGGCGAAGAAUCUUACUUAGGUAAAUCGGCCUUGUGUGGAGUUCCUUUGACAAAGAACUGUAUAGACGAUGUGCCACCUUCACAAGUUGGAAAUGGCAAUGAUGAAAAUGUUGAUGAAGAUGAUACCGUUGAUGAAUUCAAUUGGAAAGUGAUCCUGAUGGGAUAUGCAUGUGGAUUAAUAGGCGGAUUGUCUGCAGGAUACAUUGUCUUCACAGUCGGAAAGCCUUGGUGGUUUUUGAGAUACAUUGAGACACUGCAGCAGAAGUUGAUCUGAUGCGCAACUAGAAACAACGUUAUAAUCUUAGAAUGACUUGUGUCUUUAAACAGAGUUAGGAACUUAGGAUGACUUGUGGUGCUAUAUUUUUUUUUUGAAAAAAAAAAACAUAUUUUUGUAAUUUUUUAGAUACAGAUGUUAAGAAGGUGUUGUAUAUUCAUUUUUUACCCAAAAAAAAAAAGAGGGCUUAUUUCAUGAAAAUUAGAGUUUUAUGUAUUUUCUCCAGAAAUUAGUCCUUAUUUCUGAAAAUAAGGUUAGUCAAAACGGUCACUACACGAUUGGUAGCCUUUCAGUUCUUCCUAGUGUCCACUACAGUUUCAUUCCUUACCAGUUAUUUUAUGCUCUGCACUGCAUUAUGCAGCUUUCAUAUUACUGACAGCUAAUCUCCUUCCAACACUUUGCGAUGCGAAGCAGGGACGCAUAAGUAUUUUUAUAUGUGUAUUAGUUUUGAAGAUUAAAGUUGCAUGGACAAUUGUGUUGAUAAUUUGAGCAAUGUUAACCGGGAUAGGUCUUCUUCUCUCUCCCAAGUCUUCUGAGGACUCAUCGGCUCAGAUUAGUCUAUCCAAAAAUUAUGAUCUGACGGCUAUUGGCACACUAACGAUUUACAUAUCACUUGAAUAUUACUGGAUACCCGCAUCUUGUUUUAAAUGGCGUAUAUCGGCUAAUAGUUCAACGAUGGUGACAAAUCCCGGUGAUCCAAAUAAUUGAUUGUCGCAAAAUUUUCCGCUUACAUCCAACUAACACGUAUUAGGAAAAAAAAUUAUAUAAUUAAACACGCUCAUGUAUCUAUAUCUUUUACAAGAUUGUAAGUCCCCAAUUCUAUGUGAUAUUAGCUAUAUGUGACUAGAAGGUUUAGAAAUACUAGAUUAUCAAGAUUUCUUUUUAUUCUAGCUAGUGUUGAGUUAUAUUUAUUUUCUUCAAACAAUCAAUACUUAUUUUUUAUUAAUAUGUGAAACUCCAAUAUAUAUUAUUAUACGAUAUAUUAUGAAAACACUAUAUUUUGUAAUGUUCAUCUUAUCCUACCAGCAAAAUUACAUCGCUAACAAAAUUAUAUCAAUUUUAUUUUAUAAACUCAAAUAAUUUAAUUUAUGAAACAACUCUAUGAGAUUCUUAUCAUGAGUUAGAAUUCAAAUAAAUAAAGAGUUCAUAUUGAUAAGUGGAAUUGAUGUGCAAGUAAGGGGUAUAAAAAAAUCUCAAAAUAACUCCAAAAAGCACAUGACAUGUUUGAUUUAAUAGAACUGGUACAUAAACAGGGGGACCAUUAUAUUUAUAAGCAAGUGACCAACAAUAGUUUACUACUGAUAUUUUGUGAUAUUUUUUGUGAUAUUUUUUGAGACCUUUAACAUUAUUCUGUGAAGUGGUAUACUACUGUUACUAGUUCUGAAACUUCAAACAAAGUAGGCGCAACAUUGUAAGAGUGAUUAAUAAAGUUGAGAAACAGUGUGUACAUUGAGCAGUAUGACAAUCAGGUUCAGCAUAUAAUACAAUCAGAUUCACAAUCAGGUUCACGAGAAACAUGCUGCAUUCCAAAAAGCCUUAUUAUCUUCUUCACUAAAUAACAAGGCAAAUACAGCAUAUAAAUACAAGUUAUAAGUACAAGUGUGGUAUUAGAUUCAUAACCCAGUUGAGGAGAAACAUGGCACACUUUGUAAGGCCUUCUCACCUUCUUCUCUUUGUUUUCUUUCUCUCAUCACUAGAAUCCAUUCUUGCAACAAGACGAGAGGGGGAAGCUCUUGUGAAGUGGAAGAAUAGCCUAGCCCCUUCUUCUUUUCUCCACUCUUGGUCACUCUCCAAUCUCGAAAAUCUUUGCAACUGGACUGGCAUUACUUGUAACUCUGCAGGUUCAGUCUCUGAGAUUGACCUUUGUGAGAAACAACUUGAUGGAAUGCUGUCCGAGUUUGGUCUCACUUCAUUUCCAAAUCUCAACAAUCUCACCCUCGCAGACAACUUCUUCUCAGGUCCAAUACCACCAGCCAUUGAGAAUUUAACACAGCUUCAAUAUCUUGAUUUAAGCAUGAAAAGUCUUAAUGGUCCCAUUCCGUUCCAGGUUAGCCAUCGUCAGAGCUUGCUCAUCUUAGACCUGUCACAGAAUGCAUUGCAAGCUUCAAAUUGGUCCAAUUUCUCUCCCAUGCCUCAGUUGCGCUUCCUCAAGCUCAGUAGCAAUCAUCUUGUGUCGAAAUUCCCAAAUUUUAUAUCCAGUUCUCAUAGCCUGACUUACCUCAACCUCUCAUAUAACAUUGGAAACCUCAAAAAAUAUAUAUUUAUAUAUUUAUAAUUAAAAAAUUGAAUUACUUAAUAUAUUAAAAAAUUGAAUAAAAUUUUAUAUAUUUUAUUAAAAAAUUGAAUAAAAAUUGAAUAAAAUUGAAUAAAAUUGAAGUACACGAAAAGGUACACGACACGAAAUACACGACUGAGAAGUCGUGUCGGUUUUGUGUUUACCCUUCGGGUACACGACACGAGGUACACGAAAUAAAUAAAUAAAUAUAUAUAUAUAUAUUUACCCUUCGGAUUAAGAGUUGGUCGCGGACAAAUUCAAAGUUUCCCAAUUAUCCUUUAUUUUAUGUAACUUUGCUUAUGUUUAAGCCUAAAUUUGGACAAUAUUUGUAAAAUAUUAAUAUUUCGUGUACUAAUUCGUUACCAGUUUCGUGUAUUUUUUCGUGUAUAUUUCGUGUUUUCGUGUUUUCAUGUACUAUUUCGUAUCGUGUCGUUUUCGUGUACAUGAAAAAAUUCGUGUACUACAGUUCGUGUCGUUUUUACCUGUUUCUAAAUCGUGUCGUGUUCGUGUUUACAAUCGUGUACACGAAUUGAAUUCGUGUCGUGUUCGUGUAUACCCACCAGAUACACGAAACACGAAAGUACACGACACGUUUAUACACGACACGAACGAUUUGCCAGGUCUANGAAACACGAAAGUACACGACACGUUUAUACAUGACACGAACGAUUUGCCAGGUCUAUUCAAACCUAGCAAGUAACCAAGAGGGGGCAAACUCCACCAGAGACAAAUCAAAGACCAUACCUGAGUAUUGCCAACAUAACAUUACAAACUGGCAGGUGAAAAAUAUGUGAAUAAGGUCUUCGUCACCAGAGUUACACAUGGGACAGUCAAGAGAAAGAUUUACUCCCUUAGAUUGUAAUCGACUUUUCACAGGCACAUUAUUCCUGCAAAAACGCCAUAAAAACACUUUGAUCUUAAGAGGAACCUCCAACUGCCAGAGUUUCUUCCACCCACUAGAUUGUGUAACAGUGCCAGUGCCAAUAUUUUGGGCAUGCCAAAACUGGUAACCUGUUUUCACAGAAUUUUGGCCGUUAGUAGUCUUUGACCAAGCUAGAUGAUCCACGGUCGACCUAUAGGGAACAGAAGUUUUUAAAAAUUAUGUAAUUCAUUCAAUUCCGUAUCAGACAAUACAUCUUAUCAUCGGUGAUAAUGGAAAUAGUGUAGAUGUUUGACCUAGUCCAUGUUUGACAACCAAUAUAAUAAGAAAUAAAUUCUUAUUUUUCUAAAAAAUAUAUUUUUGUAUAUAAAUGUUAAAGAGAUAUUUCUUAUUUGUUGUUUGAAAAAAGUAAAGACUUAUUUCAGAAUAAAUAAAAAUUAUUGUACAUUCUCUUUAUUUUUAAAAAUAAGUUUGGUCAAAUCGCCCAUAAUUCUCGUAAUUCAAAAGCCCAUUAUUUUUUUUUUUCUUGCUAAUUGAUCAGCACACGCACACGUUUCCAACUUCCCGCAAAGGGUACCGGAGUACCACCACACCGACGCUUUGUUGGGCCCAAUAAUUGGCUGAAGUUGAACGGGGCUUUCUGCCUCCGCUGGACCCCAGUUGGGAGGACUCUUUCCAAGUCUUUCGGAGACUCUUUCCCAUUGACUCCAACUUUCCAGGGUGUAUACAAAUUUUUUGAAAGAGGGUGUAUACAAAUUAUUCACGGCCAUCAAAUUAACCAGCGUAGCUGGUGAACAAAUAUUAUUGUUUAUUAUAAUUUUAUUUAAUUUAAAUGUGAUUAUAAAGAACAUAAGAGGACGUUUGAAAGUGUGGGUCUUAUUUCAAACAGUAGAUUUCAAAAAAUAUGAUUUCAAUUGUUAUUUAAAAUUCUUAAAUUUAUAUUAUAUUAAAAUGUUCUUAUCUAUACUAUACUAUUAAAACCGAAACAUUAAAAGUUUGGUCGGUCGGUACUUGGGCCGAUAUAUGGGCCUAUCUAUAUAACUAAUUAUUUUUUUUUAAUUUUGGGCCGAAAUACAGGCCUGUCUAUAUAAUCAAUUAUUCUUUUUAACUAAAAUAUGUUAUCUUUUUUACUAUUAAAGCCAAAACAUUAAAAAUUUGAUCGGUCGGUACUUGGGCCGAAAUAUGAGCGUAUCUAUAUAACUAAUUAUUUUUAUUUUUUUUUAUUUUUGGCCGAAAUACAGGCCUAUCUAUAAAAUCAAUUAUUCUUUUUAACUAAAAUAUGUUAAUUUUUUUUACUAUUAAAGCCGAAAUAUUGAAAGUUUGGUCGGUCGGUACUUGGGCUUCUAGGCCGAAAUAUAGGCCUAUCUAUAUCAUCAAUUAUUCUUUUAAACUAAAAUAUGUUAUCUUUUUUACUAUUAAAAUCGAAACAUUGAAAGUUUGAUCGGUCGGUACUUGAGUCGAAAUACGGGCCUAUCUAUAUAACUACUUAUUAUUUUUAACUUGGGCCGAAAUACAGGCCAAUCUAUGUAAUCAAUUACGCGGUAUUCUUUUUAACUAAAAUAUGUUAUUUUUUUAACUAUUAAAGUUGAAAUAUUGAAAGUUUAGUCGCUCGAUACUUGAGCCGAAAUACGGAUCUAUCUAAAUAACUAAUUAAUUUUUUUUAACUUUGGAUGGAAAUACAGCCCUAUCUAUAUAAACAAAUAUCUUUUUAACUAAAAUAUGUUAUCUUCUUUAUACUUUCUAACUAAAAACUCAAUCUUCUAAAUGAACAUGGAAGAAUAUAGUAAUUAUCUUUUUAACUAAAACAAAUUAUCGUCUAUUAAAUCAAAUUAUAACAAACUAUCCAUAAACAUCCUUAAUUUAUAACAAAUUAUUAAAUAUUUUUUAUCAUCUACUAAAUCAAAACAUUAAAAAUUAGAUUACCAUUAUGGAUCAGUAUUUGAAUUACGCUUCUCUUUAACUUAUAAUAUGUUUUAUACUAUAUUAUUAACUAUUAAUAACUAAAUAUUAAAACGCUGAUUGGGUUGUUUCUAUCUGGGUUUACGGGUCUCCUCAAAUUAUAAUCCCUCCGUUCUUAAAUAUCUGCCUUUUGACUUUUUGGCACGCAUGUUAAAGUGUUUUGAAUUUAUAGUAAAAAUAUUAUUUUUAAAUUUCUUUUUCUGAAUAAAAAUUUUAUAUCAAUACUUUUAUUCAUAAAAAGAAAUAUUUGAAAAUAACAUUUCUAGCUAUGUGGUCAAAAUAUCUUAAAAUGUGUGCGAAAAAGUCAAAAGGCAUAUAUUCAAGAACGGAGGGAGUAACAUGUAAAAAAAAUUAUUUUAACAUUAUCAUUAAAAAAUUAUAUAUUUGACCUAAUUAUAAAUUAACUAUUUGAAGGAAUAAACUAUUAAGAAUUUAUUUAGCUGCUAAAUAAAAGUUUUUUUAAUAACAUUAUUCUAUCACAAUUUUACUUUCAAUAAAAUUCGUUAAAUCUAAAAUAUAUGCGAUGAAAUAACAAAUAUUAAAACCGCCCGUGCAUUGCACGGGUUUUAAGCUAGUUCUAAUUAAUGAGUCACUAUUCGUAUUCUCAAGCAUGUUAGUUUGUUAAAAUUUAAAAUUUCAAAUGAAAUUAGGCUAAAAGACCAUAAUAUCAAAUCAAAAUCUCAUUAUCCAAUAUAUUGGUGGGCAAAAAUAUUAAACCUGGCUAUUCAUUAAUAUUGGUUCUUUAUUCAAAUUAUGUCAAAUUUAUAUAAAAUUUCGAAAAUUAUUUAUGAAUAAGAGUCGGCAUUCAUAUAUUUAUUAAGGAUACAAGUGAGAAAAUGUUAUUAAAUUAAUAUUUUUUAAUAUACGUAAGUUUUUUAAAAUAAAUUUGUAGCGUGGGACGGGAGUAUUAGACUGAUUCUGGCUUGGAGUGAAUCAGCCCAUAAAGUUUACAGGGUAGAUGACCAUUCUUAAAUCUUAAAGAAUCUUACGGUGACAGCUAACUGAACGACUCGGUUUCAGAAGUGCUGAAAAGUUUCGACGUAAACUACAAUUUGCCUAGCAUGUAAUUUCCAUGCAUUUUCUCGUUACGAGUAGGUUUGUCCGGAAGUACAAUUCAAAAUAGAGUGCUGUUAAAAAAAAUUGAGUUACUUAUUCAAUAACUUUUUUGAUAUUUAUAUAUUUUUAAUUAUAAUAAAGAUACUAGUGAUUAUGGUUAGCUUUUGGAGUACUUUUGGAGUACUUGGAAAUUUUCUUUUCGAGAAAAACGAGAGUACCUAUUUCAAUUUUUUACCAAAAAUUAUAAUUGAAAACAACGGACUUUUAUACUUAUCAUAACAAUUUUUAACAUCUUGUUUAGAAAUAACCUGUUGUUGUAUUAUGCAAAAGUAAUAUCACUAGUUUCUAUAUCCGUAUUCUAAUGAUAAUAAAAACAUCUCUAAUUCAUUAAAACUCUUACAUAGAAAUUGAUAAAAAAAGAAGAUAUAAAAUAAUUUAUUAAAAAUAUAUCAAAGUUUUUGCACUCGGUUAUAAUUAUUGUGUAAUUUUUUUUUUCAAUUCCAAGAUAUUGUUAUAAGAAAAUUUUACAUCAUAUAUAUAUUACAAAAAAAAUUAAUGUAUUAUAUAUAUAUAGGGUCCUACUCUGGUACAAACCUUUUUAGCGUACAAACUACAAACCAAAAUUAAAAAGUCUCUAAAUCAAAUCAGAAUAUAGCACAUAUGGUAUGGAAAUUGAUCGUUGCGAGAUGAACAAAAAUAAUGAUUAUAAAGUUUGUAUUUGAGCCAUUAUAUAUAUACUUACAAUAAAAGUAAUAAUAUAUUAUAUUCUAAAUAUAGUUAACCACUGCAGUUGGUCGCUUAUAAAUAGAAGUGUGCAUUAUAGGAUGAAACGUACAUCAAGCUGAGGAGAAACAUGGUACACUCUGCAAAGCUAUAUCAUCUUCUUUUACUUGUUUUCUUUUCCUCCUUACUUCCAUCCAUUCUAUUGGCAACAAGACGAGAAGGAGAAGCUCUUGUGAAAUGGAAGAAUAGCCUAGCCCCGUCUUCUUUUCUUGAUUCUUGGUCACUCUCCGAUCUCGAUAAUCUUUGCAACUGGACUGGCAUUACUUGUAACUCUGCAAGUUCAGUGUCUCAGAUAAAUCUUUCCCAAAAACAGCUCGAUGGAACGCUGUCCGAAUUUGGUUUCACUUCAUUUCCGAAUCUCGAAAAUUUGACUAUAAGAGACAACAGCUUCUCCGGGCUAAUACCACCAGGCAUUGCGAAUUUAACACAGCUUCAAUACCUUGAUUUAAGCUACAAUUAUUUCAGUGGUUCCAUUCCGUACGAGGUUAGCCAUCUUCAGAGAUUACGUGUUUUAGACUUGUCGUAUAAUGAAAUGCAGGCUCCAAAGUGGUCUGACUUCUCUCCCAUGCCUUUUAUGAGCAUCCUCAACCUACGGGCCAAUCAUCUUGUGUCGAAAUUCCCAGAAUUUAUAUCCAAUUCUUUUAGCCUGACUUUCCUUGACCUUGGAGACAACAAGUUCACCGCUGAUCAUCUUGUGCUCGAAUCAGAAUUUACCAAUUUGCAAAAUCUUGAAACGCUGUUUCUUGAUGGUAAUUCUUUUGAGGGGACGUUUCCACCGAAUAUAUUCAGGCUUUCUAAAUUAAAAUACCUUUCCCUAUCUGCUAAUAAGUUUUCAGGUUCUGUGCCGGAUGACAUAGGGAUGCUUCGUGAUCUUGAAUCCCUUUAUCUUGGUAACAAUUCUUUCAAAGGGAUGCUUCCACAAAAUAUUUUCAGACUUCCCAAAUUACGGGAUCUUUCCCUCUGGGGUAACAAUUUUUCAGGUCUUAUUUCAGAUGAUAUAAGGAUGCUUUCUAACCUGGAAUCUCUUGAUCUUAAUGGUAAUUCUUUUCAGGGUCCGCUUCCACCAAAUUUCUUCAAGCUUUCCAAAUUAAGACAUCUCGCCCUCUCAAAUAAUAAAAGAGUAUUUAAAGGAAGUAUUCCUCUUGGGUUGGGGCUUUUGACUAACCUUGACUACUUAUGUCUUAAUUCCAAUUAUCUCACUGGCUACAUUCCAUCUGACAUUGGAAAUCUAAAGCUACUAGAACAUCUUGAUCUCAGUUUUAAUCAAUUGACCGGACCGCUCCCAAAGAUCAUUUCUAACCUCACUAAUCUAACGCGUCUUGGUCUGAAUGAUAAUUGGUUUUCCGGCAGUAUUCCAAGUGACUUCUUGGAAAACUCUACAUUAUUAUUUUACAUUGAUCUUUCAAACAAUGAUCUGUCUGGAAGCAUUCCUAAGGAAUUCAACGUUCAUCCGACAUUGGAUUAUAUCAAUUUAAGUGGAAACCGUUUUAGAGGUCUACUUCUCUCUUUAAAUUUUUAUGUUCGUUUUGUAUAUGCUAGUAACCUGAUUAUUACACUUUUACUGAAGCUUCAACAAUUCUAACUGCAGGCAAGCUUCCAGCAACGAUUUGCAAUGCUACAUCCCUUUCGACUCUUGUUCUGUCAAAUAAUGAAUUCAGCAAUGCACUUCCACAUUGUUUGGGGAAUCUUGCUGAUCAACUUCUUUCCAUUAAUCUUGCUAAUAAUUUGUUUCGAGGACCAAUACCAACAACUUUCUCUAAGAGUUGUCGGCUGACAUAUCUAAACAUGUACAACAAUCACUUUGAAGGGUUGUUGCCGCAAUCUCUGGCAAACUGUAAGCACCUACAAAUUCUUGAUAUUGGAAACAAUGAAAUAGGUGGUAAAUUCCCGUCAUGGCUGUUUACUCUUGGAGAGCUGGAAGUCCUAGUCUUGCGAUCAAAUAGAUUCCACGGUCCAGUCAAUGGAACAAGCUCAGCAAAUUUAUUCCCCAAGUUGCGGAUUGUUGAUCUCUCCAACAAUCAAUUUACAGGCGAUUUACCAAUUCAGUAUUUUAAGAAUAUGAAACCAACAGAUAACCACUAUAGUUAUUUUUAUACAGAAAGUGGUUUUUACUAUCAUCAAGCAUCGAUCUCAUUAACUGUGAAAGGAAGAGAGUAUGAAGUGAAAAAGAUCCUUCAUAUUUAUACAGCCAUAGAUGUGUCAUGCAACAAAUUUCAGGGAGAAAUUCCCGAGGUUAUUGGAGAACUUAAAUGGCUUGCAUUGCUCAAUCUAUCACAUAAUAGUCUUAUUGGACCUAUCCCAUCACAGCUCGGAAAUAUGGAAUCACUUUUAUCUCUAGAUUUGUCUUCAAAUCAUUUGACAGGGGGUAUUCCCGAUCAGUUGAUUAGGUUGACAUUUCUAGAGGUCUUGAACCUCUCGGAAAAUCAUCUGACAGGGCCUAUCCCCCAAAAAGGACAGUUCAGCACAUUCAACAAGGAUUCUUACCUAGGUAACUUUGCCUUGUGUGGAUUACCUUUAACUAAUAACUGUACACACACUGUGUCACCACCACAAGAAGGCGGAACUGGUGACAAUGAUGCCUAUGAUGAACCCGAUUGGGAAGUGAUCCUCAUGGGAUAUGGAUGUGGACUAAUAUGCGGAUUGUCCACAGGGUACGUUGUCUUCACAUUCAGAAAGCCUCAGUGGUUUAUGAGAUACACUGAAAGCGUGCAACAGAAGUUGAUGAGAUGAUGCAUGUUGAGUACCGUUCAAUCAUGAAGCACAACUGGAAACAAUGUUAUCUUAGGAAAACAUGUGUUCUGAACCAGUAGUGUUUGCACAAAAUUUGUGGUGCUAUGUAAUACUUAUAUAAUUGUACGUAUGAUUAUUGAUUAGUCGUUGAGAAAAUGCAUUUUAUUUCAGUGUCAAUGAUAAUCUACAUGUUUUGGAUACUUCCAGCUUCUCAUACUAAUAUAGGAACCACUUGAAAAAUUUUGGACAGGCUCUGAGGAUGCUAAUGCUGCUGUUUAGUUUCUACCGCGGAAUUGACUUUAGCAUAUACUCGUAUGACAUAUUACUAGAUAUAUGGUUGUUAAAUAAAAUUAUCUUUUUGUGGAAUAAAUAGGAAAGCAAAAUCAUAGAAUAAUGUAUGUUAUAUAGGAAGGUAUUGUCCUCUUAGAUAGGUAUCAUUUAUGCCUCAUUGGCAUGUCUCAGAAAACUUUUGGGUUAACACAAUGUUUACUUAGAGCAUUGCCAUUCCUUAAAUAUAAUAUAAAAUAUUGGAUCUUAGUGACUUAAGAUGAUAAUAGCUAUUCGCACCUCCAACAAUAUUCCUUAUAUUCAUUCCUUAUAUACUAUUUUAUUAUUAAAAGUUACCAUUAUUGCAAUAGGUGAAAAGAGAGAACAUGUUUGUAUUCAAAAUUUAUUGUAAAAUAAUAUUUAGGAGAGGAGAGAGGUUACCUAAAGAUAAGGCAUGGCUAGUUAUUUAGAGAAUCACUAGGAUACUGUUGGAGUGGAUUAUUUUCCCAUAUUACUCAUAUUUUGGUUUAAGAUUCCUAAUAGGGAAGCUGCUGGAGUUGCUCUUAGAGCAUCUCCAAGAGAUUCUUCAUUUAAGCUCCUAACUUGAGAUUUGAGUAGGGAGAGGAAAAAUGUUGCUCCAAGAGACUCUUAAGUGGCUCUUAAAUCACUAAGAGCCUCUUGUUUCUCUCUCCUCUCUCCUCAAAGUUAAGAGCCACCACAUUGCUCCUAACUUAUUUUUUCACAAUAAAAAAAUCUUUUCCUCCAAUUCAGCUCCAUCUUUCCAUCUCUUUUGUUAUAGUGGAGCCCAAUAUAUGAAUAAAAUAUGAAAUAGAGAAGAGAUGUAGAGAGUAUUGUUGGAGUUUACACUCUUAACUUUGUCUUAAAUUGCUAAGAGCUAUUUUUUUAUAUUAUAUUUAGGAGCCAAUAAGGAGGCUCUUGGAGAUGCUUUUAGUACUAAUUGUUAGAAUAUGAAAAUGCAGUUAUGAACUAUUAUGCUAGAGAGAGAAAAAUUCAACAAACUUCAUUUCUGUAAACUACAACUAUUAGUCUGUUACAUUGCUGAAAGCUACAUUUAUACAUUUACAGUUUACAACAAACUAUGAAACUGAUUUUCCCGCGUCCUCCUCACUUGUCCACGUGGCCUGACUGGCUUGGUGUCCUUGACACUCUUUAUUAUUGCUAAUAUAUACUUAACACUAAUACCUCAAAGCAGGGUAUAAAUUCAAUAGCACAGCUUCUGGAUAAUGGAAAUUUAGUUAUCCAGAGGUCUUGGUUUUACAUAUCACUUGUAUAUUAUGUCUCGGUCUCAUUGAAGCAUACCAAACGAGAUUUUGGGUUUGUUAAUAUUUUUUUAGUCCAAAUUUGAAUAAUACUGUUAUGCUUAUUCACACGGUAGACGUGUUUUUAUUAAAAUACUGCAACUGAAAUUGAUGAAAACAUGCACAAAGCAUAGCAGACGAAAGACUUGAGGAGAUAUUGUCUUAGGCGAUGCAAUACGUUCUAAUAUAAUGCUAUAUUAUGCAAUCUCGUUUAAUACUUUCAUCAUUAUUCUCCAAGAUGUCUGAACAUGUAUUUUCAAAGAAUUCUCAGUUCACCUUUAGUCUUAUAGCGACAUUUUGAAGGCACUCUCAACUUACACCCUAUAUAUACACGUACGGUUCACUUCAGUACAAAGAUUUUAUGAUACAACUCUCAUAUUAUGAACUAGUUCUGUCGAAUACAUGAAUAUUGAUCAAUCAUUUGAACUCGAGUUUCCCAGCUGGCCAGAUACCCAGAUUAUUAGCCAUGCAAAACAUGCAGAACCACUAGUAAUGCAGAAAAACAAUAUAUUAGUUUUCUCCGGUGUUACAGAAAUCAGGAAUCGGACCUAAUCGGUUUAGCUACCGAUUUAGGGAUUAAUAGGAAAUAGGGGAUUAAUCGGAGUGAAAAUCGGAUUUAUUUUAAUAUUAAAAUAUUAUUUAAUAUUUAGUUAUUAUUAUAUUAGCUAUUUAGUAACUAAUAUAUUUACUAUAUUCAUAAACUCUAUAAUUAUUCGUAUUGAAAGUAAUAUAGUAUUUUAAUUUUAAUAAUUUACUAUAUAUACUUCGAUUAAGAAAUAUAUAUAUAAGGAUUAAUCGGAUUUCAAAAAUCGAAUCGGUGGCCAACCUUGCAGAGGAUUAAUCGGGGAUUAAUUGGUUGAAUCGGGGAUGUUUAGAACACUGGUUUUCUCCAAAUAUCACUACAACAAAACUGCCAUUUUACGACGGAAAUCUAAUAUUCUAAAGGGUUACGACCAAACUAUGUCGGUGGACUUUAUUUUAAUUUACCGUUUAACAGUAGUUAAUUUUGGAUAUCUACACUUGCGAUGGAAAACAUACGACAGUCUACUUCGUGAGAGAAAAUCAUUUUAUUUUAUUUUUUAGCGCCAGAAUUUUAAUACUGAAAUAUUAUAUAUAUGAAGGAAACUGAUCUCUAAUGUUUUCAGCUUGCUCAUCCAUCGUAAGUAAUCCGUCGAAAAAGUUAGUUUGUUGUGGUGGUGUCUUAUCAUGAGAGAAAAUGAUAAUAUCGCAAAAUAUUUGCAACUGAAAGAUAAAUUAUAAUUCUAGAAACCAUUUAGGUAACGAUGCACGAAGUUAUUUUCACUCACUUAGAAUUAAUGNUGAAAACAUGCACAAAGCAUAGCAGACGAAAGACUUGAGGAGAUAUUGUCUUAGGCGAUGCAAUACGUUCUAAUAUAAUGCUAUAUUAUGCAAUCUCGUUUAAUACUUUCAUCAUUAUUCUCCAAGAUGUCUGAACAUGUAUUUUCAAAGAAUUCUCAGUUCACCUUUAGUCUUAUAGCGACAUUUUGAAGGCACUCUCAACUUACACCCUAUAUAUACACGUACGGUUCACUUCAGUACAAAGAUUUUAUGAUACAACUCUCAUAUUAUGAACUAGUUCUGUCGAAUACAUGAAUAUUGAUCAAUCAUUUGAACUCGAGUUUCCCAGCUGGCCAGAUACCCAGAUUAUUAGCCAUGCAAAACAUGCAGAACCACUAGUAAUGCAGAAAAACAAUAUAUUAGUUUUCUCCGGUGUUACAGAAAUCAGGAAUCGGACCUAAUCGGUUUAGCUACCGAUUUAGGGAUUAAUAGGAAAUAGGGGAUUAAUCGGAGUGAAAAUCGGAUUUAUUUUAAUAUUAAAAUAUUAUUUAAUAUUUAGUUAUUAUUAUAUUAGCUAUUUAGUAACUAAUAUAUUUACUAUAUUCAUAAACUCUAUAAUUAUUCGUAUUGAAAGUAAUAUAGUAUUUUAAUUUUAAUAAUUUACUAUAUAUACUUCGAUUAAGAAAUAUAUAUAUAAGGAUUAAUCGGAUUUCAAAAAUCGAAUCGGUGGCCAACCUUGCAGAGGAUUAAUCGGGGAUUAAUUGGUUGAAUCGGGGAUGUUUAGAACACUGGUUUUCUCCAAAUAUCACUACAACAAAACUGCCAUUUUACGACGGAAAUCUAAUAUUCUAAAGGGUUACGACCAAACUAUGUCGGUGGACUUUAUUUUAAUUUACCGUUUAACAGUAGUUAAUUUUGGAUAUCUACACUUGCGAUGGAAAACAUACGACAGUCUACUUCGUGAGAGAAAAUCAUUUUAUUUUAUUUUUUAGCGCCAGAAUUUUAAUACUGAAAUAUUAUAUAUAUGAAGGAAACUGAUCUCUAAUGUUUUCAGUUUGCUCAUCCAUCGUAAGUAAUCCGUCGAAAAAGUUAGUUUGUUGUGGUGGUGUCUUAUCAUGAGAGAAAAUGAUAAUAUCGCAAAAUAUUUGCAACUGAAAGAUAAAUUAUAAUUCUAGAAACCAUUUUGGUAACGAUGCACGAAGUUAUUUUCACUCACUUAGAAUUAAUGCUAAAUAUUUGCAACUGAAAGAUAAAUUAUAAUUCUAGAAACCAUUUAGGUAACGAUGAGCGGAGUUAUUUUCACUCACUUAGAAUUAAUGAUAAAUAUUUGCAACUGAAAGAUACAUCAUAGUUCUAGAAAAGGAUCCACGAAGUUAUUUUCACUCACUUAGAAUUAAUUGUAAGUUAUUGUGAGUUUUUGAAUAUGAAUUAUCUCAAAUUUUAUUAAAACACAUGUUGAUUCUUAUAUACAAAUUUGCCUAUCUAAUAUUAUAAUAUUUAUGGAGAAGGUGUAUGAACAAUUGUGUAGAUAAUUAUACUUUACAAAGCAUACUUCUGCUAGCUGAAUUUUGAUUAAAAAAAUCGAAAGGGAUAGGUCUGGGUCUCUCCAAGUCUUUGAGGACUCAUUCCAAGUCUUCUGAUGAGGACAAAAUAUAUUGCUGGAAGUCUUUCAGUCCUUCCUAGAGUAUUUUGUGCUCUGCACUGCAUUAUGCAGCUCUCAUAUAACUGACCGCUAACCUCCUUCCAACACUUUGCGAUGCAAAACAGUGGCAUGUUAUAAGUAUUUCCGUAUGUGUAUUUAUUUGGAUAUUAAAGUUGCGUAACAUUUGUGUUGAUAAUUUGCGCAAUGUUGAUGAGGAUUGCUCCCAAGUCUUGGCGGACUCUUUCCAAAUCUUCUGAGGACCUAUGGGUUCAAAUUAGUCCAUUAAAAUGAAUACCAUUGUUUUGUGAUUAAGUUGUAUGGUUAAGAGCUUAUCCUCUGUCGUCCCAGGUCCUGGGUUCGACCCUGGCUCACCCCGAGAGUUUCGUAGAACAGAUACUCAUUAUAAGGCUAUAAGCCAUAUUUGUCAAAAAAAAAGUUGUAUAGGCAAUAUGCAUUGCAAAAUCAGCAACAGAAUAUAUACUAAUUAAUUACCUGAUAUCGGUUUGAACAAAUACUUUCUAUGUAGUUGUAAUAUUAGUCUUCUUUAAAAGUUAUCAUGAGGGAAGAUAUAUAUUGUGAUGCGGGGGAAAUAUUGUAACCGAAAAUAAUUAUAAUUCUAAAAAUUUCCAUUAUACACUUUUUUUAGUGUUCGUACGUGGUAAGUACUUCAGACGACAUUUCUCGCGUAUGCCUCCAAUUAAGAAUUUGAUGUUCAGCCUAGUCCUAAACUAAAAUUAUUAUAAAUGUGUAAUUCAAAAUUAUAUUGCUGGUAGGCUCUGAGAUUAACCUUAAACAAAAACAACUCAGUGGAACGCUUUCCGAGUUUGGUUUCACUUCAUUUCCAAAUCUCAACAAUCUCAACAUAGCACGAAACAACUUUUACGGUCCAAUACCACCAGCCAUUAAGAAUUCUAUUUUAAUAUGUAACAUUCUAUUUUCUAAAAUAAUAAAUAUUUUUUUUAAUAGUUGGUCAAAAAUUAGUCAAUUUGACUUCUCAAAAAGCAGAAAGGACAUGUAAAUUGAGACGGGGGAGUAUUUAACGGAAUUCAACGAAAGGUGUGCGUAUCGUUCUUGAAAUGUAAAAAUAGGUGGUGCAAUUCGAGUUUCCAAACCUAUGGGUACAAUAUCGUUUUUAAACGUAAGCUAGGGGGUCCAAAUUACAAUUACAUGUAUAUAUAGUGACUUAACGGAGUGCAUAUAGUUAACGGAAGUUAACGGCAGGGAGUGCAUCUCGGGCUUGAAUAGUAAAGAUAAAAGGUGCGAGUUGAGUUUCUCAAAGUAUGAGUACAAUAUCGUUUUUGAAUGAUAGUUAAGGGGUGCGAUAUGCAAUUACCUCAAAAAAAUAUGAUCAUUAGUAUAUUAUAUUAGUAUCCACACACUUAUAUCUCAAAAUCUAUCCUCCAAAAUUAUCAUCUAUAUAGGCUAGCCACAUAAAAUAAAAAUUUAAAGAUAUUAGAUAUUUAGUUAUUUCAAUUAUAUAAUUUUUCCACGCAAAAUAACAAAAUAUCUUUAUCAACUUAUUAUUUAUGAGUUAAAUAUUCAACUUAUAUAAUUCGGGCAUGCUGGGUAUAAAUAGAAGUGUAACGCCUAAUUUCCGGGGUCUGGGAGUAGUUAGCGGGGUAUGAGAGAGCAGGCUAUUUAGAAGUCUUGGUCAUGAAAACUUCCAAGCUAACUUCGACAACGGAAUCUUCUGAGGCUACUAUUCUAAAGCACGCAUAAUCAUUGUAUUCAUUUUCCUCUAACACUGGCAAAAAGUCUAUUUAAGCAAAUGAAAUACAAACAACUGAGUGGAAUGCUGACCGAAAGUCUUUUUGGCUGAGCUUAUGAUUUAUUAGUACAUGAUUAAUAUGAUAAGCUAAGCUGAGAGCAUAAGAUAUCGUGUGUAUAAUUUUGUGUUUAUUAAUGACUUAUAAAUUAUUAAAAAUAUAAUAAGAAAAAUAAAAAUGAUUUAUAACUAAUUUAUGUUUUAUGAGUAAUUUUUAUUAGAAAAAAGUUUUAAAAAAUUAUUUCACUGAAAAAAAAUCCUCCAACUAACUUUUGGCUCUAAGUCAGUUUUUGAUUUAUUUAUGAUUUUAAGUCGGAUUCUGAUUUUUACACAAACAGAAAAUUUCCAGCUUAAAGUUAAAAACAACUUUAAGCUCCGGUUUUAAACCUCUGAGUUUGGUUUCACUUCAUUUACAAAUCUCAACAAUUUCACCAUCAAACACAAUGACUUCUCCAAUCUCCGGUCCAGUUCACCAGCCAUUGAGAAUUUGGCACAACUUCAAUUCCAUACCAGGUUAGUCGGCUUCGGAGGUUACACGCCUUAGACCUGUCAAAUACAAAUUUCAAUCUCCAAACUGGUCCGAUUUAUCUUCUAUGCAUUUUGUUGAGUCCGGCUCAUCUAAAACCUGAAGGUGUUAGAAGAAACCCGAAUGAAUCUUAUAUAUGAAUCUUAUAUAUGCUAUAUUUAAACAAUUCUGAGCACACUCAACCUUGGUAUUAAUAAUAUCGUGUCGAUAAUUCCAGAAUUUAUAUCUAAUUCUCAUAGCCUAACUUUCCUUGACCUUUCCAUAUAACAAAUUUACAGUUAAUCCUGUGCUUGAAUCAGUAUUUGCAACCAAAAUUAUGCAAUUAUAGUGCAGGUAGUCUUCCAGUUCUUCCUACUCUAUGCUAUAAUUUCAUUUGAUACCAAUAAUUUUACGCUCUACACUCCAGGAUGAGCUCGCAUAUUAUUGACAGCAAUAAUCCUUCCAACACUUUGUGAUGCAAAGCAGGGGGGCGCCUGUAUUUUCAUAUGUCUAUAUUAUUGGAGAUUAAAGUUGUGUGGACAAUUGUGUUGAUAAUUUGCCCAAUGUUAACAGGGAUAGGUUGGCUUAAAAAUAUAUAAGGUCACUUGUGCAUCGCUGUUCACACACUUAGACCCUGUUUGUGUAAGCUUUAAGUCCGGGCUCAAGCAAUUUCGACUUAAUCACUUCCGAGGACCAAUACCAACAGCCUUCUCAAAGAGUUGCCAGCUAAGAUAUCUAAACAUGUAUGACAAUCAGUUAGAAGGACUAUUGCCCCGAUCUUUGUCAAACUGUAAGCACUUAAAAAUUCUUGACAUCGGGAACAAUAAAAUGGGUGGUACAUUCCCUUCAUGGCUAUUUAAUCUCGGAGAGCUAGAAAUCCUAGUCUUGCGAUCAAAUAGACUGUACGGUCCUGUAAGUGGAAGGAGCACAUCACAUCCAUUCCCCAAGUUGCGGAUUCUAGAUCUCUCCAACAAACAAUUCGCGGGCUAUUUGCCAAUUCUAAACUUUAAGAAUAUGAAACCAGCUGCUGAUGAUAACGCGUAUAGUUAUAAAAAUAAGUCACAAGGACUAAUUAAUUACAUCUAUGAAGCAUCUAUCUCCUUAAAUGUGAAAGGAACAGAGUAUGAAGUGAAGAACAUUCUUCAUAUUUACACAGCCAUUGAUCUAUCGUGCAACAAAUUUCACGGAGAAGUUCCAAAGAGAGCUUAAAUGGCUUGCAUUGCUCAAUCUAUCUCAUAAUAGUCUUGCCGGACAUAUGUUCUGAAUUAUUAUUAUGCUUUCAUCAAUAUUUUCAAACAUUUCUCAAUAUGUAUUUCAAAGAAUUCUCAAGCCCUGGAACAUUUGGACCGGUCCUUUCGAAGCCAAGAUGCCCAGGUUAUCAUGGCCAUGCACAAAAAUGAAUAAAUUAUUCCAAGUCUUCCAUGACUCAUUCCAAGUCUUCGGAGGAGACCCUGAGCACAAAGAUGCUCAGGGUCUCCCCAAGCCUUCCAGGACUCAUUCCAAGUCUUCGGAGCACGGCCUCGACUCGCCCUUUCAAAGAUGUGAUAGUAGCUCGAGAGUGAUAUAAAUUAUUUUCCGGACACUAAAAAUAAAUAAUCAGAUCAAAUUAAUCAAUAAUAAAUUAAGGAUGAAAUCCAAAUUAAUCCUAAAUUUUGAUAAUAUAUAAAAAUUAUAAUUAUAAAUUAUAUAACCAAAUCAGAAUUGAAUUAACUUCCUUGGCACUAAAUUGAUAAGGAAAGUAUAAUAAUUUAAAUUUAAUUGAUGAAAAGUCAAAGUCUUCUAAUAAAUCCAUAAAGAAUAUGAUAAUCAAAAUAACGAAAAUUAUAAUUGAAAAAUCAAAAUCAUUAGUGUAUUGGAAUAGUGUUCACACACUUAUAUAUCAAAAUUUGUGGUCCAAAAACUAUAGCACAAUAUCCUAAAUACACCACAUUAAAUAUUAGUUCAAAAAUAUUCUGUAAAUAAUUGUUUUCAUUCAUCAUUUUGUUAUUUAAAAAACUAAUAAUUUGGGUUGAUGUUAACCUAUAUUUUAAUAUAUAAUUAUAUUAUUUUCGUAUUAUUUUAUUUAACUAGAAACAAUAUUUUUAUCAGACAUCAAUUAUAUUAAAAGAUAUAAUUUUAUUAAAAAAAAUUGAAUUAAAUUAAUAGGAUAACUCUACGCCUCACCAAGUCUACAAGACUCAUUUCAAGUCUACCAAGGACCACUACCUCGGUCCUCAACCAUUGGGAGAUGUGAAAGUAGCUUGAGAGUGACAAAAAUUAUUUUCCUCACAAUAAAAUUUAAUAUCUGAUAUAAAUUAAUUAAAUUAGUUAAUAAUAAAUUAAAACUAAUCAUGAAUUAUGAUAAUAAUUAAAUAAAUUAUAAUUAAAUUAUAUAAAUCAACUCCAAAUGAUACAAAUGACACUAAACCUUAGUUACUUUAUUGGUAAAUAAAUAUAAUAUAAUAAUCAAAUUGAUGAAAAAUCAAAAUCAUCUAAUAAAUUCAUAAAAAAUAUAUGAUCAUUAAUAUAUAUUAUAUUAGUAUCCACACACUUAUAUUUCAAAAUCUAUCCUCCAAACUUAUCAUCUCUGUAAACUAGCCACAUAAAAUAAAAAUUUAAAGAUAUUAGAUAUUUAGUUAUUUUCAUUAUAUAAUUUUUCCACACUAAACAACAAAAUAUCUUUAUCAAAUUAGUAUUUAUGAGUUAAAUAUUCAAGUUAUAAAUCCAGCAUGCAGCGUAUAAAUAGGAGAAACAUGGCACACUCUGCAAAGCCUUCUCACCUUCUUCUCUUUGUUUUCUUUCUCUCAUCACUUGAAUCCAUUCUUGCAACAACACGAGAAGGAGAAGCUCUUGUGAAAUGGAAGAAUAGCCUAGCCCCGUCUUCUUUUCUUGAUUCUUGGUCACUCACUCAUCUCGAUAAUCUUUGUAACUGGACUGGCAUUACUUGUAACUCUGCAGGUUCAGUCUCUGAGAUUUACCUUUAUGAGAAACAACUUGAUGGAAUGUUGUCGGAGUUUGGUUUCACUUCAUUUCCAAAUCUCAACAAUCUCACCCUCGCAUACAACUUCUUCUCCGGUCCAAUACCACCAGCCAUUGAGAAUUUAACACAGCUUCAAUAUCUUGAUUUGAGAAAUAAUUAUCUAGAUGGUCCCAUUCCUUUCCAGGUUAGCCAUCUUCAGAGCUUGCUCAUCUUAAACCUGUCAGAGAAUGCAUUGCAAGCUCCAAAUUGGUCCCAUUUCUCUCCCAUGCCUUUUUUGCGCAUCCUCAACCUCAGUCACAAUCCUCUUGCGUCGAAAUUCCCAGAUUUUAUAUCCAAUUCUCAUAGCCUGACUCACCUUAGCCUUAAUUAUAACGAGUUUACUGGUGAUUUAGCACGUGAAUCAAUAUUUGCCAAUCUGCAUAAUCUUGAAGUCCUCAGUCUUAAUGGCAAUUCUUUUGAGGGGCCAUUUCCACCAGAUAUAUUCAAGCUUUCAAGAUUAAAACGUCUCUUCCUGGCAGUUAACAAAUUUUCAGGUUCAAUUCCCAAUGACAUAAGGUUACUUUGUGAUCUUGAAUACCUAUAUUUAGGCAACAAUUCUUUUGAAGGACCGCUUCCACCAAAUUUAUUCAAGCUUUCGAAAUUAAAGCGUCUUUUUCUUUGGAGUAAUAAGUUUACAGGUUCUAUUUCCAAUGAUAUAGGUUUGCUUUCUGAACUUGAAACCCUCAAUCUUCAAUUUAAUUUUUUUGAGGGGCCGCUUCCCCCACAUAUAUUUAGGCUCUCUAAGUUAACAGGUCUAGAACUCGGAGACAAUAGAAAUUUAUUUGAAGGAAGUAAUAUUCCUAUCGGACUGGGACUCUUGACUAACCUCAGGUACUUAGAUUUACAUUUCAGUAAUCUCAGUGGCUAUAUUCCAUCUGACAUUGGAAACCUGAAGCUACUAGUACUUCUUAGUCUCGGUUCUAAUCAAUUGACUGGACCGCUUUCAAAGAUCGUUUCUAAUCUCACAAAUCUUAUAUUCCUUGAUGUAAGUGAUAAUAGUCUUAGUGGAAAUAUUCAGAGUGACUUGUGGAAAUAUAACCAUCAUCCUACUUUGGAAUACAUCGAUUUUAGUGGGAACCAUUUUACAGGUAUAUUUUUUCUCUAUAGAUCUUUUCCUUUUGUCAUAUGUAACUAAGCUAGUAAUCUGAUUAUUGCAGUUUUACCGAAGUUUCAACAAUCUUGACAGGUGAGCUUCCAACAACAAUUUGCAAUGUCACUUCCCUUUCGGUUCUUGAUUUGUCAAAUAAUGAAUUAAGUGGUGCACUUCCAAACUGUUUCGGGAAUCUUGCUGAUGGAUUGCUUUACAUUAAUCUUGCUAAUAAUCAGUUUCGAGGAACAAUACCAACUACUUUCUCCAGGAGUUGUCAGCUGACAUAUCUAAACAUGGAUAAUAAUGAGUUUGAAGGAUUGUUGCCCCCAUCUUUGGCGAACUGUAAGCACUUGAAAAUUCUUGAUAUAGGCAAUAAUAAAAUAGGUGGUACAUUUCCGUCAUGGCUUUAUGCACUUGGAGAGCUAGAAGUUCUUGUCUUGCGAUCAAAUAAACUCUAUGGUACAAUAAGUGGAAGGAGCAUAGAAGAUCCCUUCCCCAAGUUGCGGAUUGUGGAUCUGUCCAACAAUCAAUUCACAGGCCAUUUGCCAAUUCAAUACUUUAAGAAUAUGAAAUCAACUGAUAAUUUGUAUCGUUAUCAGAAUUCCACAAAAGUUUUUUCUUUCCAUUAUGAAGCAUCUGUCUCAUUAACUGUGAAGGGAACAGAGUAUGAAGUGAAAAAUAUCCUUCAUAUUUACACAGCCAUUGAUCUGUCCUGCAACAAGUUUCAAGGAGAAAUUCCUGACGUUAUUGGAGAGCUUAGAUGGCUUGCAUUGCUCAACUUAUCUCAUAAUAGUCUAACAGGACCUAUCCCAUCAUUGCUGAGAAAUAUGAAAGGACUCCAAUCUUUAGAUUUGUCUUCAAAUCAACUGACAGGGGCUAUUCCACCUCAGUUAACUGCACUGACAUUUCUAGAGGUCUUAAACCUCUCGGGAAACCAUCUUAGUGGAGGGAUUCCUCAGAAAGGACAGUUCAGCACAUUCAACAAUGAUUCUUAUCUAGGAAACUCAGCGUUAUGUGGAUCACCAUUGACGAAGAAAUGUGCAAACACAGCAUCACCUCCACAAGAAGUCGGAAAUGUUGAUGAAGAUGAUGCGGGUGAUGAAUUGACAUGGGAAGCAAUCUUGAUGGGAUAUGGAUGUGGACUGAUAUGUGGAUUGUCAUCUGCGUACAUUGUUCUCAAACUAGGAAAGCCUUGGUGGUUUGUGAGAUAUAUCGAAGUACUGCAAUUGAAGUUGAUGAAAAGAUAUGCAUGAAGAAUGGUACUAGCCGAUCAAGAUGAACUCGAAAGUUGUGGUCCUUGUGGACAUUUCUGAACCAGUAGUGUUCUAUUCUCUUUGUGGCUGCAUAAGUAUUUGGUAUUGUGUAAUGUUCUGUUUGGUCUUGAAUCAUAAUAAUUUUUCUUUCUUCAGGGGUAUUUAUAAUAUAAACCUUGGUAUUGUGUACUAGCUGUAAUAUUCUGUUUGAUCAAUGUUUAUACCAGUAAUUUUAUGCUCCGCACUGCAUCAUGCAGCUCUCAUAUUAUCUUCAUAUGUGUAUUUAUUUGGAUAUUAAAAACAUAUGGGAUAUGUGUUAACAGGGACAGCUCCCAAGUCUUGGAUAGACUCUUUCCAAGUCUUCCGAGGUCCUAUAGGUUUAAAUUAGUCCAUUAUCUGCAUACUAAUUUGUCCAACUGAAAAAUCAAGGAUAUUAUGUAUUAACUGUUUUAAUAACAAUUUACAAGUAUAAAUUUCAUAUAUUUUUUCAUAGAAUAUAAAUUAGUUGACGUACUAAAAUCACUAGUCAAAUUAAUUUAAAUAAAUAUAUUGAAAAGAUGAUAAUAAAAUUAUGGUAAUUUAUCACUACAACAAUUCUGGACAUUAAUUAUAUGUAUACUUAAAUAUAUUGAAAAGAUGAUAAUAUAGUAGAAUACAAAUGGUUAUGAUUCCGUAGUAACUACACCGUCGUAAGUUCACAUAAUUAUAUAAUUAUAGUUAUUUGAAAACGAAAAAUAAAUGAGAAAAUAUAUAGUGACCAAAUAUGAAUCAAUCUAAAAUUUUCAUUAUGGAGAUCGUAAGAAACGUGAUGAAGAACUGGAAUGAGAAUUCCUUACAAAACAUUUGGGUUAUAUUAUCAAUGAUGAAUGUUGUAUAUUAUACCUAUGAUUUCAAGUCUCAUACAAAAUUAUAUUGCUCAUAGUCUUUCGAUCAGUUCUUACUAGUGUAUGCAAUAGUUUCUCAUUCCAUACCAGUUAUUUUAUGCUCUGCACUGCCUUAUGCGCGCAGCUAUCAUAUUACUGACAGCUAACCUCCUUCCAACACUUUGCCAUGCGAAGCCUGAAGAUUAAAGUUAACAGGGAUAGGUCUUCUUCUCUCCCAAGUCUUGGACGGACUCUUUCCAAGUCUUCUGAGGACCCAUCGGCUCAGAUCCGUCCAUUAAAAAUUUAUUAUUGAUUACUUAUUAUUAUUGAUUGAUCUAAGAUUCCAAAGACAUGUUCCCGUAAUUUUCAGACUUAGCCAGUUGGUGUGGGCAGAAGUUUUAGAAAUAGUAGAUUAUGGGGAUUUUAUUUAUUCUAACCAAUUUUGAGUUAUUUAUUUUCUUCAAAAAAAUCAAUACUUAUUUUUUAUUGUUAUGCGGAAUUCCAAUAAAUAUUAAAAUAUAUAAUUUUGAUUAUUAUCAUAAAUUUAUUUAUUCAAUAAAUAUUAUUAUACUAUUAUGGAAACAUUUUAUUUUGUAAUGUAUAGUACACCCUUAUCCCACCAACAAAACUACAUCACAAACAAAUUAUAUCAUAUUUAAUUUAAUAAACUCAAAUAAUUUAAUUUAUGUAACAACUCUAUAAAAUUAGAGUGAUUGAUACUUUGCACCCCUUAUGUUUAAGCGUUUUUUCAAUUUGGUUUCAAACAAUUUUUUUGGCAGUAUGCACCCCAAAAUUUGAAAAUUGCUUCGCUUUGCACCCUUUUAAUCGCUCUCCGUUUAAUUGAUAUUGACCGUUAAAGACUUAAAGUUGACAGAUAUGGGUUUACAUUUUCAACACCACAAUUUUAAUUUUUUUUCAUGGGUAUUUUGAAAUAUUCAGACGACUGGGAUGAUUCAAGUGUCUUCAUGUUAGACAGUGCGAUAGGUCGGUCGAGGGGUUUUCAGAAACUGGGACCAAAGAUUGGCGCCAUCAGAUUGGAUUUAUAUCAUUGGAAACUCUCUGUACACCUCUAUAGAAACUGGGACCAAAGACAAGAGGGAGAAGCUCUUGUGAAAUGGAAGAAUAGCCUAGCCCCGUCUUCUUCUCUCGACUCUUGGUCCCUCACCAAUCUCGAUAAUCUUUGUAACUGGACUGGCAUUAAUUGUAACUCUGCAGGUUCAGUCUCUGAGAUUAACCUUUGUGAGAAACAACUUGAUGUAAUGCUGUCUGAGUUUGGUUUCACUUCAUUUCCAAAUCUCAACAAUCUCACCCUCGCAGCUAACUACUUCUCCGGUCCAAUACCACCAGCCAUUGAGAAUUUAACACAGCUUCAAUAUCUUGAUUUGAGAAAUAAUUAUCUAGAUGGUCCAUUCCGUUCCAGGUUAGCCAUCUUCAGAGCUUGCUCAUCUUAAACCUGUCACAGAAUGCAUUGCAAGCUCCAAAUUGGUCCGAUUUCUCUCCCAUGCCUUUCUUGCGCAUCCUCAACCUCAGUAGCAAACCUCCUGCGUCGAAAUUCCCAGAUUUUAUAUCCAGUUCUAAUAGCCUGACUCACCUUAGCCUUAAUUAUAACGAGUUUACUGGUGAUUUGGUACGUGAAUCAGUAUUUGCCGAUCUGCAUAAUCUUGAAAAGCUCAGUCUUGUUGGCAAUUCUUUCGAGGGGCCAUUUCCGCCAGAUAUAUUCAGGCUUUCCAAAUUAAAACAUCUUAGCCUGUCAGAUAACAAACUUUCAGGUUCAAUUCCCAAUGACAUAGGGUUGCUUUUUGAUCUUGAAUACCUAUAUUUAGCCAACAAUUCCUUUGAAGGACCGCUUCCACCAAAAAUAUUCAAGCUUUCAAAAUUAAAAAAUCUUGUUAUUUGGGGUAAUAAGUUUUCAGGUUCUGUUUCCAACGAUAUAGGUUUGCUUUCUGAGCUUGAAAGCCUCUAUCUUGACUCCAAUUUUUUUGAGGGGCCGCUUCCGUCAAAUAUAUUCAAGCUCUCCAAAUUAAGGAUUCUUUUCCUUUGGCAUAAUAACUUUUCAGGUUCUAUUUCUAAGGAUAUAGGUUUGCUUUCUGGACUUGAAACCCUCUAUCUUGACUCUACUUUUUUUGAGGGUCCGCUUCCCCCACAUAUAUUCAAGCUUUCCAAAUUAACAAGUCUUGACCUCGCAUACAAUAGAAAUUUAUUUGAAGGAAGUAUUCCUAUUGGACUGGGACUCUUGACUAACCUCAGAUACUUGAGUCUAUCUUCCACUAAUCUCGGUGGCUAUAUUCCAUCUGAAAUUGGAAACCUGAAGCUACUAGAAGUUCUUGAACUCAGUUCUAAUCAAUUGAAUGGACCGCUUUCAAAGAUCAUUUCUAAUCUCACAAAUCUCACAGUUCUUGAUGUAAAUGAUAAUAGUCUUCGUGGAAAUAUUCAGAGUGACUUGUGGAAAUAUGACGAUCAUCCAACUUUGGAAUACAUCGAUUUAAGUGGGAACCAUUUUACGGGUAUAGUUUUUCUCUAUAGAUCUUUUCCUAAUCUCAUAUGUAACUAAGCUAGUAAUCUGAUUAUUGCAGUUUCACCAAAGUUUCAACAAUCUUGACAGGUGAGCUUCCAACAACAAUUUGCAAUGUCACUUCCCUUUUGGUUCUUGAUUUGUCAAAUAAUGAAUUAAUUAGUGGUGCACUUCCAAACUGUUUCGGGAAUCUUGCUGAUAGAUUGCUUUUCAUUAAUCUUGCUAAUAAUCAGUUUCUCCAGGAGUUGUCAGCUGACAUAUCUAAACAUGGAUAAUAAUGAGUUUGAAGGAUUGUUACCCCCAUCUUUGGCGAACUGUAAGCACUUCAAAAUUCUUGAUAUUGGCAAUAAUAAAAUAGGUGGUGCAUUUCCGUCAUGGCUUUAUGUACUUGGAGAGCUGGAAGUCCUUGUCUUGCGAUCAAAUAAACUCUAUGGUACAAUAAGUGGAAGGAGCAUAGAAGAUCCCUUCCCCAAGUUGCGGAUUGUGGAUCUGUCCAACAAUCAAUUCACAGGCCAUUUGCCAAUUCAAUACUUUAAGAAUAUGAAAUCAACUGAUAAUUUGUAUCGUUAUCAGAAUGACACAGGAGAUAUUUCUUUCCAUUAUGAAGCAUCUGUCUCAUUAACUGUGAAGGGAACAGAGUAUGAAGUGAAAAAUAUCCUUCAUAUUUACACAGCCAUUGAUCUGUCCUGCAACAAGUUUCAAGGAGAAAUUCCUGACGUUAUUGGAGAGCUUAGAUGGCUUGCAUUGCUCAACUUAUCUCAUAAUAGUCUAACAGGACCUAUCCCUUCGUUGCUGAGAAAUAUGAAAGGACUCCAAUCUUUAGAUUUGUCUUCAAAUCAACUGACAGGGGCUAUUCCACCUCAAUUAACUGCAUUGACAUUUCUAGAGGUCUUGAACCUCUCGGGAAACCAUCUUAGUGGAGAGAUUCCUCAGAAAGGGCAGUUCAGCACAUUUACAAAUGAUUCUUAUCUAGGAAACUCCGCGUUAUGUGGAUUACCUUUGACGAAGAAAUGUGCAAACACAGCAUCACCUCCACAAGAAGUCGGAAAUGGUGAUGAAGAUGAUGCUUGUGAUGAAUUGACAUGGGAAGCAAUUGUGAUGGGAUAUGGAUGUGGACUGAUAUGUGG
RNAcentral lists this long non-coding RNA (228825 nucleotides) under Daucus carota (carrot). RNAcentral describes it as "long non-coding RNA (DCAR_LNC002601)". The record is from RNAcentral. Lineage: Eukaryota; Viridiplantae; Streptophyta; Magnoliopsida; Apiales; Apiaceae.